UUUUGCAACCACAACAUCAAAACCCUGUUUCGUUUGUGCAGGCCAGUUGCUAGUACCUGUUGUAGCAUAUACAGAAUCAGGUUUCAUGACAAUAGUAGGCACAGCAACAGUUUCAGUCCGCCCGCAUAAAAGAAAAAAAAAACAGCAGUUUCAGUUUCUUCGGCUUACACCCUGAUGGUCAAUUCUGUCAUCAGGUUACAGAAACCAACUCAAAGAAUGUAAACACAAAAACACAAGUGCUCUGCAGUCUCCGUGCAGCUACGCUAUUAACUGUUCUCACCUGAAAACACGCCUCACUUGUCUUAACCAAACAUUUGGAGAAAGAGAAAAACCAAAGAAACAAAUUCGCCGAUGCAACUUUAUGUUUAGUGGUGUAGAUAGCCGCGUCCCUUCCGCAGUUGGCGAUUUGAUUUGAUGUAGCCGAGCAGCAGGAUGAAGAUCCAUCUACAACCUAGCUAGUCUCCCUUCCGCCUGCUCACAUCAACAUUUAAACUGGAUGAGAUACUAGUAUAAGUAUACAGUCGAUCAGCUCACUACUCUCUUUCCGAGCAAGUAAAUUAACAAAUCACCAAGGGAAAUAGCAAAACAAUUGACUAAGAACAGAACUGAUCUCACCUCCAAAGCUAGCUAUCUAUUAUGCAGUUUCACCCUGUUCCUUGUUUCGACAUCCUGAACUGUAUGCAACUCCUAGUGCUGCUGCUACUAGUGCUAGGAUUUCCUCCUCUGCAGCCAAGCGGGUGAAGUGAAAUUAGCAUGUUCAUCUCAAAUAGAGUAGCAGGGAAUUGCAAAAGGAGAAAUUAAGAGAGACAAAACUAGAGUGCAAACAAACACAUUAACAGCCGUGCUGAUUUACCUUCAAUCAAGUGCUCCUGGACCCUGCGCAAGCGGGAGCUACAUGCACCAGGUUGCCCUUUUUUCAAGUGCUUGGCCAGUACGUCCCUCACCCUCACGGCGUCCUCGUGCGCUACCUGCGGCACCUCCUCCUCCUCCUCCUCCAGCUCCGCAAUUUCCUCCUCCUCNNNNNNNNNNNNNNNNNNNNNNNNNNNNNNNNNNNNNNNNNNNNNNNNNNNNNNNNNNNNNNNNNNNNNNNNNNNNNNNNNNNNNNNNNNNNNNNNNNNNNNNNNNNNNNNNNNNNNNNNNNNNNNNNNNNNNNNNNNNNNNNNNNNNNNNNNNNNNNNNNNNNNNNNNNNNNNNNNNNNNNNNNNNNNNNNNNNNNNNNNNNNNNNNNNNNNNNNNNNNNNNNNNNNNNNNNNNNNNNNNNNNNNNNNNNNNNNNNNNNNNNNNNNNNNNNNNNNNNNNNNNNNNNNNNNNNNNNNNNNNNNNNNNNNNNNNNNNNNNNNNNNNNNNNNNNNNNNNNNNNNNNNNNNNNNNNNNNNNNNNNNNNNGUUGCAAAAGGUGGACAUGAACAAACCCCUCUGUCCAGGAUCCUCCAAUUGUCUUUCAACCUCGCGAGCGCAGCAGUCAUGAUGGUUGAUGCUGUAGCGUGUCUCUUGUUGAACUCGGCUUGAUAAGGAGGCAAAUCUGCUAACCGGCACACCUCCUCCUCCUCCUCCUCCUCCUCCUGCAUGUCUAUCACUAUAUUAUGCAAUAUGCAGCACACAUAGAUUGUUUUUAAAGGUGGACAUGAACCAACCCCUCUGUCCAGGAUCUUCCGAGUGUCUUUCCACCUCCCCAGCGCAGAGAGGGUGAUGUCUAAUGCUGUGGAGUGUCUUCUGUUGAACUCGGCUUGAUAAGGAGGGAAAUCUGCAGAAAGGAGGUCCUUGUCUUCCAGGCGGUAAGGUGUGAGAAGCCAGGGGAGGAGAGGGUAUCCUGCAUCACCAAUUAUGUAUUCCCCAACUUCCAAGCCAUCUGAUAAAUUCAGCUUACUGCCAUUCAGCAUACCCUGCUGGCAGGACUUGAAGAGCCAAGAGUCGUGCAAAACGCUCAAUUGGUUCAUGCUACCUGACGGCCCUAACCAAAUGUUUGUGAACCUCAUAUCUGGAUCAACCACGGCUUGCAUUAGCAUGCUGUCAUUCUCCUCAUGGUCACCGCUUUGUGAUCCAAAUGUGAUGUGAGCUGUUUGUACAAUGCCACAACAGUUUGGCAAGUCGUGUAUCUUGUCGAGCUUGCACUUCAUCUUCUCCAUUUGAGCAGAGCCAGGCCAGCUGAUGUGGUGAAAUGCUCGCUUCCACAUAGCCUCAACAAACACCUUAGUUACCAGCAAGACAGUUGACUCGUUCACACCAAGAGUGGAUCCUACGGUAACCGGAGAGUCACCAGAGUUUAGCAUUCUGAGAGCGACAGCUACUCUGUCUUGCAAAGACAACAAUCUCCCAUCAACAAAGGUGUGAUCCCUUGCCAUCAUAUCUUCAAAAAAUGAGAUCCUCACCAAGCUGCAAACAUAACUGAAGGUGCUUCUUCUCAUUUUGUACAUAGACUCAAACCCUUGUGCAUCCACCAUAGAAGAUGAUAAGGUUUCUGCAUGGAAAUAAAAACACAAAACCGGUUUACACAAUCUCUAAUUAGCAAGGCAACAGCAAACAUAUAUCACUGUCACUGGCGGACCCAGGAUUUGGGCGUGACCAGGGCUGAACCAUAGUAACAAAAAAACUACGACGAAUUAUAACCAUAAUUUCAGCGGUUGAUAAAAAAAAUUGUCUAAAGAUAGGAAUCAAUUAGACUGCCGCCUGAGGCUUUGAGAAUGAGAGAAGAACUGGUAUGUGCCUAGGAGUCUAGGACCUAGCAAGUGGCAAAUACUUGGAGAAGUGGUUACAUGAUACUCUAGAUAAAUCCUUGUGCAUCCACCAUAGAAGAUGAUAAGGUUUCUACAUGGAAAGAAAAAUACAUAAGUGGUUACAUGAUACUCUAGAUAAGUUAAUCUCGAGAAAAUCUGGAACAACAAGAAGACAAAUACUUGGCAACAUGCACUAGGAAGGUACAGAAUAUAUUCGGUCAUCAUGCAAUAUACUCCCUCCGUUCCUAAAUAUUUGUCUUUCUAGACAUUUCAAAUGGACUACCACAUCCGGAUGUAUGUAGACAUAUUUUAGAGUGUAGAUUCAUUCAUUUUGCUCCGUACGUAGUCACUUGUUGAAAUAUCUAGAAAGACAAAUAUUUAGGAACGGAGGAAGUAUAUGGAUGACAAGCAGGAGAUAAAGUCAAAUUAAGUUACAAACUGGCAGAAUCAGAGUGCUGAAACAAAUUAAGACAAAGCUUGAUGUUUGAUUUUCUGUACCGUCAAAUAUGGCAGAGCUGCUAAUAUUUGAAUCCAGCUUGUAGUUGUCUCCUCUCGUGUACAAAACGUACCAUUUUCUUUGGUUGUCUCCAUCACGUGCAUAUGCCUUGACAUGCUCCACUUGGCUGAACUUGUCCCACUCAGUGCCCGAUUGUCCCGAGGCUACCGCAGAGAGCAACCAUAGCCUGCAGAAUAACUGCAAAUGCCUUGCCUUUAUGUCUUGCAUGUAUUCUGGGAGUUUUUCCAUGGUGUAAUCCUUCAGGACCAGCCUCUCGAGUGAAGCGAUAUGCUCCAGCACCUUCAACUUUGGGCAGUUCUCAAUGGUAAGCUUCUGCAGAUUGGGGAGAUCGGUGAUCCUCUCCAGGUCAGGGCAAUCAUUCAUUAUAAGCUCAAUAACAGAAGGAAAGCUCUCAAUGUAGCUGAGCUGCUUGACAUGCGUGAUUUGGACAAUAAAGCUUAGCUGUUCUACACUAUAUCCGGAUAUAGUUGACGACAUUUGUGAACUUGAUACGGGCUUAAACCCAGUUCAACUGUAUGCAUGCAUAGUCAUAUCCAGUAUGUCAUCCAGUUUAAAUCUUGAUGUGUGCAGGUGCGAGUGCGACUAGCUAGUUGGCCCUGAUGACAGUUUUUCAUCCGGCUGUUCAGCUUGCUAACUAACGUCUUAUAUUAGUGUACAGAGGUAGUACUUUGUGAUUGAGGAAACCCAGCCGGCUGCGUGAAUGAUAGUAAGCUUUUGGGCAUUGGAGCCAAAGGCCUAAAAUCUGUGUUCUGUUGUCAUCAAUCAGGCAAAGGUGAGUGUUGUCUAUUAUCUAGCGAUGGCAGUAGUAAGCUUUUAUGAUUGAGGAAACAAUCGAUAUACCGUGUAGCUGCUUGGAGACUAAUGGCUAUUUUGUUAUUUAUAUUUGUGUGUUGAAGAAUAUGUAAGCAUGCACUGAGUGGGUGCUGUAUGGACACGAGUUUUAGCAUGAUUGAUUCAUUAUGUUCUCAGGAUAUAUUUGUCAUGGUAAUCAAUGUGCUGGCUCAGCCUACUCAUUUGUACUUACGCAAGACGAGAGCAGAGCAGAGUGUUUUGUGAGAGUUGAAAAUUAACUGUUCAAAUGCCUUUAUAUAUUCCCUCAUGUUGAUUUCAACUUCGACUAAUGCAGAGGAUUUUGGCAUUCCCUUUUUCUGCUACUAAUCAUGUGUUCAGUUUCAUAUUCAGUAGUUGGCAUUUUCUUCUGGUACUAGCAAGAUUGAUCUUUUUCUUUUUGAGAAAACGCAAAGACUUUGCGGUUUCUCUCAUUGAAAAGGUAGGGAAAAAGUUACAUGCCUCCUAGGAGAUGGUUUAAAGAUAGCAUUACAAAGGUUUUAAUGGACGUCCCAGGUGGCCCAGAGGGCGGCUUCUGCUCUAAUUUUCUGUUUCUCUGUCAAGAGGGGGACAGAGGGUCGAUCUCCAUCGAAGAUGCAUCUGUUGCGCGCUUCCAGAUCAUCCAUCCUGUCAACAGCGCUACGGUGGUGAGUCCCUUUUGGAGUGGUUUGGGGGUCGUCUCCUUGGCAUCGAGCCACCAUUCAUCGAGGGUUGUCGUGGUCAGGUGGUCUGCAAGUCAUCUUUAACCAGGAGAGUGUGUCAACCGCCUGCCUAGAAAAAGUGCAAGAGACAAGCAGGUGGUGAAUUGUCUCAAGCUCUUGAAGGAAAUAUGCCCUAUAGGCAAUAAUAAAGUUAUUAUUUAUUUCCUUAUUUCAUGAUAAAUGUUUAUUAUUCAUGCUAGAAUUGUAUUAACCAGAAACAUAAUACAUGUGUGAAUACAUAGACAAACAUAGUGUCACUAGUAUGCUUCUACUUGACUAGCUCGUUAAUCAAAGAUGGUUAAGUUUCCUAACCAUAGACAUGAGUUGUCAUUUGAUUAACGGGAUCACAUCAUUAGGAGAAUGAUGUGAUUGACUUGACCCAUUCCGUUAGCUUAGCACUUGAUCUUUUAGUAUGUUGCUAUUGCUUUCUUCAUGACUUAUACAUGUUCCUAUGACUAUGAAAUUAUGCAACUCCCGUUUACCGGAGGACCACUUUGUGUGCUACCAAACGUCACAACUUAACUGGGUGAUUAUAAAGGAGCUCUACAGGUGUCUCCAAAGGUACAUGUUGAGUUGGCGUAUUUCGAGAUUAGGAUUUGUCACUCCGAUUGUCGGAGAGGUAUCUCUGGGCCCUCUCGAUAAUGCACAUCACUAUAAGCCUUGCAAGCAAUGUAGCUAAUGAGUUAGUUGCGGGAUGAUGCAUUACAUAACGAGUAAAGAGACUUGCCGGUAACGAGAUUGAACUAGGUAUUGAGAUACCGACGAUCGAAUCUCGGGUAAGUAACAUACCGAUGACAAAGGGAACAACGUAUGUUGUUAUGCGGUUUGACCGAUAAAGAUCUUUGUAGAAUAUGUGGGAGCCAAUAUGAGCAUCCAGGUUCCACUAUUGGUUAUUGACCGGAGACGUGUCUCGGUCAUGUCUACAUAGUUCUCGAACCCGUAGGGUCCGCACGCUUAACGUUCGAUGACGAUUUAUAUUACGAGUUUAUGUGUUUUGAUGUACCGAAGGUAGUUCGGAGUCCCGGAUGAGAUCAGGGACAUGACGAGGAGUAUCGAAGUGGUCGAGACGUAAAGAUCGAUAUAUUGGACGACUAUAUUCGGACAUCGGAAAGGUUCCGAGUGAUUCGGGUAUUUUCGGAGUACCGGGGAGUUACAGGAAUUCACCGGGAGAAGUAUUGGGCCUUAUUGGGCCAUAUGGGAAUAGAGGAGAGAGGCCAAAAGGAAGGAGGCGCCCCCCCCCUAUGGUCCGAAUUGGACAAGGGGUGCAGCCCCUUUUCCUUCUCCCUCUCCCCCUCUUUCCUUCUCUCCUACUCCGGAAAGAAAAGGGGAAUCCUACUAGGACUUGGGAGUCCUAGUAGGACUCCCCAUACUUGGCACGCCCCCUCUAGGGCCGGCCUCUCCUCCCUCCUUUAUAUACGGGGGCAAGGGGGCACCUCUAGGCACAAUAAUUGAUCUCUUGAUCUCUUAGCCGUGUGCGGUGGCCCCCUCCACCAGAUUCCACCUCGAUAAUAUCAUAGCGGUGCUUAGGCGAAGCGCUGCGUCGGGUAGCAUCAUCAACACCGUCAACACGCCGUCGUACUGACGGAACUCUCCCACAAAGCUCUGCUAGAUCGGAGUUCGUGGGACGUCAUCGAGCUCAGCGUGUGCUGAACUCGGAGGUGCCGUACGCUCGGUACUUGAUCGGUCGGAUCGUGAAGACGUAUGACUACAUCAACCGUGGUGUGCUAACGCUUCCACUUUCGGUCUACGAGGGUACGUGGACAACACUCUCCCCUCUUGUUGCUAUGCAUCACCAUGAUCUUGCGUGUGCGUAGGAAUUUUUUUGAAAUUACUACGUUCCCCAAUAGUGGCAUCCGAGCCUGGUUUUAUGCGUAGAUGUUAUAUGCAUGAGUAGAACACAAGUGAGUUGUGGGCGAUACAAGUCAUACUGCUUACCAGCAUGUCAUACUUUCGUUCGGCGCUAUUGUUGGAUGAAGCGGCCCGGACCGACAUUACGCGUACGCUUACGCGAGACUGGUUCUACCGACGUUCUUUGCACAUAGGUGGCUGGCGGGUGUCAGUUUCUUCAACUUUAGUUGAACCGAGUGUGGCUACGCCCGGUUCUUGAGAAGGUUAAAACAACACUAACUUGACGAACUAUCGUUGUGGUUUUAAUGCGUAGGUAAGAACGGUUCUUGCUCAGCCCGUAGCAGCCACGUAAAACUUGCAACAACAAAGUAGAGGACGUCUAACUUGCUUUUGCAGGGCAUGUUGUGAUGUGAUAUGGUCAAGACAUGAUGCUAAAUUUUAUUGUAUGAGAUGAUCAUGUUUUGUAACAAAGUUAUCGGCAACUGGCAGGAGCCAUAUGGUUGUCGCUUUAUUGUAUGCAAUGCAAUCGCCCUGUAAUUGCUUUACUUUAUCACUAAGCGGUAGCGAUAGUCAUAGAAGCAAUAGGUGGUGAAAUGACAGCGAUGCUACGAUGAAGAUCAAGGUGUCGCGCCGGUGACGAUGGUGAUCAUGACGGUGCUUCAGAGAUGGUGAUCACAAGCACAAGAUGAUGAUGGCCAUAUCAUAUCAUUUAUAUUGAUUGCAUGUGAUGUUUAUCCUCACUGGUAGAAAAAGAGGCUUCCGUCCAGCCCCAUUAGUCGCGAAACUGUAGGAACCGCGACUAAUGAAGUCUUUAGUCGCGGUUCGGCAGAUGAACCGCGACCAAAUGCCUGGGCCCAGGGCGCUCGCGGGCUUUAGUCGCGGUUGGCCAGGCCAACCGCGACUAAAGGUGCCCAAAGGCCUUUAGUCGCGGUUGGCCAGGCCAACCGUGACUAAAGCUCCUCCCUUUUAGUCCCGGUUUGUGGCACGACCCGGAACUAAUGGGGUUGAGACCUUUAGUCCUGGUUCGUGCCACGAACCGGUACUAAAGGUCCCAUUUUCAAACUCUACCCCCNNNNNNNNNNAUUUGCAAAUGUGAAUUUUGACUUUAUUUGCAAAAUCUCUCUGAAAUUUGUAAAAAUGGGCAUAACUUUUGCAUACUAACUCGGAUGAAAAAGUUUUUUAUAUGAAAAAUCAUCUACUCGAAAAGUUACAUCCAAAUUUAACCGGGGGAACCCCGUUAAACAUUUUCAAAAUCCUCAAAAACCUAAUAGAAAAAAAGUUACGGGGCUUGUAAGAUCUAGAGUGGAAAAAAUUGAAAAAUAUUCAAACAGUGGGCAAACUAUGGUCAAACAAUGGUCAAACUAAUUAUUCUAGAAUAUUAGUGUUACUAAAUAAUUAUUUUAAUUAUUUCAAUUUUGGUCAAAUCUGGUCAAACUGUGGUCAACUGUGGUCAAACUGUGGUCAAACAAUGGUCAAACUAAUUAUUCAAGAAAUAUUAGUGUUACUAAAUAAUUAUUGUUUUUUAAAACAAUAGUUUCAAACUCAAACAGUGAAAUGUGUCACUUCAUGCUCAAGCAAAAUUCCUGAAAGUUAAUAGGAUUGACAUCUUAUUAUUGUCAGGAAAACAACAAGUGCAGACUUGGAGCGUGGGAGAAUAGAACCCGGAAGUUAAGCGUGCUUGGGCUGGAAUAGUGAGAGGGAUGGGUGACCGGUUGGGAAGUUAGAUGAUUUGGAAUGAUGAGGGGUGAUAAAAGAAUAAAUUGAGAAGUGAUGAGGGAAUGAUGAGGGGUGAUAAAAGAAUAAAUUGAGAAGUGAUGAGGGGUGGUGAUUAGAGACUAGAGGUUAAAAUAAUUCAGAAAUUUGAAAAAAAAAUUCAAUUUUUUUUUUCAAAAACCUGUGGCGGCCUUUAGUCGCGGUUAGCCACAAGAACCGCGACUAAAGGUCCUCCGCCCCGACGGCCACCUGGCGCCCACGUGGACGGGCCUUUAGUCGCGGUUCUUAAGCAACCGCGACUAAAGGUGGGGGCCUUUAGUCGCGCCCGUGCGGUCGCGGUUGCGCAACCGCGACUAAUGGCAGUUGCGAACCGCGACCAAAGGCCCUUUUUCCACCAGUGCCUUUAUGCAUCUUAUUUUUUUUUUGAUUGACGGUAGCAUUAUAAGAUGAUCUCUCACUAAAUUUCAAGGUAUAAGUGUUCUCCCUGAGUAUGCACCAUUGCGAAAGUUCUUUGUGCUGAGACACCACGUGAUGAUCGGGUGUGAUAGGCUCUAUGUUAAAAUACAACGGGUGCAAAAUAGUUGCACACGUGGAAUACUCAGGUUAAACUUGACGAGCCUUGCAUAUACAGAUAUGGCCUCGGAAUGCUAGAGACCGAAAUGUCGAGCGUGAAUCAUAUAGUAGAUAUGAUCAACAUAGUGAUGUUCGCCAUUGAAAACUACUCCAUCUCACGUGAUGAUCGGACAUGGUUUAGUUGAUUUGGAUCACGUGAUCUCUUAGAUGAUUAGAGGGAUGUUCUUAAGUAAUAUGAUUAAUUGAACUUUAAUUUAUCAUGAACUUAGUCCUAAUAGUAUUUUGCAAAUUAUGUUGUAGAUCAAUAGCGGUGUGCUCCUCAGGGAACAUUUUCCAAGUUUAUGUAAUUUGAAGUGGUUGGACCUCUGCUACAACAACUUCAACAGUGUGCUGCUCAAGGAACAUUUUGAGAGUUUACAUAAUUUGAAGUUGGCAGACCUCGGUUGCAACAACGUCAACAAUGUAUUCGUGAAAAGGCAUUCUACAAGUUUGGGAAAUUUAAAGCAUUUGGACCUCGGCUAUAAUAAAUUAAACAAGUGCUCACAGACGAGGAUUUUGCAGGACUAUUGAAUUUAGAGUAUCUAGACUUGUCAUACAACUCUCUAAAACUAGCUAUCAACCAAAAAUGGGUUCCUCCAUUUAGGUUGAAGGUUGCAGGUUUUCGUUCAUGCCAUCUUGGACCUCAUUUUCCAGAGUGGCUUAAAUGGCAGACUGGCAUUGAUGUUCUUGUUCUUGGAAAUUCAAACCUGGAUGAUGUUAUUCCUGAUUGGUUCUGGGUGACAUUUUCCCAAGCUUCAUUCUUGCAUGCAGCAGGAAACAAGUUGCAUGGCUCAUUCCCAGAAAAUUUACAACACAUGGCAGCUGACCGCAUAUACCUUGGUUCCAACAAGCUUACAGGUCGAACUUGUCUUCAACCUCUUUCUGAGGCUCAAUGCCGUCAAACCUCAAAGCAUUACUUCUGGAAGAGUUUUUUGCUUGCAAAUAAUCAGGUUAGAGGCAUGAUCCCAUCAUCUUUAUGCCAAUUGAGAAGUCUAAAUCAGUUGGACCUGUAAGGAAACAAGUUAACCGGCGAUGUUAUGCAAUGCUUCAAGGACUCGGGUGCAAACUCUGCAAAUCAGUUUGGUUCCAAUAUGUACAGUGCAGCGUUGAACAACAACAAUUUCUCAGGUGAAUUCCCAAAAUUUCUUCAAAGUGCAUCACAAUUAAAAUUCCUCGACCUUUCAUACAAUAGGUUCUAUGGAGGAUUACCAAACUGGCUAUCUGAGAAAAUGGCACAACUGCAAAUCUUGAGGUUGAGGUCAAAUAUGUUCAAUGGCCAUAUUCUGGAAAAUCUCACUUCCAUUGUCAGUCUUCAUUAUUUGGACAUAUCAGGCAACUGUAUGUCAGGAAGCAAUGAUGACAGUAAUAGCAGAGGAUACAGAGGAUUACAACUUCGAAGAGAGCAUACCAGUAAUCACGAAAGACCAAAAGCGUGAAUAUAACUUCCAAAUCUACAAGCUCUUGGUGAAUCUUGAUUUGUCUAGUAACCGUUUAACAGGACAAAUCCCAGAGGAGAUAAGUUUACUGAUUGCCCUCACCAAUUUGAAUAUAUCAAGUAAUCAGUUGACAGGAACAAUCCCAAAUCAGAUCGGUGAUUUAAAGCAUUUGGAAUCGCUGGACUUAUCAUACAACAUAUUUUCUGGUGCAAUCCCAUCAGGUUUGUCGGCACUAAAAUCUUUGAGCCACUUGAACUUGUCGUACAACAAUCUAUCAGGUGCAAUACCAUCUGGACCACACUACAAACUCUUGAUAGUCAAAUGUAUAUACGUCGGCAACCCUGGUCUUUGUGAUCCUCCUCUCUCCAGGAAUUGUUCGGCAAAUGAUGCAAAACAAAGCAGCCUUGAAGAUAUAAAUCAUAUGUCGUCUGUUUAUCUUGUCACGAGCAUAGGCUUCAUGGUGGGUCUUUGGACAGUGUUCUGCACCAUGCUAAUGAAGAGAGUAUGGAGGGAUGCCUACAUUCAGUUCAUUGAUGAGCUAUAUGACAAGGUUUAUGUGCAAGUGGCUGUGAGGUGGGAUCGGCUGAUGAAAAACACUCAAGACGAUGCACCAUGAACAAGAAGUGCCCAAUAACACUGCAAGCGAUUUGUUCGAUACUCGCAUCUAAAUAAGUUUUCAGUUUUCUAUAUUCUUGCAUUUUAUCUGUAUUUGAAGCUUUAAGUCGGUCUUUGCUGGACGUCAAUGAUGAAAUGGUAUUCAUAUGUUUGUAAUCUAUGGAAUGAAGUGUACGGGUUUUGUUGUAAUAUUUAAUCCUAAGUCAGGCAUUGUUCAUGAUAUAAGGAGAAUGAUAUACAGCCACCACUCUGCCUCUUUCUUACUUUUUCAGUUGGUUUUGUUGGCAGACAUCCUUCUUGCUGGGCUUGUAGUUGCAUUUGCUCUGAGGUUAGUUUGCCAAAGGAUGCUGUUAUUACUUCGAUCGUAUCUAAUAUACAUAUCCACGCUAUCUAUAAUAUGAUCUUUGCUCCUUGUCUGACAAAAAGGAAAAAGGAAAAAGGAAAAAGAAAAUACAUAGUAACUCCUUGUCCAAGAACCGUUACUUUCUGAGAAAUUUUCAUGGAGCAGCACAGCAGCCAAGUUUCAAGCUGGUUGUUGCCCAUUUGUUUGGUUGUUGCCCAUUUCGAUCUGGUCUAACGCUGCAAAUGGUUGGAGGUCUAACGCUGCAACAAGCAGACCUUGGUUCGAUUCCUGCCAUCAUCCAUUUUCUCCUGUAUUGCAUUUUAUAUUAAUUGUUAGCUGAUGGGCCGGCCCAUUACUGUGGAUAUCUCUCCUAUCUGCGACUUAAAAAACGGAUGCGGGUGACGUAUUUUGAACAGAGAUCUCCUCCGUUGAUGUGUUUAGGGGUUGUAAAGCAGAAGUGCUUCCUUGAAUAUCCUUUGUUUAGGACUAGUAUAAGAAUUCAAAAGUUCAUGCUAUUUCUAACGCGCCACUCAUGUCAGGAAUACAUCAAGCUUCACUCGCAAAAAAAAAGGAAUAUAUCAAGCUUACCACAACAGGAAAAGAGAAAACAAACAAUGUCUUCUAGAUGAAAAAAAAGCAGGAAAAGAACGGUGAAAAUUUAGCAGUUCAAUGCUAUGAUAUAGUACUAUCUACAACAGACUAACCUGGACAGUAACAUCAUUGAUUUGGCAUAGCCGAAGGAGUCCAGAGAUCAGUGGCGGAGCCAGCCUGUGCAAGGAGCCGGGGCAGAGUCUAUGCAUGGUGGGAUUGCCUAGUAUUUGCCUUAGCAAUUAGCGGUACUAAUCAUGGUCACAUAGUAUUGUUUAAUGGAGACCGGCCGGAGCAGCCCGGGCAGCUGCCCCGGGUCGCCGGGAGCUAGCUCCGCCACUGCCAGAGAUAGUACGGAGUCACGUUUUCCGAUUAACAUGCACGCACACAAACCUUACCACGACAAUUCUACGCCAAGUCCUUUGUUCCUGCAUCAUACGCCCAACCUGCAUCAAUCCACGUCAGUGAGGAGAGCGCCGUCAUGAUCCGCCGCCGCGGCAGUUCCCCGGCAGCAGCGCUAGAAGAUGACGACAUGCUCGGAGAGAUCCUUCUCCGUCUCCCGCCCCAGCCAUCCUCCCUCGCGCGCGCCUCCGCCGUCUGCAAGCGCUGGAGAGGCAUCGUCACCGACCACGGAUUCCUCGGCCGUUUCCGCGCACACCACCUGGAGCCGCCUCUCCUCGGCGUCUUUCAUCAUGCCGAUAAGCUCACGUUCACUCCCAUCCUGCCCGCACCGGACCGCAUCACUCCUCCAUGUUGGAAUAAGCCACGGCGUCUAGUGCAGUCGGGCUCGUCGGGCGCGUCCGGUGUGCGUGGGACGUGUGGGACGCACUGGUGCGGUCGGACUCGUCGGGCGCGUUGGGUGCGCGCGGGACGUGCGGGACGCAGCAGCGGUGUGGCGUAUGUGUGUGCAUGUGUAGUGCCGUGUCAUGUGGCAGUAUUGCACGUACGGAAGCGGAUGUACUACGGUGGUUAGUUGCAUGCAUAUGUGAGUUUGUUAGCUGCAUGCGUUGAUGGCCUAGUCUUUGGGACGUAGGAGAGAAUCUAGGAACAGAUUAGAUGCAUGCAAGUAGUUGGCUAGUAUUGUGCGUCUGUUAGUGGGGCUAGUGGCCGAGCGUGGUGACUGGACUAUGCGUGUGCGGGUACUACUUAAGCAUUGUAAUCAGCUUGGUUCUGUUAAUGAGAAGAGGAGGAAAAUGUAGCCCAUGUGUUCUCAUCGGGAGAACGAGGCAAAGCCAAUUUUCUCCACGGUGAGCUGUGUAUACGUGUGUGUUCCUUUCAUGGUGUGUGUUUAUGAGAUAAGAGAGAAACCACAAGAGAGUUGGGAGGUAGAAGAAGAAGCGCCGCCGCGUAGGAGGAGGCAGCGCCAACACUCCAAACCUCGACAACGAGGGCCGACUGCUCGGGUGCCGCCACGGACUCGUCCUUAUCUUACGAUGGGUGCGCGCAGAGGUCCUCGUGUGUGACCCUAUAACCGGCAACCAGCGAUGUGUGCCCUUCCCACCCAAAUUCAAGAUGGGCUACAUCAACGGGGCGGUGAUCUGCGCUGCCCACGACCAUGGCCACGUGCACGGUGGCUGCCACUCUACCCCCUUUAAGGUGGUCUUGCUGAAUAUGCGCUCUUAGGAUAGCCCACCUCUUGCAUCUGUAUAUUCAUCCGAGACCGAAACUUGGGGCGAUCUCAUCUCAGCGAAGGUUCCAUGUCCAAGUUGUUCCGGUGCUUAUAUUAGCACCCUUGUUGGUAAUGUUCUUUAUUGGUCGUUUCAGUUUGCGAAGGAGGGUAUACUUGGGUUUGAUUUGGAAAAAGAGAGCUUUGAUGUGCUCGAGGGGCCUCCCGGUAUGAAUCUUUCUCACAGUCAUCAAAUCAUGCAAGCCGAAGAUGGCACGGUUGGUCUCGCCAUGUUAUUUCCUCGUUACCAUAACAUUCAAAUGUGGCAGAGGAAGGUCAACUGCCAUGGUGUUGCCACUUGGGUGCUGUCGAGGACCAUUGACAUCCAUAACAUUCUUGAGCUCCCUCCUCAGGGUGAAGGAGAGAAGACAUCAUUGGAAUUUAUGAAGGGACAUGUUGAGGAUACCGAUGUGAUAUUUUUAUAUGUGAAAGGCAGUGUCUAUAUGGUCCAGCUUAAGUCGAUGCAGUCUAUGAAGCUUUAUGAAACCCAUAAUAACAUUACUUACUGUCAUUCAUUGAGGAGUUUCUACGCGCCAGGUGAUUAUUCAUCCCUAGUCCUCAUAUUGUUGGAGUAACCCAAUUCUGUUAUGUAUUAUUAUUCGUCGAUGCUCGAAUACCUUUGCUAGAUAGGUGAUUAUAGCGUUACUAUUCAGUAUAUUAUAUGUUCUCAUUCAAUAUAGCUAGAUAGACAAGCACAAGUCAUCACCCCUUCUUUUACACGAAAGUCAUCACCACUUGAUUCUUACUAGAUUGAAAAUCUUACAACCUUUUUGUGUGUGUGUGUGUGUGUUAUCAUUCAAUGUGGUUAUCUCCAUUCUUGGGAGGUAACAAAUCAAAUAUCAAAUGAGUAAUAGUGAAAAUCAGAUGUGAAAUGCUUAACUCAUUACUAGUUUUAAUUAUACUAUUCAGAAAUCAUUUAAACCAUCGGUGAUUGUGCUACAUUACUUGGAAAGAAACAAAGCUGAUUGAUGAACAUAUUAACAAAGUACUGAUACUGCUUAUGGGCAGAUAAACAUAUUAAAAAUUAUUGCUUUGGUUUUUCAUUCAUCCGAUGACAGGCAUGAUUUGGCAAUUAACUUAGGUGUCCUACACUAUGAUAUACUUGAUGACAAUUGUUAAACUGAUACCCUACACUAUACUUGACGACAAUUGUAAACCUGAUUUGUUUAAACCUUUAUCUGUGCAGGUGCGAGGGAGACUCAGCCAUGUUGAUAGAUUCCAUCAAAAAAUAAUAUGCAUGAGUGCAGUGCAGGCCCUUGAUGGCAAUGGAACCAACCAAAGGCUUAAAUCUGUGUUGUCAUACAUUAGGCAGAGACGACUGAUGUGUAUCUUAUAUUGUUAGCAGUAGUAAACUUUUUCGAUCGAGAGAACAACUAAUAAUGUAGCUGCAUGGGGACUAAAUACUAUUUGUGGUUUAUAUUUGCAUGUGGUAACAUAACCUGAAGAAAUAUUUCUAAUCAUAUUGUCAGCAGGUGACUAUUGUGUAUACGAACGUUCAAGCUCCCAACAGUACUUUAUAUCCCAACAAUAGCACUUUAUGGACCCGAAUAUCUAGCGAACAUCAGAUUUUUAGACAUGGAAAAUUGAAUGAUUUUCAUGGCAAAUUAUGUUCGGCAAGCAUGGCAUGUUUAGUUGUUGAGCAUGGAAAAUUUGUCUCAGUUCAUUUUUUUCUCAAGAAAUUGCCUUGCUUGCAAACCAAAUUUGUCAUCCUCACGUCAAUACAAAUUGCCAUGAAAAUCAUUCAAUUUGCCAUGUCUAAAAGAUCUGACAUCAGAUUUUUAGCAUUUCCAUACUUUACUGAUCUACAGGUUCUCCGAGCCUGGAGGUAGAUUCGGUCAAGUGCUCCUACACUUUUUUUUAUUUUUUCAAGUCGAGUUGCUCUAUUCAGUUAGUAGUAUGUUUUAUAAAUUUCUUCAUUCUGAUUUCAUCUUCAGGUCAGGUUGCUCUAUUCCGUCCAAAGUCUCCUGCAACCAUCUUCAAGUUCAGCUGCAACCAUUUAGAUUAAGUAAUAUCAUUGACUUUACCCAAAAAGGCUUCCGCCCCGCUUUAUAUAUAAAGCACGAUCCACAGCUACUCGGUACAAACGCACGCCACCAUAACACACGCAGACACCAAAGGCAGGAUACAAAGAUGCUGAAUGCAGCAACACCUCCCCUAGCACUACGAUAGCCACCGGGGUCCGAUGAGAUGAAGCCACAUACGACGAACCGUGAGCUCCAAGGCAGCGCUUUUAGGAAGGAAACGACACCGGAGCACCGCCACUGCCCGACCCGAGGGUCAGAGUUUCCCCUAGAGCAACAUGACGGGCAAUGAGAGCCACGGCGACGCCUUAGGAAGGGAGCGAGUUUCGCCGUCGCCGGUCCAUCCAAAGAAAGAGCGGGUUUUCACCCCGGCCAACAUUCAAUGCCACCGAACGCCACACCCCGGUAACCACACCGCCCCCACGGCCAUAGUCACCGAGCAGCAUCGAGCCACGGGCUCUGCCCAUGAGCACCACGCAACCACCACUAGGGCCGCCGCCCCGGCAUCAAAGGCCUAAACACCACCUCACCCGAGUCCCGCCGCUACACCAACCAAAGAGACUGAGCGCCCCCAGCAUCUGGCUUCCGUCGACUCGUCCUGCGGCACCGUGCGCGAGACAAGCUCGGUCCUGCAGCCAUGCGCGAGACGGGCUCGGUCCUGCUGCCGGGCGCGAGACGAGCUCGGUCCUGCAGCCCCGGGCGCGAGACGAGCGAUGGAACAAAGCUUGGGGCGGGCCAACCCUUCGACGAAGAUUGAGCCCAGGCAUCGAGAAGAGGGGUCGAAGGCCUGCACAUGCCGCUCACCGACAGGCCAACGCCGAAGAAGUCCAGCCGCCGCUGUGAGACAAUGCCGACCACCGCCAUGAGCGACCACCACGCCGUGGCAGCCCACAUCCAUGCCGAGCACAGCCCACGACACCUACCAUCGCUGGAUCGGCCGGGAGCCAGCACGCCCGCCACCACCAGGGAGCGCCACCGAAGCCAGCCACCACCUGCAGCGAGCCGGAGCCACGCCACCACAGGGGCCCAGGCCACCCGAGCCGUUGCUGCGUCAGAUCUUUAACCGGUACUGCUUUCUCGUGGUUUUCUGCAUUACCACCCGGUUCUAUUACUACAUGGUUUCAAUUGGAGCAAAAGUUUCAUGAUCACUUCUACAGUGGUGACAAUGAGCUUAAACUAUCCCAUCUUACAUCGGUUAAGCAAAAGCAAUAUGAAUCGGUGUCCGAUUAUGUCAAAAGAUUUAGGGAUACAAAAAGCCGGUGCUAUAGUUUGGUGAUAACCGAGAGAGAUAUGGCUGAUCUUGUGCUUAGUGGUUUGAGAACUCACAUUAGAGAAAGGCUAGAAGGAUACGAGUUUUUAAAUAUCAACCAAGUCUUGCAAGGGGCUUUGGCUCAAGAAAGCCGAAGCAAAGAUCUUAAAGAGGUGCGUAGAUAUAAAACUGAUCGUCCCAAGGUGAAUAUGGUUGAGUAUGAUAGUGACCACUCGGACGAUGAGGGUGAUAUUUAUGCUGCUGAAUUUGUUUGGCCAUCUAAGGCCAAACCGUUUACUUGCAAUGAUUUGAAGCCGAUUCAUAAGAAUCAUGAUGAAGAGAUGAAAUUUACUUUCAACAUUGCUAAGUGUGAUAAAAUAUUUGGUGCUUUGUUGCAAGCCAAGAUUGUUAGAAUAUCUCAUACUUUACCACUGAAACGGCGUGCUUAUUGCAAGUAUUAUAAUUCUUUUUCUCAUGCUACUAAUGAUUCUAAUGUUUUUCGACGACAGAUACAAUCAGCCAUUAAUGACGGACGAUUGAACUUUUCUGAGAUGCAAGUUGAUAAGCAGCCUUUCCCAAUGAACACCAUGGAUUUGGAGGGGAAGAAGAUGUUAAUUCGGCCCAACAUAGCUGAAUCAGCUAAUAAAAAUAAUAUUGUCAUUGGUGAGCCCAGGAAAAAUAAGGAGAGAGACAAGAUCUUGGGGAGACAAGUUGUGCUUGACAAGCAACCCGGUGGCAAGGAGGUAAUCAAGAUCACCAUCAAGAAUCCUACACUCGGGGGGCAACCACAAGUGCAAGAGAACACUCAUGUAAAAUUUGUUAAGCCCAAGAGUCCAGAGGUUGGCAAGUGGAAGACGAAUGAAGCUAAAGUGCAGCGCAAGAGAAUCAAGCCAACUUUUGAUAUGUUGUUGUUCAAGUAUGCCAAUCAAGCGACCGGUUCUAGCUCUGACCGGGCAUCAAAUUUGAAGCGCUCAAGGUCACCUCCUAGGGAAGAGUUUCAGCAUCACACGAGGCCAUAUGGGUCAUGGGCACCAGGACCAUGGAUGGCACCGCCCCCCUAUGCGCCAUACUACAUGGGAGGCUUCAAUGGAGGAUGGGGGCAGCCCCCAAUGGCCCCUCAUGCUUUUCAUCCGGGUUGGGCUGAACCAAGGAGGCCCGUUCAUGAGAGGCUUUCUUAUCCCACACGAGGCCGUUUGAACAACGGUGUCAAUCGGCCAAUGCAAGAUAAUCAUGGAAGGGUUGGCAAGCAAGUGUGGCGUGCUAAAUCACCAAGUGCUGAAAUUUCAGAGCCUGGCAAGCAAAAGGAGAAGAAUACUAGUGCUGAAACUAUUAUGAUAAGCACUAAAGAAUUAACAAUCAAAGAGUCGAUUAUUGGUGAUAAUCCGGCUGAUUCUAAUAAAGAUGUGGCUGUUGUCUGCUACCUCUUGAGCACUGCGUUGGAUUUCCCCGAAGAGAAGAGGAUGAUGCAGCAAAGUAGCGUAAGUAUUUCCCUCAGUUUUUGAGAACCAAGGUAUCAAUCCAGUAGGAGACCAUGCACAAGUCCCUCGUACCUACACAAAAUGAUAGCUCCUCGCAACUGACGCGAUUAGGGGUUUUCAAUCCCUUCACGGUCACUUACGAGAGUGAGAUCUGAUAGAGAUGAUUAAUAAUAUUUUUGGUAUUUUUGGUAUAUAGAUGCAAAGUGAAAAGUAAAAGGCAAAGUAAAAACAAAGCAAGUAAUAAAGUAAUGAAGAUUGAUAUGAUGAGAAUAGACCGGGGGGCCAUAGGUUUCACUAGUGGCUUCUCUCAAGAGCAUAGAUAUUCUACGGUGGGUGAUCAAAUUACUGUUGAGUAAUUGACAGAAUUGAGCAUAGUUAUGAGUAUAUCUAGGUAAUGAUCAUGUAUAUAGGCAUCACGUCCGAGACAAGUAGAACGAAACGAUUCUGCAUCUACUACUAUUACUCCACUCAUCGACCGCUAUCCAGCAUGCAUCUAGAGUAUUAAGUUAAAAACAGAGUAACGACUUAAGCAAGAUGACAUGAUGUAGAGGGAUAAAUUCAUGCAAUAUGAUAAAAAAAGACCGUCUUGUUAUCCUCGAUGGCAACAAUACAAUACAUGCCUUGCUGCCCCUUCUGUCACUGGGAAAGGACACCGCAAGAUUGAACCCAAAGCUAAGCACUUCUCCCAUUGCAAGAACUACCAAUCUAGUUGGCCAAACCAAAAGGAUAAUUCGAAGAGACUUGCAAAGAUAACUCAAUCAUACAUAAAAGAAUUCAGAGAAGAUUCAAAUAUUGUUCAUAGAUAAGCUGGAUCAUAAACCCACAAUUCAUCGGUCUCAACAAACACACCGCAAAAAGAAGAUUACAUCGAAUAGAUCUCCACAUGAGAGGGGGAGAACAUUGUAUUGAGAUCCAAAAAGAGAGAAGAAGCCAUCUAGCUACUAGCUAUGGACCCGAAGGUCUGAAGUAAACUACUCACACUUCAUCGUAGGUGCUAUGGUGUUGAUGUAGAAGCCCUCCGUGGUGGAUGCCCCCUCCGGCGGAGCUCCGGAACAGGCCCCAAGAUGGGAUCUCGUGGAUACAGAAGGUUGCGGCGGUGGAAUUAGGUUUUUGGCUCCUGUUCUGAUCGUUUGGGGAUACAUAGGUAUAUAUAGGAGGAAGGAGUACGUCGGUGGAGCAACAGGGGGGCCACGAGGCAGGGGGGCGCGCCCUAAGGGGGGGCGCCCCCGCCCUCGUGACCGCCUCUUUUGUUCCUUGGAGCAGGGUCCAAGUCUCCUGGAUCACGUUCGGUGAGAAAAUCACGUUCCCGAAGGUUUCAUUCCGUUUGGACUCCGUUUGAUAUUCCGUUUCUUCGAAACACUGAAAUAGGCAAAAAAAACAGCAAUUCUGGGCUGGGCCUCCGGUUAAUAGGUUAGUCCCAAAAAUAAUAUAAAAGUGGAAAAUAAAGCCCAAUAUAGUCCAAAACAAUAGAUAAAGUAGCAUGGAGCAAUCAAAAGUUAUAGAUACGUUGGAGACGUAUCAGGCAUCCCCAAGCUUAAUUCCUGCUCGUCCUCGAGUAGAUAAAUGAUAAAAAGAGAAUUUUUGAUGCGGAGUGAUACUUUGGCAUAAUUUCAAUGUAAAUCUUCUUAAUUGUGGUAUGAAUAUUCAGAUCUGAAAGAUUCAAGACAAAAGUUCAUAUUGAUAUAAAAAAUAAUAAUAAUACUUCAAGCAUACUAACUAAGCAAUUAUGUCUUCUCAAAAUAACAUGGCCAAAGAAAGUUAUCCCUACAAAAUCAUAUGGUCUGGCUAUGCUCCAUCUUCCCCACACAAAAUAUUUAAAUCAUGCACAACCCCGAUGACAAGCCAAGCAAUUGUUUCAAACUUUAACAUUCUCAAAACUUUUUCAAUCUUCACGCAAUAUGUGAGCGUGAGCCAUGGAUAUAGCACUAUAUGUGGAAUAGAAUGGUGGUUGUGGAGAAGACAAAAAGAGAGAAGAUAGUCUCACAUCAACUAGGUGUAUCAACGGGCUAUGGAGAUGCCCAUUAAUAGAUAUCAAUGUGAGUGAGUAGGGAUUGCCAUGCAACGGAUGCACUAGAGCUAUAAGUAUAUGAAAGCUCUACAAAAGAAACUAAGUGGGUGUGCAUCCAACUCGCUUGCUCACGAAGACCUAGGGCAUUUUGAGGAAGAGCAUCAUUGGAAUAUACAAGCCAAGUUCUAUAAUGAAAAAUUCCCACUAGUAUAUGAAAGUGACAAAAUGAGAGACUCUCUAUCAUGAAGCACAAGUGUGGUAAAAGGAUAGUAACAUUGUCCCUUCUCUCUUUUUCUCUCAUUUUUUUAUUUGGGCCUUUUAUCUUCUCUUUUUUAUGGCCUCUUUUUUUUCGUCCGGAGUCUCAUCCCGACUUGUGGGGGAAUCAUGGUCUCCAUCAUCCUUUCCUCACUUGGGACAAUGCUCUAAAAAAGGAUGAUCAUCACACUUUUAUUUUUCUUACAACUCAACAAUUACAACUCGAUUCUUAGAACAAGGUAUGACUCUAUAUGAAUGCCUCCGGCGGUGUACCGGGAUAUGCAAUGAAUCAAGAGUGACAUGUAUGAAAGAAUUAUGAACGGUGGCUUUGCCACAAAUACGAUGUCAACUACAUGAUCAUGCUAGCAAUAUGACAAUGAUGGAGCGUGUCAUAAUAAACGGAACGGUGGAAAGUUGCAUGGCAAUAUAUCUCGGAAUGGCUAUGGAAAUGCCAUGAUAGGUAGGUAUGGUGGCUGUUUUGAGGAAGAUAUAUGGUGGGUGUAUGAUACCGGCGAAAAGUGUGCAGUAUUAGAGAGGCUAGCAAUGGUGGAAGGAUGGGAAAAAGUGCGUAUAAUCCAUGGACUCAACAUUAGUCAUAAAGAACUCAUAUACUUGUUGCAAAAAUCUAGAAGUUAUCAAAGCAAAGUAUUACGCGCAUGCUCCUAUGGGGAUAGAUUGGUAGGAAAAGACUAUCGCUCGUCCCCGACCGCCACUCAUUAGGAAGACAAUCAAUAAAUAAAUCAUUCUCCGAGUUCAUCACAUAACGGUUCACCAUACGUGCAUGCUACGAGAAUCACAAACUUCAACACAAGUAUUCUUUAAAUUCACAACUACUCAACUAGCAUGACUCUAAUAUCACCAUAUUCAUAUCUCAAAACAAUUAUGAAGCAUCAAACUUAUCUUAGUAUUCAACGCACUCAAAACAAAGUUUCACAUAUCUUGAAUACCAAGUAUAUUAAUAUUAAGCAAAUUACCAUGCUACUACCGACUCUCAAAAUAAUCUAAGUGGAGCAUGAGAGAUCAAUAGUUUCUUUAAAACAAAUCCACCACCGUGCUCUAAAAGAUCUAAGUGAAGCACUAGAGCAAAAAUUAUCACGCUCAAAAGAUAUAAGUGAAGCACUAUGAGCAAAACUAUCAAGCUCAAAAGAUAUAAGUGAAGCACAUAGAUAUAAGUGAAGCUCAAAAUAUAUAAGUGAAGCACAUAGACUCUCAAAAGGUGUGUACAGCAAGGAUGAUUGUGGUAAAAUAACAAGCAAAGAUGCAAAUAAUACAAGACGCUCCAAGAAAAACACAUAUCAUGUGGUGAAUAAAAAUAUAGCUCCAAGUAAAUUACCGAUGGAAGUAGACGAAAGAGGGGAUGCCUUCCGGGGCAUCCCCAAGCUUUGACUUUUUGGUGUCCUUGGAUUAUCUUGGGGGUUCCAUGGGCAUCCCCAAGCUUAGGCUCUUGCCACUCCUUGUUCCAUAAUCCAUCAAAAGAAUUCACCCAAACUUGAAAACUUCACAACACAAAACUCAAUAGAAAUCUCGUUAGCUCCGUUAGAGAAAGAAAACAAAGAACUACUUAAGGUACUGUAAUGAACUCAUUCUUUAUUUAUAUUGGUGUUAAACCUACUGUAUUCCAACUUCUCUAUGGAUUAUAAACUAUUUUACUAGCCAUAGAUUCAUCAAAAUAAGCAAACAACACAUGUAAAACAGAAUCUGUCAAAAACAGAACAGUCUGUAGCAAUCUGUAACUAAGGCAAACUUCUGGAACUCUAAAACUCAUACCAAAAUAGGAAGUCCUGGACAAUUUGUUUAUUGAACAUCAGCAAAAAUAAUCAACGCAAAAGCACGUUUCUGUGAUUUAACAAAAUUAUAUUCUUGCGUGCAAAGUUUCUGUUUUUCAGCAGAAUCAAAUCAACUAUCAUCGUAGGUUAUCAUAUAGGUUCUACUUGGCACAAACACUAAUUAAAAGAUAAAACCACAUCCAAACAGAAGCUAGAUAGAUUAUUUAUUCUAAACAGAAACAAAAAACAAAAAACAAAAAUAAAAUUGGGUUGCCUCCCAACAAGCGCUAUCGUUUAACGCCCCUAGCUAGGCAUAAAAGCAAGGAUAGAUCUAGGUAUUGCCAUCUUUGGUAGGCAAUCCAUAAGUGGCUCUCAUGAUAGAUUCAUAUGGUAAUUUUACUUUCUUUCUAGGGAAGUGUUCCAUGCCCUUCUUCCAGGGAAAUUGGAAUCUAAUAUUCCCUUCCUUCAUAUCAAUAAUUGCACCAAUAAUUCUAAGGAAAGGUCUACCAAGAAUAAUAGGACAUGAAGGAUUGAAAUCUAUAUCAAGAACGAUAAAAUCUACGGGCACAUAAUUCCUAUUUGCAACAAUAAGAACAUCAUUAAUUCUUCCCAUAGGCUUUUUAAUAAUGGAAUCCGCAAGAUGCAAGUUUAGAGAGCAAUCAUCAAAGUCAUGGAAAUCUAGCAAAUCACACAAAGUUUUGGGAAUAGUAGAGGCACUAGCACCCAAAUCACAGAAAGCAUGAAACUCAUAAUCUUUAAUUUUAAUUUUAAUAGUAGGUUCCCACUCAUCAUAGAGUUUUCUAGGGAUAGAAACUUUCAACUCAAGUUUUUCUUCAUAAGAUUGCAUCAAGGCAUUAACAAUGUGUUCGGUAAAGGCCUUAUUUUGACUAUAAGCAUGAGGAGAAUCUAGCACGGAUUGCAACAAGGAAAGACAACCAAUUAAAGAGCAACUUUCAUAAUUAAAUUCCUUGAGAUCCAAAAUAGUGGGUUUAGCAACAUCUAGGUUUUUAUUUCUUUCAAUCCCACUUUCAUCAAUUUCAUCAUCAAGAUCUAGAAACUCCGAAUUCUUAGAACGCCUUCUAGGUAAAGGAAGAUCAUAUUCAGUUUCAUCAAGAUUCAUAUUGCAAAACAAAGAUUUAAUGGGGGACACAUCGAUAACUUUUAGAUCUUCAUCUUGAUUUUCAUAGGAAUUGGAAGAACAUGCUUUAAUAAAGGCAUCUUUGGAAGCACGCAUCCUAGCGGUUUUUUCUUUGCACUCAUCAAUGGAAAUUCUCAUGGCUUUGAGAGACUCACUGAUAUCAUGCUUAGGAGGAAUAGAUCUAAGCUUUAAAGAAUCAAUUUCAAGAGAAAUUCUAUCAACGUUCCUAGCCAAAUCAUCAACUUUAAGCAAUUUCUCUUCAAACAAAGCAUUAAAAUUCUUUUGUGAAUUCAUAAACUCUUUAACACUACUCUCAAAUUCAGAGGGAAUCUUAUUAAAAUUUCCAUAAGAGUUGUUGUAGGAAUUUCCAUAAUUAUUAGAAGGAUUACUAGGAUAAGGCCUAUGAUUAAAAUUCCCUCUAUACGCGUUAUUUCCAAAACUAUUCCUACCAACAAAAUUCACAUCCAUAGAUUCAUUAUUAUUCUCAAUCAAAGUAGACAAAUGCAUAUCAUUGGGAUCAAGAGAAGUAUUUUUAGUAGCAAACAUCUUCAUAAGUUCAUCCAUCUUUUCACUCAAAACAUUGAUUUCUUCUAUAGCAUGCACUUUUUUACUAGAAGAUCUUUCGGUGUGCCAUUGAGAAUAAUUAGCCAUAAUAUUAUCAAGCAAUUUGGUAGCAUCUCCUAACGUAAUUUCCAUAAACGUGCCUCCCGCGGCCGAAUCCAAAAGAUUUCUAGAAGCAAAGUUCAAUCCGGCAUAAAAUUUUUGUAUGAUCAUCCAUAAAUUCAAACCAUGAGUAGGGCAAUUGUGAAGCAUCAAUUUCAUUCUUUCCCAAGAUUGGGCAACAUGCUCAUGAUCAAGUUGUUUAAAAUUCAUAAUAUCAUUCCUAAGAGUGAUGAUCUUAGCGGGAGGAAAAUGCUUAGAGAUAAAAGCAUCUUUGCACUUGUCCCAAGAAUCAAUACUAUUUUUAGGCAAAGACGAAAACCAAACUUUAGCACGAUCUCUAAGUGAAAACGGAAAUAACUUUAAUUUGACAAUAUUGUUAUCCGUAUCUUUCUUCUUUUGCAUAUCACAUAAAUCAAAAAAAUUGUUUAGAUGAGUAGCGGCAUCUUCACUAGGAAGAUCGGCGAAUUGAUCUUUCAUAACAAGAUUCAACAAAGCGGUAUUUAUUUCACAAGACUCAUCAUUAUUAAGAGAAGCAAUCGUAGUACUAAGGUAAUCAUUAUUAUUGGUAUUCGAGAAGUCACACAAUUUGGUAUUAUCUUGCACCAUGGUCCUUACGUCAGUGGAGGCUACUAAUGAUGAACAAGGCUUCACAGAUUGCGAUGAUCCUAGUGCGGAUGAAAAUGAAGAUGGUAAGUUUGUUGCUCAUUCUUUUCUGAUUCAAUAUAUGCUUAUUGACCAUCGUAUAAAAUAUAUAAUUCAUGGUUCUAUAUAUUCAGUUGAAAAUGCAGAAACAGAAGACUGAAAGAAGAGGAAGUUGAAAUAUAUUUGGACCCACGCGGUGGAGAUCAUCCUAACAAGGGUUUAUGGUUCAACAGUAAUUUUAAAAAACAUUUAUGCUGCUGAGGGACACAUUUGUUGAGGUGUAGCUCAAUGCCUGAGCUUGACGAAUUCGUAUAAACGUAGGUUCAUCAGGGCGGACUGGAGCAGAAGUAACAUAUGGCAAGAAAAUUACUGUAACAAACAAGACGAAAAAACAUAACCUUGGAGAUUCAGCUCAAUUCAACUGUUUUUUUCUUUUUUUUGCGGAAACUGGGUUUAUUUAUAAUGACAUAGUGGCAUUAUAGUGGCGAAAAAGGGUUUCCCCCCACUUUGUAUUACAAAGCAAACAUCCGAUACAACCAACGAUAGGUGCUGGGGCGGAAGCAGCACAACCUCUCCCAAAAGAAAAGAAAGAGGAAAAGAAACAAAAGCCGAUAACAGCGGAUCGACAAAGACGACGGAUCCUCGCGACCGCUGCUUCCACCGGAGAUCGUCCCCCAAGCUCCGAGACUCCGAAGCGUCGGUACCAAUCAACACCUCCAAGAAGGGACGCGAUGAUGACGACGCUGCUGCCAAGGGUUUCCCCCGGUACACGGCGAGGAAAGAGGAAGGGUAGCCCCGACGCCCUCCAGGAAGGUCCAGUGGCACCCUCAGGCCCACCGCGUCGGUGUCGGCCAAGCCAACAGGGAUUUCUCCCGAUCCCAUCCUCCACCUCAGGCACUCCGGUGCUCGCCACCAAACUGACCACCACCCAGUGCACACGGACACGAAGCAUCCCACGCUGUCUCACCACGAAGCCGUGAAGAUGGCCUGCACAACGAAGAUGGGGAGCCAGGACUAGGGCAGCAGCACCGUCAGCAUACUGGAGGGCCCCACCUCCAUCGUCCACGACGGUAGCCGACCGGAUGCCAAAGUGGGAGCUUGCCGGGACCGUGGUCCCACAGGCCCAGUCGGGCCCUCAGAGGCCCGGACAACUCCCGCCUCCGCGCCGCAGCAUGCAUGCCGUCGGCGUCGCUGCCCCCCGUCCGAGCUACUCCACCACCUCACCACACAGACGACGACGAAGCCACGCCGGGGGCCGGCCCGCUAGGACCCAGAUGGGGCCCGCGGGCCCCGAUCUGGGCCGGCGGCGCGCCAUCGGCCAACCAGCGCCACCACGCCGUCUCGCCGCCAAGGGGCCGCGCCACCACCGAGCGAGCCGCCGGCCACCGCGCCAGGAGUCCGGGCCGUCAUCAGGCCGAGGGGCACCGCCGCCGCCUCCNNNNNNNNNNNNNNNNNNNNNNNNNNNNNNNNNNNNNNNNNNNNNNNNNNNNNNNNNNNNNNNNNNNNNNNNNNNNNNNNNNNNNNNNNNNNNNNNNNNNNNNNNNNNNNNNNNNNNNNNNNNNNNNNNNNNNNNNNNNNNNNNNNNNNNNNNNNNNNNNNNNNNNNNNNNNNNNNNNNNNNNNNNNNNNNNNNNNNNNNNNNNNNNNNNNNNNNNNNNNNNNNNNNNNNNNNNNNNNNNNNNNNNNNNNNNNNNNNNNNNNNNNNNNNNNNNNNNNNNNNNNNNNNNNGAAGGCGCGACGAGGGCAGCCGAAGGAGAAGGAGGCUCGCGCCGCCCCAGCCACCUCCUGGGGAGGCGGCGCGGAGCGGAUCCGGGGGAAGGGGGGAGGGGGGAGGGGAAGGGGCGGGGCGGCCUGCGACCGGCGGCGGCGGCGGGGGCUAGGACGGCCGGCGGCGGCGGGGGAGGGAGGGAGGAACCCUAGGUCGGGGGCGCUAGGUCGAUGGCCUAGCGGAUCUGGCAUUAUAGUGGCAGCGAGAAGCAAUCAAUCAAGGCAUGUUUUGUGAUAGACCAUACUCUAACGACACUGAAAUCAGAAAGGAAAAAUAUAUCUAUCAUUCAUACAUAAAAACGAAAGGGAAAGAAGGGAGAGGAUCUAUUAACACUUAGAGCAUCUCCAGCGGUUGGCCCCCAGGGGCGGCUAAAAUCGCCGCAUGGGGGCAAGCCGUCGCAAAAAACCGGCCUGGGGGCGAGUUGCCCCCCAGUCGCCGGCCCCAGGGCCGCCCCCAAGCGCGUCUUAUUUUUUCAAAAAAAAAAACGUUCGGCGAAGUUAGGUAAAACACGGCUAAAUUUCGGCAAACUUUGGCAUAUAUUACAUGUUCACGACGCGUUUACAUAGCAAAUAUAACUAAAAAAAGAAAUCACUAAACACGGAAUAGUCGUCGUCCUCGCCGCCGCCGUCGUCGCCGGCCUUCUCCUCCUUGACGCGGUCGUCCCUGCUGCACCCCUGCCCGACGUCGCCAUGGCGGACAGGUGCCGGCGGCGGCGGCGCGUCGUCGUCGCUAUCGUCGAGGACGACGACUCCUCCUUCUUCGCGGCCCCGGCGGUGCUGCUCAAAGCGCCGCAGUGCGGCGACCUGGCGCUCCCUCUCCAUCCUGAGGAAGUCCUUGCGCGCCCAUUUCAGGGCCGCAUUGUCAUCGAGCUCCACCUUGCCGGGCUCUGUCUUCACGGCGGGGAGCCCCGGCUCCGUUUUCACCGGCGCGAGCCCGGGCUCCGUCUUCGGCUUGACGAAGCGCGGAGGAGCCGACGAGCGGGCGCGCCGGCUGCCUUCGUUGAUGACGAUGCCGGCGCUGUGAGUGCGCCGGCCGAGCGGCGUCUCCGCCGGGGGCUCAGCCUUGACGCCGAGCAGCGUCAGAGAGCCGGAGGAGUGGGAAGAAGAUCGCAACGAGGAGGAAGAAGACAAUGAAGAGACGAACCUCCUGGGCAGCCAUUGCCCGGCGCGUCAGUGCGGGGCCGGGGCCGGGGCCACCGGCGGAGGGUAUGCCAGUGGCGGCUAGUUGCCGUCCUCAAGGUGCGCCAGCACGCCGUCGAGCGUGCGGCCGGGGACGCCGCACCACACGCGGCGGCCCUCGCUGUUCUUCAUGCCGCCCACCACCGGCGCCCCGUUGGUGGACGCCAGCCUCUGCUCCAGACGGCGCUCGAAGUACGCCGCCCAUACCGAGUUUUUGUCGGCGGCGUACUGGGGGAGGGCGCACUGCUCAUUGGUGAGGGAGGCGCGCGCGAUCUCGACCUCGUCGGCGAAGUAGGCGGUCCGCGCCACGGCGUCGGGCAACGGCAGAACGGGCACUUCCCCGCCACCCCGACGGCCUGGCGCGCAUGUUUGGCGGCGCCGGGAUGUUGGCCUCGAACAGGAGCCACGGCUACUGUUCGCGGAGCGAGCGGCGGCCGAAGCCGUUGGCCGCCGCCUCGUCGCGGGGGAAGCGUUCGGCCAUUGGGAGCGGGAGAGGGAGGGCCCGGCGGCGCACGGGAGAGGAAGAGGGAGGGCUCGGCGGCGGCGGUGCACGGCAGAGGAAGAGAGCUCGACGGCUAGGGCUGGUGUGGCCUGAGGCGAGGGAGGGCGCCAACUUAUAUAGCCGCGCCCGUGUGUACGUGUGGCGGGAGGGGAGGCGAGGCCGUGCCGCCCCAUGACGCGCCGCCCGUGAGGAAUCAACGGCAAUGCAAACCGGCGGCGGCAGCGCGGCACCCUUGGCAUUGAUUCCCGCGGGAACCGAGGCGAUGAGGGCGACGAAGCGCCCGUCUCGCUGACUCGGCGGACCCGCGGCUGCUUCGCGCCAAAACCACUCGCCCCGGCGCCCCCGGGCGCCCCCAGCGCGCUGGGUUCGGCCUGGGUCCGCCGGCACUGAUUUCGGCCCAGGCCAGUGAAAAACGGUCUCCUAGGAGCGCGACUGGGCCCUUUUUUCAACGCCGGCACGAAAAAAUCGUCUGGAAAGGCCGUUCUGGGAGCGCGGCUGGAGAUGCUCUUAAAUGUUACGAUGAACUCCUAUCCUAUCAUUGAAUUGGCGUACGUGGCUGGCCAAAGGAGUCCAGAGAUUGCACUUGCACGCACAUGUGAGGACGACCGCCUCCAACCCCAGAUCGAUCGACGCCUCCCUCCCAGAAAAGAUCCACCCCAUUGAGGAGGGCACUGCGAUGAUCCGCCACCGCGGCAGUUCCCUGGUUGUGGCGGCACUGGAAGAUGAGGACAUUUUUGGAGAGAUCUUCCUCCGUCUCCCGCCCCAGCCGUCCUCCCUUCUGCGUGCCUCGCCGUCUGCAAGUGCUGGUGAGGCCUUGUCACUGACCUCAGAUUCCUCCGCCCCUCCUCGGCGUCUUCUUUAAUCACAAUGAUAAGCUCAAGUAUACUCCCAUCCUGCCCGCUCCUGACCGCAUCCUUCCUGCACACCUCUACACGGGGGACCACAGCCUUGUCCCCAUCUUACACCGGCCGCGCUCUGAGGUUCUCGUGUGCGACCCCAUCACCGGUGGGCAGCACCGUGUGCCAAUUCCACCUGAGUUCAAGAUGGGCUACGUCAACGGGGCGGUGCUCUGCGCUGCACGCGACAUGGGCCACGUGCACGGCGCUUGCCACUCCACCCCCUUCAAGGUGGUCUUGCUGAUUAUGCGCGCUAAGGAUAGUCAACCUCUCGCCUCUGUUUAUUCCUCCGAGACCAAUACAUGGGGCGGUCUAAUGUCAACAGGGUUCCAGGUCCGGAUCGUUCUGAAGCUUAUAUUAGCACGCUUGUUGGUAAUGUCCUUUACUGGUCGUUUAUGUACGUGAAGGAGGGGUAUACUUGGGUUUGAUCCAAAAUCAGGAUAGAACCAAAGGCUUCAGGUUCAGUGCAGUUACAAUAUGAUUGCCUUUUGUGACAUCCAUCUUGCUUACCAUAUGUUUUUGCGGCUUCCACUGUGCUGUAUAUACAUGGGAAGUGAAAAAAAAUAUUAAUGCCUUAAACCCGGGUGUAUGGGAAGGGUGGUUUCUCUGUAGUUGCUGCUUAUUAGCUUGACAUAAUUCAAAACCACUUUUCAUAAAAGAAAUGUCUCUUCUUUUUCUAGAAUAAUAACAGGGAGUGCUCCCCGGCUCCAUUCAUAGAAAGAAUCCUGAACAAGACCAGGUCCGAUUACAAGGUUCAGAAAAACCGAAGGAUUACAAAGCAACCUCCAUUGUGAUUCAAAAGAUACUACUGCACAAGUUCAGGCACGAUGGUGCAUGGAGAUUAAUUAGCUCUCCACAAGUACUCCCUCCGUUCCGAUUUACUCGUCGUGGUUUUAGUUCAAAUUUGAAUUAAAAUCACGACGAGUAAAUCAGAACGGAGGGAGUACAUCACACCAUACAAAAGAUAUCAGCAGCUGAGAAUGAGCAACCUCCAAAAGUUGAGAAUGUAAAAACCGUAUCCACAGAAGUAGAAAUCUAUUCUACCGAGUAUAAAUGGGUCAAUUGAAUAAUUUAUAGAUAGGUAACCUCCGUAUUCUACACCAAAGGACAAAGCAACCUCCGUUGCGAUCCAAAAGAAACUCCACAGGUUCCAGGUACGACUGUAGAUGGAGAUUGAGCUCUCCAGAAAGUACAUCACACUAUACAGAAGAUAGAAGCUAGUACAACAACAACAACCAAAUGGAACACUAUGAGAUGAGGAUAGCAAAACAACACUUAUAGUAAUAUGGGGCGCUCAACGUUCAUGGCACGUUAAUGGGUCGGAUGCCCAUUCCAUGUAGCCGCGCUCCUAUGGUUUUGUUUUAGCAAAAUUUCUUUGAUUUUAUAUUUCGUACAAAACAUGAUUUUUCAGAGAUAAAAUUUAAAAAAUAAUAAUAGUUCAGAAAACAUUUUUUACACUACAUGAACAUUUCUAAAAAUAUGUGAAUGGUUUAAAAAUAUGAAUUUUAAAAUAAAAUGUGAAUAUUAACAUAAAUAUGCAUGCACACUUUUGUAAAAAUAUGUUCAGCGUGUAGUUCAAGAUGAUUAUCAUGUACUAAGAAAAAGCCCACCGUGUCUAAAACAAUGUUCAGCGUGUAUUUCAAGAUGAUUAUCAUGUACUAAGAAAAUGCCCACCGUGUCUAAUGUUUUAAUGAAUCUUGGUAGGCUUAAAAGCAUGUUCAUUGUGUACCAAAAAAGUCCAACGAGUAUAAAAAAAAUGUUCACCAUGUAUUAGAAAAUAUUCACCAGGAUUAAAUAAGUGUUCACCCUGUUGUAAAAAUUGCUCAGCAUGUAUUGUCCAUCAUCUAUUAAAUAUGUCCACCGUGUUUUAAAAAGUAUUCACCAUAUAUUAAAACAUGUUUUUUGUUCAAAAAUUAAACAUGUUCACCGGGCUGAAAAAAUAUUUACCAUGUAUUAAAGUAAUGUUCAGCGUGUAUUAAAUAAACAUUCACCAGCUUAAAACUCGUUCAAUGUGUAUUUACAAAUUAUUCACCAGGCUUUAAAACAUGUCCAUUGUGUUCUUUUUUCACAAAUACUCAUAUAAAACACAAAGACAAAUGUGUUUUUACUAAUGAAAAAGGUAAUAAAGGGGGGAAGGAGCAAAAUAAAGAAGUAAGAAAACAAACAAUGGAAACGGGGAAAGGGAAAAAAAGAAAAGGAAAAUAGGAUUAAAUGAGUCUCCAGAAUUGGUGCGAAAGAAAUAUAAUUCGGCAUUACAAGUACUGAUGUGCCAGCAAACUCAAUGCAAAACUACGCCAAACAACCAUGCCACCAUCAAAAUUAUACCAAUCCUCAGCUAAAUCACCAUAAUAAGAAUUUACACUAAUCCUCAGAUAGUGGCUAUCCCCUUUGAAUCUAAAAAUUAUAUAAACCACAUGUCCAAGUCAACCAACCCCUCAUACAUAUUGUCUCACAAAUUACUCCAAUUUUGCAAUAGCUCACGAAGAAGCGAGACCAUCAUAAAUAUCCACCAAUAUAAGCUAUUAAUUGUCUAUACUACAAUCCGAAAUCAUCAUAAAUAUUCCCCGAGAUCCGAUCUGACAUGGCCUUGAUCUCUUCGUAGACAGCCAGUUUAAGUGUCUGGUUGUUUGUUGUGAUGCCCAGAUCUUUACACGAUGUGACGAGGUCAGAUCCAAGGUGAGGCUUUCGCUAACGUCCUGGAUCAGGUUUAAUUCCAGAGCUGGGAAAGGCGUAGCAAUUUUGUCCUCGAGCAGGUCUGACACCCAUUUUGUAAAGACAAGCUCGCCAUGGAAUCCACGUCGCAUUCCAAGUUUCGGAAUCUGAUUAUCUGUCCUAGGCGAAAUUCAUGACCUACUACAACAGAAACCAAAAGGAACACUAUGAGAUGAAGAUAACAAAACAAAACUUGUAAUAAUAACAGUACACAUAUUUAUAUACACAUCUUGGCAAGGAUGGUGGAGUCGUCGAAGGCGAUGAUCGCAGAAAUUGACGAUAAAAGUGAAAUGACUGGGCAACGACAAGCUUUAAAAUUAGUGGAGACGAGGUGCUGUUCGAAAUAAAUGAAGAGAGAAAACUUUAAAAUUAACAAAGUGAACUUUUGAAUACAUAACAUACUGAUAUUUUUCAUAUCGUUUUUAUGGGUUUUUUCUUCUAGAUAUGGGUUUUCUAUUAUUUUUUACAUUCUUUAUUUUUCAUAUUUUUCUGCUACAUAUUUUUUAAUAUAAGAUGAACAUUUUUAAAUACACAUUGAAGAUUUAUUUGCUAUAUGGUAAACUUCUUAUACAUAGUGAGCUUUUAUUAAUUUAUGGCAAGAUUUUCAUAUAAGAUUAACCGUUACUAAAUGUACGGUGAACAUUUCUUAAUAUACGAUUUAUUUUUAUAAAUAUAAAAGAAAAUAUUUUAAAGCCAUACAAAACAAUUUUUCAAUCUAUUUUCUACUUUUUAAUCUCCCUCCAUUCAUAAAUAUAAGAUGUUUUCUAACUUUUUCUGAAUCGGAUCUAUAUAGACAUGUUUUAGUUUGUUUGUUCAGUCAUUUCAGUCCGUAUGAAACCCAUAUUAGAAUAUUUAUGAACGGAGGGAGUAGAUUUUCAAUUAUUUAGCUAUUUAAAAAAUCCUACAGUUUUUUAGGGAAUCCCACAGUUGGUUUUGUGGGAAAAAAAACCAACAUAAAAACUUACUUGACCUUAACGCCCUGCUCAUUAUCGUCACAUGCUGACAGCCCAUGCGCACAGGUCUCCAUAAAUUAAUGAGUGCACUUAUAUGAUGGCCAAUGCGUUAUAUGGGGCGUUCAACGAUCAGGGCACGUUAAUGGGUCGGAUGCCAAUUCCAUGUAGCGUCCUGUUUUCUUUGUGGAGCACUCCCAUUGUUUUGUUUUAACAAAUGUUUCUUUGGUUUACACAGUUUGGCUUAGUUUUAAGUCGUUUUUACAUUUCAGACAAAACAUGAUUUUUUAGGCACAAUAAUUGAAAAAUAAUAAUAGUUCAGCAAACAUUUUUUAAAGUCUACAUGAACAUUUCUAGAAAAUGUGCAAACAUUCACACAAAAAUGCAUGCACGCUUUUGUAACAAUAUAUUCAACGUCUAUUUCAAAAUAUGUUUAUCAUGUACUAAGAAAAUGUCCACCAUGUUUAAAAAAUGUUCACCAUGUUAUAAUGAAGAUUGGUAUGCUUACAAAUAUGUUCAGGAUGUACUAAAAAAGUCUGACGCGUUUAAAAAAAUGUUUAACAUGUCUUAGAAAAUAUUGACCAGGAUUAAAUAAAUGUUCAUCGUGCCAAAGAAAAUGCUUGGCGUGUAUUGUCCAUCAUCUACAAAAAAUGUCCAGCGUGUUUUAUAAAGUAUUCACCAUAUAUUAAAACAUGUUCAAAUCUUUUUUUCCUUUUAAUUAACACGGGAGUUGUUAUAAAGUGCUUAAUUCAUUUGGACUAAUAUAUAAGAAAAAGGUGUAGGUGGUGGAAAUUCAAAACACGUUUUAUAUAGGAUGCAACUAAACAACUGUGUGGACACACAAAAGGAAAACAAUCAUUUUGAAAGCUUGAAUAAAAAUUGUCUACAUGAACAUCAUAUGAUCUUGUCUCCGUCGAAAGCACUACAUGAACCCCUCAUGAACUAUUUAAUAAUGAACAAAAAAUCCAAAUAUUUAGGCGUGAGAAUACCAUGUACAUAAUUUAAAAGCCAUAAAAAAACGUUACCUUUGGUUAGGGUAUCUUGCAAAUAAACAGGGGUAAUAAAUUCCUUAUAGCUAAUCAGGUGAACAUAGCAAAUUGAUUACCUCUAGAUUGACUUUCAUGUGCUCUAGCCAAAAAAUAAAUCAAAUCUGUAGGAUAUCAAAUGCUAUGUGUGGUGACAGUGGUCGCUCAUGUUCAUCCCGGCUGCCGGAAUCCUGUGCUUUUAGUGGACGUUGUACUCCUCGUCUGCGAUGCUUCCGGCUAUGGGCGACGAUGAUUCAGCCUUGGUGGUGCCCUCUAUCAGCUAGUGGUGGCGGCCCAAGGCGAAGGGAUCCAAGGCGGCCCAAGGCGAAGGGAUCCAAGAGGAUCGCGAGCAACCCUCCACGUGCAGUUUCGGCAUAUCGGAGCACAAGGAGUGGGAGGCGGCGGAUCCCACCAUGGAAGGCUGGUGAGUGGGAGGGGUAGAGGUGGAUGUUGGAGGGAGGGAAGGGAAAGCGCUGGGGUGUGGGUGCUGCUAUGGAUCGUGGGACGGGAGGACGUGUCGGUGAUGAGGGAAGCGAAGGGCGGAGCAGCGGGAGGUCGGGCGGGUCAAUAAAAUCCGGUGCAGCAGUGGCACAACAAACCCUCGCGCGUGCAACAGUGACCAAUGGGUCUUAUAUUUCUUUACGGAGGGAGUACUAUAUAGCUAUUUGCCUUUCACGUAGUUUGGAGCUGUCUCCAUUAACUUUCUGGAGAGAAAAAUGCAAUAGAUCCUGCUUUUGGUUUGCCUUAGCAAUUUCCUAGUUGUGCUCUAAGACUGAGCAUAGCAGUGUAUCCAACAAAGAUCAUUGUAUUUUGUCCUUUUGCAGCUAUCCAGUCAGUCUUCGAAUAAGCGACUAGUUAAUUAAAAUUUAGUUAGGAAAAGUUUUACUGCACAAGUUAACUAGACAUUGGUAAAGAUUGUGUUAAAAUUUAAGAUGUGAUGUUUUUGCCCCGGCCGUUACACCAGAAACCUCUGACUGACAUGUUUAACCUUUUGCACCGAUGCAAACCAACCUGUGGUUCUGUGGUUGGAUGGUUAGAGGGACAGUGAUAUCCCUAGCCCAUCAGGGUUCAAGUCCCGGAGGUGCUCAUAGGAGUAGGUUGUGCAUGUGUGCAUUCAUAGAGGUGAGUGUAUGUGCGUAUGUACGAGCGCUUGCGUCUAUACUGUGUUAAAAAAAAUAACCUUUUGCACCAGUGGUUGGUUUUGUUUAGAGAGAAACACCGGUGGAUUUCUUUGCAUAUGCUACCACGGGGGCCUAAUUUUCGUGUUUUGACCUUUUUCGAAAAGUUUUGACAGAUUUAGCCUCGCUACGAAUGAAUUUCGAAAUUUGAUCCUUAUUCCCACCGCCAGGGUCCUCGACAGUAGGCUAUAACAGGCUACCGCCAGAGGCCUUGGCGGUAGCUCACUCAUGCACGUCGGCCCGAGUAAACGGCAACCAUCUCCUGCCGUCCAGCCUAUCGCCAGAGUCCUCGACGGUAGCCUAUGCAACCCUACCGCCAGGGACCAUGGCGGUAGGAGCCAAACAGUUAUAAAUCCGCGGGGGCCGUGGCGCACGGCCCACCCACGAACCCAGCCCCCAUCUUCUCCCCUGCGCCCGCGCGCCGCCGCCCAGCAUAGAGAGCAACUCCUCUCUCCCCCUCCACUCCCACCCCUCCCUCCGAUCUUCUUCGUUUCUCCAUCGUUCUUGCGGCUCGAAAUGGCUCCGAAACGAGAAAAGUGCGGCCGAUAGCAGAAGAGGACGCCGUCAGUAUCUGCCUAGUUAGUCGAUUUAAUGGCCUCAGAGGAGGAACAAGAACCAGUAGUAGUUGCACCCGGCUCAGGAGAUGGAAGCAAGGAACGAGAAGCUCACCAACGACAGACAACCAAUCAAGGGAGCUGAGUCACCUUCUCUGUAAUCAAAUUUUGCCGAUCGACUGUACUAGCGCCCGUAAAACGUACUGUACGUAACAUCCCGUGGCUGUAGGCUGUAGCAUUGUCUCCCACUCCUCCAGCCUCCGCUCUCCUGGAGUAGUAGGUAGAGUCCCAGAUCGUCGUCGUGUUCCUUCCUGAAGGUGCUGCUUGGUAUGUGGAGGUUCGAGGUGCCUGGAGUGAGGUGGUACAUCUCCGGUGGGCGCAACGGUUUUGGGUUAUCAUCGUUUUCGUCGAUCCGACGCUGUGGACAUUAUUUUCUCACUUCUUUCUCUUUUGUUUCUUUUGGACAUGCUUGUGCUGUUUGCCCCAGCAUUAGACUCUUUGUUGUAUCGGGCGGUUGCUAUAUCAAUAUAGCGGGGCAAAAGCCUUUUUCGUAACAUCCCGUGGCUGUAGGCUGUAGCAUUGUCUCCCACUCCUUGUUGGUGGCCACACGAAUUCAGGUGUUUGCUGCCAGAAACUCCAUAAGUGUCGAUUCAGGAAUCAAGAGCCCGAUACGAGCAGAGCAGGAGACAGCUAGCUUUGGGAUGUACUAGGCUCCGGGUUUCUCCCCAAGGCAUCAGUUCAUCGCGCCGGGGUCUGCUCUGUCGACACAUGACACCAUAUGUUGUUUCACUAUAAUGUGGCAAAUAUUUGGUUGAGUCAUCUGCCAAGUGAUAUUGCUUGCUGUAUAUAUGUGAGACAUUAUUUCAAUGUGAUUUGCCACUACCAGAUGCUUUGCCAAGUUUGGUACUCGGUGAAAUAUCAUCGCCGAGUGUGAAACUCUGCUAUAGUGCCAGUGGCGCCAUCUGGUUUCUUGGAUAUAUCAUUUUCGAGUGCCCGCCGGAAGCAACUCGACACAGACUGUAACCUGGGCAAUUGCUGGGCAUCUCUUUGCCGAGUAUGCAUCUCGGCAAACUGUCGUUGUCUUUGCCGAGUUUUUGCAGAUGUACUUGGCGAAUGGCUCAUGCCACGCGUCGACCGUCCAUACGACAAGCUUUACCGAGUGUAAAACUCGGCAAACACAUCCACGUUUGCCGAGUAUUUCCUCACGGGGUCUCGGUGAAGACGACAUCUCGGCACACUGUCAUGGCCAUGUGGCGGCCGCAGAGCAUAUGUGUUCGCCGAGUUCUUGCUUUAGGGACUCGGCAAAGUUUUCUGCCACGUGACACGCUCUGUCUCCGUCCGGCCCAUCAAGUCUUUUUUUUUUGGCAAAUCACCCUGUUCUGGUUCUCGGCAAACUCAGCUUUGUCGGCAGGAUUCAGGCCAAGUACCUUGGGCCGAGAACAAUACUCAGCAAAGGCGUCGCCGAGUGUGAAACGGCUUUCGCAAAGUAUUUACGACACUCGGUAAAGUGGUAAAUUCCAGCAGUGCUAUAUAACCUUCGUCCCAAUUUACUUGUCGCUCAAACGAACAUAUUUGGGAUGAAAUCAGAAGAUUACUCGUCAUCCAAUAUUCCAAUUGCAUUUAGUUAUUUUAUUACUACUUUAUCUCCAUCUUUUUUGAAAUUUUAUUUCCAUUGAUAAGCCAGGGGAUGAAAGAACCGGGUCCAGUCCAUCAAGAGACCCAAAUGCGUACGUGGAAAGAAAAGUAGAAGACCCACUCCGAUUCACCCUCGUCCGUCCCAGUGCGUACGUGGGUGCGGUGCGUCUUCUUGAUAAUCCGCCUCCAACGCCACAUCGAUCGACGCCUCCGUCCCCACAUCCACGCCCACGCACGCCCUGUAGCGAGCAAUGAUCCUUCCCCGGCGGCGGCGCUGGAAAAUGACGACAUGCUCGGGGAGAUCCUGCUUCGUCUCCCUCCUACACCGUCCUCCCUUCCGCGUGCAUCCGCCGUCUGCAAGCGUUGGCGAGGCCUUGUCACCAACCACGGGUUCCUCCGUCGCUUCUACGCACACCACCAGAAGCCGCCCCUCCUCGACAUUAAGCCGGGGCAGCGGCUUAACGGGAUCACCCGCCAGGAGAUCCAGACUCGCACCAAAUCAAUACCGUUCAAGCCAUUGCCUAAGAGGGCUUUGAUCUUCUUGAUGGUAGGGGCAAGUGAUAGACGUUCAACAGCGGUUAGCUUAUCUGGCAGCGGGUGAUUUGAUUCAACGCGCAGAGCGCGGAAGCCGGACAGAGGGUUCUCGUCAGCCGGAGAAGUGUCCUGGCAAUAAAACCACGUCUGGUUCCAAUCCUUUGGGUGGCUGGGCAGUUCGGCAUAAGGAAAGAGGCAGUCUCUCCGCCGCUGAAUUGAGAUGCCGCCGAGUUCUAAACUGGACCCGUUGGCACGUUCAUUCUGCCGGUUUAAAUAAAAUAGCUCUCUGAACAAAAGUAGAUUGGGCUCUUCUCCCAGGUACACUUCGCAGAAAACUUGGAAGUUGCAGAUAUUUAACACGGAAUUGGGUCCAAUGUCUUGAGGUCUAAGGUCAAAGAAAUGCAAAACAUCCCUAAAGAAUUUUGAACCGGGUGGAGCAAAUCCCCGGUUCAUGUGAUCAGUAGACACGAUCAACUACCCCUCCUUGGGUUGAGGCCUCUGACGGGUUAGGAGCACGAUAAGACAUGAUCUCCUUCUUGGGCAGAUGGCCGGAUUUCACAAAGUCAGACAAAGUGCUUUCUGUAACGACGGACUUAACCCAGUUACAGGUCGAGGUUUGGAAGCCUUGGGUGCCAUUAGGAAAAUUGAAACCUAUGACAAAGAAAAAUUUCCGGCUCAACUUAUAACCCAGAGGAGGACAUUGUGAAAUUAUUCGAAACGGCGGCUUAAGAAGGGGCCUAAUGACAUAUAGGUAACUACGCAAUGAUAUUUAAGCCGCUACAGGUAUCAGGGGCAGUUAAGUUUUCUUAAAAGUCGCCGGAAGCAAGCAAGACUGACAAUCGGUGUUGUCAUAAACCGGCUACAUAGAUUACCACGGUUAAACAAAUUCAACAGAGGCAGUUUUUUGGUUAAGUGUGGAUUUCAGCUAUUAUUUUGAAUCAAACAAUUGCUCUGAAAAGAAAAAUUUCUAGAUCUAAAACCAGUACAGAGAAGUUCAUACACUCGAAGGAGGCCUUUAAACAAGGAAAAUGAGAUCUGGUUCUAUUCGAGAUGAAUGCGGAACAGCUACCGCAGUAGUUCUAGCUAUCUAAAGAUCAAAAAGGAGCACGGGAAAGGAAAAAUAUCAAGGGUUUGCAAUGGACGGCGAUGAACACCGACGAACUUAGGAGGCCGCAGUACAAAUCUAAACGCAAGAAAGGAAAAGGGCUUACGAAUGCAGAGCUGCUGCAGGGUUCCGUCGCUUUCUCUGGAUAAGUCAGGUUGAUGCAGCGGCCUGAGUUGGAGAAGACGAGGAGCUCGACGGUGGCGGAGCUCGAGUAACAGGGAGGCAGGGAGAAGAGGAAAACGGCUGAGGGAGAAAAUGAAGAGGACCUAGGUCGGGCCUAUUUAUAGGGAAGGGCCGACUGGGACGGUGCGAGUAACGAGGAGAUUGAAUAUUAUUAUCCAGCGACCCCGACGCCUCGAGUUUCGGGACAAUCAGUAAAGGCAAAGAUCCGUUGAAGAUAUAGCAGAAUAAAAUAAGGAUUUAAUUGGAGAUGACGUCACGACGGGUUAAGGUGGAUCCAGAAGAUGACGUCAUGGCGGGUUAAACCCUUUUGCACAGACAGAAGACCGAAGGCUUAUUUCUUAAGGUAUUUUAAGAUUGACAUGAACCGGUUCAAAUCAAUCUGGGCCUAAUGUUGGGGAUAUAACUAUUUGUGUAAGCGGCCCAGGAGGGGCCGGGUUACGCAAAGAAGACUCAUCAGAAAGAAGCCCAAGACCAAGCAUGAAGAUGGCGGUUCAAUAAAGGGUCUAAGGCCCACAGACGGCUUAAGGCCUGUAGUGGUAAACCGCCAUGAUGACAUGACUUGUAACAUAAGGUAGAAUUAACUAGUCACCGAACCGGAGACUGUCUAUGAGCCGGCCGGGACUCUGUAGGCCGCAGGGCGUGCACCCAUGUAUAUAAGGGGGCGACCCGCUUGCGGCUUAGGGUAAGAAAACAACUCAUCGAGAGCCGGGCAUAGCGUAUCUCGCUCCCUGGACAUCGAAACAUCAAGCAAUACCAAUCCAACUAGACGUAGGCCUUACCUUCACCGUAAGGGGCCGAACUAGUAUAAACCUCUCGUGUCCCUUAUCCUGAUUAACCCCUUCAAGCUUCCUAGUUGCGAUGGCUCCACAACUAAGUCCUUUCACUAGGACAUCUGACGUGACAAUUCCACGACACCACCUAUUGAAGAAAUACAUGGUCUUAAUAUACCGCCUGUUGAAGAACCACAUUGUCUUGAUAACCCGUCACAGGUAGUAAAGGUAAGUUCUCUCUAUAGAUAUGAUAAAGUUGAAAUCCCCUCUACUAAAUUCAUAGCCCAUGCUUAGAUGAAUUUGAUGACUUUAUGGCUAGACAAGAAAGUUUUAAUGCUUAUGUUGGUAGAGAAUUAAAGAGUAGUGCUUUCGAGAUAGGACGCGUGAGCGAUUAUAUGGCUAGAGUUAAAGGGGAACUUAAACUCGUUAGCAAAUAUGCUUCUAUGGUUGCUACUCAAGCAGAGCAAGUACUUAAAGCUCAAAAUGAUUUGCUUGCUGAAUUAAAUAAUAAAAAUGACUUACUUUACUGCAGAUACUAAGUUAUCCAGGUGUGGUUGAAUUGACAACUCAACUGCUAAUACUUGAGAAUAUUCUUUGGCUCCCCUUGUGUUGAAUCAAUAAAUUUGGGUUGAAUACUCUACCCUAGAAAGUUGUUGCGAUCCCCUACAUUUGUGGGUUAUCAGCCGCCGACAACCAUGCGGCGUGGGCGGCGUACUUCGAGCGCCGUCAGGAGCAACGGCUGGCAUCCACCAACGGGGCGCCGGUUGUGGGCGGCACGUAGAACAGCGACGGGCGCCGCCUAUGGUGGGGCAUCCCCGGCCGUACGCUCGAGGGCGUGCUGACACACCUUGAGGGCGGCAACGACCCGCCGCUGGCAUACCCUUCCCCGGCCGCCCCGGCCCACCGCCGACGCGCGGGGCAAUGGAUGCCCAAGAGGUUCGUCACUUCCUCGUCUUCCUCCUCCCACUCCUCGUCGCGAUCCUCCUCCCACUCCUCCGGCUCUCCGGCGCUGCUCGGCGUCAAGGCCGAACCCGCGGCGGAGACGCCGCUCGGCUGGCGCACAUCGUCAUCAAUGAGGGUGGCCGGCGCGCCUCCUUGUCGGCUGCUCCGCGCUUCGUCAAGCCAAAGAUGGAGCCGGGGCUCGCGCCGGUGAAAAGAGAGCUGGGGCUCCCCGCCGUGAAGACGGAGCCCGGCGACGUGGAGCUCGAUAACGACGCGACCCUGAAAUGGGCGCUCAAGGACUUCGUGAGGAUGGAGCGGGAGCGCCAGAUCGCCGCCCUGCGGCACUUCGAGCAGCGCCGCCGAGGCCGCGACGAAGGAGGAGUCGUCGUCCUAGACGACGUGCCGCCGCCGCCACUAGUCCGCCGUGGUGACGCCGGGCUGGGGUGUAGCAGGGACGACCGCGUCAAGGAGGAGAAGGCCGCCGCUGACGGAGGCAGCGAGGAUGGCGGCGGCGACAGCGACUAAUCCGCUUUAAGUGAUUUCUCUUUUAGUUAUAUUUGCUAUGUAACGCGUCGCAAACAAUAUAUGCCAAAGUUUGCCGAAAUUUAGUCGUGUUUAGCCGAACUUCGCCGAACUUUUUUUUGUUUUAAAAACAAUCAUACGCGCAUGGGGCGCCCCUGGGGCCGGCGACUGGGGCCCAACUCGCCCCCAGGCAGUUGUUUUGCGCCGGCUCACCCCCAGGCUGCGAUUUUAGGCGCCCCCUCGAGGGCCAACGGCUGGAGAUGCUCUAACGCCCCAACUAGACCCCGACCAUUCAAUGUUGCCACCUCUGCAAGCCCGAGUUCACCGGAUGUGGGGAGUUUGUCAAGGAAGGCCAUCCGAUCCGAGGUUUCUACGGGGAGAAGGACAUGGCGGAGGAUGGAUGGAUGAUUCCGAUUCCUACCAGCCAGCAUAAUCGCGGCAUAGAUGCUGAAGGCAGAACCAACAAAAUUGAUCACUUAUCAAAAGUUCAGACAGGAAUGACCAGUCUCCAAAACAUUAACCAAGUCUGCUCCUUUGGUUCAGUGUCAGCCUUAGGGGUUGAGGCAGAGUAAACAUUAGUGCUGAGGUGUGAUAUUCCUAGCUCCAAGUCUGUGGGGUCGACCUUGUCCGCUGGUACAUCGGGAGUGCCCUAAAUUGCUUGACAUGAAAAAUUAAAAAUAAAAGUUGCUUGCUUCAUGCAUCAGGGCCUCUAUUACAUGGGGCUGGGCUGGUGAGGCACAUGGGCCGUAAGCAGUAGCUAAGUUUUCUUUUCUCUUCUCUUAGAAAAAAAAACAAAAGGGAAAAAAAUUACACGAACUCUCAUGGAGCCUGAGAGCAGAUCCGGUGCCCCGCCGUCGCCGCCGCCGCCGCCGCCGCCGCGAGAUUGGUCUCCGGUCUGCCGGGAUCCCGCGCCACCGCACUCUCAUGGAGCCUGAUGGGACAGGAGCAGCGCCGGUGACCUGGCAGAGGAGGAGGAGGAGGAGGGGGUUGUCGGCGGAAGUGCGGCGGAGCCAGAGGAGGCGCCGGUCGGCCGGUCUAGCCUAGCCUCCCAGCCCACGCCCCCAAUUCUUCACGGUGAUUCGCGAUUUCCCCUUCCACAUGUGGUUUAGGGUUAAAUUCUUCACCUUUCUUUAUUGCCUCAUACAGUAGUAUGUUAAUUUCGAUGGCAUCGAUGGACACACACCAUCAUUUUCAUUUUGGGGUCUGGAAUUUUCAUGUCCUCAUUUCGAUCGAUCCAUGAUACCAACGCACCCACCAUUCAUAAAUCUAAUCUAGAGUAGUAAUAAAUUAGACCUAGCUAGAUAGCAGAUCUAAAAAAACGCACAUUGCAUUUGUCACUAACUAGCUGCCUACCUAAUUAAUUACCGACUGUGUUAGGCUCGUCUUCAAUCGUCAUCUUGGUCUAAUGAUACAUUCAACAAUAGCUUAAGCAUCGCUCGCAGAACGGGAAAAAACAAAAUGUUGCUUAAGCAGAUUAGUAGUAAAAAUCCGGAUGGUCCAUCAAGGCCAGAGCAUGGUGGCGUGUUAGACUACGUUGAACCACAUCUACAGUAAGUACAUACUUACCUCACCAACCAAAUACGCUCCUGCUCUCUCCGGGCACUUGGCCUCCUUCCGAUGCUACACUUUUUCACCUUUUUGUGCCUGCCCAGCCCCACUGUAGUAAUAAACUAGACCUAGCUAGCAGAUCUCAAGGAAACCACAUAACUUAUAUCGUUGUUUCAUUUUUUACUCUGAUUAUUAUAAGGAAGAUAACAUUCAGAUAGACGCACGUACAUGUCAUAACCCUAAAUCCCUGAGCAUUCAUGGUCUCUACUGAUAUGUCUUCCUUUGCACCUUUACACACCCAUACAUGCAUAUGCAUGCUUGUCUUUUAUGGGUCUUGAUGCCUAGGGAGCAGUUUUUCAACGCAGAUAGAGGGAGCCAUCGCCGUUCCUUUUGUUUUCUCCUCACGUCCCUGCUGUCUCAAAGUUAAAGAGGUAUGGCCAUUUCUAAAUUGAUGAUUAGCUAGGCUUAAACACCACUGGCCUCUGAAUUUUUAGGUGCACCUAGAACCACCUCGUUGCUACUGAUAUCUUACAUCUCGAGCACAUUUAUUCUGGCUUAGUUGAGUUCUACCACCAACCCUGCACCCUGGUUAUUACCAUCAGUUGAAGUUAACUUAACGCGCCACUUUUUAUUCAAUUAGUUUGAUGCGACGCCUGAUAAUAUUACAGCUCAAGUCUUGGAUGUAAUCACGUAUGUAAUCUGUUUAGUUUUGCCUGACCUGGCCUGACCAUAUGUUCCUUAAUGUUGAUUUCGCACUGAUUCGUUAGUUCAUUUUCCAGCGAUUCUAGCACCUAGAUUGCAUAAUGUUGAUACUUGAUUUCUCCUGCAUGGUGGAUAAUUGGGCAUGGGCCUUGUAGUUUAAUUUGUGUUUUCGAUCAGAGGGAGUUGGAAAAUAAUGUGAUUCAGCGGCACUGGAAUGAUAUAGUAGUUCUGGUUGGAAACUGAAUAUCGGUCGUGUCAUUUGUAGAAACAUUACCCACUUGCAAUGCCUCCACUAGUAUGCAUGUGAUUUGAACAACUAAGUUUGCUGCAGUGCUAUAUAAAUGUAAAAUUGAAAAAUCGUGAUACGUAGUGCAUGGUCGUAUAUGUGAUCUGAUAAUACUUUUGAACUGUACCAGUAAGUAAUAAGGUUUCAUCCAAGUUAAACUGUACGGGGCAUAUACUGGAUGGAUAGCUAAAUGGACAGCUCCUGGUUUUGUGUAGCGGAAAUUUUGAAGAAAAUUGGGUACCCUUUUUGAUUCUGAACAUUCAGAUAAAGCUCCACAUGCUUCAUAACCCUGAAAAUUUAUGCAAGAUAAGCAUGUUUCAUGUACGACAGUCUUUUGUUGGCCCAGCUCUUCACUGUUACCUUAUAAGUUUACUUUAGAAGUCCAUGGUAAGGUUAAGUUUGUUCUGAUGAUUGUCUAUUAAAUAAUUUUCCAGGUUGAGCUUGAAGGCUGCAAGAUGCCACUAUUGGAAUAAGCGACUCUUAACUUUUUCGAUAAAGGGCGACUUUAUUAUCUCAAAAUGUAGCAUCAAGAGGAUACAAAGCAUUAUGAGUAACACCCGGCCUCUGCAUAACUAAGAUGCACACAGCCAAAUCCAGAAGUCUGACAAAAUUCAUGAAAUAAAAAUCGACACACCGGCAACAGGAGAGUCUUUUAGACCGACACUAUGCCUAUGUCGAAGAAGGUGGUGGCUCGAUCCGUAGGUUAUGCUGCCACCCAUGUUGGGAAAAAACCUCCGUAGCCACCUGCUCCAAUCGCGUACACACCGCCAUGAACAGCGGUUGGUACUCCGGCCGUUGUAGUAUAGACCACGUACGUAGCGAGUGCGUACACCGGAAAAUAACCUGUAGAGGAGAAGCAUUUUUGUCAUUAAAAACCAAAUCAUUUCUACAUAGCCAAAGCGGCCAAAUUAAGGCAUACGCUCCCACCCUUAUUAGCGUUUUGAACCUAUUUGUAAUACCGUCCAACCAAUGACCAAAAAUAUUGGCAACACUUGUGGGCGGAUACAAAUUUGACGCUAUUUGGAUGACUGACCACGUAGAACGUGCAAACUUGCAUUGGAAAAAGAGGUGUUUGAUUGUCUCGUCAUGAGUACAAAAGGAACACUUCUUACUCCCUCGCCAGUUGCGCCGUGCGAGGUUGUCUUUGCUUAACACAACUCCCCUACGGAGAUACCACAUGAAGAUUUUCACUUUUAGUGGAAUUUUAGACUUCCAAAUUUUCUUAUUAUUACUCGUUGGUACCUCAGAAUGCGUGAGUGCACGGUACAUAGAGUCCACUGUGAAAGACCCUGAUGUAGUAAGGUUCCAGCGAAACACAUCCCGACCUUGUGUCAGGUUAAUCGAAUCCAGCUGGGAUAAAAGAUUAUGCCAUGACACAAGCCGGGGGCCAAUCAAAUCCCGCCUGAACGAAAUAUUCGGCGGGGAAGAACCGAGCACGUGCGCAAUAGUAUUAUUCUUACCGCGAGCUAUGUUAUAUAAGGCUGGAUAUUGUUCUCUGAGACUGGCAUUGCCUAGCGAGAUGUCUUCCCAGAAACGAAUCUCCGACCCGUCCUUUAUCGCGAAAGACCCAAAGCAAAAGAGAUGUUUCUUUGCCGCCAUUAGGCCAGCCCAAAAGUGCGAGUCGCCAGGUUUCCAAUAUGCCUGGGAUACCGCCUUUUGGCCUAGAUACUUGUUGCGCAACAUGGUUUGCCAAACACCAUCCUCGGUAAGAAGUUUAAAUAACCAUUUACUGAGAAGGGCCUAAUUCUCCAUUUGGCCAGCCUGUAUUUUUUCUUUUCACCAUCUCCUUGCCAAAAGAAUCUGGAUCUAAAGUAGUCCAGUAUUUGGAGGACCCCUUUUGGGAGUUGGAAGAAAGAAAGCAUAUAGAGAACCAUAUUUGUGAGGACGGAGUUGAUCAAAACCAGCCGACCACCAACUGAGAGUAGUUUUCCUUUCCAACUGCUCAACCGUUUCUCUAGACGCUCCUCUACAUGCUUCCGCUCCGCAAUGGUGAGACGCCGAUAAUGUACCGGUAUUCCCAGAUAUUUAAUCGGGAAUUGGCCAAGUGCGCAACCAAACAGGUCAUCAUAAUCGGCUGCCGCCUCAACGGCUUCUCCAAAGCAGAACAAUUCACUUUUAUGAAAGUUAAUUUUGAGGCCCGACAUUUGCUCAAACGCUGAAAGCAAUAGCUUCAGAUUUCGAGCUUUGUCUAGGUCAUGUUCCAUAAAAAGAGUCGUGUCAUCAGCAUAUUGCAAAAUAGAGAGGCCACCAUCCACAAGGUGUGGCACUACUCCCGCAAUCUGUCCAUCCUGCUUGGCGCGCUCAAUCAGAAUAGCCAACAUGUCAGCAACAAUGUUAAAUAACAUUGGGGACAUGGGGUCACCCUGUCGUAGUCCUUUUUUUGUCUGAAAGUAAUGACCUACAUCAUCAUUGACUUUGAUGGCCACACUACCUCCAGUUAUAAAAUUUUGGAUCCACUUGCACCAUUUAUCGGAGAAACCUUUCAUCCUUAGGGCCUGUUGGAGAAAAGAACACUUGACCUUGUCAUAGGCUUUUUCAAAGUCAAUUUUGAAUACCACUCCACUCAUGUUUUUUCGGCGCAUCUCGUGGACGGUCUCAUGAAGGAUAACUACACCUUCCUUCCUUGCAUGAAGGCCGUUUGAGAUGGCCGGACAACAUGGUCAGCUAUUGAGUUUAACCUAUUCGUAGCUACUUUGGUGAAAAUCUUGAAGCUGACAUUAAGGAGGCAUAUGGGUCUGAACUGUUGGAUCCGUUCGGCCUCCUUAAUUUUCGGCAACAAAACAAUCUCACCAAAAUUUAGCCUAAAUAGGUCAAGUUGAUUGGCAUGAAGACACUUAAACAACUCCAGAAGGUCAGCCUUAAUGAUAUCCCAGAAAUUCUGAUAAAAUUCUGCGGGAAAACCAUCAGGGCCUGGAGCUUUGUUGUGUUCCAUUUGGAACACCGCCGCUCUCACCUCCUCUUCCGAGAAAGGUGCCGUGAGGAUAUUGUUCUCUUCCACUGUGACUUGUGAAAUAUCAUCUAUUCGGGCCUCGUCAAGGGUGACAUUCCCUUCAUCUGGCGCCCCAAAAAGAGAUUUGUAGUAGCUGGUGAUAUACCUUUUGAGCUCCUCCUGACCUUCGAUCCGCCCCUCAUCCUGUUGGAGACUAUGAAUACAUUUCUUCCUAUGUCGACCAUUGGCGACCAAUUGGAAGUAUUUUGUAUUACUAUCUCCCAUUAGGAUGAAGUUAGCUUUGGACCUCUGGUAGUAUUUGAUCUCCUCUUCGCGCAAUAGACGGGCAACCUUCUCAUUAGAUUGAUUUUUCAAUUCAAUCUCUUGUUGAGAUAAGGUACGUGUCUCUGCAAUUUUGUCGAGGUCAUCAAUGAUGGUACAGAGAAGUGACUCUUAACUAGACAUUCGUAAGGUUUUUGCUGAAAGAUAUGUUGUUUCCCACUAUCUGCAACAAAAGUGAGGGCGGCUUGUUCCUCUACCCAUGUUGCUAAAUGGCUCAUGGUGCUUGUGCAAAGAAACCCUGUACUAUUUAGACGCCUGUACCUGGUCGUAUUUUGUGGGUUUAGUUCUUCAUUGUUAUAGUGUAAAAUCACUUCCUAAGUCCAAGAGGUCAAGUCUGUUCUGACUCUUGAAGCUGCUAGUUUAGCUCAAAGAAAUGCUGCUCUCUGCGGAAAAGAAGUCAUCGGCCAAUCCUUUGUUGGCUUUGUACAUGUCAUGUUCAACUCUUUUUUUGUUUUUUGCGGGGGAUGUCAUGUUGAAGGUAAUUAAUAGGCCGGAACGGUUUGGUUGCAUCUGUGCACUUUCCCAAGUAUAAAAUGAUUCAAUUUUGGCUUCUCUACUAUUUUUUGGAUGCAUCAUUUUGUUUGCGUUAUCUGGUUCUUGAUCACGUUCGCACCUUCAGCAGGACGAAAUAAGCUCAAAUACGUAUAUGCCAGGAGCUCAACACCGCAGCAGAACACGCUUCAAAGAAGUUAGUAGCAGGAGCCCUUGCAUCCAUACAUUGGGGAGGCGGCGAGGCGGUCAUCCACGGCAAGUCGUCCCGACUCAUGAAGAAUUUAGCGUGGAUGCAAGGCAGUAAUCAGCUCUAGUAUUUAUCCUCGUGUUGUACAGCAUAUAGAGGUACAAGGAAGAGGAGAGAGAGAGUUACAGGCGUGCAUGAGCACACACACUGUAACAAUGUACUGCCUGCAAAAAAAAAACUGUAACGAUGUACAGUCGGGAUCCUAUCUAUCAGGGGCCACGCACUCAGUCAUACACUCAUACUGCAUGCAUAGGGACGUGCGUUUAGCAUCCAGGAGAAGCGGUCUUCAGCAUAACAAUCUUCAGUCUAACACCGACGACCACGAUUACAACGUCCUUUUCUUCUUCCCCAUGGAAAAGCCAACAAAGGAUUCGCGAGAGGCUGGUUCUGAAGGAUUACACCAUGGAAAAACUCCCAGAAUACAUGCGAGACAGAAAGCCAAGGCAUUUGCUGUUAUGCUGCAGGCUAUGGUUGCUCUCUGCGGUAGCAGCGGGACAAUCUGGCACUGAAUGGGACAAGUUCAGCCGAGUGGAGCAUGUCAAGGCAUAUGCACGUGAUGGAUACAAGCAAAGAAAAUGGUAUGUUUUGUACACGAGAGGAGAUACCUGCAAGUUGGAUUCAAAUAUUAGCAGCUCUACCAUAUUUGAAGGUACAGAAAAUCAAACAUACAAGUUUUGUCUUAAUAAUUUGUUUGAGCACUCUAAUUCUGCAAGUUUAUAAGUUCGUUUGAUUUUAUCUCUUGCUUUUCAUCCAUAUAUGCUGCAUGAUGACCGUAUAUGUUCUGUACCUUCCUAGUAGAUCUUGCUCAGUAUUUGUCUUCUUACUUGUUCUUCUCGGUUUUCUCGAGCUUAACAUAUCUAGAGUAUCAUGUAACCAGUUUUGUGUUUUUCGUGUCAUGCAGAAACCUUAUCAUCUUCAAUGGUGGAUGUACAAGGAUUUGACUCUUUGUACAAAAUGAGAAGAAGUACCUUCGGUUAUGUCUGCAGCUUGGUGAGGAUCCCUUUAUUUGAAGAUAUGAUGGCAAGGGAGCCCACCUUUGUCGAUGGGAGAGUGUUGUCUUUACAAGACAGAGUAGCUGUCGCUCUGAGGGUACUGAACUCUGGUGACUCUCCGGUUACCGUAGGACCUGCUCUUGGUGUGAGUGAGUCAACUGUGUCAAUGGUAACUCAGGUGUUUGUUAAGGCUAUGUGGGAUCGAGCAAUGCACCACUGCAGCUGGCCUGGCUCCACUAAAAUGGAGAAGAUCAAGCACAAGUUUGACAAGAUGCACGGCCUGCCAACCUGUUGUGGUGUUGUACAUACAGAUCACAUCACGUUUGUAUCACAAAACCCUGACCAUGAGGAGAAUGACGUUGUGCUAGUGCAAGCCGUUGUUGAUCCAGAUAUGAGGGUCACAAAAUUUUGGUUGGAUGGUGAUCUCUUGGAGGGCAUUGAGAAAUAUGCUUUGCUAAAUGGGGGUAUGGUGAAGUUAUCAAAUGGCUCGGAGAUCGGGGAAUACAUCAUUAGUGAUGCAGGAUACCCUCUUCGUCCAUGGCUCCUCACCCCUUACCAGUUAGAAAAUGGUCUUCCACUCUCAGAGUCCAAAGUCGAGCUUAACAGGAGACUCUCUGCAGCUACAGCCAUCGUGCCGAGGACGUUGGCAAGGUUAAAAGACACGUGGAAGUGCCUGCAGGGAAAAGGGUGGCAUCCAGAUGAUGAACUUGAGAUGCAAUGGACAGUCGGCGCGUGCUGCAUGUUGCAUAACAUAGUGAUAGACUUGGAAGAGGACGAGGGUGCAAGCAUGCCGAGCGGCCACGAGGGGAUUUACAUCGAGAAAGCGUGGAAUGUAGUAGAGGAGGAUGCUGUGAGGGUGAGGGAUGCACUGUCCCAGAACUUGAUUGGAUCUGAAGGUAAAAUAACACAACUCUUAGUGUGUUAAAUCGAGACAACUCUUAGUGUGCUAUUUAUAUUUGGUUUAUUUCUUUCCUCGUAUUGAUUCCAUGUUCAUUUGAUCUGUUUGGACGUUAGUCCACACAAUGGCUGCAGAGGAGGAACAAGCAGAAGUAGCAGCAGUUGCAUCUGCUUCAGGAGAUGGAUACAAGGAACAAGAAGCACGCCAACCACAAAAGGCAGACUAUCGAGGAAAGGAGAAAGUGCAUGAUAGUUAGCUAGAGAGGUGAGACCAUUCUUAUUUCUCGACGUGGGGACAAGUCGCAGUUCUCUUCUUAGUUCCUACUCUGCAUGUACUGUAUUGGCUAAAUAUUGCUUCCACUAUUCAUUCAACUGAUAGCAUGAUUUGGGCAGUUAAUUAGCAUCUCUACACCACUAAUAGUAUGUCUGUACUUAAUGACAAUGGAAAACCUUGAUACAAGGCUUAAAGGGAGACUGGCCGGCCUCGCUGGUAGAUAGAUCUUCAUCCUGCUCCUCAGCUUGGUUACAUCGUCAGACUGGUGAAGAGCAUGCCCUGGCGAUGGAGCCCAAGGCUAAAAUUGCUUUGUCACCAUUCUUUCAUUUUUAAAGGAAAAGCUUGUGAUUUUUGUAUGUCGCUGAUGUUGUCAUACCGUUAACUCACUCGGAAGGAAGCUGAUUAACUGGUGCCUAUUAGCAAUACACAAUUGCAUGAAUUGGACAAUGAAGUUAUUAGCAGAUAACUCUAUACUAGUACUGUGUACCUUGAUACACUUAAUAAACCAAGCUCAAGUCUCAUCUGUUGUAUAAAGGUGGAAGCGAGACUAGCCGGCCUUAGCUUGGACAUCCUCAUCCUGCUGCUGCCCCAUUGAAUUGCAUGUGUGAAAUUAAAUGCAGUGCAGGCCCCGGCAGUAGGUUGUCGUGUAUCAGGUGAAAAGACAAGUGUUGUGUAAUUUAUAUUAUAUACAAAAAGAAAGCUUCUGCGCCUAAUGCUUCUGUGUCGUCGACCACUUUGAGAUUUGGUUCAAUUGAGCCCGCUUCUGCGCCUCCGAGAUUAUGGAGCGAGCGGGUGGAGUCUCUUGAGGCUUUUGAGCACUCUUUACCUGAGUUGGACUUUGAGGACCCGGGAGUGGAGGGUUUUGGUGUGGCUGCGAGGCUGGAGAUCGUGGUCUCGCCUCCCUCGGUUUGUGGUGAGGUGGCUGAGCUGCAGGAGGACGGUCCGAUCUUGUCUGGGGGUUUGGGGCAGGUGGCCUCGGCGUCCCUUCUCCUCUUGUUCCGGUUGGGGCUACCGGGAGAGAGGAGGGGCCUUCGGAAGGGGGGCCGGGGCAAGUGGCCUCGGCACCCUCUUCGCCUUGUGCUGGGACGGCACUGCAGGCAGCAGGACAGGUGUCUGGAGAGGGCUUGGGGCAGGUGGCCUCGAGGCCCUCUUCACCUUCAGCGCCCAGGGGGAGCACCCCGCUCGCGCCACCGAUGUGCACUCCUGGCAUGCGGUCUGGAGUGGAUGGGGGGCGGAGGCAGGUGGCCCUUGCCUCCCCAUCAGCUGACUCGGCGACCUCACCCGGUCAUGGGGACCGGGUGAAUGUUCGGGGAGUGACAGGCGGUCGCCCCCCGGAUAAAUUCUCGCGGGAGGAGGUUAUUUAGUUCGGUGGUAUUCCGGACCAGGCGUCUGAGGGCCGACGCCUGAGUUGUCGGCUUCAGGGCCAUCCGGAGGUGGACGACAUGCAGCAGCGCUGUGCCGUGAGGGCGGCAAAGCUUCAUGACGUUCAGGUCACUACUGGUAUGUCCGUGAAUACUUCCAAUACUAUUUUGCAUUUUUCGAAUGAUCAGAUUGUUGAUAAGGCAAACCAAUUAGGAAUUUCACUUGGCAGUAAUGAGGGUGAAGUAUCUAAUUCUGUUAAUGAUUUGCUUGAUCUAGAAGCCGAGAGGGCUUUAGAAAUGAUUCGUAACUUAGCCGCUGUCAAACCCAUGAACGAUUCUGAGAUUGAUGCUUUGGGAGUUCGGAUGCUCGAUAAAUUUUGUGAUGAUCUCGCACCGCCCCUCCAGGAGCCGGAGGAGGAGGACGAGAAUGUCGGCAUGGAGGUAGUUAGAUCCCCAGGUACGGGGAGUUUGGACUGGGUGGGCCCGAGGACCAGCCCUAAGCGCAAGUGGAAGCGCUAGAUAUACCCGAUGUCCGCGGUCCGUAGGAGUGCUAGGAUUCGCACGAUCAAAAAAUUCCAUGAUGAGAUAUGAGAGGAAUCUUUUGGAAUAGCAGAGGUUUUAAGGACUUGGCUAAAAGGAGGUUCCUUGCAGAAGCGUCCAUUGAGCAUAGAUUGGACUUUAUUGCCUUGUCGGAAACGGGCAGAGCAAAUUUCUCACCUCAAUUUCUCAAUACUUUAUCGGGGGGUAUUGAGUUUGACUGGCAUUGUCUUCCACCGAGAGGAAGGUCGGGUGGAAUCUUACUUGGUGUUAGAUGUGACUCUCUCGAAGUUCGCAGUGUGGUCAUGGGAGAUUUUGCUGUUCAGUUCAGGGUGCGGUCCAAAGAUGAUGGUUUCGACUGGGCUUUGGUGGCGGUGUAUGGUGCCGCGCAUGCAGAAUUCAAACCGGAUUUUUUGGCCGAUCUUGUUAGAGUCUGCGGGUCUGAGCAACUUCCAAUUCUGGUUGGGGGAGACUUUAAUAUUAUUAGAAGACGCGAUGAAAAGAAUAAUGAUAAUUUCGACGGGAGAGGGUCAUUCAUGUUUAACACUAUUAUUGAAAGCUUAGAUUUGAGAGAGAUUGAGCUUUCAGGUAGGAAGUUCACUUGGGCUAACCCGUUGCCAAAUCCAACUUUCGAGAAGUUGGAUCGGGUUCUGGCUAGUGUCGCUUGGGAACAGAAGUUUCCCCUUGUAACUGUUCAGGCUCUCUCUCGCGGGAUUUCUGAUCGCACGCCUCUGUUGCUCGACUCUGGUGGGGCUACAUACUCGGGCAACAAGAAUUUGUUCUCUUUUGAGCUUGCAUUGUUUGAAAGAGAAGGCUUCCUGGAUCUUGUAGCUAGAGAAUGGGCUAAGGAUGCAGGCGGUAGGAAUGCGCUUGAGCGCUGGCAGAAUAAGAUUAGGCAUCUCAGAAGUUUCCUACGUGGGUGGGCUAAGCAUCUAAGUGGAGUGUAUAAGGUGGAGAAGGAACGGCUCCUUUCCCUUAUUCAGACCUUAGAUAUAAAAGCAGAAACUACGGUUUUGUUAGCCACCGAGCUUCAUAUCAAGCAUGAGGCUGAGAUGAGGUUGAAAGAGUUACUUCGUGAAGAAGAAUUAAAGUGGGCACUGCGUGCCAAGGUGCGAAAAGUGGUCCAGGGGGACGCGAACACUCAAUUCUUCCACAUGAUAGCCAAUGGCAAACAUCGGAAGAAGAGAAUCUUCCAGCUAGAACAAGAUGAGGGUACAAUUAUCGGUCAGGAUAACCUAAAGCUCUAUAUUACUGAGUACUACAAACGAUUGUUUGGACCACCAGAGGAGAACUGUGUGUCCCUGGAUGAGUCUAGGGUUCAAGAUGUCCCUCAACUUACUGCUGUGGAGAACGAUGUCUUAACUGCCCCUUUCUCGGAAAAGGAGGUUUUCAAGGCAAUUUUCAAGAUGAAAUGUAACAAGGCACCGGGGCCGGAUGGUUUCCCGGCUGAGUUUUAUAAGAAGUGCUGGAAUAUUAUUAAAGGGGACCUGAUGCCGAUGUUCCAUGAUUUGUUCUCGGGACAUUUGCAGCUUUUCCAACUUAAUUUUGGAACAAUAACCCUGUUGCCUAAGAAAACAGAGGCCGUGAGAAUCGAGCAAUUUCGGCCUAUCUGUCUUCUGAAUGUCAGUUUCAAAAAUUUUACCAAGGUUGGGACGAUCAGGCUCACACAGAUUGCGCACGCCGUGGUGCAGCCUUCUCAGACAGCUUUCAUGCCGGACAGGAACAUCCUGGAAGGGGUUGUGGUCCUUCAUGAAACGCUUCAUGAAAUUCAUACGAAAAAACUCGAUGGUGUUAUUUUCAAAGUGGAUUUCGAGAAGGCUUAUGAUAAAGUCAAAUAGCCGUUUCUUCAACACGCUUUACGAAUGAAGGGCUUUGAUGAAACUUGGCGACGUCAGGUGGAAGCAUUCACGCAAAAAGGAAGUGUUGGCAUUAAAGUUAAUGACGACAUAGGUCAUUACUUCCAAACUCACAAGGGCUUGAGACAGGGCGACCCUAUGUCGCCUAUUCUGUUCAAUAUUGUGCUUGAUAUGUUAGCGAUCCUGGUUGGGAGGGCCAAGGAGGCUGGUCAGAUGGAGGGAUUGGUGCCUCAUCUGGUUGAUGGUGGUUUGUCCAUCCUGCAAUACGCUGAUGAUACAAUCAUUUUCAUGGAACACGAUAUGGCAAAAGCGAGGAACAUGAAGUUAGUGUUAUGCCUUUUUGAACAAUUGUCGGGGCUGAAGAUUAAUUUCCAUAAAAGCGAGUUUUUCUGCUUUGGUAGAGCCAAAGACGAACAAGAAGCGUAUACACAAUUGUUUGGUUGUGAAGUUGGGGCCUUACCUUUCACGUAUCUUGGUAUUCCCAUUCACCAUGGUAAGCUAACAAAUGGUGAGUGGAAGUGCAUCGAGGAUCGGUUUGAGAAGAAACUGAGUUGCUGGAAAGGAAAACUCAUGUCUUAUGGAGGCAGGUUGAUUCUUAUCAACUUGGUGCUCAUGAGUUUACCUAUGUUUCUCUUAUCCUUCUUUGAGGUCCCAGUCGGGGUUAGGAAAAGGCUGGACUUCUAUUGAUCUCGAUUCUUUUGGCAGAGUGAUGAGCUUAAGAGGAAGUACAGACUGGCCAAAUGGGAUAUUAUUUGUCGACCAAAGGGCCAAGGGGGCCUUGGUAUUGAAAAUCUUGAAGUCAAGAACAAAUGCCUUCUCAGUAAGUGGCUGUUUAAGUUGUCUUCUGAGACAGAGGCAACUUGGGCGCAGAUUUUACGUAGUAAAUAUCUGCAGUCAAAAACCUUAUCCCAGGUUACUCUGAGACCUACGGAUUCGCCGUUCUGGAAAGGGCUCAUGAGGAUCAAAGCCGCUUUCUUUAACAGAACGAGAUGUAUUGUCGGUAAUGGUGAUAAUACGCGAUUCUGGGAGGAUUCGUGGCUUGGUGACGCGCCUUUGGCUACCCAAUAUCCGUCCCUAUAUCGUAUUGUUCAGCGUCGUGAGGCUCUUGUUGCCACGGUUAUGCAGUCUAUUCCUCUCAACAUUCAGUUCAGGAAGGUGCUUGUAGGGGAUCGAUGGGAAGCAUGGCUUCACUUGGUCCGUAGACUGAUGGAGGUUCAGCUAACUCCUCAGCCCGACCAGUUAUGUUGGAAGCUGACUAGAUCUGGGGUGUUCACGGUUAAAUCGAUGUACAUCGAUAUCAUUAACUCUACUGUGAUCCCUAGUUCCAAAGAGAUUUGGAAAGUUAAGGUACCUUUGAAGAUUAAAGUGUUUAUGUGGUUUGUGCAUAAACAAGUAAUUCUAACAAAGGACAAUCUAGUUAAGCGCAACUGGACAGGUUCUACUAGGUGUAGUUUCUGUGAUCGGGAUGAGACUAUCAAACAUUUAUUUUUUGACUGUCCGUUGGCACGAGGGUUGUGGCGCUCCGUGCAAAUUGCCUUUAACAUUACUCCUCCGACUUGGGUCAACACAUUAUUUGGGGCAUGGCUUGUUGGGAUAGAGUCCGAAACAGCCAGACACAUUCGUGUAGGAGUAUGCGCGCUGUUAUGGGCAAUUUGGAAUUGCAGAAAUGAUUUGGUUUUUAAUAGAACAACAAAUAUUCAUUUUUUGCAGUUGUUAUUCCGGGCUACAACACUGAUCCGUACGUGGUCCUUACUCACUCCGACGGAGGCCAGGGAGCGUUUGGUUACUGGAUCUUUCCGGUGGGAGACGGUAGUGCGGGAUAUCUUCAACCGGUUUGGAUGGCGAUCAUGUAAUAGGAUAGGCAUUUAGUUUACCUAUCUUUCUUUAUGCCAGCCGGUUGUGGCUUUUGGGGUUUCUGUUUUGCAGUUGACACUCUAGGUGAGCUAGCUGUUGCUUUUGUUUGAAUGCUUUAAGACCUUGUUGAGACCUAUUUACUUUUUAAUAAAAGUGGCCGUAUGCAUCGAUCUGAUGCAGAGGCCGGGGAGUCCCCCCUUUUCGAAAAAAAAAAUACAAAAAGAAAGAUUUUAUGAGAUUGAGAUAACAACUAGUAAUGUAGCUACAUGGAGAACAACAAGAAAGACUGUGAUUUGUUUUGUUUCAGUUUCUUGCUGUAACCUGAAGGAAAAAGUUGUGAACAUAAUGGCAGUGAGUUUUGGGCAGGAGCCGUUUGUAGCAGUUGUAAGGAUGUGUUGGCUACGCCUACUCUGCUUGGAGAAGAGCAGAGUGGGUAGUUGAUCAACCAAAUUCGGCAUUAUGUCUGGUAAAUUGAGAAACAGGUAGCAGUAUGUCUUGCAAAUUCAGAAACUGGAUUUGUAGCAGAAAGGGCACUAAAAAUCUAAAGGGGGAGGAGGAGGAGGAAAUUGCAGGGCUGGAGGAGGAGGUGCGACGGUUAGUGGACAAGGACGCCGUCAUGCACUUGAUUGAAUCUAGAGGUAAAUCAGCACAGCUGUUAAUGUGUUUGUUCGCACUCUAGCUUUGCCUGUCUUUCUCCUUUUGCAGUUCCUGUUUGAGAUCAACAUGCUAAUUUCACCCGCUUGGCUGCAGAGGAGGAAAAAGAAGCAGCAUCAAUAGUAGUUGCAUCCAGUUCAGGAGUUUUUGCUUGCAAAUAAUCAGGUGAGAGGUAUGAUCCCAUCAUCUUUAUGCCAAUUGAGAAGUCUAAAACGGUUUGACCAGUCAGGAAACAAGUUAACCGGAGAUGUUAUGCAAUGCUUCAAGGACCCGGGGGCAAACUCUGCAUAUCAGUUCGGUUCCAAUAUGUAUAGUGUAGUGUUGAACAACAACAAUUUCUUAGGUGACUUCCCCAAAUUUCUUCAAAGUGCAUCACAAUUAAAAUUCCUCGACCUUUCAUACAAUAGGUUCUCUAGAGGAUUGCCAAAGUGGCUACCCAAGAAAAUGCCACAACUGCAAAUCUUGAGGUUGAGGUCAAAUAUGUUCAGUUGCCAUAUUCCGGAAAAUUUCACUUCCAUUGUCAGCCUUCAUUAUUUGGACAUAUCAGGGAAAUGUAUAUCAGGAAGCAUAACAUGGUCAAUAUCAAACUUGAAAGCAAUGAUGACAAUAAUAGCAAAGGAGACAUAGGAUUAUAACAUCGAAGAGAGCAUACCAGUAAUCACGAAAGACCAAAAGCGUGAAUAUAACUUCCAAAUCUAUAAGCUAUUGGUGAAUCUUGAUUUGUCCACUAACAGUUUAACAUGACAAAUCCUAGAGGAGAUAAGUUUACUGAUUUCCCUCACCAAUUUGAAUGUAUCAAGCAAUCAAUUGACAGGAACAAUCCCACAUCAGGUCGGUGAUUUAAAGCAUUUGGAGUCCCUGGACCUAUCAUAGAACAUAUUUUGUGGUGAAAUCCCAUCAGGUUUGUCGGCACUAACUUUUGAGCCACUUGAACUUGUCAUAGAACAAUCUAUCAGGUGCAAUACCAUCUGGACCACAGAAACUCUUGACAAUCAGAUGUAUAUAUACGUCGGCAACCCUGGUCUUUGUGGUCCUCCUCUUUCCAAGAAUUGUUUGGCAAAUGAUGCAAAAUAAAGCAGCCUUGAAGAUAUAAAUCAUAUGUCAUCUGUUUAUCUUGUCACAAGGAUAGGCUUCGUGGUGGGUCUUUGGACAGUGUUUUGCACCAUGCUAAUGAAGAGAGCAUGGAGGGGUGCCUACUUUCAGUUCAUUGAUGAGCUAUAUGACAAGGUUUAUGUGCAAGUGGCUGUGAGGUGGGCUCGCCUGAUGAAGAACACUCAAGACGAUGCACCAUGAACAAGAAGUGCCAUAUUCCACUGCAAGCAAAUUCUUUGGUACAUGAAUCUACAUAAGUUUUCAGUUUUCUAUAUUUCUGUUUGUAUCUGUAUUUGAAGCACUAAGUGGAUCUUUGCUGGACAUCAGUGCUAUAAUGGUAUUUAUAUGUUUGUACUCUAUUGAAUGAAGUGUACGGGUUUUGUUGGAAUAUUCAAUCCUAAGGGGCAGGUGGGAGACCGUAAUACCCAUAUCGCUUUGGUGGCAGCUUCCCUUCCCCCUCCCGCGACGCUCCCGCGAGCGCCGGGGGGGAAACCCUAGCCGCCGGCCCAGGGCCUCCUUCCCCUCCUCCUUUCCUCGCCGCCGCCACGACGAGCUGACGGGCAAAGCCCGGCCAGCAUUGGCGGCGGUGGGGCGUUCUCCUUCCCCUGCUCGGUUCCUGGUGGCGCGGGCCGCCGGAGUCGGGCGGCGGCGCGGUGGCAGCAGCUGGCGGCGGAGGCGCGGACUGCUAGCGGCCGUGCGAAGGGGUUGUGGGCGUUGGGGGCGGCGCACGGCUCCUCCUCUCGGUCGGGGUGGUUCAGAUCUGGCGCGCGGGCUCGCGGCUCUGCUUCCGGCGGCGGCUGGGCUGGGCCCUGGCGCGCGUGGAGGCAGGCUCUGGGCUUUCUCUGCCUGGCCCCCCUGGUGGUGGCGCCCUUGCGGUCCUCCGGUCAGGUCCGGCCAGCCCUGGUCUGGUCUUGACGCCGGCAGGGGCGCGGGCUGCGGCGGCAAGGGCCUGUCGGCGGCUCGCAGGUGCUGUUGCGCUCGUCGGCGGCGGCGGCAUGGUGGUGGUGGUGGUGGUGCGUGUCGGCCGGACUUUGCCUUUUUUCCGGUCGGCGACGCGGGUUUGGGCCCCUAGCCCGGCGUGGCUGCGGUCCCGGCGAUGGGCGGCAGCGAGGAGGUGGCUUCGCCGUGCCGGCUCCAUGGCAGCUCGGCGGGUUGACUGCGGCGGCGGCUGUCUUUUCGGCGUCGGCUUGUCUGUAGGCGGCCCGUUUUGACCUUCGACCCUCUUGUCGUCUGGUUGCUACCUUCGUCGAAGGUUCGGCCAUCCCUCGACUACGGUCCAUCGCUCGUCUCGCGCUCGGCAGCAGGACUGAGUUCGUCUCGCGCCCGGCAGCAGGACUGACCUUGUCUCGCGCCCGGCAGCAGGACCGUCCUCGUCUCGCGCCCGGCAGCAGGAUCAUGCUCGUCUCGCGCCCGGCACUAGGACCGUGCUCAUCUCGCGCCUGGCAGCAGGACGUGUCGAUGGAGGCCAAUUUUGGCCGGCCUCUGGGUUUCGGCGUUGGGGGCAGCCCAGGGGUGCGAAAGGCGGUUCCUUUCCGCUCGUAUCUUCGGUUGGGGUAGCGGUGGGUCACGGAUGAGGUGGUGUCGAGGUCUUGGAUGCUGGGGCGGCGGCCCUGGUGGUGGUGGUUGCGCGGUGCUCUUGGACAAAGCCCGUGCCUUGGUGCUGCCCGGUCAUCAUGGUCGUGUGGGCGGCGUGGCUGCCGGGGUGUGGCGUUCGGUGGCGGUGAUUGUGGGCCGAGGUGAAAACCUGCUCUAUCUUCGGACGGACCGGCGGCGGCGAAGAUCGUUCCCUUCUUGAAGGCGUCGUCGCGGCUCUCAUUGCCCGUCAUGCGGCUCCGGGGGAAACUCUGAUCCUUGGAUCGGGCGGUGGCGGCGCUCCGGCGUCGUAUCCUUCCUGAAGGCGCCACCUUGAAGCGCAUGGUUCGUCAUAUGUAGCUUCAUUUCUUCGGGGCGGUAGUGCUGGGAGUGGUGUUGCUGCGCUCAGCGCCUAUGUAUCAUAUCUUGGGUGUGUGCGUGUGUUGCGGUGGCGUGGCGUGUGGUUGUACUAGAUGCUUGUGAUUUGAUGCUUUAUAUAUAAAGCGGGGCGAAAGCCUUUUUCGGUAUUCAAUCCUAAGUCGGACAUUGUUCGUGAUGUAAGGAGAAUGAUAUACAGCCCCCACUCUGCCUCUUUCUUAUUUGUUCAGUUGGGUUUAUUGACAGACAUCCUUUUUGCCGGGCUUGUACUUGCAUUUGCUUUGAGGUUAGUUUGCCAAAGGGUUCGGUUAUUAUUUUUGUCGUAUCUAAUAUUGGUCAUCCUAUUAUUUCUAACAUGUAUUUACUGGUACUAAUAAAUAUACAUAUCCAUGCUUUCUACAAUAUAAUCCUCGCACCUUCUCCAAAAAGAAAAGGAAAAGGAAAAAAGAAAAUACAUAGUAACGCCUUAUCCAUGAACCGGAGAACGGUUUGCUAACCGGCUGUUUUCUGACAAAUUUUCGUGGAGCACUACUAAAAGGAUCACAUCAAUCUCUGUACAUGCAGAAGAGAAUAUGUGGACCCUAUCAUUAGAAAAAAGAGUCCGCAUCAGGUUGGUUUGUGUCCUGGCUGUGUACGGAGCCGACUACUAGUCUAGGUAGGCUUCUAGCAAGAGUCCGUAUAGGUGUAGGCUGUUUGGGUUAUUGCUCCUGCGUGUUUAUAUGUACACGACCAGGGCCGGAAUAUUUGUAACAACGUGGAGAAAAGGAGAAAAAGAAAUAAAGAGAGGAGAGACACGACACAUGCCUUUGGCUAAAAGUUUUUGAGCGUGCGUGUUCGUCUACUUUGAUAUCAUGCAUAUCAUGCGUGUGUACUGCAACAGAGGGUCUCACGGUUUGAAACUGUAAUCAUGGAAGAAGGGAAGGCAGGGAGCGAACCUCAUAUAUACAUAGUGAUGGUGAUGUCGCAUCCACCAAAGAACUCGCCAUUGAUGCAGAGCUGCAGGAAGUUGGGCCAGCUGGAGUACUCCUUGCGCCCCUGACGGAGCACCUUGUUGUCGAGCACAUCGAGCGUCUCAAGCAACCACAGAACCUGCACCACCGUGUGGGAGAAGCUGCACUGCAUGAAGCCGACCAGACACGCUGAGCGCUGCCUUGGAAACACAUCAAUGCAGACCACCUGGAAACUCUGGCCGGGGUAAACAAGAAAGCACAUCUUGCUGUUCGUACCCUGUGAGACACCUGCAGAGGAGGACACUGCGAAUCAGAAUAUAAGGUUCGUGUAAUCAGAGGUCAGGCGAGGUGAUGCAUCUGAAUGACAGCCCAAUGGAGGGCGACUCCGCUGACGCUCCCGCGGGCGAUCCCGGCGUCUCUCCUCUCCCCACCUCCUCCCUGUCGGUCCCUCCGACCGCGACCCUGCCGCCGCCCCCCGCGCCGGCCGCCCCCGCGCCGGCUGCCCCGGUAGCCUCCUUCUGCUGGGCGGACUGCGCCGACGAUGCGCCUUUCCCCCCUCCCCUUCUCCUCCGGUCCCUUCUACCCCUCUCUCUUCCCGCCGGCAUGCUCUGCCCCGCCGGCCGGCUAGCUCAGCCCCCCACGUGAGGGGUUCUGCGGCCGGUAGGCGGGUGCCGGCGCCGGCCUCCUCGGCGCCCCGGAGCCCGGCUCGGGUGCCACGCCUCCAAGGUUUGGCCUUGGCUGGUAGGUCCCUUCGCCGCCGCCGCGUGCAGGCAUGGGGCGGGGCCGGGCGCGCCGAUUGGGGCCCCGCCCGCUCCUCCUGGCGCCGGCCGGUGGUGGGAGACCGGCCGCCGGCUACCUGCCCCCCUGCUAUCCCUCUCUCUCCCUCCCCUCCUCCCGGCCCCGUCGCCUCGGCCGAAGCCGUUCUGGCCAUUCAUUGCCCACUUCGGUUCCUCAGGGCUCCUCGUGCGGACGGCCCGGGCCGCCCGGUCCCCGGCCGCUGGCCUCGCCGGUGCGGCGCCGGCGCCGGCGCCGUCGUCCUCGCCCGGUAGGGUUUCCCCCUCCCACCCCACUNNNNNNNNNNNNNNNNNNNNNNNNNNNNNNNNNNNNNNNNNNNNNNNNNNNNNNNNNNNNNNNNNNNNNNNNNNNNNNNNNNNNNNNNNNNNNNNNNNNNNNNNNNNNNNNNNNNNNNNNNNNNNNNNNNNNNNNNNNNNNNNNNNNNNNNNNNNNNNNNNNNNNNNNNNNNNNNNNNNNNNNNNNNNNNNNNNNNNNNNNNNNNNNNNNNNNNNNNNNNNNNNNNNNNNNNNNNNNNNNNNNNNNNNNNNNNNNNNNNNNNNNNNNNNNNNNNNNNNNNNNNNNNNNNNNNNNNNNNNNNNNNNNNNNNNNNNNNNNNNNNNNNNNNNNNNNNNNNNNNNNNNNNNNNNNNNNNNNNNNNNNNNNNNNNNNNNNNNNNNNNNNNNNNNNNNNNNNNNNNNNNNNNNNNNNNNNNNNNNNNNNNNNNNNNNNNNNNNNNNNNNNNNNNNNNNNNNNNNNNNNNNNNNNNNNNNNNNNNNNNNNNNNNNNNNNNNNNNNNNNNNNNNNNNNNNNNNNNNNNNNNNNNNNNNNNNNNNNNNNNNNNNNNNNNNNNNNNNNNNNNNNNNNNNNNNNNNNNNNNNNNNNNNNNNNNNNNNNNNNNNNNNNNNNNNNNNNNNNNNNNNNNNNNNNNNNNNNNNNNNNNNNNNNNNNNNNNNNNNNNNNNNNNNNNNNNNNNNNNNNNNNNNNNNNNNNNNNNNNNNNNNNNNNNNNNNNNNNNNNNNNNNNNNNNNNNNNNNNNNNNNNNNNNNNNNNNNNNNNNNNNNNNNNNNNNNNNNNNNNNNNNNNNNNNNNNNNNNNNNNNNNNNNNNNNNNNNNNNNNNNNNNNNNNNNNNNNNNNNNNNNNNNNNNNNNNNNNNNNNNNNNNNNNNNNNNNNNNNNNNNNNNNNNNNNNNNNNNNNNNNNNNNNNNNNNNNNNNNNNNNNNNNNNNNNNNNNNNNNNNNNNNNNNNNNNNNNNNNNNNNNNNNNNNNNNNNNNNNNNNNNNNNNNNNNNNNNNNNNNNNNNNNNNNNNNNNNNNNNNNNNNNNNNNNNNNNNNNNNNNNNNNNNNNNNNNNNNNNNNNNNNNNNNNNNNNNNNNNNNNNNNNNNNNNNNNNNNNNNNNNNNNNNNNNNNNNNNNNNNNNNNNNNNNNNNNNNNNNNNNNNNNNNNNNNNNNNNNNNNNNNNNNNNNNNNNNNNNNNNNNNNNNNNNNNNNNNNNNNNNNNNNNNNNNNNNNNNNNNNNNNAGCUCCGGGACAGCCGCCGCUCCCCCUCCUGCCGGGAUGACCGGGCUCGGUCCCGCUCGCCUCGGGCGUCGUCGAGUGACUGGCGUCGCUGGCGCUCCCCCUCGCCAUCCCGUCGGAGGGACCGGUCCCCAUCUCCCCCCCGGCCGGUUCGUGUCGGCUCUCCUCGCCCGCGGGACGGUAUCCUCCCCACCCCGGACACCCGCCGCUACGUCCCCCCGCACGCAGCUUCCGCGGGGACUACGGUCCCGGCUCCGGCCAUUGGUGGUGGCCCCUCCCGCGGCCGUCCUGGCCCCGCCAAGAAGAAGAAACAUCGUGGGAGUGGAGGACAAGACAGACAUGUCAGAAGAUUAUAAUAUGUUUGCUGAAAUUCCGCCCUUCAAAGUGAACACCGACCCAAGCAUUAAGUUAAAUGAUGAGGAUGCUCCAUGGAUACGGCACAAUCGUAAGCAAGCAGGGACACAAGGGAAGAAAUGAUGUGUAAUAAUUAAUUGUACCAAACUUUGUUGAAUGGAUCAUGUGAAUUAUAUUACCCGUGAUGUGUUUGGUGUCCAUUUUCGAAUGAUACAUGAAAUUUGGAGUGCUGUAGUCCAUGACGCUCUGCAGAGUCCGGCCGUACCACCAUAGCCGACGACCGGCCUCUGGUAUAUUAUUUUGAAUUGAAUUAGUUUUAUUUUUCUUAAUUUUUUGAUAUAUUAUUUGUAUUUUUAGAAUUUUGAAUUGAAUUAGUUUUAUUUUUCUGAAUUUUUUGAUAUAUUAUUUGUAUUUUUAGAAUUUUGAAUUGAAUUAGUUUUAUUUUUCUGAAUUUUUUGAUAUAUUAUUUGUAUUUUUAACAUUUUGAAUUGAAUUAGUUUUAUUUUUCUUAAUUUUUUGAUAUAUUAUUUGUAUUUUUAGAAUUUUGAAUUGAAUUAGUUUUUNNNNNNNNNNNNNNNNNNNNNNNNNNNNNNNNNNNNNNNNNNNNNNNNNNNNNNNNNNNNNNNNNNNNNNNNNNNNNNNNNNNNNNNNNNNNNNNNNNNNNNNNNNNNNNNNNNNNNNNNNNNNNNNNNNNNNNNNNNNNNNNNNNNNNNNNNNNNNNNNNNNNNNNNNNNNNNNNNNNNNNNNNNNNNNNNNNNNNNNNNNNNNNNNNNNNNNNNNNNNNNNNNNNNNNNNNNNNNNNNNNNNNNNNNNNNNNNNNNNNNNNNNNNNNNNNNNNNNNNNNNNNNNNNNNNNNNNNNNNNNNNNNNNNNNNNNNNNNNNNNNNNNNNNNNNNNNNNNNNNNNNNNNNNNNNNNNNNNNNNNNNNNNNNNNNNNNNNNNNNNNNNNNNNNNNNNNNNNNNNNNNNNNNNNNNNNNNNNNNNNNNNNNNNNNNNNNNNNNNNNNNNNNNNNNNNNNNNNNNNNNNNNNNNNNNNNNNNNNNNNNNNNNNNNNNNNNNNNNNNNNNNNNNNNNNNNNNNNNNNNNNNNNNNNNNNNNNNNNNNNNNNNNNNNNNNNNNNNNNNNNNNNNNNNNNNNNNNNNNNNNNNNNNNNNNNNNNNNNNNNNNNNNNNNNNNNNNNNNNNNNNNNNNNNNNNNNNNNNNNNNNNNNNNNNNNNNNNNNNNNNNNNNNNNNNNNNNNNNNNNNNNNNNNNNNNNNNNNNNNNNNNNNNNNNNNNNNNNNNNNNNNNNNNNNNNNNNNNNNNNNNNNNNNNNNNNNNNNNNNNNNNNNNNNNNNNNNNNNNNNNNNNNNNNNNNNNNNNNNNNNNNNNNNNNNNNNNNNNNNNNNNNNNNNNNNNNNNNNNNNNNNNNNNNNNNNNNNNNNNNNNNNNNNNNNNNNNNNNNNNNNNNNNNNNNNNNNNNNNNNNNNNNNNNNNNNNNNNNNNNNNNNNNNNNNNNNNNNNNNNNNNNNNNNNNNNNNNNNNNNNNNNNNNNNNNNNNNNNNNNNNNNNNNNNNNNNNNNNNNNNNNNNNNNNNNNNNNNNNNNNNNNNNNNNNNNNNNNNNNNNNNNNNNNNNNNNNNNNNNNNNNNNNNNNNNNNNNNNNNNNNNNNNNNNNNNNNNNNNNNNNNNNNNNNNNNNNNNNNNNNNNNNNNNNNNNNNNNNNNNNNNNNNNNNNNNNNNNNNNNNNNNNNNNNNNNNNNNNNNNNNNNNNNNNNNNNNNNNNNNNNNNNNNNNNNNNNNNNNNNNNNNNNNNNNNNNNNNNNNNNNNNNNNNNNNNNNNNNNNNNNNNNNNNNNNNNNNNNNNNNNNNNNNNNNNNNNNNNNNNNNNNNNNNNNNNNNNNNNNNNNNNNNNNNNNNNNNNNNNNNNNNNNNNNNNNNNNNNNNNNNNNNNNNNNNNNNNNNNNNNNNNNNNNNNNNNNNNNNNNNNNNNNNNNNNNNNNNNNNNNNNNNNNNNNNNNNNNNNNNNNNNNNNNNNNNNNNNNNNNNNNNNNNNNNNNNNNNNNNNNNNNNNNNNNNNNNNNNNNNNNNNNNNNNNNNNNNNNNNNNNNNNNNNNNNNNNNNNNNNNNNNNNNNNNNNNNNNNNNNNNNNNNNNNNNNNNNNNNNNNNNNNNNNNNNNNNNNNNNNNNNNNNNNNNNNNNNNNNNNNNNNNNNNNNNNNNNNNNNNNNNNNNNNNNNNNNNNNNNNNNNNNNNNNNNNNNNNNNNNNNNNNNNNNNNNNNNNNNNNNNNNNNNNNNNNNNNNNNNNNNNNNNNNNNNNNNNNNNNNNNNNNNNNNNNNNNNNNNNNNNNNNNNNNNNNNNNNNNNNNNNNNNNNNNNNNNNNNNNNNNNNNNNNNNNNNNNNNNNNNNNNNNNNNNNNNNNNNNNNNNNNNNNNNNNNNNNNNNNNNNNNNNNNNNNNNNNNNNNNNNNNNNNNNNNNNNNNNNNNNNNNNNNNNNNNNNNNNNNNNNNNNNNNNNNNNNNNNNNNNNNNNNNNNNNNNNNNNNNNNNNNNNNNNNNNNNNNNNNNNNNNNNNNNNNNNNNNNNNNNNNNNNNNNNNNNNNNNNNNNNNNNNNNNNNNNNNNNNNNNNNNNNNNNNNNNNNNNNNNNNNNNNNNNNNNNNNNNNNNNNNNNNNNNNNNNNNNNNNNNNNNNNNNNNNNNNNNNNNNNNNNNNNNNNNNNNNNNNNNNNNNNNNNNNNNNNNNNNNNNNNNNNNNNNNNNNNNNNNNNNNNNNNNNNNNNNNNNNNNNNNNNNNNNNNNNNNNNNNNNNNNNNNNNNNNNNNNNNNNNNNNNNNNNNNNNNNNNNNNNNNNNNNNNNNNNNNNNNNNNNNNNNNNNNNNNNNNNNNNNNNNNNNNNNNNNNNNNNNNNNNNNNNNNNNNNNNNNNNNNNNNNNNNNNNNNNNNNNNNNNNNNNNNNNNNNNNNNNNNNNNNNNNNNNNNNNNNNNNNNNNNNNNNNNNNNNNNNNNNNNNNNNNNNNNNNNNNNNNNNNNNNNNNNNNNNNNNNNNNNNNNNNNNNNNNNNNNNNNNNNNNNNNNNNNNNNNNNNNNNNNNNNNNNNNNNNNNNNNNNNNNNNNNNNNNNNNNNNNNNNNNNNNNNNNNNNNNNNNNNNNNNNNNNNNNNNNNNNNNNNNNNNNNNNNNNNNNNNNNNNNNNNNNNNNNNNNNNNNNNNNNNNNNNNNNNNNNNNNNNNNNNNNNNNNNNNNNNNNNNNNNNNNNNNNNNNNNNNNNNNNNNNNNNNNNNNNNNNNNNNNNNNNNNNNNNNNNNNNNNNNNNNNNNNNNNNNNNNNNNNNNNNNNNNNNNNNNNNNNNNNNNNNNNNNNNNNNNNNNNNNNNNNNNNNNNNNNNNNNNNNNNNNNNNNNNNNNNNNNNNNNNNNNNNNNNNNNNNNNNNNNNNNNNNNNNNNNNNNNNNNNNNNNNNNNNNNNNNNNNNNNNNNNNNNNNNNNNNNNNNNNNNNNNNNNNNNNNNNNNNNNNNNNNNNNNNNNNNNNNNNNNNNNNNNNNNNNNNNNNNNNNNNNNNNNNNNNNNNNNNNNNNNNNNNNNNNNNNNNNNNNNNNNNNNNNNNNNNNNNNNNNNNNNNNNNNNNNNNNNNNNNNNNNNNNNNNNNNNNNNNNNNNNNNNNNNNNNNNNNNNNNNNNNNNNNNNNNNNNNNNNNNNNNNNNNNNNNNNNNNNNNNNNGGCUUCCACGGAGGCCCCACCGGCUGGUGCAGAUGCACCGACGAUCGAAAUUACUGCACCGGAGCCUCUGGUGGUCGAAAUUACUGCACCGGAGCCUCUGGUGGUCGAAAUUACUUCACCGGAGCCUCCUCGCUACCCCGUGGACGAUAUAAAGGAGAUGAAAGAAUGUCAUCUGUAUUAUCCUAUCGGGAACAUGUCCAUGAAGGUAGCCAUCGGCAGUGCUUUACCAUGUUUACCUGGAGCACUCCACCACAACAACCCCAUUCAAGAUGGCUAUGCUCGUGUCACGGUGGAGGACAUAGUCCAAGGGUUUGAGGACCUGGAGAUUGACAUUGCUACACCUGAAGGGGAGAAAAGACUUGGAGAUGUCAAGCGCCAUUUCAUUCUAUGGCAAAAGAAGUUUAUCAAGUUUCCAGGCGAGGCGCCAAGGACAACAAGUCGACCCCCCUACGGUGGUGGUGGUGGCGGUGGCGGUGGUGGUGGUGGUGGUGGUGGUGGCGGUUCACCUACACCUCCGUCACGUCAGCCGACGCCGCCCCCCAGUCCACAACGUCCGGCGGGUGAUCAGCCGCCGCCCCCCAGUCCUCGUCCGGCGGGUGAUCAGACGCCGCCCCCCAAUCCACCUCCGGCAAAGAAGCAGAAGCAGUCCUGGAUUAUUAACCCGGACCCUUAUGUACCUAAGACCACAAAGGUACCGGAGCCAUCACUGAAGCCUCUCCCCACAAGGCCUUGGGAACGUAGUGCCGAGGAAGUCGACGCGGCCGCGGCUGCUGAUUUGGAGAAAUGGAAGGCGGACUGCAAGAAGAAAAGAGAGCCCGAGCCAGUAUUUUCUGAUGAGCAAAAGAAGUGGGCUAAGUCAUUUUUGAGCACACCGUCCCAAGCCGCGAAGAAUCUGCCUAACGACUAUGCACGUGAACUUCGCAGGCAGGCACUCAUGUUCAAGGAGAACAAAGAGCGGGAGAAGGCCGAAAGUAAAAAAAAGCGGGAAACAAGUUGCCCAGCUCGGGGAACAAAGUAAACAAUCGAUUGCCCCGCUUAUAGUGGAAGCCUUCUGUCCGGAUGCCCCCGAGAUCAUACAAGCUGCGGCAGCACAGGGAUUGACUGUAACGAGUGCCAGAGAACAAGCGGCCAACUUAGGUAUUACUCUUCGUGAACUGUUAGGCCUUGAUGAGGCGCCAGUGAAGGAGGUAGUAAUUACAUAUGUCAAGAAUGGGCCUCUCGUCGAGCCUGCGCAGGAAAAGGAUCUACCUCCACAAAUGAAAGGUCUGCUGAAAUGAUACAAGGGUUACAUAAAAAAUAAAAACGCCAAAGAAUAUAUUUAUGCGGAAGUUAGACAUGAGCAUCACUUCAAACAUUACUAUGUACAAAUUGAACUGAGUGAAUUGUUCCAGCUUUUCAAUCUGCGCGAGCUCGAUAAAUCUAUCAUCAGUUGCUACGUUCUGUAAGUGAUUUAUUAAUUUCUACCCCAUCUCGUUCAUAUUGCCUGCACUAUAUAUAUGUCCUAACUAUAUUGUUGUGUCCGCUAUUAUACAUGCAGAAUGAAGAUUAAGGAAUGCAGAGUAAGGAACAUCCAUGAUGUUGGGUUCAUUGACCCACACAUCGUUAAUGGACAUGUGUUGGAGCGUUACCCCACCGACGUGGAGGCAGACCUGUGGCAGUUUCUUACAAAGCAGGAACUCAAAAGUGAUAUUCUAUUUCCUUACCAUUUUGAGUGAGUGUUUCUGUCUUGAGCACAUUCUCUUUUGUUUACUCCAUGCAUGGUAUGUGGCCGGCUAAUCGAUGAGUUAUGCAUGACGUACUGUGCAUGUAUCGUGUCCGCAGGUUCCACUGGAUUCUGCUAGUAAUUAAAGUUAACACCUCAGAAUGUCUCGUCCAUGACUCUGUGAAUAUGGAUCCAAAGCUUUGGGGCGGCAUGAGAAGAAUGCUGCAGAAGUAAUUAUUUUCAUUCAUUUGCGCUCUAUAUCGAUCGGCCUAUUUCGUUCAUUUCCUAAUAUCAAGUAACUAAUUAAUAACUCUCUUGUUCAUUUAAUUUUCUUUGCGUCGUAGGGUUUGGAGACGGUUCGUAGAUACAAAGGUCGGUGAAUUCAAAAAAGAGCUAGAAUUCAAAAUGUUAAAGGCUAAGAAUGCUGGGGAUAUUCAGCCACCGGAGACCAAUCUAUGUGGAUACUAUGUCUGUGAGAUGAUCCGGAGAUACACCUCUGAGCGGGUUCCGAGUGAUACCAAUGCUCAGAGGAAUAACCUCCGGUGGAUGCUUAGUCCAGAAGCUCGCUUCCGACCACUUCAAGAGGAACUAGCUGGAUGGUUCAGCAGGGAAGUCCUCCAUCCUAAAGGAGAACACUAUUACGAGGACGUAGAACUUUAUAUGCAUUAAAUCAUGUAUGGAAACUUGUUCAAAAUUGUAUAUGGUCAUCCGAUGAUAUUGAAUAUAUAUUGUAUAUUCCUCUUGAAUUCUUUUUGGUUGUAAUUUCAAAUUUAUUUGAAAUUGUACAUUCAUAUGCAUGUAUGUAGUACCGUAGAAUAUAUGAAACUCCUUCAAAAUUAAAAUAAAGCACAAAAGAAAUAAAACAAUACAAAUUAAACAGAAAACAGGUUUAGGGGGGGGGGGCUAAAACCCUAAACCUGUGGCGGCCUUUAGUCGCGGUUGGCCAGAAGAACCGCGACUAAAGGUCCUCCGCCCCGACGGCCGCCUGACGCCCACGUGGACGGACCGUUAGUCGCGGUUCUUAAGCAGCCGCGACUAAAGGUGGGGGUCUUUAGUCGCGCUUAUUUGGUCGCGGUUGCGCAACCGCGACUAAUGGCAGUUGCGAACCGCGACCAAAGGCCUUUUUUCCACCAGUGUAAAUUUGCCUGUGUGGCAAUGAGUUAUUUAGCUAGUUACCCUAACAUCACAUAUCCAAUACAAUAUGAGUCUAUAUAACCUAAUAAAUGAAGUUUUGCAUGACACCACACUUAUGUUACUACACUACUCAAUAUGAGUCUAUAUAGCCUCAGUAUAUAUGUUACUAGUGUAGGUUACACUCUAUGGCUAGUCUAAUGGCAUCACUUUUAACAUCACUGUUAUUUCAUUUAUUGUACCCUCUUUUCUAUAACAACCACUUGGACAUAAUUUUGUCCAAAACUUACCGGGUCACGCCUCAUCCUCCCAAAAUGCACAUGUAAGAUUUAUUUUUCUAUGUUCUUUCAAAAGAAAAAUAGAGGUUACCUAAUAUUUACAUAUUCAAACAAGACUUGCAAGCUAGACAAGUUAAGUCCUUGAUAACAAGGGAGCAGUUGCACUAACAACAAAUUGAUUUGACCUGUAGUUGCCUAGCUAGACAACAAUCACCAAUCGACCGACUUAGUUAAUACUCGCCAUUUCGUUGAAUCUGCACCGGGCGAGACCGCGGUGCAUGUGAUUAGACACUGGUAGGCCGGCCGGCUUAACAACUCAAAAUACGCUCGCCAACUACUCAUCCAACUUGUAACAGUGAAUUAAAAUUAAGCUAGCAUGCAUCAUCAGAGUAGACUUUGUUGAGUUAAGACAAUUGAGAGUUGAGUUGCUAGUUAUCAUCCAACUCGAUCAGAUUGUGAUGGCGAAUAGUAAAAUUAAGCCAGCAUGCAUCAUCAAAGUAGACUUUGUUUUGUGUGCGUACCUCCCGCAGUCUCGGUCUAUAUAUAAAAGUAGCCAUAAGAAGUCUUGACAUCGAUCGAAGUCCUAAUUAAGGAACUAAUGUAUUUGAUUAGUGAAUCGAUGGAGCCUCUGUUUGUGUUGACCCUCAUGAUUUAUUUUCCCAGUUAGCCAUAUUCGUGAAAUGGGUUAUAUUCCUUCAAUCAUUCAAUUCGCUUCUACAUACUUAAUCGUGUCACAACUAUAUGCAAUGUCUUCUAGUUGUUCCAUGACCAAGUGAGUACGUCAAAGCUUAAUAACUCAAACCAACACUACUUCCACACAAACCCAGAUCAAGCAAAUGUGAUAAAUUCAUACAGUUUCUUACCAAGCCGCAUUUGGAUUUGUUUUUGCUGAGAGCUCCCUGAAUAUACUUUCACCAACAAAAUUUGCAUGCGCCUAGCUCACAAGAGCUUCUCCAGCGCCAAUUGUUUUUGCUAUUUUUUGAAUUUAUUGUUCAUAGGCGGGAGCAUGUGAGCCCGGGCUCCGAAACGCCACACAUCUAAGCUUUAUUUUCCUACAUUCUUCCAAGAAAAAUAAGUAUGCUCUUCGAUAUUAAAAAAACAUGCAAAAUUAUCAUUUAUUUUUUCUAAUGAGAUUAGCUCCUCACUUAAAUGUUUUAUGUUACUAGCAAUAAGUAAACAUUAAGGACAAUAAUAUUACAGAGCCUCCAAUGUCUUAGGUCGGACCAUGGCGUAGAUCCUUCUGUUUUUUAUUUUUAUCCAUUGAACUGGGUUGGACCUAGCUGCACCAAUGUAUUACAGUCUUUUUUUGAUAAAUGGGAUAUAUUAAUAUCGUGAUGGUACAAGAUACACUCAGCCUCUGUACCAACAAGAUAUCCAAAGACAUCAGGAAUGCACACAGCAAAGAAAUAAUUUAAAAAAAGAAGAAGAAAGAAAACAAAGACCCGACGCGAUGUUGAAGCAGUCGCAACCUUAGCACUCUAACCACCACCGAAGACAACACCUAUACUACAAAUGAGAUUCUCCAGAAGCAAUGCCUCCAAGAAGGAAACAAAGCACAAGUAUUGUCAUUGCCUGAUCGAAGAUCUUGGGUUUUCACCCUAGAGAAAGUCCGAGUUCCAGAACAAUGCCUUCAACAAGGCCAUUACCAGGUACAACCAAUAAAGCCCUGACCUUGGAUUUACACACUACAAAUCAUGGCUCGGUACUCGAGGAGCACCACCAAGAAUGCAGUUCACCUGUGUUGCCACCCCGACUUGCCAUGGCUACUACUGCAUGCCAAACACCCGACACACAGCGAGAACCUGUGCUGCAUUGUCUUCAACACAACCAGUACCCUCUCUGCCAAUACCAACCUCCGAUCACAACCACCAUGGUUUCUCCACCUCUGUCGAUUCUGCUCUAGAUAUCCAGCAGCACCAUGCGCCAAACUGCAGAAAUCUGCAAGAGGAUGACCGGAACUCGAUGGCGGCCAACUCGAGGAGGCCGACAUGAAGCCGUUCGACGAUUUGGUGCUCGAAGAACAGCAAGGCCAUACCUCCUUUAUUAUUCAGAGCAGACCAGCAGCCCCCCACGCCACCAUCCGCCGGCCAGCGGGCCUGACCACCCCCGACGAAGGAGGAGUCCACCACUACAAUGCCCGGGACCGCUGCCCCGGAGGCCCGGACAGUACUCGUGUCGUGAGACUAGCCCAGGAGUUCCUCCACAUGCAGUUGUCGGAGAUGCAACGAUGUAGCAAGCACAAGAAUGGUCAAGACUCGUCUAAGCUAUACCAAAUCGGGGCCCUGCCCAACACCACCAGUCGCUACCGUCAUCCAUCCGCUGGUCACCGCCAUCCCACGGCACCAUCGAAGCCUAGGCCGGUGCGGGCGCCACGGCCGCUGCAAGAUUUGUGCUGCCGCACCUUGCCCGCCGCCAUGACACCCGUGACACCCCCGCCACCACCGCCGCGCCGCAAGGACCUUGCCCGGCGACGAUGCGGCGGUGGCAGGAGGAGGGGCGAGGAGGGGGUGGGCUAGACGGGAGGGGGCGGCGGCACUCUAGUGCGGCCCUGCACGGCCGCAUGGGAGCGGUGUUAUCAAGAGGAGGGGUGACGAGGGGGUUCGCUCAGGCAUUACAAUCUGGAUCGAUAAAAGAUAGUGUGGAUCAUUGCCUAUUUAGCUUGAAUAAAUAAGAGAAUCGUCUGGAGCCCAAAAACAUCGUGUAGAUCCUGUAGAUCAUUGCACUGAAAAAAGAUCGUGUAGAUCUAGAAGACGUUUGAGUUUUAUCUAUCUACAGUAGGUAACCACAUGACACGUGUGAUAAGCAAUCCAAAGAAUUAAAAAAAAAUCUACAAUCUACUUCCUCCGUUCAGGAAUAAGUGUACUUAUAUCUUUUGUUUUAAGUCAAAUUAAGUUGGUCAAAAUACGGAGGGAUUUCACGAAUAAAUCUACAGUCUAGGUAACAACGAAUAAGGUAUAAUCCCGAACGGAGGGAGUAGGUAGCUAAGUCAAAUACGUUCACACGGACGAGAAAUCAUAAUCGGUGUGCGAUAACAGUGAAGCACGUACGGCCAUCAUUGAUUAGCAGAAUAUAAUUGGAGUUCAACCGCAUGUGUGCAGCUAGCAAUCCAUUUCAUAAUUAAUUAUUCCUACUGCACCACCACCGCGUGCGUGCAGCUAGCAAUCUACUCCCUCAGUCCCAUAAUGUAAGACGUUUUUUAACACUACUGUAGUGUCAAAACACGUCUUAUAUUAUGGGCCAGAGGGAGUAUUUCUUAAUUAAUUAUCCGUCCUGCAUGCCAAUGAAUAUUCCACCGUUUCCAUGUUAGCUCACUACACUGGCUAUACUAGCCAUGGCUGUUCACACUAGCAAGACAAAUCAACAUCUCACGCUGUCAGCAUUAUCUUGAAUUAUUGCAUGUAAAAUCACCGGACUAGAAGUAUCCCUUGCUCGUGUGAACUUAGUAGUACUCCCUCCAAAUUUAAAUAUAAGUCUUUUUAGAGAUUUUAUUAUGGACUAUAUGUCUAUAUACGAAACAAAAUGAGUGAAUCUACACUUCAAAAUAUGUCUUAUAUACAUCGGUAUGUAGUCUGUAGUGUAAUCUCUAGAAGGACUUAUAUUUAGAAACGGAGAGAGUACUAGGUAAGCCUAUAUGUCUGCAUGGGUAGGCAAUUUUGAACUUGUAUAAAUAGUACGUAAGUUGUUUGAUGCCAUUUGAUAUGUGAAUAUUCAUUCGUAUUAGAAAAAUAGGUGAAAUAAAUUUGGCUGUGUGCAUUUUCUGUUCCAGUGGCUGGGUAAAUUCUUCACUUCCCAUUGUCUAACACGAUACAAAACAAACAUAAUGCGAAAGGAAAUAUACUAAUGGUUUGCCUUGGUAGAUAAAAAGAUUACACUCCUUCAGUUCAUUUUGAUUAGAAGUUAUAUGUGUGCAUAUGUAAGUGUCGUCUACGAGGGGGUGCAACACCACAUGUCACAGUUCAACAGCCAGGAGGUGGAGCUCCGUAACCGCUACCGUGGAGAGACGGGGCUGGAGGUGGGUUGGGAGAGCUCCGAGAAGAAUGUCACAACAGACAUAUUGGGUUUAGGGGAGUGUCAAAAGGGAAGGGAACCUCACCGCAAGGGUGUCUCCCAUGGAGCCGGACCAAUGGUCCAACCAGAAGGCGGUGGUCUCGCCAUUUCCGGCCUCUACCAUAGUGCAGCUUCUGAUGGAGGGAAGAACAGCCAGGAGGCCCUUCCACACGGGCGUGUCCAACCGAUCAACCUCGCCAAGCUCCCGAGCAGUGGCACCGCACCAGCGGGCAAGGAUCUUGGCUUCCUAUACUACUCUUUACACAGGAUCAAGUCUUCGCAAGGUGAAUAAGUGAAGGACAUAUUCAUGAAAACUCUAGUGGUUUAGAAGAAUUGGGAAUAAAUUAUUGCAGUGAGUUGGCUAGACCAAUGUUUUAAAUAACGAGCUAUGCCAAAUAGUGGGGCUGUAGCAGGCUAUAGCUGGUUAUUAGCUUACUAUUGUACAUGAGUACCAUUUAGCGGCACUAUAUAUGCUCAAAAAGCUAUAACGACUAUUUAUAACUAUGGGCUAGACUCAAAUCAACUUUGAGCUAUUUGAUUCAUUGGCAUAGAGUUCCAAUUCAAAGUAGGAGAUUGGCUCCUAGCAUGGUUCCGCAUACAUCUGGAGCACCACAUGAAGUUUUUGCGUGAUCUGGUCGUGUGAACAUUGCCGACCUACCGAUGAUGCUGCUUCACAUAAUGGAUCAAGACUUUGUUGCAGGUUGUUGCUAGAUGCCUACAGGAACGUGUCUAUGUUUGAUGUUUCACGAUCAUGAGCAGAAAAUGUUGAGUAGAGCUGAUGUUGAACGGCUACCAAACCAAUUAACAAGAAAUAUCAACGGGCAACAGCAAACUGCUAAUGGAGAAAAUGUUGAGUAGAGCCGGAUAUUUCCCACAUAAAUUUUUAUGUCAAUUCGUGCACCUGUAGUUGUGCUUAUCCACUAUUACUAUCUAUUAGUUGAACCUCUCAUCAUUGUUCAGCACUAGAGAGAGAUUGAUUGCUGCAUUGUUGCUACUCUUUGUUCCCACACUUUGAUCAACUUCUAGAUAAUAAUUUAUGGGGUCCUAUGAUGCAGUUGGACAUUACAUCCCUAAAUUUCAGGAGAGAUCACGUUGUUUUCAUUAUUCCAUCCCUAAAUUUUGGGGCAACAGAUAGGAGCCCAAGGGUCACAUGGCACCACACCAGAGAGAUGUCGUCCUCUACACUGAUGUCAUCCAUACCCAGGCCACACUCCUCCCUACACGUGACAUCAUCGGUAAUGUUGUUUUGUUGGGGUAACGCUUGUCCCCCAUCAUAUGGCACAACAAAGUCGCGGUUGGUCCCUCUGCGCUAUCAUUUUUGUGGAAUAUAAUCACCGACGAAGUUAUUAAUCGACAAGGAAGGCAAAUAGCAGCAUGCGGUGGUGGGUGACAAGUCUAGAUCAAGUCCGCAUCGAAUAUGGAAUGACCUGUAUGCUUGGGCACAAGUACGGCUACUACUAGAUGCCUGCUGGUGCAAUUGAUCUGGUGAUGCGACUGUCACGGUUGGGUGUUGUGAAACAAGAGAACACUCGGGGCUCACUUGUUUGUAGGAUUUUAUAUUUUUUCUAUCAAAAAAAGUAGAACUUUUGAAGAAUUUUACUUGUAACAACAUUUUCUUAUAGAUGUCUUUCGUAAAAGGAAAAAUGCACUUCUCCUUGUCAAAUUCCUAUGGAAUGGAUUGUGCCAUAGGAAUUUAGAAGGACUCUUAGUUUCCUACCAAGAGUUAGACCUCUUGUUUUUUUCCUGUUAUGUUCACAUCUCUCAUCUGAUUCAUGUGCAUUUUCAAAAGUUCUGUCCAGACAGUCAAUCCUAUGGUUUCGGGUUUUUCCUGUUCCGCGGGACUUCAGAAACUGGGGCAUUGAGUUCUUGUGUUUUUCCAGUUGAGGAUCCUUAUGUGAGUAGGUGAAAGAAAGGCUAGCCGGCCUAGCUUGUGGAUAGAUCUCCAUCCUGGUGCUUGGUUAAAUCCAAUCAGCUUGCAUAUGGCAUAUGGUGAAAGAAGGGCAGGAAGGAAGGAAGAAAAUCCAGAGUCUGUUUUGAUCAGGAGACAAGAGAGACGAGUUGGCAGCUACGCCACCAACCACCAUGUCCUCCUUCUUCACAAAAUCAACCACAUGGAUUCGGAGAUUACCAAGUACUCCCUCCGUCCAAAAAUAAUUAUCUAAACUUUAGUACAACUUUAUACUAAAGUUAGUAUAUUUAGUAUAAAGUUAACACACUUAUUUUGAGACAGAGCGAGUCCAUUUAUUUUUUCAACAUGGAUUAGCAAGUACAUGAAUAAACAGUCUCUUCUCUGACAGGAUAUCUUUUUCUUAGCCCAAGGAUAGCACUCAGUAAAUUCAGAUUAUUUAGCACGUCAUGUUAUACAGCGCUUAAUGCGAUACCUACGGUAGCCUCGCCUAGAUGGAGUGCUGAAUGGGCCAGCGCAUUCAGCACGAUUUUGGAAGCUUGUUCUCUAGUUUUGCUGGUUUGAGGAAGGUUCGUGGUUUUUUUUUCUCUUUUCCGUUUAUUUCAACCAUUUUCUGUUUUCCUUUCGGUUUUCUAUUUACUGUUCAAUUCUUUUUCUGUCUUUUCCUUAUUUUUUAAAAUUCAUGAUUUUUAAUCAUCUCGGUUUAGUGUAUAGACAUUCCCUUGAUACACGGUAAACAUUUUUCAAACAUAAAUUGAAAAAAAAUUACGCUGAUUUUUUUAAUACACAUUAGGUAUUUUUUUCAGAUAUAUGUUGAACAUAUUUUAGUACAUGCUAAAUAUAUUUCAGAUGCAUGUUGAGAACUUUUGGAAGUGACGUUGAAUUUUUCUAAAACAUAUUGAACAUUUUUUUCAGAAAUUCCUUUAACUAUUUUUCACAUUUCAUGAACAUUUAUUACGAAUCAGGUGAACAACUUUUUAAAUUUACGUGGACUUUUGCAUAAAUAUAUUAUGAAUACAGUUUAAAUGUGUGAACAUUUUCUAAACGUCUCAAGCAUUUUUUGAAAGAUACGAAUAUUUUUAACAUUGUGUGAACAAAUAUGUACACUGUAUGAAUAUUUUUAAAUGUGCGGUGAAAGUUUAUAAAAAUUGGAGUAAAGUAUUUUUAUAAAGUUAGAAGCAUAUGAAACAUUUUUCGAAAUUAUUUCACUUAUAUUUGUGAGAACAUUUCGGAAAAAAGGAAAACAGUAUAGCUGGUUUGCUGUAACCUGAAUGUAGCUGCAUGACAGGGGUUUGGGCACCAUUCGAUUGUGGUCGUACUGUACUUAGCCUGCAGAUUGACGUGAAGGAGGAGAAUUGCUAGACUGCAGAUUGUCCGAGCCUGGAGCACUAGUACUCCCUCCGUCCGAAAAUACUUGUCAUCAAAAUGGAUAAAAAGAGAUGUAUCUAAAACUAAAAUACAUCUAGAUACACCCCCUUUUAUAAAUUUGUUCGAGCCUGGAGCACUAGACCCUAAACCCCUAGAAAUUUGUUCGACUCCGGACGAAGGGAGUAUUCCUUUAUAAAUUUCUCCCGUGUAUCUUUGGUCCGGUAUUUAAUCUGACUGGACAUGGGUAACCCAGAGAAGCAACUGGGUUUGGCAUGCCCUUCUUCCGAUACUAAUCCUUCAUACUAUCAAAGUCUAUUCUGUCAUUCUAAAAAGGAAAAGUUUGUUCUUCUGUAUCCAUUUUUGUGACAAGUAAUUCGGGAUAGAGGGAGUAUAUGCCACUGAUGUCACUGAGAAUCAUAGUGUUAUCUUGUUCAGAAAGCAGUUAAUCCCACACAACUGUUAGCAAUGAGGUAGGCAAAAAUGCUACGUGUUUAAGUUGGCAUCUUGAUUCUCUGUAACUCUUGCGGUUGUACAUACGUGACUAGAUCAUAAAGGCGCGCUUUGCCGCGCCCGUCCCUUAAUGGAAAUAUAGAUGCAGGCUUUAAAAUUGUUGACAAAUAUGCCUUCACAAGCUUUCCCUGGUUCAACCUUAGUAAGCUAAAAUGGUUUGAACCAUAUUUUAAAAUAAUAAUUAGUGUCGGCUAAUGAAUACUGCAAGGGGAGGAGAGUCAUACUAAUAAAACCCAAAAGUAAUCAUGACCAUGCUUCUAUAGAUCGAACAGAGGAUGUCAAAAUGUUGUGGAGGGGCAUAGCUCACGUCGUGUAACUGUCCCUUAAUUUCCAUGCUUAUGUCCUUUUAGUCACUCAGGAAAUACCCACAACUGCAAGUUCUUGAUUAAUCUCCAAUGUCUAGAAUGAGAUAUUAAUCAAACAAGAGCACAUCUGGCAAAUGAAAAUUGGCAAUAGAAGGGAAUAUUUUCAACUACUACAAUAUCACACAUGGAAUAAUCAGGAAGUGGGAGAAUACCUUCAGACAUUGCCUACGAUACAGGCAUUACAUAAUUCGCCUGGAGAUGAGCAAUGCAGCGUGAGCCUAAUCAUUAUGCACCAAUAGUGGCUGACACGAUAAGCAACGUGGAAGCCCGCAAGCAAUCAACAUCUGCAUCUUACCACACUCAACUGUCAACACACAUAAUUUCUUAUCACCUCAGAUACUUGCUAGGUUAUAGAAUUGAACACAGCAAAUCUCUCUCUCUCUACUCAACAUCACAUGCUUAACAGCAUCAUGAUGAAAGGCAAAUGGUAUUCCAGCCCCCUAACUUCCGUAUCAAUUUAUAGUAGAAUUCAUUGAUUUAUUUCCCAAUUCUCCAUCCCAACAGGAAAAAUAAACAUGAACCAAGAAAACCAAUAUAAGCAUGGAACUCACAAAAGAAAAAAUGAAUAACAUUUAACAGGGCAAGAUUUCUUCUCAACGGACAGCAAAACGAGGGCUCAAACCAAUCAGUAUGUGAUUCCAUAGCAAUCCAAGCAAAGUGUAUGGAGAGAUGUGUUUACCUAUGAAGCUGAGAUUAGUGACGACGCAUGUCAGCUUCAGUUAUGGAAUGGGAACUGAUGCGUUGUACAGCUGCAACGCGUGGAGGCGGAUGCAGGAGAAGUACAGCCGGCGAUGGACGACGAUGACGGGGGCGGGCGCCGUGCUGCCAUGGAAGAGCGCUGCAAGACAUGAAACUAAAAGAGAGUAAAGAAGGGGCUUCGGAGGAAGAGUACAGGAGCAUGAACAGCACCGACGCCGACUCAGUCGUGCAGCAGAAGCUUCCCGACGGCGACGGCGCAUCGCGGAGGAUGAAACGGCGGCGCCUCGCGUAGGAAGGAGCUGUUCGUUCGGGGGAAUAGCGCUAGAACUUUUUUUUAGCAUAAUCUGUAUCCUUUAUUAAGCGUGCACAGUCAUCGGAAUACAGAUAAUAUCGGACAAAGAUGUAAGCCACACAUGGCGCCCGGGAGGGAGGGAUGCUGCAGCCUUAGCUGAAGCAUGAGCCUCUCCAUUAUGUUUUCUACUCUCAUGUAUAAACUCUACUUCCCUAAAAACUCUCCUCUGGUGCUUGAUAUCUUGCAGAAUUGGGAAGAACUUGCAUGGAUUGUCAUCCUUGAUCCUUGUUACCACUUCACAGCAAUCGGUGGCCACACAUAUGGACUGGAGUUGUAAAUCUGCAGCGAGUGCUAGCGCUUCGCUGCAUGCUUGUGCUUCGAGGAUCACCGGGUCCACAAUGCCUUCGACAAUGAUCGCUGAAGCCCCCAGAUAGGUCCCGUUUUUAUCUCGGCAAACUGCUGCCGAAGCGCCCUUGUCGCCAAUCUUGGAGAAGCCGCCAUCAGCAUUAAUUUUGGUGUCAUGCAGUUCUGGCGCUAACCAUGCAGACUGCCUCGGCUGCACUGAGUCCUUUAUUACAUGCGGGUCCCUGGGCAUUGCAAGCAUGCCCCUGGAUAUUGCAUGCAAGUCCUUCGAUUGCGCAUGCAGGUCCUUUGUGCGCGCCCCCCUUUCAGGUAGUUGAUCAAGCUCCGCCAUGAACUUGGUGAUGAAAACAUGGGUACUGAGGGGGCUCUGGAACUGCUCGUCAUGGAUAGCACGGCGCCUUGCCCACCAGAUUGCCCACAUCGUGACAAGCACCCGCGCCAAAUCCACCGUGGGGAGGGUAUCCACUAACCAAAACAUCCAUAGUUUAGCAUCAUCCGUUCGGUUAGAGAUGAUUGUUUCCGUUAUUUCCUCAUCCGCGAGAGCCCAUACACAUCGGGCCAUAUGACAGUCGAAAAGAGCGUGACACCACGUAUCCACCGCCGCGUGACAGAUCGAGCAUGCAGCGGAGUCGGCCAUACUUCUGUGAUGUCGAACAGCCCCCGUGGGUAUAGAGGUUUUGGCAAGUCUCCACGCAAAGACACGAACUUUGGAGUGAACCGCAGCGCCCCAAAGUCUAGCCCAUGAGCGGCCAUCAGCUGUGAUAUUGGAGUGGCCAUCAUUAUGCUCCAGCCAAUCUGUACGUUGUUGCUUUGUCGCUGCUAGCAGUUUGUACGCUGAACUCACAGUGAAAAUCCCUCUUCUGUCGUAGUGCCAUGACCAGAAAUCUGCCUGAACCUUGCUGCUAAGGGGAAUGUUGAGGAUUGACUCCACGUCCAUUGGGAACAGGUGUUCAUCAAGCAAAGCACGGUCCCAGGUGUGGGUGAUCUGGUUUAUGAGUUCAGAUACCUGUUGAGGAGGGUUCUGAGAUUUUGGGCAAACUGGCCGGAGUUUGAAGUCACGGGGUAUCCAGUUCUCGUGACAAAUGUUGGUACUGUCCCCCGUUCCGAUGUGUUUCAGGAGGCCGAGUUUUAGUGCAUCCCGCCCCUCAACAAUCGAACGCCAAACUUGUGAUGGGUUCCUCCCUACUUCUGCGUCCAGAAUUGAAGAAGAAGGAUAAUACACCGCUCGCAGAAUCCUAGCACUGAGGGAGUCCGGCUGGGUCAAAAGCCUUCAAGCCUGUCUGGCAAGUACAGCCAAGUUGAAGAGCUCAAUGUCUCGAAAGCCCAUGCCACCCAUGUUCUUCGGUUGUGACAUAACUUCCCAUGAAACCCAGGCAGUCCUUCUCUCUCCUUUCUUAGAUCCCCACCAGAAUUUUCGCAACAAACCAUUAAUAUGCUGACAAAGGCCUCGAGGCAGUUUGAAGCAGGCCAUGGAGUAAGUGGGAAUCGCCUGAGCAACUGAUUUGAUCAAGACUUCCUUGCCACCAACAGAUAAGGCCUUCUCCAUCCAACCUUGCACCUGCUUCCAUAUGCGAUCCUUGAGAUAUUUGAACGCCCCUUCCUUUGCUCUUCCCACAUCAGCUGGAAGGCCAAGGUAUUUGUCUGACAAUUUUUCAUUCUGCACCUGAAGAGUUUGCUUCACCUGUUGCUUCAGAGACUCUGCACAGCCCUUGCUAAAAAAGAUUGAUGACUUGUCCUUGUUAAUGCGCUGGCCAGAAGCUUCACAGUAACGUUGCAACAAAGAAUCCACCCGCAUUGCCAUCUCAGGUGUGGCAUCAAAAAACAAGAGGCUAUCAUCCGCAAAUAAUAAAUGAUUUACCUCCGGAGCACCCUCCGCAACUUUGAUUCCCCGUAUACUCUCAUUCGGAGCAACCGACUUGAGCAAGCAUGAGAGGCCCUCGGCGGCCAGCAAAAACAGAUAUGGAGAUAUCGGGUCACCUUGCCUGAGUCCUCGUGAUGGGCUGAAAUCAUCUUGCUUUGCACCAUUAAAAACAACAGAGAAAGAAACUGAGGUGACACAUCUCAUGACAAUCUCUGUGAACCGUGCACUAAUGCCAAGUUUUAGCAUCACCUUUUCAAGAUAGUUCCACUCAAUUCUAUCAUAUGCUUUCAUCAUAUCAAGCUUCAAAGCACAAAAUCUGUUACCCUUUACCUUCCGCGUUUUCAUGUAGUGGAGACAUUCAUAGGCAGAGAUGAAAUUAUCCGUGAUAAGCCGUCCCGGUACAAAUGCUGAUGUUCCUCAGAGAUGAUUUCGGGGAGAAUGAGCUUGAGCCGAUUAGCCAAAACCUUAGAUGCAAUCUUGAAGAUCACAUUGCAGAGACUUAUCGGUCUAAACUGUCCUAAAUUUUUUGGACUUGCAAUUUUUGGGAUUAAAACAAUGAACGUUUUGUUUAUCUCCUCCGGGGAAUCCUCACCCUUUAGAACACGUAGCACCAUAUCAGUUACCUCAUCACCGCACAACUCCCAGUGCCUCUGAAAGAAGUGUGCCGGAAAGCCGUCAGGCCCUGGAGCCUUGGUAGGGAACAUCUGGAAUAAAGCCGCUUUCACUUUGGUGUUUGUGUAUCGAGCGUUGAGCAUGUCAUUCAUGGCACCAUCCACCCUGGUCGGUAUAUGGGAGAGCACUUCCUCAAUCCCAAUAGUAUUUUCAGAGGCACAAAGAUUAUCAUAAAAGCUCGUUGCCAUGUUUGCCAUCUCUUGCUCAUCUGUACAAAUCGUGCCAUCCGCACGUUGCAAUUCGCUGAUACGGUUGCGUGUCUUCCGAGCACUAGCUUUGCGGUGAAAAAAUUUGGUGUUAUUGUCUCCCUCCGCCAGCCACUGAAUGCGGGCCCGUUGACGCCACAUGAUUUCCUCGCGCAAACACAGCUCCGCCAUACGGGCUGCGACUCGCUCUUCUUCCUGUAAUGGUCCUGUGCGGUUUGGCAAUGCACGCAGUUCCGCAAGUUUCGUGCGCAGUGAACGCAGCUCUGUUCUUACAGCCCCGAAAGUGGUUCGGCCCCACUGGCGCAGUCUACCAGCUACAUGGGAAAGUUUCUCGGACAGAGCUGCUACAGAAUGGGCCUUGCCGUUAGAGUUCCACGCCUCAGCUACCACCUCACCAAACCUCGGAUCACGCUCCCACAUGCAUUCAUACUGAAAUUGCUUCUGUCUUGUUCUCACACUUGUGUCCACAAGCUCCGUCUCCAAAAGGAUAGGGCAAUGAUCAUAUUUAGCCGCUGUUAGAUGUUCCACUGAAGCAAAAGGAAAGAGGGCAGACCAAUCAGCCGUGCCUAGAGCUCUAUCCAGGCGAACUCUGCAGAAAUGACCUCCGGACACUUUUUUCUCCUAAGUCCAAUCCAAACCUCGGUAUCCCAGGUCGGCAAGUCCACAAAUAUCCACCGCCUCUCUGAAUGCGUCAAUUUGCGCACUGUCCCGCUCAUUAGGCCCAAAUUGUUCCUCGGGCCGUAAGAUCUCAUUGAAAUCCCCGAUACACAUCCAUGGAAGAGUGCUCUCUCCUCUCAAUCUUGUCAUCGUGUUCCAAGUUUUGUAGCGAAGAGAUCGCGUUGCUUCUCCAUAAAAGCAAGAAAGGCUCCACUGUUCCAUUCCUGUUUCAAGCACCCAUGCAUCAACAUGAUACUCCGAAAAGUUCUUUAUUUCAACAUUCACCGAAUUUUUCCAGAAGAUACAAAUACCACCACUACGACCACUACUGCCAACAACAAAACUGAAAUCAAAACCUAACGAGAAAUGAAGACCCUCGACUCGAUUCUUUUGCAACUGAGUUUCAACUAAGCAAAGAAUAGACGGUGAACUUAGCUCCACCAGACUGCAGAGCUCUCGAACUGUCGCUGGAUCACCUAUCCCACGACAGUUCCAGCUGAGGAUUUUCAUUGGGCUUGGCGGUGCUCCGAGGAGGAGCCCACCAACAACGCCAUCUUAUCAGUUCCUUGCUUCAAUGGUGACCCUGCUUUCUUUGCUUUCUUGGCAUCCCGUGGUGAGACAUACGCAGGGGGUGGUGGUGGGACGACCAAAGUGGUGUCAGCAAUCUCUGUUGCCUUUCUCCGCAUCACUCCCUCCGCAGUAGCCGAGCUGUCCGACAAAAUCAGGUUCAAGUUUCUCCGAACAGUUGCAGCGGCGGGCGUCUCCUGCCUCUCAGCCCCCAGCUUGAGAGGGCUAGUAACAUCAUCAUCUUCCUCAGUCACAUCAAAGCCGGCGUCCUGAGACGAACGCUUGCGUGGUGGAGAGCGCUGGCGGGUAAAACCCCGGCCUGCCCUCCCUCUUCCUCGUCUGCCUGAACGGCCCCCACUAGGGGCCCAUCCACCUUGCUGCUCCGGUGCAACCUCCCUGUGUUGGGCCAGCAUCCAGCCGCCCCACUGCUUAUCUUUCUCCUCCCAAACACCAUCGUCGCACUCCUCAUGGUUAUGACCCAUGAAACCACAGACCUUGCAGAAAUAGGGGAUCUUCUCGUAUUUCACCAGGAGGCGAAGUCUUCCCUCGCCUACAACAUUCAAAGGCGUGAUCCGUGUAAGAGGUUUGCUGACUAGAACCCUUGCCCGAACCCUGACAUAAUCUCCCUCGUAAUACAAACGAGGUGCAAGCUGGACUUCUUUCACCCUUCCAAUGCGCCGGGCUAGCUGAUCAACCACCUCCGCUUUGCGAUAGAGUUCUGGGAUGUUGUGGAUCUGAGCCCACACGUAUAAUCCAUCAAAAUCGAAAAAUGUUGGUUCCUUCUUCCCGUCGUAAUCCUCGAUCAGCAUCCCCAUCCCCCUGAAAAGCCAUGGCCCUCCAUGCACAACCUUCUUCCAAUCCCCCAGACAGAACAUCUGGAAGAUGAACAGAUUUUCUCCCGCCUCUCUAUACUUCGGCACGUGCGCCAGUGACCAGAUGGAUUUCAUGCACUCAAACAUCGCUGAUGAACUAAAGAUGCGGGUGGUAUUCACUUUCGCAAUCGCCAGCCACUUAGCAUCUGCUUCGAAUUUCUUUACCUCCUCCUCUCCUACGAUCACAUCAUCCAGUUCAUCGUCCUGGAGAUCCAGAUGCUGCAGCAGAUCCUCAAUGUUCUUCCCUGCCCCGUUCGACGACGACGACUCCGCUCGGUCCGCCAUCUAGGGUUCUUCUCCGUCCGAUGAAAAGCGCUAGGAAACCGAACCGGGCUCCUCCCUGCCGAUCGGGGGAUGAUCCAGGCGAGGGGAUCAGCCGGCGGUAGGUAAAACGAUGAGAAACUCUAGGCGGCGAUAGGAUCGCCGCCAGAGCCUGAAACCCUAAACGAGAGGGUAGGUAGUCGAUAUAUAGCGCUGGAACUUGGACGACCUGGCCUAUUUGGCGUGCUAAUGAAAGACCUGGGCCUUGGACGGCCCGUUUAAGGAGAGAAACAGGAGCUCGUUCUACGGAGCAGCAGCCCGCGAGACGGUUCGUCGAACGUGUGUGGACGACGUGGGAUGACCGAGUUGAUCCGCAUCGUAAGUUUGAGUGAUCCAACGGCUGAGAGACGCGAUUCGCUGUGGAGGCUCCUAGCUCGCCUCAUUAUACUGUUUCUCAAUGGUUGGAUCAUAUGGAUAUGUACUGAAUGUAUAUGUUCAGUCUACACUGACACCGAUGGAACUGGAUUCAGAAGAGAAAAGAGUGCUCGUCCCUCAUGCCCGAGCUGUGUAAUGGUGCCACAGACGACCACGCUGACCUCGGCCUCGUCAGUGUGACUCUCAAGCAAACUUGCCGGCAUGAAAUUUUCCGCUUCCUCCGCUGACGGUCUUGUAUCGAGUUCUCAUCGAAACACUUGUUCAUCCAUUCAUUCGUUCAGAAUAAAAACAGACAGUGCCAUGAUCUCGCAAGAAAUAAGAGAGCAGAGUUGAAGUUGCAGCUACACUUACACCCAUGUUGUUGUUCUUCGCAAAAGCAAUCAGGGAUUCAGUUGAGAAGGAAGAACAAUGUUGAUUUUUUUUAAAUUUUAUUUUAUUGUGCGAUGAAAGAAGAAAUGUUGAUUAACCUAACGAUUCGGCAAGUGCCUGAGGGUAAAACCGGACCAAGUGCUCCUAGAGUUCACAUUGUUUAGUCAGGUUGCUCUGCUCGAUUUUCUUAGUGCAGAUGAGCAACUGGCUUUCUAUGGCACACAUGUUUAGUUUCGCAAAAUCAAAGUUUAUUAUGUUAUUCUUGUAAACAGAAGUUCUUGCUAACCUGAUGCCACUGAGAGAGAAUCAUACUAUCAACUUAUUCAGAAAGCAGUCGAGCAUCAGUGCUGGACUGUACCUGAACAUCUGCUCAAGAUCCCGAGAAGAUAAAUUUCUUUUCAUAGAUUCAGUCGUUCCGACUGACAAUCUCCACCAUAUAUUCAGAAGUAGCCAUCUAAAGUAGACAUCGAUUAUAUUAUGUAUAAACGGAUCGAAUGAAUAAUGUAUAGUACUGGUAGGAACUAGGGUUCUACCGGGUCUAGGGCGGAGUUGUAGGGGAAGGAGGGAGCUGGAUGUGGACGAACACGCGGCCGCCGGUAGAGUCUUGAAAAAAAAAAGUUAUUGAGAAAGAAGUUAAAUCUCAUGGCCAGUCCUGUUGAGCGCUCUGGAGCCAGUAGCUUCAUCUCAAAAGCAAUGAUUGUUUCAGUCAGUCUUGACUCAAUGACUCUGCAGCUGCACUCAAUGACUCAAUGACUCUGCAGCUGCUCUGCACCUACUCUAGAGCCGUGGCGCACUUCACAAAUGGAAGAACACUGAAAAGACCCAUUCAAUCGGGUCGUGUAUGUUCAGGUUUAUUUGGCAGCUGUUUGAGCAGCAUUCGGUUGUAGUAUAUACAGUAGAUGUUAGUUAGUGUUAAGCACGCUCUGGAUGCAUGUUGUCGUCGUACUGUGCUUCUCACAGUUUGACUGACGGACGUGCAUUGACAUGGAGGAAAGUUGCCAAACCCAGGUAGGUAGAUCCAACAGGACUCGAUCGAGAGCUUGCCUUUUCAGAUCUCAUGGCCAGUCCAGUCGAGCCAGCAGCAGCAUCAGUGUUCCUGAACUUGCUCCCAAAAGCAAUGAUUGUUUCAGCCAGAACCAGAAGCAAGAGAUGCUCUGCCCCUACUCCAUAGAACUGCCAAGCACUUGCUGGCUUGCAGAUUGUCCGAGCCGCCCUGGAUUAGAGCUGGAGGUAUAAAUUUGAUCAAAUGCUCCUACAUUUGAAUCUGUUCUAGUCAUCAGGUUGAACUGUCCAUGUUGCUUCCAACUUUCGAGUAAUGCAGAGGAGCAACUCGGUUUGGCAUAUCCCCUUUUCUUCCACAAAUACAAAGGAGGAGGAGGAUGAGGAGGGUGCAGUUUAGGCAGGCAAUGAGUAGGAGAAUUUUCAAGCACUUGUUGGCCUGCGGGUAUCAAUUUGUUCUACACAGGUUGCUCUGUUCAGGUUCUUUCAGUAGGGGUAGGGCCCUGAUGUCACUGAGGAUCAAUACUGUAACUCAUUCAGAAAGAAAUCAAUUAAGUUGAUACACCUAGCUGUUAGCAAUAUCAUAAGCAAAAUACUACUACUACUUGUUUGCAGCUAGUGUUUCAUCAGUCAGCUCGUCAGCGUCAUUGCCUCUCUCUGCCGUUGGCCGUCACAAUGCUUUACUGCUCACAGCCACUUCUUUGAAGCUCAGCUCAAAGUAUAAACGGGCCGGUCGAAUGAAUCAUGUACAGACAAACUUAUUCCACACCAAAGGACGACAAAGCUGCACAAGUUCAGAAUGAUACUGCUCAACUUGUACCGAGUAUGUGGAGAUUAAUUACAAGUACAUCAUACCACAAAAAAGAUAGAAGCUACAGCCAGUGCCAACCAAAGCGUAACACUCCGAGGAUAACAACACACCACACGUCUUGGCAAAGGAGCCGCUGAGGGCCGAUGAUUGCAGAAAUUGGCGAUGCAAGUGAACAGGGUCGAUCGGCCUACGACACAUGGGAGAGCCGAACUGCAUGAUGAGAGCUCGAGAGAUUCGCUCCACCUCAGUGACAGGCAGUGGACACGAGGUGUGAUCGCUGGAACCCUGCUGUUCGAAAUAAACAAACAAGGAAAGUUUUAAAAUUAAUGAAGGGAACUUUUAAACACAUAAAACAAUUGAAAGCUCAAAAGUUUACGAAAUAGAAAGUACAAAACGUUAUCUCUUUGAAAGAGAACAGGCGAGUACUUUACCUUUUUGUUUCUAUAUGGAUGCAAAUCUGGAUGAAAAUCAAUUAAAACCUUUGAAGCGGAUAUGCUCAAUCUUUGGCCAGCUAUCACCAUCAGGUGAUUGGCAGCUCUCCCUCAAGAGUUCAGAACCACACAUUUCUAUUCUGUUGAGGGAAGAUGGCAAAUCGGGUAAAAAUGAUAUAUUGUGGCAUUUAAUAAUCUUGAGUGUCCGCAGACAUGAAAAGCACUUCAGAUUUCCUGGCAAGGAACUGAUUUCACAAUCAAAAAAUAACAGGCACUUGAUAGAUGAGCAAUCUGCAGAUUCUUCAAAUGUAAAGGACUCAUUGCAUCCUUCAAGACCGAGAAAUUUUGGAACUAUAAAACCUUCAUCUGAGAGCAUGUGGUUGAGCAUUACAGAACUGCUAACAUGAAGAUUAUUCUUGACUCGCAACUGUGAGAUGAACUUCAUAUUGAGGUUCGGGACAUGUACAAAUUGUGCACUGGAUAGUUGCAGUGAAGACAAGCCUUCAAGAAAGCACAUGUCCUGUAAAUUUCGCAGUGACAAUCUUUGGAGGGAGGUUAAAUGACCAAUCGACAAUGAUGCAGAGCUUCUGCACCACCUCAUGGAAAGAUCUUUCAGAUGCGGCAAGUCACUACUGAAGAAAUCAGCUGCAACCACACAGUGGCGUAUGUCGAGCUUCUCAAGGGAAAAUGGCAUAAAAUCUGAUCCACAUGCCAGGUCUAAAGAAGGGCAGCUGUAUAAUGAAAUUUCAGAAAGACCGGUGGCAGCUCGCAACCCCCCUAAUAAUCUAAGGCACCAGCAUGAGUCGAUGCACAAGUUCUGAAGCUUCGUCAUAAUCUCUUUUAAUGACAAACUUCUUAGUGAAGUGAGACCAUCAAGGCAAACCGCUAAUGCCCCAUCUGUAAUGAUGCAUGAAGAAAGAUCAAGCCGAGAAAGCCCUGAUGGUGGAACCAGAGGCAUGCCGCUGUUCCUUGUACAAAUUAGUCUUAUCCUCUCCUCAUGGCAACAUAUCCAUGCCUUGAUGGUAACCUCUUUUAGCAUUGCUUCAUCCCCAUCUCUUUGUAGAGCACUUUCAAUGGUUUGGAGAUGAGAACUAUCAGCAUCCAUCAAUGUCAUCAACCACUUGAGAGAUGAGUGAUCUGACAAUAAUACUUUCCUGAUUUUGGAUCCCGUAUCCACCUCCCACAUGGAAGAAAGCCGUGACUCCAAGUUGUGUAUCAUCAUGGUGUUCUCCCUUUGGUCAUGUUGUUCUAGCUCAUCGUUAGAAAUAAACAUAACCAACAUGCAUUUCUCAAUCUUCAACUCUUCAAGCCUGGUUGGAAGAGAAGGCAGUGUCUUCAGGUUUCGGACAUUCUCGAGGCGAUGUAAGGAGCAAUUCCCGAGGAGAGCAGCAUUGGAUGGUAGUAUUUCUAAGGCACUGCAAUCAACAAGGGUAAGUGCCUCGAAAUUCUGGAAAUAAGAAUCCUCAAGUAACCAGCUUGGGUAUUCUGUACAUCUGUAACCUUCGAUAGUAUAAGGCCCAUAAUUUGAGGUGGUUGUAUCAGACCUUCUAGAGUUUCCAAAUGUGAACUAUCAUGUGAAGCCAUGUCAUCAUUGUAACUCCAUUCAAGGUGCAAUCUCUGAAGAUGACUUUUCUGAUGUAGCUUUGCUUCAAAGGCUUGAUCCUUCCCCGUGACAUUCUCAAGAUUUUUGACACAUAAACUUCCACCAAGGUUGUUCAUAUAUUUCAAUUGUCGCACCUCAUAGCCCAUCUGCUUUCGCACGCAAAAUUGUUCGAGGUGUUGGAGCGAAGUUAAGUUGCCUAUGUAUGGGAUUUGAGCACACCCUUCAAGAUAUCUCAACUACUUAAACUGAAUAGUUUUUCAGGCAAAAGUUUAAUGUUGACACACUGAAGUGAUUGCAAGUGGUAGAGAGCACACAAUGAUUCAGGCAAUUCGGAGAUUGAUGUUCUUUUGAGGUUCAAGUACUGAAGGUGCUUCAGUUCACCAACAGACUCAGGUAGCUUGCUGCUGUUAUGGAAGCUCAAAUAGAGUACACGCAACUUCUUUAAAUUCUGCAGCACCUGCUGGAAAAUAUCUCUUGCAUCAUCUAAAAGUGGUUCAAUGCAAACAAAGCUACGUAAAUUCUGUAGCCCGCAAAUAGAGUGUUGAUGUUGCUUCAGAGUCGUAACAUAGACAGAUAGAUGUCGAACAGUGUGUGGUAUUUUUGCCACCUUAUCAUCUUCUAACCUGAAGCAGACUUUUUCAGACAGUAAUUCUGCCAAAUCAUGAACCAGAUCAUGCAUAACAUAGUGUGCAGAUAUGUCAGCUGUGGAUUCGUAAGCUGGUUGAAAGAAUGAAACUGAGAGCAGCUCAUUAAAGCAAUCCCUCCCAAUAUCUUCCAUUCUCUUGUUCACAUUGCAGGAUUCAAUUAGUCCCUCUGCUACCCACAUAUGAACCAACUCCUUAAUGCGAUACCAGUAGCCUUUUGGAUAUAAACUACAAUAUAGAAAACACCUUUGCAGACUCAGAUCUAGCUUCUCAUAACUCCACAAGAGUGCUCUACUGGGAUCGCUUAAGUUGUCCAUCUUUAGAGCAUCUUCCCAUGCAGCCUUAUCCUUUUUCCUGGUCAGCCGUGAACCCACAGUUUUUGCUGCUAGAGGAGAUCUUCCAAGUCUUUUAGCAAGCUUUUCUGCAAUAGUUUCUAGCUGCUCACGCACCUUCUGGUCUCCAACUGCUGCACCAGAAAAGGCAUGGUCCUUGAAGAGUUCUAAGAUAUCGGUGUCUUCCAGAUUUUCAAAUGAAUAGUUUCAUUACAGCAAAGAGGAGCUGGCAGUAUAUCUGACCGAGAAGUUACCAAAACUUUGCUUCCCAUUCGUUGAGAUACUAGAGGAGACAAUAGUUUCUCCCACUCCAUCUCAUUGGUGUUUUCUUCAAACCAGACAUCAUCCAACACAAGAAGGUAUCUGUUUGGAUUUUGCAGUAUGUCUGUUAAUUUGCACUGUAGAGUAUCAAGAUUAUCAAUGCGUGGGCACUCUCCCUUUGUUGUUGAUUCAAUUGUCAACCGCGUGUGGCGGUCAACAUCAAGUCUGCGUGAGAUGCAUACCCACAUCCUGACCUCAAAAUGUUCUUUUACCCUCUUGUCAUUGUAAAUGUGUUGCGCCAAGGUUGAUUUUCCCAUGCCUCCAAGUCCAACAAUGGCUAGACCAGAAUACCUACUUGUAUCAGACUCAAGAGCAAUUGGCUUGGUAAGAAGAUCUAUGAUAUCAUCCCGAUCCUUGUCACGACCAAUCACUUUCUGAGGUACCAUUGAUGUGACAACUGGAACAACAGGUGUUGGUACUGCAGAGGCCUCACUAUUACCGGCAGGCAAGCAAAGCAAUUCACGGAAGUCCUUGGCUUUCGCCAGGAUGGCCUUCAGUUCUUUCAACUGGUGAAGCAGCCGUUUGUUCUUUGGGCGCAGAUUGGACAGCCUGCUCGACGCAGUACGCACAUGCUUCAUAAUAGUAUUACUGGAAGAUGCAUGCUCCGGCAAACAUUCCUUCCCCUUCUCUGCUUCUCGCUUGAGGAUGUUGUACUCAUGCUCAUCUAGCAGGUCCUCAGCUUUACAGAAGGCGUCUUUCAGCUGCUGGACCCAGUUGUUCAACAUUGGCCUGUGAGGGCUCCUGUUAGCUGCUUCAACCAGUAGAGCGAACUGCGGCAUGAUGUUGGUCUCCAGUUCAUGGAGCUCACUCACCAUGUCCACACCAAGACACCUUGCAGGGUCAGCUAGGAGCUUCUUUAAGAUUGGAGAUACCACCAACUGUAAACCAGUCCGCACGCCAGCCACAGCCAGCGCCACCUCUGCCAUGGAAAGCACACCGUGGGUAUAGGGGAUGAUGUAUCUCUUUUUUUUUGUUUCUUGGAAGUCGAAAGACACGGUGGGAAAAUUGGGAUUUUUUUGAGGAAUGAAAAUAGGGAAUAUAACAGAGCAAAGAUGGGAAAUAGGUAAGAUUACUCCGAAGGCAGGUUUUUUUGCGUGUAUUCACAGAAUCAUCUAUUUGGUUGGUGGAGGAGAUGGAAAAAUGAUGUGAAGAAGUGUGUCUGGAGGGGAAAACGAGACGGAAUGGACGAGACACAAAAAGGAAUGGAUGAACAUGGAGAAGUACAGAAUAGCUAACGGGGCCCUGAGCUCUAAUGAUAGCAAUAGUUGAAAAAUCUGCAGGAGUAGAAAACAGGGAAAUAAAUCAGAGAGCUGAAUCAUACAACAUACUGCAAACAGCGCCGCUGCAUACUGAUUCUUCUUCUUGCCUUUGUGCAACUGGAUGUAUUUGAAGAAGAAGACUAACAGGGACAAGAAACAAAACAGAGGGCAGCAAACUUACGCAGAUGAAGAGGCGAAGGACGAUGAAGGCAGGGAGCGAUUGUUGCAGCAGGUGUGGUGAUGAAGGGGAAUGGGAGGUUGCGGGAGAGGCGAAUUGGAGGCAGCACUAGACCAUAAGAGAAAGGCUCUCCAAUGGGGGUCAACAAAACAUGAAUGUAUCUGAUCCAGCCACUAGCAUUUUUUAACUUGAGCUGAGCCCAACUUGCUGAAAAGCUAUCAGGUACCCACUGUCUGUAGCGCACUCACUAAUCAAACGAUGAUUAAAAUACAUGAAGCGGACGCGUAAGCUGUAAUUAAUAAGAACAAGUGCCCAUCCGCUCAUGUUUCUUAACAAUGAAAUGGUAGGUCAUCUUACCUGCUUCUCUUUAUUUAUUUCUUUCUCUCUUUUCCAUUACCAUCACUGGACCUUUUGUGUGAUUUCCAGGAAGCAUCGCUCCAGUUGUGAAAGGUAUGACAAAUAAUAAAUUUAAUUAUGAUCUCAUAUGCCUUCAAUAUACAGGAUAUAUAUGGCAAUUGACAAUAGCAAAUGGGUAAUAUGAUGUGCAUUAAAGGAAAAAACAAUGAAGACCGAUUAUGACAUUGCGAAACAGAGAGGAAGUGGGUGAUAAGACAGAUUAUGACAACUGUAGCAGUUUGCGCAUCAGAAUAGGUCUACCUUACCUGCUUCUCCUUCUUUAUUUUUCCAUCACCAUCACUGGCCUUUCAUGGUUUCCAAGAACAAGAACAAACUGGAGCAGCUAGGCUUCAUCCUUGCCAGCACAUAGAGAUAGAGGUUAACUAACUGCUAUGAGGCAUGCAUAUUCAGCAGUAAACAUAGUUUAACUAACAUGUUUUAACAUCCUCGGAAAGAAAAAAGAACAACGAUUGCAUCUGAAUUGGAUGAUUUUUCCCCUCUUGGUGACUGACCCCAAUUGAAUUGAGUUGUCAAGACAAAUUGCAUCAAUGGUUAUACUACAUGGAAGCAAUUGGCUGAACAUAGAUAGGUUAACUGUAGCACGCUGAAGCCAGCAAACUCUGCUCCAGCUAGUUGUGUAUUUUAACUUGAGCUGAGCUCAACUUGCUAAAAACCCCAAGUAACAGGUACCCACUGUCUGCAGCGCACCCACUAAUGAGUAAUGACUAAUGAAAUGAUUAUAAGUACAACAAGUGCCCCAAGCUGCCGGCCUAAGCUAUAUUUUAAUAAGAAGUAAGUGCUCAUUUGUUCAUCUUUUGACGAUUGUUACUUGAUCAAAGAGUGGUUGUUGGCAUGAGGGAGUAAAUCCAGGUAACCAUUGUUUUAGCAGGGAUGGAUGUCACUCGGCAGUUAAUUAGAAGCAGUGGUUCUGCUGCAAACACGAGGCAAGUCACAAAACAGCAAGUCUGGGAUUGAGUUGAGUUGUUAACCUGAAGGCUCACCAAUACCAGCUUGAAUCUUGUCAGUUUGCAUAUCGUGUAGUGUAGGACCUGGUGCUAGCACACACUAGUAGAAAAAUGGCCUAAUGUGAAGCAUAUUAGUCCCGGUUUGUAACAAAACCGGCACUAAUGUGAUGGCGGAGAUCAUUAGUGGCGGUUCGUGGCUAACGUUUAGUACCGGUUCGAGCAACAAACCAGUACUAAAGAGGUUGUGGCGGACUGUGGUCAGGCUGCAGCCCCACCAGUAUCUUUAGUACCAGUUCAAUGCCACAAACCGGUAUUAUAGGUCUCUAGUUGAUUCAUUCUGGAGCGGUUUUUUAGUCCCAUCUCGCUCCGCUAACAGAGUUUUUACCACUUUAAAUAUGUUACUUCUCAAACUAUUACAAGCAAGAAAGUCAGUAAAGUUUGUUUUAAAGAGUACGUAUGAACAAAAAUGUCGCCUUACUUGCUUCUUCUCUCUUUGUUUUCCAUCACCAUCACUGGGCCGUUGUGAUUUCGAAGCGCCUUCCUAGGCUCGAGUUGUGAAAGCUACGACAAACAAUAAAAUACCAUCUCUUAUGCCUUUGAUUUACAUACAGGGAAUCAACGGCAACAUACAAUAGCAAAUGCGUAACAAAUGCGGGGCUGGAGGUAGGUGGCCUGCUGGUGGGGGCGCUCCAGCCACCCUCGUUCUACGCGCGGCGGGGCGGCUGCGGUGCUCCCGUCUCGGGAGGUGGCGCGCGACCGGUCUCUUGCCGGAUCCGGUCGGAUCUGGCUUUGGGGGCCGGCCAGUGGCGCCUGGCUCCGGUGGUGCGUGCCCCGCGGCUCCGGCGCUUGGAGCUCGCCGGGCGACGCGGGUAGGUCUCGGUGGUGGCCUACCGGUGUCGUGGCGGCUUCACGGUGGCUCGAUGGAUCUGCCCGCGGCAACGGCCAGCUUCUCCGGCGUCGGUUUCUCUACGUUCGGCCGUCUCGACCUUCACCCCAUCUCCUCGUCGCCCGCGCGCUACUCCCAUCAAAGGGCUGGUCCUCUCCCACCUGCGGUCCACCGCUCGUCUCGCGCCCGAUGCCGCAGGACCGAGCUUGUCUCGCGCACGAUGCAGCAGCACCGAGCUCGUCUCGCGCACGGUGCAGCUGGACUGACCUCGUCCCCCUCUCGUUGCUGCAGGACCGAGCUCAUCUCGCGCUUGGGGCAGCAGGAUGGGUCGGUGGAUGCCAGUUCUGGCCGACCUAUUGGGUCUCGACGCUGGGGGUUGCCCAGGGGCGCGAAAAGUGGGACCUUUCCGCUCGUCUCUUUCGUUGGGGUGCGGCGGGUCUCGAGUGAGGUGGUGUCGAGGUCUUGGAUGCUGGGCGGCGGCCCUGGUGGUGGUUGCGCAGUGCUCUUGGGCAGAGCCCGUGCCCUGGUGCUGCCCAGUCACCAUGGUCGUGUGGGCGGCGUGGUUGCCAGGGUGUGGCGUUCGGUGGCGGUGAAUGUUGGCCGGGGUAAAAACCUGCUCUAUCUUCGGACGGACCAGCGGUGACGAAGAUCGUUCCCUUCUUGAAGGCGUCGUCGCAGCUCUCAUUGCCCGUCAUGCGGCUUCGGGGGAAACUCUGAUCCUUGGAUCGGGCGUGGCAGCGCUACGGCGUCGUUUCCUUCCUGAAGGCGCCGCCUUGGAGCGCAUGGUUCGUCAUAUGUAGCUUCAUCUCUUCGGGACGGUAGUGCUAGGAGUGGUGUUGCUGCGCUCAGCGCCUAUGUAUCAUGUCCUGGAUGUGUGCGUGUGUUGCGGUGGCGUGGUGUGUGGUUGUGCCGGAUGCUUGUGGUUUGGUGCUUUAUAUAUAAAGCGGGGCCAAAGCCUUUUUCGGUAAUGCAUAACAAUCAUAACGAUAUGCAUCAAAGGAACAACAAUAAAGGCAGAUUAUGAGAAAUUGUACUAGUAGUUUGUUACCUGCUUCUGUUUCUUUUCGGUCACCGUCAGUGGCCAGUUUCCAAUAGCAAAAAGGAACAAGGAUUGCAUCUGAAUCAGUGGCCCAAAUUGAGUUGUCUAAGACAAAGUGCGUGCAUCAAUGGUUACAGCAACCUACCUCUGCAUCUUAGGAGUAUCAGCUAAGGGGAAUGAGUGGCAACCUCCCUCCAGGGGCAGGAUGGAGCUCUACCCGCUGAUUCUGAUUAAGAUUAAGAUUCAGAUUCAGAUUACUCCUAUGGGCAUCAAUUGGAUCAAGAACCUCUGCAUCUGCUUAUGAGAAANNNNNNNNNNNNNNNNNNNNNNNNNNNNNNNNNNNNNNNNNNNNNNNNNNNNNNNNNNNNNNNNNNNNNNNNNNNNNNNNNNNNNNNNNNNNNNNNNNNNNNNNNNNNNNNNNNNNNNNNNNNNNNNNNNNNNNNNNNNNNNNNNNNNNNNNNNNNNNNNNNNNNNNNNNNNNNNNNNNNNNNNNNNNNNNNNNNNNNNNNNNNNNNNNNNNNNNNNNNNNNNNNNNNNNNNNNNNNNNNNNNNNNNNNNNNNNNNNNNNNNNNNNNNNNNNNNNNNNNNNNNNNNNNNNNNNNNNNNNNNNNNNNNNNNNNNNNNNNNNNNNNNNNNNNNGGGGGGGCGCAUUGGACCCCUUUGUCCUUCAAAUAAUAAACCUGAACCUAGAUGCCUUGCUCUCUGCUGCCACAAGCAUGCCUUGGCAGCGAUCGAGGCACGCUUCUACGGAUUCACCUGGGGCAAAAUAAAGCACCGCUACUCCAUCUUUGGCACUGGUAGUAACAUUCGCUAGGUGAUGGAACAAUAAACACUAUCGACGGUUAAGAGCGGAUCGAGGAAAGGACAAGGUGCUUCAUAGCUAGCUAGGGAGAUCAUAUACUAGAUCAUUUUGGUAAUUAUUUUUCCUUUGCUAGUUCUCUUGUUAGUUCCUUCUUCUGCUAUGGUGUUAAUUAAGUUAUGUCACUGAAUACCAUUAUAUCCUUGGGUGAUACACGACUGAGUUACACAACUAUGUUACUUGUCUAGCUGCUCCUGCACGAAAGUUUAUAGCAUCCAUUGGGGAGGCGAAUACCAAAAAUUAAAUUAGUUCUUUCAACAACUAGGCAUAUCUCAUCAUGUCUCCUGCCCGCACGCCCAUCAACAGAAUGGGUCAGCAGAACGAAAACACCGUCAUAUCGUUGAAGUUGGUCUUGCUCUCCUUGCCAAUGCAUCCAUGCCAUUAAAGUUCUGGGAUGAAGCUUUCCUAGCAGCCACCUAUCUCAUCAAUACUCCUCCUAGUAGCGUCAUCAAUUUCGACACACCCUUUGAGCGCCUCUUUCAUACUAAUCCUAACUAUGCAUCCCUUCGGGUGUUUGUUUGUGCUUGUUGGCCAAACCUCCGCCCAUACAACACUCAAAAACUAUCUUUCCGAUCCAAAAAGUGUGUUUUCAUAGGCUAUUGUCCUCGGCACAAAGGGGUUAAGUGUCCUGACGUGUCCACUGGCUGUGUUUAUAUUUCUCGAGAUGUUGUCUUCGAUGAGACUCUUUUCCCCUUUGCAUCACUCCAUCCAAAUGCAGGAGCUCUCCUUCGAAAAGAAAUUUUGCUUCUUCCCGACUCUCUCAAAAAUCCAUCUUAAUUUUGAUCAUGGGGGCGAUAAUAAUUGUGAUGCUCAAAAUAUGGCAUGUGCUACUAACCAAACUUCUUCAAAUGAUGGUGUGCAGGACACAGGAGAUGUACAAAAAAAUUGGGUGAAAAUCUCGCUCAAAACAGGUUAAAUUUGGAGACAAAUGAUCCCUUAUUUUAUGAUGUACAAGGAGACAAAAGCACGGGACGCGGAGCGGAUUCUGGCGCGCGAUCCCGUGCUGAUCAGGGCGCACGAUCCGAGGCUGAUCCGGCUGCAGCGAAAACUUCCAGCACGCCAGGGUCGGCCCAGCCCUCCAGCAUGCAGCCGCGGGCCAAUCCGUCUCCUGCAUGCAGUCCGGCGCGUGAGCCCACAAAAACGAAGCACCCCGCUGACUCCUCGCCAUGAGCGCCUUCACCCGUGGGGUAUCGCUUGCCCGCGCUCAGCAUAUUAGGAGGAUCUGGCGGGUCGGCCUCGCCCGCUGAGCCCGCGGGAUCUUCUGCGGCAAGUGGGCAAUCAACCAACGGUGGUGCAGCGCCCGGAUCUUCUACGGCUGGACCAGCUCAAGCAGCGCCCCGAUCUUCUGCGGCUGAACCUCCUGUGUGCGGCCGUACACGAUCCCAAUUUGGGAUACACAAGCCUCUACAACCAAAAGAUGGUAAAGUACUGUAUGAAAAAAAAUUCAGAGUUAAAUAUGGAUCUUUUUGUUCCGCAGGUGAGCCGCAAAGUGUACAAGAAGCAUUGAAGAGUAUGAACUGGAAAAAGGCAAUGGAUGACGAAUACUCGGCGUUAAUGAACAACAAAACAUGGCAUCUAGUUCCAGCUAGUCAUGGUAAAAAAUGUAAUUGAUUGUAAAUGGGUGUAUCGAAUUAAAAAGAAAGCAGAUGGUAGCAUAGAUAGAUAUAAGGCUAGAUUAGUUGCAAAAGGUUUUAAACAAAGCUAUGGGUUAGAUUAUGAGGACACUUUUAGUCCAGUCGUUAAAGCAGCUACUGUCAAACUUGUUUUGUCUAUUCCUGUGUCCAGGAGAUGGAGCCUAAGACAGCUAGAUGUGCAGAACGCGUUCCUUCAUGGUGUUAUGGAAGAAGAGGUCUACAUGAGGCAACCACCUGGCUAUGAAGACAAAAGUUCACCCUUUCAUGUGUGCAAGCUGGACAAGGCCUUGUAUGGACUGAAGCAAGCACCAAGAGCAUGGUACUCUCGGUUAAGCUCAAGAUUACAAGAAUUGGGUUUUACCCUUUCAAAGGCUGACACCUCACUAUUUAUUUUUAGUAAAUCUGGAGUAACAAUAUUUUUGCUCAUAUAUGUUGAUGGCAUUAUUGUUACUAGCUCCUCUCAGGAAGCAGUGUCAGCACUACUACAUGAUUUGGGUUCCAGCUUUGCACUCAAGGGCUUGGGAGAUUUACACUUCUUCCUUGGGAUAGAGGUCAAGAAAACUGGGGAUGGCAUCGUGUUAACAUAGAAGAAGUAUGCCUCAGAAAUCUUGACCAGAGUUGGCAUGAAAGACUGUAAACCUGCACCCACACCUUUGUCAAGCACUGAGAAACUUUCAGCUUUUGAUAGUGAGCUUCUAGAACCGGAAGAUAGUACAAGGUAUAGAAGUGUUGUUGGGGCAUUACAAUAUUUGACUCUUACAAGACCAGAUAUUUCUUUCUCAGUCAAUAAAGUAUGUCACUAUUUACAUGCUCCAACUACAGUUCAUUGGUCAGCAGUAAACAGAAUUCUUAGAUAUGUCAAACACACCGUCAACACAGGGCUUGCAUUUAGUAAGUCUUCAUCUACUUUGUUAAGUGCAUUCUCAGAUGCAGACUAGGCUGGAUGUAUUGAUGAUAGAAGAUCAACAGGUGGCUUUGCAGUAUUUUAUGGUGCAAAUCUAAUUUCCUGGAGUUCAAGGAAACAAGCUACAUUGUCUCGCUCAAGCAUUGAGGCUGAGUAUAAAUCGCUGGCAAAUGCAACGGCGGAAGUCAUUUGGGUGCAGUCACUAUUGAGAGAAUUGGGGAUACCCACGAGACAUACUCCAUGUCUAUGGUGUGAUAAUCUUGGGGCAACCUAUUUGUCAGCUAAUCCUGUCUUUCAUGCACGUACCAAGCACAUUGAAAUUGACUAUCAUUUUGUCAGAGAAAGGGUGGCAAGAAAACUACUUGAUGUUCGUUUCGUGUCUUCAAAGGACCAGGUGGCGGAUGGAUUCACUAAGGCUCUACCAGUUUGAAAUCUAGAAGACUUCAGACGCAAUCUCACCUUAACCAAGGUGUGAUUGAGGUGGGCUGUUAAGAUAAGUUAGAAUCUUCUAGAUGGUUUGUACGGUUGGUAGAGAUAGGAUGAAUACCGAAUCUGUUGAAAUUGUUUCGUACGUCUCAAGUAUGCAACGAACCCUUUCUUGUAGGCCACGGAUGGGGCUUUUCCAUCCCUAUAUUAACACGUAACCGCGGCCUGCUACGGCAGGUAGAAACGCUUCCAAACUUACAGCUAGGAUUAAUACGUGGAGUAAGCUUUUGUGAUUAUAUCUGCACGUUGUAACCUGAAGGAAGAAUACACAUAUGUAACAUAAUAGCAAUGAGGGACAGAGGGAGUCCUGUAUGGCCGGGUGGAUUCAUGCAGUCGAUUGUUAGGAUAUGUCGAUGUGUUGAUAUUUAUAUUUUGCAUUUUGAGUGCUGUUAAUUUCCCCUGAAGGUAAACUGACCCGCUGUACGUUGCCUAUAUACUUGCUCACCCUCUGUAGGUUGACUAUAUACUACUGACCCGCUUUUAAUUUCUACUGAUGGUAAACUGGGACAAGUGCUUGUAUGUUUAAACUUAUUCAGGCCAGGUUGAUCUAUCCAGCUAGCAGCAGGUUUUGUAAAUUUCCUCAUGCCGAUUCCCUGCAUCCUGCUCUGUAUGCCAAAAUGUUAAUUAAUUGUUCGUUUUCCAUUCUCUUUAGUUGGUUCUUUCGAUAUGCGUAUGACGUCAGUGAGAAUCAUACUGUUGCAAUUAGGCUGGUAGAUAUAGUGACUGAAAUGUCCAGACAUUAGUACCUAUUCGCAAUACCUCCACCUAGCAUGCGUGAUUUGGACAAUUUGGCCACUUCAGACUUAACCUGACCGCUGAUGGAUUCGAGGACGGCGAGUUGCGCCAACCCCUUCUACAAUCGAGGUAUGCCCUCCCUCCCUUCCCCAUCUUUAAAUAUCACCCAGAUGUAGCCUAAAGAAAGGUGAGAAAAUACAUGAGAUUUUGGUUUUCUACAGGAAUAAUGCAAGAUCUGAUCCUAAAUUUGUGGGCUGUUGUGGAACCGUGAGCAUCUGCUGUUCAUAAGGUGAGAGAUCAUGUCAGUGUUUUUUUUUCCCAAGAUGUUGGCCUAAGUCUCCGUUGACGCCUAGGCAGUAGAUAAGUGGAUUAACUUUUGGUGUGUUAUCCCUUAAUUGUUACUACUUGAGAGGAUGAGGAAAAUGUAUGCAUGUGCAUACCCUAAUUUUUCCGUGCCUUAAAUUAAAAAGAUACAAGCUACUAUCGUUGAUUUUAGCUAUAUGUGCCCUCCGGUGUCUCUGUCAAUCUUUUUAAUAGAUAUUGAUGUAUACACAAGACACUAAUGAUAUUGCUCCUUCGUUAAAGCUGUACUAAAGUCAUUGUCUUCCUUCAUGAUUCCAGUGAACAGAUCAUAAGCAUCAUGCUAGGUGGUAAAUAAAAUAACUCAAGCAAUUUCGAAGAUUUGUGUUAAUUUGUGCGGUCUAUCUCUGAACUUUUUUCUAAUUUAUGUUUUCUUACUGAAGAUUAUUACUUCCCACACACGCAACAAUGUGAAGGUAUAUGCAAGUGUAAGUUUCUAGGGUAAGUCAUAUACAUUUGUACUGCUAAUCAUGAUGGCUCGCUUCCUUUCUUUGCUGAAAUUUAACAAAAUUUUCUCUAUACUUCCCUCUGUAAGUUUUCUGUCUAGAUUUCAGAUAAAGAGCAUGUACUAUAUAUGGAUGCAUAAAUAGAUUAUUUUACAGUUUUAUCUUUCAUAUGGUCGAUGGCAGAUAAUGGAAACUAAGAACAGUAUUCCAAAAACUAUGAACUGUUUUGGUGAUAUAAUUAUCAACAUUAUGGUCUCUUAAGAAUAUAAAUUAACUUUGUUGAACAUUACAUUGUUAUUGCUCAUUCUAUUUNNNNNNNNNNNNNNNNNNNNNNNNNNNNNNNNNNNNNNNNNNNNNNNNNNNNNNNNNNNNNNNNNNNNNNNNNNNNNNNNNNNNNNNNNNNNNNNNNNNNNNNNNNNNNNNNNNNNNNNNNNNNNNNNNNNNNNNNNNNNNNNNNNNNNNNNNNNNNNNNNNNNNNNNNNNNNNNNNNNNNNNNNNNNNNNNNNNNNNNNNNNNNNNNNNNNNNNNNNNNNNNNNNNNNNNNNNNNNNNNNNNNNNNNNNNNNNNNNNNNNNNNNNNNNNNNNNNNNNNNNNNNNNNNNNNNNUCCCCGCCCCGCCGCCACCCGAGGCGCUCGCCGGCACGGCUGCCGGUGAAGGUGGCGGCGAGGCUCUGCUGCUCUGCGCUGUAGGGGGCGUUGGAUCUUAGGGUGGCGGCCCUGAUUGGCGAGGGCGGCGUCGAUCUCGUCCGGCGGAUGGCGCCGCCGGUGCUGGCCGUCCCCACUGGCCGUGUGGGCAGCGGUGGGGCGGUGGAGGCUCGUCGCGGCUGCGGGAGGCGUUGCUGGCCUCGGCUGGCUGCUUCCCGGUCUCCUUUCCUCUGCUGUGGUCCUCCCUCGGCCGAUCUGGGCGCUGCUCCUCCGGUCCGCCAGAUCUGGCACAUGAGGGUGGGUGGUGGCCAUCCUAGAACGGGGGAAACCCCUGGUCGACCUCCCGUUGACCCCGACGACGGCGGCGCUCCGGUGUCGAUCUCCCUCCUGAGGGCGUGUCGGGCUUCUUCGUCACCUCCUUCCUCCUCUCCCACGAUCCCGGGCGAAAGCCUUGGCCUUGCUGGCCGAACGGCGGUGGCGCUGUGGCGUCUCGGUCCUCCUUGGAGGCGUUGUUUAAGGGAGGGCGAGGUUGUGGUCUCGCGGCAAGGUGCUUGGUGGCGGCGGCGUUGCUCUGCUCUCCGGGAUGGCGGCUAUGGUGGUGACGAGGUGGCCCCCUGCAAUCCUUCAGCGGCUCUUCAUCUUGUUCGGCUCUGGGCAACCGGCCGGUGGACGACGUCUGUGUGUUGUGGCACAGUUCAGACGUAGGGGCGAUUGGAUCUCCCCUCCGGCAAGGCUCGGGGCGGCCAGAUCUAGAGCCAUGCUUUUCUCCACGCAGCCCGGGUCCUCUCGGCCUCCACUUGUGUGUCUACUGAUUGCAGCUGCUCCCCUGUUCUAGCUUGCGUAGAGUUCUCCGGCAGCUUGAUCCUGUUCUGGUGCAGCUGCUCCGCCUUUUUUCUUUCAGUUUUUCUUCAAGCGUUCGCCUUUGUAUCAGCACUGUUGUAUCCUAGCCGGUUGAUGGCUUCAUUAAUUUGAAGUCGGGCCUUGCGCCUUUUCUCUAAAAAAAAAAGAGGCCCUGGUGUCACAAGUUAACCCUAAUUUCAAAAACAUAUUGGUGUACACCCGAGAUCCCCAAAACGAUCAAUUAAGAUCUGCAAAAAGUAGUAUCAUUGAUUUGAUUUUCCAUGAUACAUUGAGUUUGUGCAAAAUUCUAAAUUUUUAUCAACCAUGUUACUGAACCAAUGAGGAAGGCAAUGCUAUCAUCCACUCGAUGCAGCCCCUGUUCUUCCAUCCUCUCUUCAGGAUCACAUUUGCACAGAUCCUAUGUUCGUGUAUUGCUGAAGAUAUCCUAUGAAGUUACUUUGUAAUAAAUCAGUUGGCUUAUGGGUAAAUGACCAUAUAAUCCUCUAUUCAGAAUUGUUCGUCUGUUGCUCAGAAUGUACCAAUAACCAUAGGAAAAAACUAACACCCACACGUGUCGCAUUUUGCACAUCGCCCACACGCCUCCAUCAUCACUCAUUUUGCCACGUAUCAACAGAUGAUAUCAGCAUGAAUCUUUUUGGUUUUCGUCUUAAAAAAUGUUUUAUCUUCUAAUUAAAUAAUCGAAUUAAAAAUCCAUUUUCACCAUUAAAUCCGUCUCGACGAGAUCUUCAAGACUAGACCAUGUGUUGAUAUGUUUCAACUAAAAACAAAUUUGCCCAAAAGUUGCCAUAAUGUUUACACGGUAGUUGCCAUAGUGCUUAAACUAAAGUUGCCAUGUGGCAAUUUUAGUUUAUAGAGCAUGGCAAUUUUAAUUUUUUGAUGAUGGCAAUUCCAGUACUUUGACCAUGAAAAUUAAUUUUUGUAUAAACCAUGGAAAUUUAAGUGCAUGUAUCAUGGCAAUUUUAGUUUAUGGUUCAUUGCAAGUCUAGUUUCUUAAUUCUCCGUUUUAUAAUAUGUCAAAAUUUACUUUUAAAUGUAGAAGAAAAUAGCUGAAAUGUAUCAUGACAACUUCAGUGUAAAUAUCAUGGCCAUUCAUAUGCAAUAGACAUGGCAACUUUUAACCUAAAAAAAUUCGGCAAUAUUGGUAUGAGAUCUAGUUUCGAACAUCUCGUCGCGAGGGAUUUAAUGGUGAAAACGGACCUUCAAUCGGAUUUUUCAUUUAAGAGAUAAAACAUUUUAAAAACUGAAAAUCAAAAAAAAAAAUCGACAUGCAUGCAUGCGGUGACGUGGUGCAGUCUGUGUGUUUUAUGACAUGUGGGCGGGUUUAACUCCCUCCACAUAUGUGGGUGUUAGUGUUGUCCUAACCAUAUAUAUAAUCAUCUAAUCUGAUUGUUUUUCUGUGUCAGAUGUAGGGGAGGGUUGACCAUUACAAAUAUAUCAUUCUAAAUAUUUUUUGUGGAAACAAAAUAAUAUAUUCAUUCUUUUUCUGAACCGUUUUGAAGUCAUUUUGCCGAGUAAAACAUUAAUUUGAGCAAAAAAAUCCGCAGCAACGCGCGAGGAAUUAUCUAGUUAUUAAUUUGGUUUGAUGCAUAUGCAUGCAUCGUGCAUGUUCAAUUAAUAUGAGGGUCGAGUAAGCUGAAGCAAUGAUGAGGUGUUAACCAGCACUGCCGGAUGACGCAUUUCAAUCGUGGAUUUGAUCGCUUUGAUUCUUUUCCCUUGCUUAUGCAUAGUUUUCAUUUUUUAUGAUUCUGCUAUUUGCCAACGUGUUUUUUUGUUCAUACGUUGAUGUUGUUUGUCCGCCCCUCACAACCUCCUCCUGUGUAUGCAGAUCAGAGGCGAGCUUCUCCUUGACGCCGCGUCGAGGCAGUGCGGCGGCUUGGUUCAUGGAUGGAGCAGGCGACGGAGGCGAGCAGCCGUGCCCGAGCGGCGAGCGUGGUUGGGGAAAAAAGAAGCGAAGCAGCCGAGCAUGUAGCAGGUUCGUGCGUAGGGGAAAGUGAUAAUACCAACCAUUUGUCAGGUUCGAGUAUCUAGCAGCCGAGCACUUAGCAUGUUUGUGGCCUUCUAAGGGUACGUGAAUGGGCCAUCCAAAAGGUGCUGGGCAUGGCUACCUAGUAAAAACAUAUUUGCAUUUGGAUUGUGUGUNNNNNNNNNNNNNNNNNNNNNNNNNNNNNNNNNNNNNNNNNNNNNNNNNNNNNNNNNNNNNNNNNNNNNNNNNNNNNNNNNNNNNNNNNNNNNNNNNNNNNNNNNNNNNNNNNNNNNNNNNNNNNNNNNNNNNNNNNNNNNNNNNNNNNNNNNNNNNNNNNNNNNNNNNNNNNNNNNNNNNNNNNNNNNNNNNNNNNNNNNNNNNNNNNNNNNNNNNNNNNNNNNNNNNNNNNNNNNNNNNNNNNNNNNNNNNNNNNNNNNNNNNNNNNNNNNNNNNNNNNNNNNNNNNNNNNNNNNNNNNNNNNNNNNNNNNNNNNNNNNNNNNNNNNNNNNNNNNNNNNNNNNNNNNNNNNNNNNNNNNNNNNNNNNNNNNNNNNNNNNNNNNNNNNNNNNNNNNNNNNNNNNNNNNNNNNNNNNNNNNCACUGUCAUAGGCUCCUCCCGAUCUCUGACAUGCAUCAUCGAUGAUCCGUCAUACGACACACAAUGUCGCAGUUGGUCCCUCUGCACUACUGGAUUUUUGUGAACCGUAAUCACAGACAAAGUUACUGCUUGACGAGGAAUACAGAUAGCAGCAUGUGAUGGUGGGUGUCAAGUCGGCAACAAGUAUGGACCGACAUUAUCAGAGCAAACUUUGUGAUAGACAUUCGAGCGCGUCUAUUUGUGGUGUUUCCUACAUGACGUACAUUGAAUCAAAUUGUCGACGCUUCGCACACGUUUUUUUUUUUGCUUUCUCUAUUGGUUUCUCCCUUUUUAUGUUUUGAAUUUUCUUCUAGCUUUUUUCCACAAAAAAUCACUAAUUUUAGAAAACGUUCAAAUCUUGUUCGAAAAUUACAAAUAUUGUUCGUGUUUUACAAAAUUCUUCACAAAUUUGAAGCAAAUUUUACUGAAAAAAAAACGUAUUUUCAUAUUCUUUCGCAAUCUGGAAAACUGUUCGGGUUUUCAAAUAAUUUGUAAUUUUCAACAAUGUUUGCAAUUUUUCAAAUUUUUUUAUUUUUCCUCAAUCAUGUUUUCAAAAAAAUCUUUGCAAACUUCAAAAAGUAUUUGAAGUUUCAAAAGAUGUUUUGGAAUUUAAAAUUAUUUGUUUUUUUAGUUCAGGUUUUCAAAAGAUGUUCAAAAUUUGUUUACUUAUUCUAAAAUCGUUUCUGAAUUGGUUUGUAAAUGUAGCCUUGUUCGGUUUGCUACAGUAGUUGGUUGGAUUCGCUGCAGUAGCCGGUUUGAUCCCUAGAAAACUCAUCCAAUUUUGCUACAGCGCCCAAUGGGCAGGCUCAGUCGGGCGGCGGCCACAAAGACGGUCAGAUAGGUGGUUUGUCUAUAUCUCUCUCGUAGCCACGGCUCAUUUCUUUUGUUUUGUUUUUUGUUUUUUUUCAUUUUUCUUUUUGUUACAUUUGUUUAGCCCUUCAAAUAUUCUUAAUGAAUAUAUUAACAAAGAACUUUAAAUAAAAUAUUUGAAAAAAAGUAACCAUGCGUUUGAAAUUUGUAUAGAGAAAAUAUUUCUCAUCUAUAUGGAAAAAUAAACAAUGUGCACGAAAAACAAGUUGAUUAUGUAUUUGAAAAUGUUAAUCAAGUACAAUAAGGUUAUGAAAAAGGUUAAUGAAAUAUUUGAAAAAUGUUAAAUGUUUAUAGAAAAAAUGUUGACCAUGUAUUCAAAGAAUGUUAAUCAAGUAUUUAAAAAAAAUUAACCGUGUACAGAAAACAUGUUAAAAAUGUGUUAGAAAUAUGUUAAUCUAGUAUUCGGAAAACUGUAAAUAGGCAUUUAAAAAUGUGAAAAUGUAUAUAGAUUUUUUUGAAAGAAAUAUAUAGAAUUUGUUUACCAUGUAUUCAAAUGCCAAUCUUGUACUUGAAAACUGUCAAUCAAUCAUUUGAAUUUUUCUGUAAAUGUGUAUGAAUUUUUUUUGACGGUGUACUUAAAAAAUAUUAAUCAUGUAUUAUAGAAAUGUUCUUGAUGUAUACGAUGAAUCUAGAAUAAAUAAUAAAAGAAGAAAUCAUAAAAACAAUUUAGCCCAAAAAAGAAAUAAAGGAAAUUAAAAAACCAGUGUGGAUGCAUGAAAUAUAGUGAAAACAGAUAAAGAAACUGAUGAAAGUCAACAAAAAACAAAGAAAAUGAAGAACCAAUAAAAAGAACAAAAACAAAAGGAAACAAACAAAAGGAAAAACCAACGACACCAAAGAAAAAAAUGGAACAGUGAAAAACAGAGAAGCAAACAAAGAAAUCAGAAGAAAAACUAGAAAGAAACAAAUAUCAUUGUAGAAAAAUGUGGAAAACGGAAGAAAAUAGAAAAAAACCAGUGAAAAAAAGCAAGAAAAAAGUGGGAAGCAAGAAAAAAAAUGAAGAAAAACAUUUACAAGCAAAUAAAAACUAUAAUUUUGGAGAAACUAGCGAGGAAACAAAGGAAACCCCUAAAAAAAGCAAGACUAAACUGGGUUGGCCCAAUAGCUAAACUAGCGAGGGAAGCGCAACAAAUGAACUUGAUUGAAAAUACUAGUGAUGAACAGGGAAAAAAGCCUAAACUGACUUGGCCCAAUAGCCUUUUUGCCCAAAGUAGUUGCCGAGCAUCCUUGAAUCAGUCCACUAUUCGUUCAUGUUUUUAUGAAAUUGCAAGUCAACUGGAUGAAACCCUAAUUGUGCAUAGAUCGUUCAUGUUUUUAUGAAAUUGCAACUCAACAAAGCCUAAUCGUGCGAAGAGCGUCAUUCUUAAUAAGAUAGUAACCAACACCUCAGCAGCAGUAUGUUAUUAUAUGUGUUACCAAAGACUAAUCUGCCCUUGGAUCAACAUCCGGAUCCUCCCUAAUGAUUCAGCCAGGUCCACCGUCAGAAUGAAAAAGUAAGAUUGUUCACUCGAUUUGGCCGCGGAUUCACAGAUUCCUCCACCGCGGCGCUCCGGCGGGUGGCUGCCAUGAUGGACGUGUUUCGGAAGGAUUAGAGGGAGGAGAUGUUCUAUUUGUGCUCACCCUCACGGCCCAUUAUUGGAAGCCAUUCGUGUGGUCAAGUAUUUCUGGAUGAGUUCAUUUGAAACACAUCAUUUGUUUUUCCAUCCCUUUUCAAAUUGUUGUCUCGUGACUUCAUCCUUUGCGCUCGACUUUCACGAUUUCUAGGAUUUCUUUACUUGUGCCCAUGAUGAGCAGAAUCACGCAAAUAAGGUCAUGGAAAAUAUCGCCAAGAAGCUUGUGAAAGACAUGCACCAUGAGGGGCGCAUCAGGUGCAUGGUCAAAUAUCACGUGGAACAACUGAAGAAAAAGAUUCGCAAGAAAGAAGCCCGACAAGAGAAUCUUACGCGUGACCAGUUUAUGAUGGUAAGUGAAGGUUGCUUACUAUUCCAUACAUUACAGCAACUUAGCUUCCUUCCUAAGUUGUAUUUCAACUAAGGUGGUUCUUCGGUGGUGCGCCGACAAAAUGCAGUGCUGGAACAUGAUCGUUGCCAAGUGGAUAAGUCUAGAGUGGCAGGUUGAACACAACAUAAUAGGGAAGAUGCGUCUUAAGAUGGGUGCUCCAGCGCACGGUCAAGGCAACCUCACGGUCACUGGUGUCAUGGACAAGCAUGUAAGCAAAGACCUUCUUUUCUUCUCAUGAAUUUGUCCUUCACGUUCUAGCGUGCCCUUCAUGGUUGUGACAACUCUCUUUUGCAGAAGAGAGCAACAGGCAUUGCCAUAUCUUUCUUUCGGGCUUGGAGCUAAAAAACACAUGAAACCGGUCAAGGACAGAGAACCUAAUAAUCUUGAUGGUGACUGGAUCAGCGCGAAAUCUCGUUCCAAAGGGAAGAAAUACAUCACCAAGUACAAGCAGAUGCACGGGGAGGAGUUUGAUCCCAUGGAUGGACCCUUUGACCCUAAGAUGUCUCUUAUUGCUAACGGCGGUAGGAUGAAUGGGCGGAUGGGGGUUCACCUUGAUUUCGUCCAGACCUAAAGCCUAGCCAGAAUCAAUGCGUUGAGGGCUAUGAGUACAGACUGAAGUCCUAGCAUAGAGGCACGCCCUAUGCAUCCCGAGGUCAUGUAUGAGGCGAUUCAGGUCAGUUCUUCUUCAUUCGUCAAUACAAUGGUCAUGCAUAAUUGCCUUGCAACACUAAUGACAAUGCAUUGGCAUGUUGUUGGGCCAGCUGGAUGCAGAUGGACUGCGGGAGGAGAAGCAGAGAUAGCGGGCAAAAAACCGGUCCGUCAUGGAGAAACGGGAUCAGGAAUUGCCAACAAUGAAAGAGAUGGUUGCACAACUUUAUGCCAUGAGUGGCAAAACCAUGCCAGUAUCACCAACCCUGCCACGGACAUGGUGAGUUCUCUGCAAACUUAUUCAACCACCAUCCUAGUUCUUGCCAUUCAUCUUAUUCGUCUCAUGUCCUUAUAGGUCAUUCCUUCAAUUGGGUCUAACAAUUGGCCGGUAGCUAAUCCUGGAGUUGAGCAAGAAAUCCUAAUAGAUACUUUCAAUGUUCCCUUUGCGACCAAAACCAUGUGAACCCCUAGUUAUCGUCAUGAGCUUUGUGCUUUACCAACUUAUCUUCGUGGACAGAACUAUGCAUGCAGUUGUGCUUUUCUGAACUUCCUAUGCUUGAGAACAUUGUGUUUGUGUGCCUGAGACAAUGUGUUUGUACUAUAUUUGAGACCAUAUGUUGUUUGACUAUAAUGUGGCAUUGGUUGAGUCAUCUGCGAAGUGAUAUUGCUUGCUGUAUAUAUGUGAGAAUUUGUUGCAGGCCAAACAUAAAAUAAAUGAAAGAAUUGCCACUACCAGAUGCUUUGCCAAGUUCGGUACUCGGUGAAAUAUCAUUGCCAAGUGUGAAACUCGGCUAUAGUGCCACGUGGCACCAUCUGGUUUCUUGGAUAUGUCAUUGUCGAGUGCCGGCCGGAAGCAACUCGGCAAAGAGUGUAACCUGGGCUAUCGCUGGACAUCUCUUUGCCGAGUAUGCAUCUCGGCAAACUGUCGUUGUCUUUGCCGAGUUUUUGCAGAUGUACUUGGCGAAUGGCCCGUGCCACGCGUCGACCGCCCAUACAACAAGCUUUACCGAGUGUAAAACUCGGCAAACACAUCCACGCUUGCCGAGUAUUUCCUCACGGGGUCUCGGUGAAGACGACAUCUCGGCACACUGUCACGGCCACGUGGCGGCCGCAGAGCAUAUGUGUUCGCCAAGUUCUUGCUUUAGGGAUUCGUCAAAGUUUUCUGCCACGUGACACCCACCGUUUCCGUCCGGCCCAUCGAGUCUUUUUUUUUGCCGAGUCCCCGUGUUCUGGUUCUUGGCAAACUCAAUUUUACCUUUUUUUUUGCGGAAAAACUUCCAAUCUAUUCAUCUUCAAUCAUGGCAGUACAACAAAUACCAGAAAUAAAAAUUACAUCCAGAUUCGUAGACCACUUAGCGACGACUACAAGCACCGAAGCGAGCCGAAGACGCGCCGCCGUCAUCGCCCCUCCAUCGCCGGAGCCGGGCACAACUUGUUGUAGUAGACAGUCGGGAAGUCGUCGUGCUAAGGCCCCAUAGGACCAGCACCCCAGAACAGCAACCGCCGCCGAUGAAAAAUAACGUAGAUCGGAAGGAUCCAAACCGAAGACACACGACCGUAGACAAACAACGACGAGAUCCGAGCAAAUCCACCAAAGAUAGAUCUGCCAGAGACACACCUCCACACGCCCACCAACGAUGCUAGACGCACCGCCAGAACGGGGGCUGGGCGGGGAGACCUUUAUUCAAUUUUCAGGAAGCCGCCGCCGUCUCGCCUUCCUGAGUAGGACACAAACCCUAACAAGAUUGAAAAAAACGACUAAAAACGGAGCCCUCCCGCCGGCCCUUGCCAGGAUCCACCGCGCCUCCAUGGCCCUAGGGCCACCGGAGGCGAGGCGGAACUGCGCCGGCGCCGGCGAGAGGCACAAACUCUAACUUUCUUUCUUGGAGAAGGAGGAGGAGGUGGAGGAGUAGGCCACUUUGUGCAAGCUUCCGUUCUCAUGCAAACUCAACUUUACCUGCAGCUGUAGGAAUCAGGCCGAGUACCUUGGGCCGAGAACAAUACUCGGCAAAGGCGUCGCCGAGUGUGAAACGGCUUUCGCAAAGUAUUUACGUCACUCGGUAAAGUGGUAAAUUCCAGUAGUGUUAUAUAACCUCCGUCCCGAAUUACUUGUCGCUCAAACAAACAUAUUUGGGAUGAAAUCAGAUGAUUACUUGCCAUCCAAUAUUCCAAUUGCAUUUAGUUAUUUUAUUCCGGUUCUCCAGGGGAUGAAAGAACCGGGCCCGGUCCAACAAGAGACCCCAAAUGCUGCCGUGCUGUAUGCGUACGUGGAAAGAAAAGUAGAAGACCCACUCCGAUUCACCCUCGUCCGUCCCAGUGCGUACGUGGGUGCGGUGCGUCUUCUUGAUAAUCCGCCUCCAACGCCAGAUCGAUCGACGCCUUCGUCCCCACAUCCACGCCCACGCACGCCCUGCAGCGAGCAAUGAUCCGCCGCCGCGGCACUUCCCCGGCGGCGGCGCUGGAAGAUGACGACAUGCUCGGGGAGAUCCUGCUUCGUCUCCCUCCUACACCGUCCUCCCUCCCGCGUGCAUCCGCCGUCUGCAAGCGCUGGCGAGGCCUUGUCACCAACCACAAUUUCCUCCGUCGCUUCUACGCACACCACCAGAAGCCGCCCCUCCUCGGCGUCUUCCAGUUCCAUCACGGCGAUCAGCUGGAGUUCACUCCCAUCCUUGCUGCUUCGAACCGCAUCCCUCCUAAGCGCUUCGACCUGCGAAUCCGCGAGGUCGACAGACACGCCUACGUGGGGCCCCAAGCCCAACUUCUCGGGUGCCGCCAUGGCCGCGUCCUCGUCUUACACCGGAUGAAUGCAGAGGUCCUUGUGUGUGACCCCAUCAGUGGCGACCGGCGGCAUGUGCCGAUUCCGCCUGAGUUUAGGAUUGGCUACGUCAAGGGGACGGUGCUCUGUGCUGCACACGACAAGGGCCACGUUCAUGGCGCUUGCCACUCCACCCCUUUCAAGGUGGUCUUGCUGGUUAUGUUUCAUAAUGAUAGUCCACCUCUUGCCUCUGUUUAUUCCUCCGAGUCUGAUACAUGGGGCGAUGUCAUCUCUGCAAAGGCUCCAUGUCCGAUCUACUCUGGUGGUUAUCUUAGCACUCUUGUUGGCAAUGCGUUUUAUUGGCCACUUAUGCAUGCCAACGAUGGUAUACUUGAAUUUGAUUUGGAUAGGCAGAGCCUAGAUGUGCUAGAGGGACCUCCUGGAAGGGAUAUUCCCCUCGGCCAUCAGAUCAUCCCGGCAAAGGAUGGCACUGUUGGUAUUGCCAUGUUGUCUCGCCGUUACCAUGAUAUUCAAAUGUGGCAGAGGAAAGUCAAUAGCAAUGGUGUUGGCACUUGGGUUAUGUGGAAGACCAUUGGAACACAUAACAUUCCUGAGCUCCGACCACCGAUUGAAGGAGAGGAGCCAUGGGUGAAAUUUAUACUAGGAUAUGAUGAGGAUACUGAUGGAAUAAUUUUAUACGUGAAACACAACGUCUACAUGGUUCAACUUAAGUCGAUGCAACGCAGGAGACUUUUUGAAAGUUGGAAUGUUACUCACUAUCAUUGUAUCAAGAGUUUCUAUGCGCCAAGUGUGUCAAUGUAGUAUUUCCAUCCUUGGGAGAUAACAAAUCAAGUAUCAAAUGAGUAGUAGUGGAAAAUCAAAUUUUCAAAUGGUUAACUCAUGCUUACUUAUGAUACUACCCGGAUAUCAUUUAAUCCCUUGGUGAUUGUAUUAGAUUUCUUGGAAUGAAACAAAGUUGACCGAUAUACCUGUUAACAACAUGCUGAUAUUCCCUAUUGAGUAUUGAUUGAAUGCCUAUGAUGUAAUUAUGCUCGCCAUUAUGUUGUCUUCUGCUACUUCCAGAAUUCUGCUAAAUGGAACCCCAGGAGCUCCUUUCUCUCACAGGAGGGGGCUCAGGCAAGGUGACCCAUUAUCGCCCAUGUUAUUCAUCUAGAUCAAUGCGACAUCAGAGGGACGACAAGAGCAAGUUAGAUUUGCAGUAUAUGUUGCUUGGAACAUAUGGAAAGAGAGGAACCGACAGGUUUUUUAGGCAAAAACAGCCCAGGUUCCUGCUAUUUUGCAGCUGGUGUUGGAUGACAUCUCCCCUGAAGGUGGCAUUUUGUGAGUAGUAGCGUUAGGAGAAGGGGUGAUCAGCCCAUGUCUGGUUGACUGUUUUCUUUCCUUUCCUCUGUUCUCUGCCUCGGAACUUCGGUUCGUUUUGCUUCUGUAACCAUUCUUUCCCCUAUAAUGCAAUGGCAGAGCUCCUGCCUUUUCCCAUAAAAAAAUAUCUUCUAAUGUUACUUAUAAAAGCAUGAGUUAGGUGAAACCAAAUGAUCUCAACCGUUCAAUCACCUAUAUCCAACGCCCCACACCCCUCUAAUGAUGUAUCCAAUACACAUCAUUGAUAAAACUGGAAAAAAAAUAUUAAUUGCAUUAUUUAUAAUUAAUUUUGAAACAAAAUUAAUUUCGUUGAUAGUAGUUAAUCCUGGAAAAUAUCAGUUGCAAGAAUAAUCUUCGUAACUGUAUCACGCACGACCAUUCUACGAAUAACAAGAGAGGGAAGAAUGCAUCAACGAGGAUGCACAUGCACGAGUACUAGUUACUGAAAUUUGAAGACCCAAUUUUCAAAGGACGCGUCUAGGGAGCAGCCGGGUGCUCCCUAGCGUUUCCUGGCAGCCACCCAGAUAUAGCAAUUUUCUGCCCCCCCCNNNNNNNNNNCCCCCGCUACCGAUUCCAGCAGCCACCCAUCGAAGCGAGCAAAUCACCUGGUCCUUCCCCUUCGCCCGAUCCCUCCCCCACCCCUGCGGGUCUUCUUUUUGCCUUUCUCCUCACCUAACCCCCAGCCCCAUCUUCUUCUCUCCCAAGCAAAAAAGGACAGCACGCCCCUUCUCCUCACCACUUCCAGAUCCAAGAAAACCUUCACAGCCCUCCAAUGGCGGCUCCAUUGAUGUUUCUUCUCUAGGCGCGUCGUUCCUGAUUGCCUGGUAAAAAGGCAAAAAAGCAAGGCAAAAAGGUCAGAUUUAGCUCAUCUUCCAGAUCCCCCUCCUCUUUCCCCACGAUUUGUACAAGGCUUCAGUUGUGCAAAACAUUGUGUAAAAAAGAUGUGAUGUUAAGCAUGUUUAGUCUGCUGUUUAGGCAAGUUUCAGCCCCCUGAUUUGGGCAAAUUUAAUCUGAUGUUAAGCAUGAUAUUUCUUCCCAGUUUUAAAAAUCUAUUUACAAAUCUAUUGCAUAUGAACACAUUUAUAAAUCUGUAGGCAAGUGCUGAUAGUAAAUGCUGGGGACAAAAAUACAUUUAUAAUGCCUUAAGCAAGAAAAACAACUGAGAAAAAACAGUACUUAUUAAGAGGAUGAGAAACAACUGAUCAUGAUCUAUUUCUGAUGUGUUCCGGUUCUAUUAAUUGCUUAUAACAGUGCAAAAAAGACAUUCUGUUUGGGCAAAAACAGUGCUAUGAAUCGGUGUUGCUCUUCGGUUCCCUCCUAACAUUCUAGUCUUUUGGAGGGAGAGGGUCCAAGGCCUCUUAUAAAUCGGUGUUGCUCUUCGGUUAGGUCUGGUUGACGCAUGUGGGUCCGGAACACUGAUACUAGCGGACCCUGGAUUGCGUAACACACGCAACAUUGUCAAAAUUUAUGCCCGCAAUAGAUAAAUUGUGGUAACCGGCGCCAAAAUAAACUGUAGACAUCUAGAAGUUAGUUGUGACGCGCACUAAUAGACGCCCUCCAAACAUAAGUUAGGUCCAAAAAUGCCUAAGAAAAUUGUAAAUACUAAAUCCAGAGUAGUCUCAAAUUUUAAGAGGGUCAAAAAAUUCCUAAGAAAAUCAUAUUUACUAAACCUAGAUAGAGUAGUCUCAAAUUUUAAGAGGGUCAAAAAAUUCCUAAGAAAAUCAUAUUUACUAAACCUAGAUAGAAUAGCUCAUUUGUCCGCUACUUCGGGGGAGAGUCCAGUUUGUACAUGAGAUGCAUCAAAAAAGUUGCUUACGUUAUUUUAAAAAUGAUUAUCACACAUAAAAAUCUAUCAAUGUAAUAUAAAAAAUACAGACAGUUCAGAAAUGUUCGUAACAUUAGAAAAAAAGGUCACACAUUUAAACCAUGUUUAUCACAUCUAGGAAAUACUCGUGAAAUACUAAAAGAAAUCUGUUAGCGUAAUAUAAAAUAAUUGUUGAUACCAUUCAAAAAAUGUUCAUGACAUUUAGAAUCGCAUGAAUAAAAAAAUAGGUCCAUAAUGAAUUUGAAAAAAAUUCAAGGUAUGUUUAUGAAAUGUUCACUGUUUAUUUUGAAAAAAGUCAAUGUCCAUUUUAAAAAUGUUCAACAUGUAUUUAAAAAAUGUUUUAUAUGUAUUAAAAAGUUAAACCAGUAUUUAAAAAAUUCAUGGCAUGGAAAUAAUAAUAAAGAAUUGAGAAAAACGAAUAAUAAUAAUAAUAACAAAGAAGUUAAAGGAAAAACAAAGAAGAAAAGAAAAAUCAUAAACUAGAAUAGAAAACACAGAAAAUUAAAUAAAUAAACCAGACAAAACAUAGGGUUUAAGGGUUUCGUAAUAUAGAACCUUUCGGAAACGCUCCUACUGCUGGUAGAUAGGUGCUAUUCAGCCGGCCCACUCAAACAUCGCCGAAGGCGAGAGAAGCAUAGGUCUCGGAAUAAGCGAGAUAUAGCUACAAUCCCGUACUGGGCGGCGGCAUCUCAUUGAGCCCAAUCCCGUACAGUACCCAGACUGCAGAAGGAGUAUUUGGAACGGAGCUCUCGCUUUAGGUUGAGUAUAUGAAUUCACACUCUCCUUUUUUCAGAUAACAUGUGCAUGCAGGUAUUCUUCAGGUAGUGUUGCUAACUGAAGCUCAAUCUGUUAUUCACCCCUAUAAAUAUCUAAUGUAUAUUGGCAAAUUGGCAUUUGCCAUUCCCGUCAUAUUCUGAAUGACCUGAGGCUCAGUAUGAUUUGGAUAAAAGCUUGUACUGGUAGAUAGGUACAAAGCUACUCCUACAAGGUUCUGGCUUAGGCAUACUGGUAGGUGGUUCUGCACCCAGUACCAAGUACUCCCUCCGUCUCAAAAUAAGUGUCUCAACUUUGUACUAGCUUCAGUACAAAUUUGUACUAAGCUUGAGACAGUUAUUUUGGGACGGAGGGAGUACCAAGGACCAAGCACUGCACCCAGUACCAAGGGUCUGGUUUAGGCAUACUGAAAUGCAACCGAAACCCUGUAUCAUUGGCUACUGGUUCUGCACCCAGGAUGAAGGACAGAGUGAUAGGUGUGAUUUGCGGCCAACUCGGAAGUUCGUGCAUAUUUCGGGCCUCCAUAUCAUAUCUAGCGCAAGAGCUUUGUCGGUCAAGUCCACAAAGUGCCUGGAAGAUAUAAUAUUAUAUAUCCCCAAGAUUAGUGCUUAAUGGUUAGGUCAUGGUCCAAGUUUGGCCACUAAUGUCAUGUUUUUGAUGGAGACUUAUCAAACAAAAUGUUCCUCAAUGAGCCAACAAUGCCAUUAGCUAAAGUUGUUCUCCAGUCCAAGCAUGCGUUCCUUGACUAUGGACUAAACUUUUUUUACAAAGCAAGUUUAUUAUAUCUUGGGUCAGCCAAUUAUAAACCCACAAGGAGCAGAACAAGUAUGUACUGAAAAUACUACUUCCUCCGUCGCAAAAUAAGUGACUCAAUUUUAUACUAACUUUAGGUAGUAAAUCCCAGCUGAACUAUUGCAAUAAGUUAAAACCCUCUUCUUUGAAAUGGGCUGCUAGUAUUAGGAAGCAUUGGCGCCUGCAAAUAUUUCCUUGAGCAUGGACUAGAUCGUGAUUUCAAUUUCAAUGUAUCAUUCUUCGCACUCUGAAUCGACCAAAGGGUGUCCUCGCUCAUGAUAUGCCCUUGGAUUUGUUUUUCAUAACUAAUGCUCUCAGCUUUUGAUUGUCUAAUAAUUAAUCCAGUUGCUUCAUUUGAUUGCUUCAUCUCUUCAUAUCUGUAAUCUUAUUUCAACACAAGCAUUCAACUAGUAUGCGCUGAAAAUUAGAAGAUGCUAAAACUGAAGAAAAAGUGCAGGAACUUCGGUAAUAAAGUCCAGAGUGUUUGGACCCCGGGACAAUAUAUUAUGUGUCCCCAAAAGUAGCGCUUAGGAUAGUCUCUCAGGAGACAGAGCCGCCCCUCCCCUCCCUCCCCCGACCCCGCGCCCGCGCCGCCUCCCCAGGGGGCGGCCGAGGCGGCUCCCCCCNNNNNNNNNNNNNNNNNNNNNNNNNNNNNNNNNNNNNNNNNNNNNNNNNNNNNNNNNNNNNNNNNNNNNNNNNNNNNNNNNNNNNNNNNNNNNNNNNNNNNNNNNNNNNNNNNNNNNNNNNNNNNNNNNNNNNNNNNNNNNNNNNNNNNNNNNNNNNNNNNNNNNNNNNNNNNNNNNNNNNNNNNNNNNNNNNNNNNNNNNNNNNNNNNNNNNNNNNNNNNNNNNNNNNNNNNNNNNNNNNNNNNNNNNNNNNNNNNNNNNNNNNNNNNNNNNNNNNNNNNNNNNNNNNNNNNNNNNNNNNNNNNNNNNNNNNNNNNNNNNNNNNNNNNNNNNNNNNNNNNNNNNNNNNNNNNNNNNNNNNNCUGGCGGUGGCCCGUCACGGUGGUGGCGCCGUCCUUUGGCGGCGGGGCGGCCUGGUUGCGCAGGGUGGCCGGCGGCGCGCCCUCGGCCCAGAUCUGGGCCCUUAGGGCCCCAUCUGGGUCCUAGCGGGCCGGUCCCUGGGCAUGGCCUCGUUGUCUGCGGCGCGGUGAGGAGGAAGAGCGGCUCGGAUUUGGGGCGGCGGCACCGCCGGCGUGCCGGCAGCAGCGUGAAGGAGGGAGCUUUGCGGGCCCACGAGGGCUCGGCCGGGCCUGUGGGCCCACGGGCCUGGUGUGCUCCUGCUAUUGCGUCCGGACGGCUAUCGUUGCGGACGGUGGAGGUGGGGCCCUCCCGCGUGCCGAUGGUGCUGAUGCCCUAGUCCCGGCUCUGAUUCUUUGCCGCGCUAUCCUCACUUCGCGGUGCCGUGGUGAGACGGCGUGGGGGCCUCAAGACCGCGUUGGCGCACGAUGGUGGUUGGUUUGGUGGCAGGCUCCGGGGCGCCCGAGGUGCGGGUUGUGAUCGGGGGAAACCCCUGUCGGCAUGGCCAACACCGGCGUGGUGGCGCCUGUUGGUGCCACCUGACCUUCUGGGAGGGCGGUGGGGCUACCCUUCCUCUCGCCUCGUCGUGUACCGGGGGAACCCUUGGCAGCAGCGUCGUCAUCGCCGCGAUCCUUCUUGGAUGUGUUGAUAGGUGCCGGCGCUUCGGAGUCUUGGAGUCUAGUGGAAGAUCCUGGUGGGCGCUUCGAUCGCGAGGCUUCUUCAUUUUUGUUGAUCCGCCGUUGUCGGCAUUUGUUUCUUUUGCUUUUCUCUGUCGUUUCUUUUGGGCGUGAGUGUGCUGCUUCCGCCCCAGCACCUAUCCAUGUAUGGUUCGGUUGGUUGCUUUGUAUACAAAGCGGGGGGAAACCCUUUUUCGGUGAAAGUAGCGCUUAGUGGUGAAGUCGUUGCCCAUGUGGCCAUGUUUGAUCGUUAGUGCAUGUCUGGCCAUUCUCCAAAGGGGACUUGAACAAAAUGUUCAUCAACAAGUCCACAAUGCCACUAAUCAAGUUGCUUUGCUGAUCAAGCAUACGUCCUCCUUGACCAGGGACGUAUAAAUAGACGCUCAUCCUGCUCCCAGACCGACAGCCUGGAAUUCACAGGAUAAUUUGAAAACCAUUUCUUCCAAAUGAGGUGCUACUUGUCAUGGGGAUGUUUAUUCCUGGUCCUCGGCACACUGAACUCCAUGUUUCUGAGUUGUUCGGGCUGCUUCAUGGAGGAGAGGGCAGCCCUCAUGGAUAUUAGCUCUUGGUUCAUGGGCGUGCAGUACAUGGUUCCCACUUCUUGGGGAGACGGUCGUGACUGCUGCUCGUGGGAAAGGAUCACAUGCGACAGUAGCACGCGACGGAUAUCGCGUCUCGACCUUUUCCAAGAUAUCCACCAAUACGUGUCUGAUAUUAAAGAUGAAUGCUGGAACCUUAACUUGACGGUCUUUUCUCCGUUUCGGGACCUUCAGCUACUGAAUUUCUCUGGACAACAGGCUAAGUUACAGCAUUUCGAGGGUAUGUAACUCUUGUGGCAUGCGUGCAACUAUUUAUUUUCUCACUAGUUUUGAUUACAGAUCAUCUUAUUCUGAAGAAAACAAUUAAUCAGGUCUCCAAGGAUUGAGUAAGCUCAAGUAUCUUGACCUCAGUGACAACCGUUUGUUAGGGGGUAUCCCAAGAUCCAUCGGCAAAUUGGUUACUCUGGAAGUCAUAAAUCUCAAUGGAAACAACAUAGGUGGGGAUCUUCAGAAUAUAGGUACUGAAACAAAUCAGUUUAACAUUCCCUUCAAUUGGUGCAAUUAAUUUUAUUAGUUGCUUUAUGGCAUGUACAAAUGACAGGUUUUAAAAAUCUCCGGAAUCUGCGAGAAUUGCAUUUGAGAUCCAAUCGAUUGAGUGGUAGCCUCCCAGCAUCCGUAUUUGCACUUUCAUGCCUUGAGUACUUGGAUCUCUCAGAAAACCACUUUGAAGGGCAUAUACCUAUAAACUCAUCUUGGAACCUGCGACAAUUGCGUUUGACAUCCAAUAGAUUGAGUGGUAGCGUCCCAACAUCCGUAUUUGCACCUCCGUACCUUGAGUACUUGGAUCUUUCAGAAAACCUCUUACAAGGACAUGUAUCUAUAAAUUCAUCCUGGAAGUGUUCCCCAGUGCUUCAAACUAUCUUGUUAUCUGAAAACAUGCUAGGCGGUAAAUUUGAUUUCUUUUGGCUGAGAAACUGUAUCAAACUCAAAGAGAUAGAUCUGUCCAGGAAUACUGAUUUGGUAGUUCAAAUGAAACUGCAUGGUUGGGUACCUAAAUUUCAGUUGAAUACACUAAUGCUCUCUUUGUGUAACCUUGAUAAGAGCAUUAUUACAGAGCCAAAUUUCCUGCGCACACAGCAUCACCUACAGUUUCUUGAUUUGUCCAACAAUAAUUUGCCGGGAAGCAUGCCUAAUUGGCUGUUCACAAAUGAGGCAACACUAGUUUACCUGGACCUUGCAAACAACUCACUAGUUGGAUCAUUAGAUCCGAUAUGGGAGCACCAAACUAAUCCUGAAGUUUAUCUGGAUCUUGCAAAUAACUCACUACUUGGAUCAUUAGAUCUAGAACAUGUGAACAUAUCUCUGAACCAAAUUGAAGGACAACUGCCAGCCGACAUUGGUUUGAUGUUUCCUAAUAUGAAGGUUCUUGAUGUUUCCCACAAUAUUAUUUCUGGAACAAUACCACCAUCACUGUGCAGCAUUGGCGACAUUAGUAUUAUGGACCUAUCAAAUAACAAGUUUGCAGGAGAGGUACCAUCUUGCUUGUUCAAUUGUUCUGCAGCAAUAUUGAAGCUCUCAAACAAUAAUCUUGGGGGUAUGAUACUUGACGGGGCUAGUAACUUACCUCACAUAUGGGCAAUUUACUUAGACAAUAACAAAUUUGAAGGAGCUCUCCCUAAAAAUCUGUCUGGUGGUGUGCAAGUCAUGGAUUUACACGGUAACAAUAUUUCAGGAGAACUUGAAACCUCAUUAUGGAAUCUUCCUUAUCUGGAAGCUUUAAGCCUUGCUAGUAAUGGUAUAACUGGUGACAUCCAUCCAGAAAUAUGUAAAAUUACGAGUCUUCUGCUGUUAGAUCUGUCCGGCAACUACUUUACUGGGCGUACUCCAAACUGUAGUGGUACAUUACUACUCCACUAUCUGAGUAUAUCUGGGAAUUCGCUGUCAGGCUCCCCGAAUGACUUCUUCAACAACUCCUCCAUUGCAGUUCUGGAUCUCAGCCAUAAUACACAGGCAACCUUGAGUGGACACAUUAUCUUCCUUGGAUCAAUCUACUUCUAUUAGGCUGGAAUAAUUUUGAGGGGCAGAUCUCUUCAAACCUCUGCCAUCUCCGAUUCUUGAGUAUACUUGACAUCUCACACAAUAGACUUUCGGGUUCCAUACCACCAUGUGUAGGUAGCAUUCCAUUUGAAGACACUUCCCAAGAUGAUUGGGAUUGGCCCGGUGCGGGUGAUAGGUCAUUUGGAGCGGGGCCGAUGGGCCUUUAUAGUGAUGGGUAUGACCUCCCACACUUCAACUUCACAACCAAAAGGAACUCCUACACAUACGGACGGAACUUUUUCAUGUCGAUGUCUGGCAUUGACUUCUCUGCAAACAUGCUGUCAGGUGAGAUUCCAAAGGAGAUAGGGAAUUUGAGCCAUAUCAAAUCUCUCAACCUGUCAAAUAAUUUCUUGACUGGACCGAUUCCUGCAACCUUCGCAAACAUGAGCGAGAUUGAAAGCUUAGACCUAUCAGGAAACAGGCUGAAUGGAUCAGUACCAUGGCAGUUAAGUCGGCUAUCAUCCCUAGAGGUGUUCUCUGUGGCAUACAAUAACUUAUCAGGAUGUCUACCAGCCACUGGUCAGCUCAACACAUUCGAUAUGGACUGUUACAGAGGGAACAACAACCUUCGAUCAUGCACUUCCAGUCCAGGUCCUGUGGCAUGGAAUGGUACUGUAGGAAGUGAGCCUGAUGGUUCUGACCCGAUCCUCUACGUGGUCACUGGCGUUUCGUUCGUCUUGGCAUUUUGGGCCACUAUCACUUUCAUAUUCUGCCAUCCAUUUGGGCAGCGUGCUAUUGUCAAACUGUAAUAUGUAGAGAGAGAGAGUGCGUGCGUGCUGCUGAAUAAUAGUGAUGGUGUGUAAAGAACAGAUGCAGACCACUUUAGCAAUCUGCUUUCCGAUUAUCCAUGUAUUUGUAAACCAUAUUAUCUUUUGUUGCUUCUAAGAAGCUGCGUUGCGGCAAAGAUUAUUCUGAUUUCUCCUGCUUGAAGAAGGCAACUAAUUAAAUAUCGGUGUAAUCCUAUUUAAAAUCAAAGUUUUAAAUAGCGCGCUAAGCAUCUUAGCGUCGGACCUCUUUCAAAUGCUAUAGCGUGCUAUAGCGGAGCUAUAGCGCGCUAUUUAAAAUGUUUGUUCAUUUGUUUGGACCAAAGUCUCUUAGCGCAAGACCUUUUGUAAACGCUAUAGCGUGCUAUAGCGGAGGUAUAGCGGGCUAUUUGAAACAGUGUUUAAAAUAGACCUUAAGAACAGUAUGGAAUGCUGGGAGGUAAGAUGCUGCCUCCUGGGGUAGAAUUACUGAGAAAGGAGGUAUAUGUAAUACUGCCUCCUAGGCUUUUAAGUUUUAUUGGAUUUUCUCAAAGCCCAUUUUUCUUCUGCAAGAAGCAAUAUGAAGUGAUGUGGGAGCAAGUGUUAUCUUCCAUUAUUCCUAAAGAGCAGGGUAGUCUGUAGUUUAAUCUUUUCAGCAGUGAAGAGUUUUAACAAAUUUUGUGAAGCAGAAGUUACCAUGUAAGCUCAAGGUGCAGAAUGGUGGUGGGAAGUUGAUAUUUCGGGAGGAUCCUUGGUUCUACAUAGCGCUUUCUUUGGCACUUUUUUAAAAAAAAUUCUGCACUGAACUUCCUUUAGCACUGCUGAAGCCUCAUAAUGUUUGUAAUGCUACUACUGUUCAUGUAGCUGAGGAUUUUGGAGUGUACCUGUUGAUGCCAAGCUCCCUGCAAGAUUGGGCUAUAUAUAUACCACAUAGCCCUUUUGUUUUUUGAGAACAUUGCCCUUUGUUACUCUUGAACUCAUCUUCCUCUGCAUCUCAUUUGCUUUGCUUCUCCUGUACUAAGGUAGCAUUAGGCCUCUGAUGAUGUUUUUGAGGUGCAAGCCACUAAUGAUAUUGAGAGAAAGGUUGAGAAACUGGAGAAAUAAUUAAUUAUGACGCUUAAGAGUCUACCUAUGCUGAUUGCCUUUUCCAGUCUCCAGGAUUGGGAAGUGCACAGUAUAAUAUUUGAGACACUAUUUUAUUUCAUCAACUGGACCAACUGAUAGUUCAGAAUUCUACAACCGAUGAUACUACCUCUGGGAUUUCUACUAGAGAUGCAAGCUCUAUUUGUGUCAUUCUAGCUUGAUUGCGUACCAAAUCCCUUUGUAACAUUGUCAAUAGUUUCCUGUGAUCUGGAGCAAAAGCACCAACACCAACAGCAAUUCAUUAUCAUCUUGGUUUGCAAAUUGAAAUGUACAGAAUCAGAUCUGUUUAGAUCAUACCAUCAUUGUAUUGAAUUGGUUCCAUUUUGGAUAACACCUUUACAUACCUUUGGACUUUCCUUUUGACUUCAUGACACCAUCACUUUGGAUAACCAUUUGUGACACCAUUGUGGCAACAUCCGGCUCAACAUUGCAGGCAUGCAUCUUCCUGAAGACGAGAAACGCUGCAUCCGCCAUGCCAUUCUGCACAUACCCUGACACAAGCGCACUGUAAGAGACCGUGUCCUUGGCGGCCAUCUCAUCGAAAAGGCAAUCAGCAUAGUGUGUGUGUAGAGUUUGUCACCAUGUGUGAGAGUUGGUGACAAACUCUCACACAUGGUGACAAACUCUACACACGCACGCACACACACAUGCACCAAGGAAGAAGACCAAAAUGGCUUUGCCAAGAGAAACUUCCUUGAUGCCCACCGUGGCUACAUUGUGUAUCCAGCCCUCACGGCCUGAACUUUUCUCAUUCAUCAGUACAACUUAAAUACCCAGUAAAAUAGACUCACACGCAGCCAAGGCAACAACCUAUCCGGUUCUCAUGCCAUGCACCACACGACCUGAUCCACUAAUCAACUGACCCAUGCACUAACUAAUCUAGCAACAUGCAUGCGCACGUACAGCACCGGCGCAAUCUCUCCACAACGGCCACAUGACUUGGCCGUCUAACAAACUAACUCCACGUCUCAACGUGGCCUAUUACUUCAUGCACCAACUAAUUCUUCAGCACAUACGCAGCUUCAUGCAGCAUGACACUCGCCACGGCGGAGCGUCCCGCACGUCCCGCAUGCUCCUGACGCGCCCGACGAAUCCGACCGGAUUAGACGCCGUGGCUUAUUCCAACAGAAUGAAGGCCUCCGGCAUCCUGCCGCACACCACAAAGUCUCCCAUGAUGGUGCUCCAAGUAACAUCGUUCCUAACGGCCAUGGCCUCGAAGACCCUGUGAGCAUAUAGCAAGUUCCCGCACUUUGCGUACAUGUCCAGCAGCACGGUGCCGACGAGCACCCCGUCCUUGUCGUGGAGAGAGGCGCGGACGCUGUAGCCUGUAGGCAUGCACAGACUUCCCCCGGCAGAGCGCGCUCUGCUGGGCGAGCAGAGGAAGGAGCGCGACGAGGGUGGAGUCGUUGAGUCUGAGGCAGGCGCGGCCCUCCUGCAUGUGUUGGAGGCAGUCGAGCUCGUGAAGGUACAUGCCGUGGAGCGCGUAGCCGGUGAGCAUGGCGUUCCAGGCGACGGCAUCCCUGGCGGGCAUGGCGCGGAAGACGGCGGCGGCGGGGCGGAAGCGGGCGCACUUCAUGUAGAGGUCGAUGAGGCCGUUGCAGACGAAGAGGUCGGUGUGGAGUCCCGCGUGGGCGGCGUGGCGGUGGAUGGCGCGGCCGCGCGCGCAGGUCGAGCAGCGCGGAGCACGCCUUGAGGACGAAGGGGAAGGACAUCACAGAGCAUGGCGGCGUAGAGCGCGAGCGCGCCGGCAGCGUGGGUGGGCCCGCGCCAGGAGUAGGCCCGGAUGAGCGCGUUGUAUGCGCGCGCGUCCGGGUCCGGUAUUCCGUCGAACAGGUCGCGUGCGCGCGAUGUUGUGCUCGAACUGCCGGUGGUGGUGGUCGAGGUGGCGCGGACGUGGAGAGGAGGUGGGCACCCGGAGGACGGCGAGGUGCGGUGGCCGGCCUGUGUUUGGUGGCGGGAAGUCGAUGCCGCAUCGCGCAUCCUUUUUUUAGGGAAACGCGAUCAUGGCUCACUUUAUUGAAGAUCGACAAGAUGGGCGACAAGCUCCGGGACCACAAAAACUUCUUGGCUGAUGUUGACAGGAGGAACGAUACCAUUCAAGAGUGGGUGGGGCAGCUCAAGCGUGCCAUGUAUGAAGCUACCGACAUCCUCGACCUCUGUCAGCUCAAGGCCAUGGGGCGUGCAUCAUCUACUGCUCUAGACGCAAGGUGUUUCAACCCCUUGCUCUUCUGCAUGCGGAAUCCCUCCCAUGCUCAUGAGAUCGGCACCCGCAUCAAGACGCUCAACAAGAAGCUUGACUACAUCAAGGAGCGAAGUGCUGCUUUCAACUUCGUCAAUCUCGGGUCCUAUGCAGAUCAUAACAACAAUGCCCAUGGCUUUCGCCAUUGUAAUACAAGUCGGGAGACGGUAGGUGACUUCGACCGGUCAGCUAUUGUUGGAGACAAGAUUGAACAAGACACAAGAGCACUGGUGGCCCAGAUCAUGCGGACGGGAAUGGAUGUCAACAAUGGCAUCAUGGUGGUUGCUAUUGUAGGUGUUGGUGGGAUCGUCAAGACCACCCUCGUCCAGAAGGUCCUCAAUGACAAGGCAAUCCAAGGUGAAUUCAGCAAAAAGAUAUGGUUGAGCGUAAAUCAAAACUUCAGUGAUGUUGAUCUGCUGAGAAGGGCCAUCAUUGAAGCCGGAGGAUAUGCCCAACCACCUGAAAGUGCAAAGACCAGCCUUCAUGAAACCCUCGAGAACACACUGAUUGACCACAAGACCUUUCUGGUAAUGGAUGAUGUGUGGAACCAUAGAGCAUGGGAUGACGUGCUGAAAAUACCCUUAGUCAAUGCUGCUGCUUUAGGAAGCCGAAUCCUCGUCACUACCAGAGAUGAAGUUGUUGCCCGAGGGGUGAAAGCUGGCCGUACCACCAUGUCGACAUAUUAGCGCCUGAAGAUGCUUGGUCAUUGCUCAAGAAGCAGGUCUGUACUUAACAGUGAAGUGAAUAAUCUAUCCCCAUCUACGUAUUAACAGUAAUUAAUGAUCCAUUAAUUACAUGUAAUUUAGUGACUUCUUUUUACUAUUACCUGUUGGAGGUAAGAGUUUGUCACUAAUUUUGUAAGGCCGAGAUUACUUUUUAAGUGCCAACAAGGAAAUAUGCCACAACACUAAUUGAGACACAUAGAUUUUGUUUAAUCAAUCUUUGAGAAAUAAUUAUAUAUAUAUAUAUAUAUAUAUAUAUAUAUAUAUAUAUAUAUAUAUAUAUAGACGGUCUAUUCUACACACCACUUCGGCACUGAGAGCGUGCUGCAUCAUUUUGACGACGAGCACUGCAAUAGAGACUAGUGAACUUCUCGUCGGAAAAAACGGCACGCGUUAUUUUUUCGGUACUGUUUUUGCUCUAAUUUUUUAACCGUUUAUCGGAAUGAGGCGUGUAAUACACCAUUGAAAAUCUAUGGAUUAGGCACAACUUCGACAUGUUGAACAUUUUUCGAGAUUCCACACGGUUUAAUAGCAGUUUUAAAAAUAGUGCGGCAGAUGACGAGUGGCAGCGAACGUUUUUUCGCCUUUUUUUCGAACCCGCUUGCCGGAAUGAAGCAAAUGAUACGCCAUUGGAUAGAUAUCGUCGAGGCGCAUCUUUCUCAUAUAUAAAUUUUUCUCUAAUUCGUUAUGGUUUAAGAGCAAUUUCAAAUUUACUAAAUCGCGGAACUCUGUUUUUCAAAAAUUUUGAAUUUUUCGGUACUGUUUUUGCUCCAGUUUUCUAACUGUUUGUCAAAACGAGACGUAUGAUACGCCGUUGGAAAGCUACAGACAAGGCGCAACUUUCGUAUGCUGAAAUGGUUUUGAGAUUCCUUACGGUUUUUAGUUAAUUUUGAAAAUCGUGCGGCUGACUUCGAGAGGCAGCGACUGUUUUUUCGUGAAAUUUUUACGAACGGCUAGUCGAAAUAAUUCAAAUCAUACGCCGUUGGAAAGAUAUCAACGAGACGCAACUUUUUCAUGUAGAACUCUCUCUCUAAUUCCUUACAAUUUAAGAGCAGUUUCGAUUUUACCGAAAAGCGGACACUCUGUUCUUCGCGAGACCAAAAUCGUCAUAUUUACUGCAUCAGACAGAAGAACGCACUGCUUCAGACAAAAUACCGCACUGCAUCAGACGGGCUACCGAACUUCAUUGUGUUUUUUUAGAUGUAAAUUUUGUCGGGUGAGGAAGUGGAGUGCGCUUCACAUCGGGCAUAAGUGAACCGCAACACUAUCGAGAGCUGAGCCUCAUGAGAUUACAGAGUGAGCUUCACAUCGGAUCGGGCGUAAGUGGACCGCAAAACUAUCGAGAGGUGAGCCGCUUGAGAUUACAAAGUGAGCUUCACUUCGGGCGUAAGUGGACCGCAAAAACUAUCGAGAGGUGAGUCACAUGACAUUACAAAGUGAGCUUCACCUCGAGCGUAAGUGGACCACAUAACUAUCGAGAGGUGAGCCACAUGACAUUACAAAGUGAGCUUCAAAAAAUUUACAUACCAGACACUUUUGUUUACCAAGUGAACCACAUAGGAUUUUACACUUAAUCGCAUCUAAGCAUCAUUUUCUAUAACAAACUUGGCCUUGCAAUUCUAUUACACAGGCUGUACACACAAUUCACAUAAAAAUUAUGGGGGAGGAUAGCACCACGAGGCUUUCAACGGGACUCUGAAACCGAAACUACAUUGCAUUGCACUGCGGUACUGCACUGAACACACAAACUAUGUACUUGUUGGGUUGGAUUGAUGUGCUGCUGCAAAAAUAAUCAAAAACUGCACUCAAACUGCAUGAUGUGGUGCAGACGCGAUGUGGACUCGCGAGAGAGAGUUUGCUCAGCGGAGGUGAGCUGCACGGGGGCGGCAAGCGAGAUGCACGGUGAGAGGCAACCGAGCUGCACAGAGGCUGGCGAUGCGGUGGGUCACCGGGGAACUGCACGGCUACAACGCAAGUACUGCAGAGCCGCGACGCGUGGACUUCCCGGGAUCCAGCAACUGCAUAGACGUGCCUCCGCCGACGAGGAUCCCGCAGGGACGGUAGGACACCCGUGGGAGCACACUCCCUCGUCCCUCUGCCCACCCCGCGCCGUGACAUGCAUCCAAUCCCACGGGAACGGAUCAGGCGACAUCCGACUCUCCUCCUACGGCCUCCUGUCCGUCGCCGGGGAGCCUGGGAGCCGUGGCGACCUCGCCGUGGGGCCUCGACCGCGCGCCCGAGGUGGGGGAGGCGGGGCCACGACCUCUGCCGUUGACCUCGCCGUCGAUGGAGCACCUCCUCCCCAUCCUCCCAUCGAAAGGGCGCAGGACAGGGGCGGUCUCGGCGGCGCGGGACAGGGGCACCCACGCGGAUCUCGCCGAAUUCGGCGACGAGCUGCACGAGCGGGGUGGCUUCCGCGCUGAGGGGCCGGCGGUGGCCGGAUCCGGUGGUUGAGGCCGCGCCGGGGGCCGAGGGCGGCCGGAUCCUGCCAUGUCCGCUGGAUGGUGUGGGAGAAAGAGGAGCGUGGCGGCCGGUAUAGAUGGUGGUGCCCGUGGGACGCAGCCGGAGGUGGUGGUGGGCGGCGCCGUCGGAGAAGAAGGGUUGGGUAGAGGUGCUCCGCUCCGGAGGUGGGGAGGGAAGUGGGGCGGCGCAGGGGGAGAAGUGGGGCGCGGCGUGGGGAGGGAGGUGGGGCGCUGCGUGGGGAGGUGGCUGGCUGGGAGGGGAGCAGGGAGUUGAUGAAGGUCGUGGGGACCGGAGCAAGGAGUUUCUUUUUUUACCUCGUGCAGCUCGUCUCUUGCUUUUGCGGGGUAAGUUUGUAGCUACGGGUCAGCUCGGUACUGUUAGUAGAAUAAGCUUUUUUGGUGUGCAGAAUAAGGUCUUAAGGGGUGUUAUCAUAAUAGACUCACCCUAUAUAUAUAUAGACACACACACACACCAGUGGAGAGGCAUGGGUCGUAUAUUUGAGGGGAGAAACCUUUUGUCAAUAUCCAGUCUCGUUUUCCAACAUAUGAGAUUAAGAUCUAAGUGCUCAGCUACUCAACAGUGUCAUAGGACAUAAUAUAAAUUAAAAAUUUCUUUAAGACAAAAAAAUAACAAUUUUGGUGAACCCCUGCCAAUACAACAAAAGAAUAUAACACGAAAAUUACUAGACUAGAAGUUGGCAGUAAUUUUGCUAGAGAAUUUGCAAAGAAAUUUAGUACUAAAUGUUUGGCGUAUAGUAUUAUGCAUUAUAGACGCUCGAGAUAUAAGACAAUUUCAUGUUACCAUAAAAUAUGAAAACGAAUAAAACAAUAUACGAUUUCUGUUAAAUUUGGAGUUACUUCUUAUAACGGUGAUGAGAGAGUAGUACUAUAGUAUAUUCUUAUUGCAGUAUGUUCCAUCUUGUAAAAAGAAAAGGAAAGAAAAUUAACUGUAUCGAUCCCUUGUACUGUAUGUUUGCAGGUAUGCUCAAGUGAGAUAGAUGAAGACCACAUCAAUAUGCUAAAGGAUAUCGGACUGAAAAUUAUACUGAAAUGUGGUUGUUUACCAAUUGUUGUUAAAGUAAUGGGAGGACUCUUGCGUGAAAGAGGGGGGCUACGACGUGACUGGCAGCGGAUUUUGGAUGAUUCUAAAUGGUCAACAACUAAAAUGCCCGAUGAGCUCAACCACACAAUAUACUGAGGAGGAGGAGGAAGAAGCAGAAGAAAAAGAAGAAGAAGAAGAAGAAGAAGAAGAAGAAGAAGAAGAAGAAGAAGAAGAAGAAGAAGAAGAAGAAGAAGAAGAAGGAGAAGGAGGAAGAAGAAGAAGAAGAGGAAGAAGAAGAAGAAGAGGAGGAGGAAGAAGAAGAAGAAGAAGAGGAAGAAGAAGAAGAAGAAGAAGAGGAGGAGGNNNNNNNNNNNNNNNNNNNNNNNNNNNNNNNNNNNNNNNNNNNNNNNNNNNNNNNNNNNNNNNNNNNNNNNNNNNNNNNNNNNNNNNNNNNNNNNNNNNNNNNNNNNNNNNNNNNNNNNNNNNNNNNNNNNNNNNNNNNNNNNNNNNNNNNNNNNNNNNNNNNNNNNNNNNNNNNNNNNNNNNNNNNNNNNNNNNNNNNNNNNNNNNNNNNNNNNNNNNNNNNNNNNNNNNNNNNNNNNNNNNNNNNNNNNNNNNNNNNNNNNNNNNNNNNNNNNNNNNNNNNNNNNNNNNNNNNNNNNNNNNNNNNNNNNNNNNNNNNNNNNNNNNNNNNNNNNNNNNNNNNNNNNNNNNNNNNNNNNNNNNNNNNNNNNNNNNNNNNNNNNNNNNNNNNNNNNNNNNNNNNNNNNNNNNNNNNNNNNNNNNNNNNNNNNNNNNNNNNNNNNNNNNNNNNNNNNNNNNNNNNNNNNNNNNNNNNNNNNNNNNNNNNNNNNNNNNNNNNNNNNNNNNNNNNNNNNNNNNNNNNNNNNNNNNNNNNNNNNNNNNNNNNNNNNNNNNNNNNNNNNNNNNNNNNNNNNNNNNNNNNNNNNNNNNNNNNNNNNNNNNNNNNNNNNNNNNNNNNNNNNNNNNNNNNNNNNNNNNNNNNNNNNNNNNNNNNNNNNNNNNNNNNNNNNNNNNNNNNNNNNNNNNNNNNNNNNNNNNNNNNNNNNNNNNNNNNNNNNNNNNNNNNNNNNNNNNNNNNNNNNNNNNNNNNNNNNNNNNNNNNNNNNNNNNNNNNNNNNNNNNNNNNNNNNNNNNNNNNNNNNNNNNNNNNNNNNNNNNNNNNNNNNNNNNNNNNNNNNNNNNNNNNNNNNNNNNNNNNNNNNNNNNNNNNNNNNNNNNNNNNNNNNNNNNNNNNNNNNNNNNNNNNNNNNNNNNNNNNNNNNNNNNNNNNNNNNNNNNNNNNNNNNNNNNNNNNNNNNNNNNNNNNNNNNNNNNNNNNNNNNNNNNNNNNNNNNNNNNNNNNNNNNNNNNNNNNNNNNNNNNNNNNNNNNNNNNNNNNNNNNNNNNNNNNNNNNNNNNNNNNNNNNNNNNNNNNNNNNNNNNNNNNNNNNNNNNNNNNNNNNNNNNNNNNNNNNNNNNNNNNNNNNNNNNNNNNNNNNNNNNNNNNNNNNNNNNNNNNNNNNNNNNNNNNNNNNNNNNNNNNNNNNNNNNNNNNNNNNNNNNNNNNNNNNNNNNNNNNNNNNNNNNNNNNNNNNNNNNNNNNNNNNNNNNNNNNNNNNNNNNNNNNNNNNNNNNNNNNNNNNNNNNNNNNNNNNNNNNNNNNNNNNNNNNNNNNNNNNNNNNNNNNNNNNNNNNNNNNNNNNNNNNNNNNNNNNNNNNNNNNNNNNNNNNNNNNNNNNNNNNNNNNNNNNNNNNNNNNNNNNNNNNNNNNNNNNNNNNNNNNNNNNNNNNNNNNNNNNNNNNNNNNNNNNNNNNNNNNNNNNNNNNNNNNNNNNNNNNNNNNNNNNNNNNNNNNNNNNNNNNNNNNNNNNNNNNNNNNNNNNNNNNNNNNNNNNNNNNNNNNNNNNNNNNNNNNNNNNNNNNNNNNNNNNNNNNNNNNNNNNNNNNNNNNNNNNNNNNNNNNNNNNNNNNNNNNNNNNNNNNNNNNNNNNNNNNNNNNNNNNNNNNNNNNNNNNNNNNNNNNNNNNNNNNNNNNNNNNNNNNNNNNNNNNNNNNNNNNNNNNNNNNNNNNNNNNNNNNNNNNNNNNNNNNNNNNNNNNNNNNNNNNNNNNNNNNNNNNNNNNNNNNNNNNNNNNNNNNNNNNNNNNNNNNNNNNNNNNNNNNNNNNNNNNNNNNNNNNNNNNNNNNNNNNNNNNNNNNNNNNNNNNNNNNNNNNNNNNNNNNNNNNNNNNNNNNNNNNNNNNNNNNNNNNNNNNNNNNNNNNNNNNNNNNNNNNNNNNNNNNNNNNNNNNNNNNNNNNNNNNNNNNNNNNNNNNNNNNNNNNNNNNNNNNNNNNNNNNNNNNNNNNNNNNNNNNNNNNNNNNNNNNNNNNNNNNNNNNNNNNNNNNNNNNNNNNNNNNNNNNNNNNNNNNNNNNNNNNNNNNNNNNNNNNNNNNNNNNNNNNNNNNNNNNNNNNNNNNNNNNNNNNNNNNNNNNNNNNNNNNNNNNNNNNNNNNNNNNNNNNNNNNNNNNNNNNNNNNNNNNNNNNNNNNNNNNNNNNNNNNNNNNNNNNNNNNNNNNNNNNNNNNNNNNNNNNNNNNNNNNNNNNNNNNNNNNNNNNNNNNNNNNNNNNNNNNNNNNNNNNNNNNNNNNNNNNNNNNNNNNNNNNNNNNNNNNNNNNNNNNNNNNNNNNNNNNNNNNNNNNNNNNNNNNNNNNNNNNNNNNNNNNNNNNNNNNNNNNNNNNNNNNNNNNNNNNNNNNNNNNNNNNNNNNNNNNNNNNNNNNNNNNNNNNNNNNNNNNNNNNNNNNNNNNNNNNNNNNNNNNNNNNNNNNNNNNNNNNNNNNNNNNNNNNNNNNNNNNNNNNNNNNNNNNNNNNNNNNNNNNNNNNNNNNNNNNNNNNNNNNNNNNNNNNNNNNNNNNNNNNNNNNNNNNNNNNNNNNNNNNNNNNNNNNNNNNNNNNNNNNNNNNNNNNNNNNNNNNNNNNNNNNNNNNNNNNNNNNNNNNNNNNNNNNNNNNNNNNNNNNNNNNNNNNNNNNNNNNNNNNNNNNNNNNNNNNNNNNNNNNNNNNNNNNNNNNNNNNNNNNNNNNNNNNNNNNNNNNNNNNNNNNNNNNNNNNNNNNNNNNNNNNNNNNNNNNNNNNNNNNNNNNNNNNNNNNNNNNNNNNNNNNNNNNNNNNNNNNNNNNNNNNNNNNNNNNNNNNNNNNNNNNNNNNNNNNNNNNNNNNNNNNNNNNNNNNNNNNNNNNNNNNNNNNNNNNNNNNNNNNNNNNNNNNNNNNNNNNNNNNNNNNNNNNNNNNNNNNNNNNNNNNNNNNNNNNNNNNNNNNNNNNNNNNNNNNNNNNNNNNNNNNNNNNNNNNNNNNNNNNNNNNNNNNNNNNNNNNNNNNNNNNNNNNNNNNNNNNNNNNNNNNNNNNNNNNNNNNNNNNNNNNNNNNNNNNNNNNNNNNNNNNNNNNNNNNNNNNNNNNNNNNNNNNNNNNNNNNNNNNNNNNNNNNNNNNNNNNNNNNNNNNNNNNNNNNNNNNNNNNNNNNNNNNNNNNNNNNNNNNNNNNNNNNNNNNNNNNNNNNNNNNNNNNNNNNNNNNNNNNNNNNNNNNNNNNNNNNNNNNNNNNNNNNNNNNNNNNNNNNNNNNNNNNNNNNNNNNNNNNNNNNNNNNNNNNNNNNNNNNNNNNNNNNNNNNNNNNNNNNNNNNNNNNNNNNNNNNNNNNNNNNNNNNNNNNNNNNNNNNNNNNNNNNNNNNNNNNNNNNNNNNNNNNNNNNNNNNNNNNNNNNNNNNNNNNNNNNNNNNNNNNNNNNNNNNNNNNNNNNNNNNNNNNNNNNNNNNNNNNNNNNNNNNNNNNNNNNNNNNNNNNNNNNNNNNNNNNNNNNNNNNNNNNNNNNNNNNNNNNNNNNNNNNNNNNNNNNNNNNNNNNNNNNNNNNNNNNNNNNNNNNNNNNNNNNNNNNNNNNNNNNNNNNNNNNNNNNNNNNNNNNNNNNNNNNNNNNNNNNNNNNNNNNNNNNNNNNNNNNNNNNNNNNNNNNNNNNNNNNNNNNNNNNNNNNNNNNNNNNNNNNNNNNNNNNNNNNNNNNNNNNNNNNNNNNNNNNNNNNNNNNNNNNNNNNNNNNNNNNNNNNNNNNNNNNNNNNNNNNNNNNNNNNNNNNNNNNNNNNNNNNNNNNNNNNNNNNNNNNNNNNNNNNNNNNNNNNNNNNNNNNNNNNNNNNNNNNNNNNNNNNNNNNNNNNNNNNNNNNNNNNNNNNNNNNNNNNNNNNNNNNNNNNNNNNNNNNNNNNNNNNNNNNNNNNNNNNNNNNNNNNNNNNNNNNNNNNNNNNNNNNNNNNNNNNNNNNNNNNNNNNNNNNNNNNNNNNNNNNNNNNNNNNNNNNNNNNNNNNNNNNNNNNNNNNNNNNNNNNNNNNNNNNNNNNNNNNNNNNNNNNNNNNNNNNNNNNNNNNNNNNNNNNNNNNNNNNNNNNNNNNNNNNNNNNNNNNNNNNNNNNNNNNNNNNNNNNNNNNNNNNNNNNNNNNNNNNNNNNNNNNNNNNNNNNNNNNNNNNNNNNNNNNNNNNNNNNNNNNNNNNNNNNNNNNNNNNNNNNNNNNNNNNNNNNNNNNNNNNNNNNNNNNNNNNNNNNNNNNNNNNNNNNNNNNNNNNNNNNNNNNNNNNNNNNNNNNNNNNNNNNNNNNNNNNNNNNNNNNNNNNNNNNNNNNNNNNNNNNNNNNNNNNNNNNNNNNNNNNNNNNNNNNNNNNNNNNNNNNNNNNNNNNNNNNNNNNNNNNNNNNNNNNNNNNNNNNNNNNNNNNNNNNNNNNNNNNNNNNNNNNNNNNNNNNNNNNNNNNNNNNNNNNNNNNNNNNNNNNNNNNNNNNNNNNNNNNNNNNNNNNNNNNNNNNNNNNNNNNNNNNNNNNNNNNNNNNNNNNNNNNNNNNNNNNNNNNNNNNNNNNNNNNNNNNNNNNNNNNNNNNNNNNNNNNNNNNNNNNNNNNNNNNNNNNNNNNNNNNNNNNNNNNNNNNNNNNNNNNNNNNNNNNNNNNNNNNNNNNNNNNNNNNNNNNNNNNNNNNNNNNNNNNNNNNNNNNNNNNNNNNNNNNNNNNNNNNNNNNNNNNNNNNNNNNNNNNNNNNNNNNNNNNNNNNNNNNNNNNNNNNNNNNNNNNNNNNNNNNNNNNNNNNNNNNNNNNNNNNNNNNNNNNNNNNNNNNNNNNNNNNNNNNNNNNNNNNNNNNNNNNNNNNNNNNNNNNNNNNNNNNNNNNNNNNNNNNNNNNNNNNNNNNNNNNNNNNNNNNNNNNNNNNNNNNNNNNNNNNNNNNNNNNNNNNNNNNNNNNNNNNNNNNNNNNNNNNNNNNNNNNNNNNNNNNNNNNNNNNNNNNNNNNNNNNNNNNNNNNNNNNNNNNNNNNNNNNNNNNNNNNNNNNNAUUUUUUAAAACGUUAGAAAUGUUAUGUUAGAUCGAACUAGUUUAUUUUUAGUAAAUGCUUAGUUUGAACUAGUUGAAUUAAUAUAACUAGUUUAUUUUUAGUAAAUGUUUAGUUGAACUAGUUGAAUUAAUAUAUAUAGAACUCGUUUAUUUUUAGUAAAUGCUUUUUUGACCUAGUUGAAUUAAUAUAUAGAACUAGUUUAUUUUUAGUAUAUGCUUAGUUUGAACUAGUUGAAUUAAUAUAACUAGUUUAUUUUUAGUAAAUGUUUAGUUGAACUAGUUGAAUUAAUAUAUAUAUAGAACUAGUUUAUUUUUAGUAAAUGCUUUAAACUAAUUGAAUCAAUAUAACUAGUUUAUUUUUAGUAAUUGCUUAGUUGAAUUAAUAGAAGUAGUUCAAUUAAUUAAAUUAGUAAGUGAUUAAUGUUUCGCCUAAUAUGAACAUAGGAAAUGUCGUCUGACGACGGAAAAAAAUUUAUUAUGUGUGAAUACUGUGAAGACCAGCGUGGCCAGUGCGACAGAAAUUUCCUUGUUGAUGGUAGGCGAUUCAGCAUCAAGCUGGAUGAGACUUUCGAAUUCGAUACAUUAAGUCACAACGACAAGUCUGUUUUCGUAAUUAAGCAUGACUUAUAUAUGCUUCAUUUUGCCUGACUUAUAAUUUUUAAUUUUCACUAUUAUACUAGCGCAUCCCGUGCCAUGCAAGAAUUUUGGUCUUGGAUAAGAUAGGUUUCAAAGAUAUGGAAACUAUGGAGGUAAAGAGAGCUUACCUGAAAACUAAGCAUGAUGGUUAUACUUUCAACGUCAAAGUAUACAAUGCACACACGUACACCUAUUUUGAAUGCAAAACUUGGCAAGCACAAUGCAAGGCUUAUGCAUUUGAGCCUGGUAUGGUUAUCACCUUUGAUAUUCGUCCGGAAGAUGAUAUUGAAGGUAAUAUAGACAUAUGGGUCGAUGUGAAGACGCCUCCAGUUCUACCAUUAUGUGAGUUCUUCUCAACUAUAUUUUUGUCUUUGAUAUUGCUUAUUCAAAAAUAACUGACAACUAAUUUCUAUUGACAGCUUAUCUCCAUUCAACCAAACAUGUCCGGCGCUUGGUAGACAGGACCUACUACUGUCCUGGAGCUGAACUAAACUGCGAGGAGAUAAGUCAUUAUGUUUCAUGGCUUGAGGAUCUUCAUACUGUCAAAACAAAUUUUCUUCCUGCACUUAGAAAUGUUAGUACUCAAAACGUGCGACCAAUAGUGAUGGUAUUGAACUACGGUCACAUCUAUUUAGGAAUGAUGGUAAGAUAUUUACUACUUGUCCUCAGUGUAUAUUUUGCAUACAUAAUUUUUUUGCUAAACUUUCAUUGCUAAGUAUAUUAAUUAAGUACUAUACAAUGUUCUUCAACAGGGACUCCCGAUGACAGUUGUGCCUCAGGGGAUCGAGACUAAAGGUCAGAUGUCAAUUGUUAGCUUACGGCCAAGAUAUCCUGCAUUGCACAUGAAUGCAUUCAGGAUUUCUAGAAGCGAUGAAUGCUUAAUAGUGAAAGAUUGGAGGGAAAUUGUUAAUGAUCGCAGAGAAGUACUAGGGGGCAGCAAUGAGAAGCGCAGCCCACGAUUAGGAGACAUGUUCAUCGGUAUGCUCCAGUAUGAUCAAUCAGGAGAGCUAUACAUGUUCUAUGCUAUUUUACCAGAGAGAGAGUAGCUAGCAGGAGUGAUUUAGCUAGUUCUUCAUGCUGCUCUUAAUUAGUACUUGUCCUUUCAUGUCCGUGUUCUUCGUUUUGAACUUAAGUGAUUUGCUUUUGUGGUGUUAUAUAUGAACGCUUAUAAUAUCAUGACAAUCAUGUUGAACUCGAUCGAUAAUAUUUUUGCUUCUGGUACAAGUGAAUGUUUCUUCUUUAAGAUAGUAGUGCUGGUGGUGAUUAGAUAGGUAGUUAAUUAUUAUAUCUUUUUAUGAAAGAAACCGCAGAUUAAUUUCAGCUGGAUGGGUCCUACCUAAGUGAUCAAGUAUAUGCCAUAUCCGUAUAUAUUAUAGUUGAUCAAGUAUAAUAUGGAUAUGGCAUAUACUCUAGCUAGCUAGCUAUAGAGAUAUCCAAUAAUGCAUCCAGUCGAAACUAAUCUGCGGUACUUUCACCUAAUGAUUUAACAACUCAUUAUAAUGUAAAACAAUCACUAAAUUAAAUUGAAAACACAAAAUUAAAGAAAAAUUAAAAAAACACCCAAACAUUUAGUAUCGGUUGGUGUUACCAACCGGUACUAAUGGCCUCCACGCAAACGGGCCUGGCUCGUGCCACGUGGUGGCACUUUAGCGCCGGUUCGUCACGAACCGGUACUAAAGGGAGGGGACCUUUAGUCCCCACUCUUUAGUGCCGGUUGACGAACCGGCACUAAAGCCCAUUACGAACCGGCACUAAAGGCCGGUUCUGCACUAGUGUUAUUUUAUCUCUUGCUUUUCGUCCAUAUAUACUGCGUGAUGAUGAGAUAUAUUAUGUACCUUCCUUGUGCAUGUUGCUAAGUAUUUUGUCUUUUUACUGCUUUCCAAUGCAUGUUUUCUCGAGUUCAACAUAGGAGUAUCAUUUAACCAUAUUGUAAUUUUCUUGCCAUGCAGGUACCUUAUCAUGUUGUAUGGUGGACCCACAAGGAUUUGAGUCUAUGUACAAAAUAAGAAGAAGCACCUUCAGUUACAUUUGCAACUUGGUGAGGUUGCCAUUUUUGGAAGAUAUGAUGGCGAGGGAUCACACCUUUGUUGAUGGGAGAGUAAUGUCUUUACAAGAUCGAGUAGCCACUGCUCUGAGAAUGUUGAAUUCUGGUGAACCACCGGUGGUCAUAGGAUCCUAUCUUGGUGUCAACGAGUCCACUAUCUCGCUGGUAACUCAGAGGUUUAUUGAGGAUAUUCAGGAGCGAGUGUUGCACCAUUUGGACUGGCCAUACAAUUUCCAAGCAAUGGAGAAGAUCAAGUGCAGGUUUGACAAGAUGUACGGCUUGCCAAAUUGCUGCGGUGUUGUACAUACAACUUACUUUGAAUUUGGAUCACCAAAACUUGACCAUGAGGAGAACAUUGACACACUAAUGCAAGCCGUUGUUAAUCCAGAUAUGAGGUUCACAAAUAUUUAGUUUGGAGCAUCAAGUAGCAUGAACCAGGCAAAUGUUUUGCGCGACUCUUGGCUCUUCAAGUCCUGCGAGAAAGUACUUUGUUGGUUGGUAGCAAGUUCAAGGUAUCAGAUGGCUCAGACAUUGGGGAGUACAUCAUUGGUGAUGAAGGAUACCCUCUUCGUCCAUGGCUCCUCACACCUUACCGGUUGGAGGAUGACAUCUCAGACUCGAAAGUGGAGUUCAACAUGAGACACUCUGCAGCUACAGCCAUGGCGCUGAGGGCACUAGAAAGGUUGAAAGACACGUGGAAGUGCCUACAGGAAGAAGGCUGGCAUCCGAAUAGUCAACAUGAUUUGCGGCGGACAAUCGACACGUGUUGUAGGUUGCAUAAUAUAGUGAUAGAGAUGGAGGAGGAGGGUGCAGUCAUGCUCAGCAAUCAGGAGGAGAAUUGCAUCGAGCAAGUGAGCCAGUUAUUAGACGAGGAUGCUGUCAAGGUGAGGGAUGUACUAUCCAAGCACUUGGUCGAUUCUCGAGGUAAAAUAACACAUUUCUUAUCUGUUCAUUUUAUAUUUCUUUCCCUCUCAUUGAUUCCAUCUUUCAGCUACUUGUUUAGUCCACACAUUCGCUACAGAGGAGGAACAAGAAGCAUCCAGUCGAAGAGAUGAAAACAAUGAACAAGAAGCACACCAACUACAAACAACGAAUCGAGGGAAAUUAUACACAAAUAACAAAUUGACAGCCCAAGCAAAUGGUACGUGUUAUACACAAGAAGUGGCAACUGCAAGUUAGAUUCAAAUAUACGUUUGUUUCAUUUUCUCAUGCCUUUCAUCCAUUUAUGCUGCUUGAUGACUAAAUAUAUUCCAUUAAAUUUUGUGGUUCACACAAUUACGAGUUGUUUCAGAUGACAUAAAAACAAGGUUGUAAUGGGCUUUCAACACAAAUUGUAUCCACAUUGGUCGAUGUACGUGUGGGUUGUUUUAUGCAUAGCUGCUCUCUGAUUUGAUUGCAACCCCUCGUCCUUCUUGUUACCCUGAGUAUGAAAAUCUAGAGUAAUAUAAAAAAUCUGAGCAUUGUAAAUUAGAGCCUAUGUAUAACCACUAUUUGCACUUCUCUUGCCAUGCAGAAACUUUAUCAUCUUGUAUGGUGGGCACACAAGGAUUUGAGUCUUUGUACAAAAUGAGAAGAAGUACCUUUAGUUACAUCUGCAGCUUGGUGAAGGUGCCCCUUUCCGAAGAUAUGAUGGUAAGACGUCACACCUUUGUUGACGAGAGAGUGCUGUCUUUCCAUGAUGGUGUCGCCAUUGCUUUGAGAAUGUUGAACUCCGAUGAGACGCCGGAGAUUGUGGGAUCAUCAUUUGGUGUGGAUGGGUCAACGGUUUCACUGUUAACUCAGAGGUUGUUAAGGCCAUGGAAGGACGAGCAAGGCACCAUGUCAUGUUGCCUGGCUCCGCUCAAGUGGAGAAGAUCAAGCACAAGUUUGACAAGAUCCAUGGCCUCCCAAACUGCUGCAGUGUUGUACAUACAACUCACAUGAAAUUUGGAUCGGAAAACCAUGAGAAUGAGGAAAAUGAUGGCGUGCUAAUGCAAGCCAUGGUAGAUCCAGAUAUGAGGUUCACAGACAUUUUACUGGGAUCGCAACGAAACAUGAACCAGUCAAGCAUGUUGCACAACUCCGAUCUCUUCAAGUACUGCGAGAGGGGUGCUUGGCUGAAUGGUAGCAACCUGACGGUACCAUCAGGUGGAGGAUCGAAAGUCAAGGAAUACAUAAUUGGUGAUGCAGGAUACCCUCUUCGUCCUUGGCUCCUCACUCCUUACCGGUUGGAGAAUGGCUCUCACUCUCAGGCGCCAAAGUUGAGUUUAAUAGGAGACAUUCUGCCGCUACAGCCGUCGUGCUGAGGGCACUGGCAAGUUUAAAGGAGACAUGGAAAUGCCUGGAGGGAAAAGGGUGGCGUCCAAAUAAUCAACUUGAGGCGUACUGGACAGUCGACACUUGCUGUAUAUUGCAUAACAUAGUGAUAGACAUGGAUGAGGAUAAAGAGGAGGAGGAAAAGGUGGAGAAUUGCAUCAAGCAAUUGCGGCAGUUAGCAGACGAGGACGCCAUCAGGGUGAGGGACGCACUAUCCCAGCACUUGAUUGAAUGUGGAGGUAAAAUAACACACACAGACACUUUAAUGGCCACAUCUCUAUAUUUUGUUUGUACCUAUUCUGCCAGUUUUACUUCAAGUAUGAAAAAUCUAGAGUAAUAUGUUACCUCUUGCCUUGUAAAUUAGAGAUUAUGUAGCCAAUGUUCUUUCAAUGCAGGAACCUUAUCAUCUUCUAUUGUGGAUGCACAAGGGUUUGAAUCUGUGUACAAAAUGAGAAGAAGUACCUUCAGUUAUAUCUGCAGCUUGGUGAAGACCCCAUUUUUGGAAGAUAUGAUGGCAAGGGGUCACACCUUUGUUGACGGGAGAGUGUUUUCUUUGCAGGAUGGAGUAGCCAUCGCUAUGAGAAUCCUGAACUCUGGUGAAUCACCCGUUGCCAUAGGAUCCUCUCUUGGUGUUGACGAGUCAACUGCCUCACCAGUAACUCAGAGUUUUGUUAAGGCUAUGGCGGAGCGAGCAUUGCCCCAUUUGUGUUGGUCAUACUCCUCCCAAAAAAUGGAGAAGAUGAAGCGCAAGUUUCACAAGGUCCAUGGCAUGCCCAACUGCUGUGGUGUAGUACACACACCUCGCAUCACAUUUGGAUCACAAAACCGUGACAAUGAAGAGAAUGAAGGCAUACUCAUGCAAGCCGUCCUUGAUUCUGAUAUGAGGUUCAGAGACAUUUGCAUGUGGCCGUGACAAUGCCAAUUGUCAACACAUGGUGGCUUUGUGCAACUCUGAUCUCUUCAAUCGCUGCGAGAAGGGUACUUGGCUGAAUGGUAGCAAGCUGAAGAUAUCAUCAGGUGGUGGAUCAGCAGUAAGGGAAUACAUAAUUGGUAGUACAGCAUACGCUCUUCUUCCUUGGCUCCUCACACCUUACCAGUUGGAGAAUGGCCUCUCACUCUCAGACGCCAAAGUUGAGUUCAACAGGAGACAUUCUGAAGCUGCAGCCAUCGCGCUAAUGGCGCUAGCAAGGUUAAAGGACACAUGGAAGUGCCUACAGGGAGAAGGCUGGCGUCCAAAUAAUCAGCUUGAGGCGUAUUGGACAGUCGACACGUGUUGUAUAUUGCAUAACAUAGUGAUAGACAUGGAGGAGGAUGGUGUAGGCAUGCCGAGUGAUCGGGAUCAAGCAAGUGUGGCAUGUAGCAGAUGAGGAGGAGGGUGUCAGGGCGAGGGAUAUACUGUCCCAGCACUUGAUUGAAUCUGGAGGUAAAUUAAGACAACUCUCAACUGUGUUUGUUCGUACUCUAGCUUUGCGUAUUUGCUUCUUCUUUUUUUUGUAAUUACCUGCUGUUGAUUCCAUGAUUCCAUCUUAAUUCCAUCUUAACUGCGUUUGGCUGAAGAGGAGGAACAAGAAGCAGUAGUAGUUGCAUCUGGCUUAGGAGACGAAAAUAAGGAAGAAGAAGCAGUGGUAGCUAUGAUGAAGCGUAUAACCCUUUGUCUCGGGCCGCAAUGUAUUUAUAUGACCGAAGCCUUGAUGUACAAGUUGAGAGAGAGAGAUCGAUCGUGAUCCUCUCGAGAGGUUACAGGAGAUACGGGAGAGAAGAAGAGAUAGAUAGGGAUACAAGUUUAAACCACUUUCCUAUCCCUAUACAACUUAUAUUCUAACACUCCCCCUCAAUCUAAACCCUAUUUGCCAAGGUUGAGAUUGUACUUGAAAUCAUCUAACCUCCGCAUUGUCAGAGGCUUUGUGAAUCCAUCAGCAAGUUGAUCACCUGUUGGAAUAAACCUUAUAUCAAGCAGUUUGCGUGUCACUCUUUCUCUGACAAAGUGAAAAUCAACUUCAAUAUGUUUUGUCCGUGCAUGAAAAACAGGAUUAGCUGAAAGAUAGGUUGCACCAAUGUGAUCACACCAUAAUCUUGCAGCCUGUGAAACUUUAAUUCCAAGUUCAUGUAGCAAUGUCUGAAUCCACAUUACUUCAGCUGUUGCAUUAGCUAAAGCUUUAUACUCAGCCUCAGUGCUUGACCGUGAGGUUCAUGUAGCAAUGUAUGAAUCCACAUUACUUCAGCUGUUGCAUUAGCUAAAGCUUUAUACUCAGCGUCAGUGCUUGACCGUGAGACUGUUGCCUGUUUUCUUGCACUCCAUGACACAAGGUUUGUUCCCAGAAACACAACAAAGCCACCUGUUGACCUUCUAUCAUCAGCACACCCUGCCCAAUCUGCAUCAGAGUAAGCUGACACAAGCAUAGAGGAAGACUUGACAAUCUGAAGACCAAGUCCCUCUGUAAACUUGAGAUACCUCAAAAUCCUUUUUACUGUUGUCCAAUGAACAGUAGUUGGAGCAUGCAAAUAUUGACAUACUUUGUUAACAGAAUAUGAAAUAUCAGGACGUGUAAGAGUCAAGUACUGUAAUGCACCCACAACACUUCUGUAAUUCGUUGCAUCAUAUGACCCAAGUGCUUCUCCACUUUCAACAGUAAGUUUUUCUGAAGUAGAGAUAGGUGUACUGACCGGCUUACACUUUUCCAUACCUACCCUUCUGAGAAUGUCAGUGGUAUAUUUCUCUUGUGUAAGAAGUAUGCCAUCUUUUACCUUCUUGACUUCAAUUCCAAUAAAGUAAUGAAGAUCUCCUAAGUCUUUAAGAGCAAACUCCAGCUUUAAAUCCUUAAGCAGACAAGUUGUAGCCUCUGAGCUGGAACUAGCAACAAUUAUAUCAUCAACGUAAACAAGAACAAAUAUAGUAACAUUGCUCUUAUGGUAAAAGAAUAAUGAGGUAUCUGCCUUUGAUGGUGCAAACCCAAGCUUUUGCAACUGCGUACUUAGCCUUGAGUACCAGGCUCUUGGGGGCUGUUUUAACCCAUACAAUGCUUUGUCCAACUUACAGACAUAAUGUGGUGUGUUCUUGUUUUCAUAUCCUGGUGGCUGCCGCAUGAACACUUCUUCCUCAAGAACACCAUGAAGAAACGUGUUCUGAACGUCUAACUGUCGUAGGCUCCAACCUCUGGAAAUAGCAAUAGACAAUACAAGUCGAAUAGUAGCUGAUUUAAUAACAGGACUAAAGGUAUCCUCAUAAUAUAUACCAAACCUUUGCUUAAAACCUUUUGCAACUAGUCUGGCUUUGUAUCUCUCUAUAUUUCCAUCAGCUCUUUUCUUAAUUUUGUAUACCCAUUUGCAGUCAGUCACAUUAGCAUCCCUCUUUGGUGGAACUAGCCGCCAAGUUUUGUUUUGAAUUAGUGCAUCAUAUUCGACAUCCAUAGCCUUCUUCCAAUCCUUGUGUGCAAAAGCAUCAUGCAAAUUUGUUGGUUCACCAGUACUUGCGAGAAACGCACGCUUAAGUUUAUCAUACCUGAUUGUACCAUCCGUAUACGUCUUCUCCUUGACAAUACCUGACUGAGAUCGUGUAUGACGGAGAGAAACUGAAGUUGCUGCAGUACUGGCCGCAGAAGAUCCGUCCGGCCCAGAAACCGCAGAAGAUCCGUCCGGCCUAGAGGCACACACGCUCCCCCCGUCGCCAGCAGCAUCGGGACUCGUGGCGCAGGGCGAGGCGCUGCUGCGCGAUCUAGUGGGCUCCAUGCUGGUGGGCUCCACACCUGGCGGGCUGUCGGCCACCGGUCCAGAAGCGCUGGUUGGCUCCGCGCCUGGCGGGCUGUUGGCCAUCCGACCGGGCGUCAUGGGAGACACGUGGCGAUCCACCUGGGAUCCCGCACCCGUCAGACUGCGGCGCGGAUCAGCCUCGGAUCGCGCGGCUGCAGUGCCAGGCGAAUCUUCCUGGGAUCUGGCGUCUGGUCCUGUUUUGGCUGCAUCUACACACAUAAAAUCAUGUCUUGUGGCUGCACAAUCAACAUUAGAUUCAGAAUUUUCCAUGGAAUUUUCCACAUGAUCAGUUCUAAUUAAUUCACCCCCGUGAUCAGGAGAAGAUGGAGGAUCGGAAACAAGUGAGAUUUCAGCACGCAAAAGAGCUCCCGCAUUAGGAUGAAGUUUGGCAAAUGGAAAUAAUGUUUCAUCAAAAAUAACAUCACGAGAAAUAUAGAUACGACCUGAUGAGAUUUCUAGACAUUUGUAUCCUUUAUGAAGAUUACUAUAGACAAGAGACACGCAUUGUGUGGACCGAAACUCAAGUUUAUGGCGAUUGUAGGGACGCAAAUUUGGGUAGCAAGCACACCCAAAAAUUUUGAGAGAGCUAUAGUCUGGUUUUUGAUGAAACAAACGUUCCAAAGGAGUAGUGUUGCCAAUGACUCGACUAGGCAGACGAUUGAUAAGAUAAGUAGCCGUGAUAAAGGCCUCAUCCCAAUAUUUAAGUGGCAUUGAUGCAUGAGCUAAAAGAGACAACCCAACUUCCACCAUAUGACGAUGUUUGCGUUCGGCUGAACCGUUCUGUUGGUGUGCAUGAGGGCAAGAGACAUGAUGAAUAAUGCCAAUGCUACGGAAGAAAGAAUUGAGUUUCUCAUAUUCUCCUCCCCAGUCACUUUGGACUGCAAGGAUCUUUCUAUCAAAUUGUCUUUCAACAAGUUUUUGGAAUUCUUGGAAAACAGAAAAGACUUCAGAUUUGAACUUAAGCAAAUAUAUCCAUGUGAAUUUGCUAUAAUCAUCAAUAAAACUGACAUAGUAUUUCUUGCGACCAAAAGAAUCUCUUGCAUGACCCCAUACAUCACUGAAAAUAAGCUUUAAAGGAGCAUGAGACACACUAUUUGACAAAGGAUAAGGAAGUUGGUGGCUCUUUGCACAUUGACAAGCUUCACAAACUGACUCACUUUCGGAACUACGUGACAAUGAAAGAUUGCCUUUAUUGACUACUUGCUUGACUAUAUUUGGAGAAUGAUGACCUAAUCUUUGGUGCCAUUUGGCUAAGGAGGGCUUGAUGGCAGAAUAAACUUGACGGUGAUGCUUUCGAUCAAAGACUCUUGAUGUGAUGGGAUAUAGCCCUCCAAUGCAUCUACCGUGAUGGAUGAGCUCCUUCGUUGCCCGAUCCUUUAUGAAAAAAUAGGUAGGAUGAGUUUCAAAGAAAACAUUAUUGUCGGAGGUUAAACGAGACAUGGAAGCUAGAUUUUUAUCGGCUUGAGGAACAUGAAGGACAUCUUUAAGAACAAGAUCACGCUUAAGGCUAGGGGAAUUAAUAGAAGAUUGACCAAUGUGGGUGAUGUCCAUACCUCCACCGCUUGCGGUGUGAAUUUGAUCAUUGCCAUGAUACCUCUCUCGGAGGGCAAGCUUCUCUAGCUCGUUCGUGACAUGAUCCGUAGCUCCGGAAUCAGCAUACCAGACCGUGUCACCAUCAGCUCCGCCGUGAUCCCGCAUGGCUGCAGCUGCGUGCUUUGUAUCAGGCACGAAGUCCUCAUCGUACCGGUGCCAGCAGUCAAUGACUUCAUGACCCGAUUUCUUGCACAGCUGACAUCUAGGCCGCCGGUUGUUGUUGUUGUGGCCGCUGUUGUAGCCGCCGUUGUAGCCGCCGUUGUAGUUGUUGUUGCCGCGGUCACCACCAUUGUUGUCGCGAUCACAAGGGCGAGCCUGGCCCUGGUUACCACUGCGCCCGCCGCCGCUGCUGUUUCCGCGUCCGCGCCACUGCUGUCCACUCCCACGACCACGUCCGCGGGAGGCGACGUUGACAGAAGACUGACGCAGAUUGCCUCCUUGAAGCAUGCUGAGGCGGGCGUCGAAGCUCAGGAGCUGGCUAUACAGCUCCUGAACCGUAACAGCUUCAACCCGCGCCGCCAAGGCCGAGAUCACAGGGUUGUAGUCGAUGUCGAGGCCGGUGAUGACGUGGGAGAUGAUCUCGGCGUCUCCGAGCGGUGCACCGGCGCAGGCAACUUCAUCUAAGGGUUUUAAUUUUCCCAAGAUAUUCUGUCAUGGUUAGAUUACCUUUCUGCAGAUUGGUGAGCGCCAUCCUUGUGUUGAUCUUCUGGGCUUGUGUUUGCGCAGCGAACAUGGCAUGGAUGGAGUUCCAAACCUCAGCCGGCGUCUGGAGCAUCGCUACUUGGGCAAGGACCUCUCGAGACAAAGACCCCAUGAGGUACCCUUGUAGCUGUUGCUGCUGCGCGAACCAGAUCGAUCUGGCAUAGUUGAAGACCUGCUCUUCCUUCCCAUUGUUGUUGAUGGUGAUGGUGGCAGGGGGCGCCGCACUUGUGGCGUCGAGGAAGUGCUCCAUCUGUGCUCCUUUGAUCUGAGGUAGCACGACAGCCUUCCAGAGGAGAAAGUUCGUCCUUGUAAGCUUCUCUGAUGGAGGCGGACCGAGAGAGGGCGAGCUGCUGGAGGUGGAAGGUGCGGAUAAAGUGGACAAAGCGCUCAUGGUGGAUGCGGGCAUGGUGGCAGCAGCGGUGGAUGGCGUGGUUCCUGACAUGAUUACCUCUCUUCUCGAUCUCGGUUCCUCUCUUCUCCGAUCAACUAGAUGGAUUCCUUCUCGAGGGCUAGACGUACGAGAGGAAGGGCUCUGAUGACCAUAUGAUGAAGCGUAUAACCCUUUGUCUCGGGCCGCAAUGUAUUUAUAUGACCGAAGCCUUAUGUACAAGUUGAGAGAGAGAGAGAGAUCGUGAUCCUCUCGAGAGGUUACAGGAGAUACGGGAGAGAAGAAGAGAUAGAUAGGGAUACAAGUUUAAACCACUUUCCUAUCCCUAUACAAUUUAUAUUCUAACAGUAGCUGCAUCCAGUUCAGGAGAUAAAAACAAGGAACAGGAAGUGCACCGAGCACAACCAGCGGACCGAGGAAAGGAGAAAGUGCAUGGUAGCUAGCUAAGGAGAUGAGAUCGGACCGCCCUCUCCACUGAAUCAAUUUGGUACUAUUAUUUUUUCCGUCUGUUAUCAAUCGUGCUUCAAGUCGCAGUCCUCUUCUUAGUUUCUAUAUUAAUUUAGUGUCAGUUAAAUGUAUUUUGGAAGCACUACAAUAUCCCUCGGUUAUAGGUGAUAGGAUAAACGUGCUUGAAAGAAACCAAGCUGAUCUCAUCUACUUUAAAUCUUGGUAGGAGCAGGUGGAAGAGGACACUAGGCAGCCUUGGAGAUCUUCAUCCUGCUGCUUGGUUACAUCUAAGUAUCUAACUGUAUGCAUGGAUGCAGUAAUGGAGACAAAAGCCGAAUUGAUGCAGCAACAUGAAUCUGAAGUUGGAUCAACUUAUUAUUCUGCUUUUCUUUUAGUUAGCAUGUCUUUGGCAAAGGCAACGGUUUUGUAUCUUAUAUUAUCGACAAUACACUUAAUUUCACGCGUCGUGAGAAGAACCAGUCGCGUAGCUGCAUGGGAACAGACUAUUUGUGAUAUCCAUACAUCCUUUCAGGUUCUGCAACCUGAAGAGUGUUUUGUGACAGCAGAUCAACUGAUCUUCUCUAAAUUGUGGUCGGCGAACAGCGCAGAGUGUUCUGUGACAGUUGAAGUGCUCGGUGUGAUGCAUUUUACAUAAAUUUGGGGUUGCCUUGCCUGGAGCGGGAGGUAAAGUACUCCUACAGUUUAAUCUGUUCAGUUAGCAGUAUUUCUUUUUUUAUAAAUUUCCUCAUGCUCAUUCCAUCUUCCUGACCAGGGGACGAUUCCCUGCAUCUAUUCAGUUAGUAGUAUUAGCUAGCUUUGGUUCAGUUUACACCCAUGGAACUGUGGUGGCUUCAGAGGAAAAGGAUUCUCGUCCCUCAGGCCUCAACUAUGUUAUCGUGCCACAGACGACGGCGUCGACAUUGGCCUUGUCAUUGCCGCUGAUCAUCUAUGGAAUUCACAUCGAAACAAUUCAUUCCUUUAUUCAGAAAAAGAGCUGGCAUGUCAUGAUCUGACAAGAAAGAAGAGAACAGAGUUGAAGUUGCCUCUUUACCUGCAGCCACACCAACCGCCCAUGUAGACGGAAGACAAGUGUUGAUUAAUCUAACGAUUCACCGAUCCUGCAACGAUAACUGUUAAUUAAUUCAGCAAGGUGAGAUUAGCAAGCUCAUGACCGACUCGGCUCUGCUCUACAAUCUGUACAACACUAUUAUUUUCAGGCUCUAAAAUGUUGACCAUGUAUUAAAAAAUGUUAAUAUUGCAUUUUAAAAGCAUGUUAAUCAAGUCUUUCAAAAAUGUUAAAUGUGUGUAGAAAAAAAUGUUGACCAUGUAUUAAAAAUAUGUUAUUAUUAUAGUUGAAAAAUGAUAAUCAAGCAUUUAAAAAUGUGAAAAUGUAUAUACAAAAAAUGUUGACCGUGUAUUAAGUAAAUAUCAAUUUUGUAUUUGAAAAAUGUUAAUCGAGCAUUCAAAUUUAUUUUAAAUGCAUCCAGAAGAAAUGUUGACCAUGUACCAAGAAAGCAGUGAAAACCAAGAAAGAAAAAAACAAACAUAUUUAAAGAGAAAAACAUGAGAUACUAGUGAGAAAACAAAGAAAAAUCGUAAAAAAAGAAACAAAAAAGGAAAAAGACCUAGCUAAACCAGCGAAAGAAUCGCAAUGAGCAAAUUCGAUCAAAAAAGCUAGUGAGCGCGGAAAAGAAGACGAAAAGGGGAAACACUUCAGCAAGACCGAAGAAACACUUGCGUGAAGCAAGAUAUAGUCCUGGCAUUCCUGAGCGGGGUUGGUUACGUGGGUUUUUUCCUGCAUUUCCAAAGUUGGUAAGUAUUUUGGUAGUUUUAUAAAUUAUACUCACACAUUUUUAGAAAAAUGUCCAUGCCAUUCAAAAUGAAAUUUCCAUGAUACCUAACAGUAUUUGACAGGUAUAAAGAUGUUCAUAAUAUUUAAAUAUUUUGCACAUGCAAUUUUUUAAAAGAAAAUCAUGACAUAUGAAAAAUAUACAUAUCAUUAAAAAAUCACACAUUUAGAAACUUAAUCCACAUGAUUUAAAAAAAAUUGUCAAGUAGAUAAGGGUUCACUCAUUUUUUACGGGAAAAAGAUAUAAAAAAUUUGGAAAAAUAAAAGGAAACAACUUUAUGAAAAAAAAUAGUGGGGUUGAAUGAAGAGAAAAAACCUGGCAUCCAGGAGGGAAAAAGAAGAAGAAAACCCGCUUCCACCUUGAUAGUAGGCUGCAGCUCACAUCCAUAGGCAAGGGCUAACCACUACUAGCAAUAAGCAACAUUUGGCAUUUGCGGACAUCUUGCCAAAAAAAUAAAUAAAGAGUUCAUGACAGACAAAUAGGCUCAUGGGAUGUGGGAAAUCACAUUAGAAAAAGAAAAUCUGAGAUAUCCAGUUAUAGUAUGGAGUUUAGGAAAAAUGUUUUGUGGAGAUUGCGGUUUGUGUGAAAGCAACAAUUAAGUUGUCCAGCAAUAGAAGAUGGACACGUGCAUCUAGAGCUAUGCAUGAUCAACAUCUAGAGAGACAGGGAGAAAACUAUGGGAGAGAUCCAUGGCAGGGCUCAUUAGACACGGUUGUCGGUUCAGCCGUGUUGUGAUGUCUAUGUGGAGCACUGGAGAGAAGAAUCUCGUCUAUUAUUAUCUACCACCUCCUCGGCAGCCCCCGUCGCGGUGGCCGCGGAGGUCCCGGCGAGGCCUCCUGCUGCUGCACUGGCCUCCGGCCAGCCAUGACUGCUACCUUCCCGGAAGGAAGUAGCCGCCGCCGACAAGCAAGCAAGCAAGCAUUUGGCGUGCGCGCGAGGGAAAAGGCCUUAUCUUGCGGUGGCAAAGUCGAGGUCAGAUCCAAUUCGAUCCCCUGCUCUGUUAAAUUUUGAUUUUGUUUGCUCAAAAGAAAAAGAUGCUGCUUGCUUCACCGACGGGAAGGGAAUGUGUUGGAUGCUUUGCUCCUCUCCUCUCCACUCCACCGGUGGGGAUGGAAUUUGGGAUGCUUUGCUUCUCCCCCACCAGCAGCCACAUACUACUUCCAAACGCCUCCGCUGUCCACACGUGUGCUGUCAUUUGUCGCCGUCGUCCGCCGACGACUCAAAGCCAAGGUUGGUGGUCUAUUUCUGAACUUUAAUUUGUCCCUAAAAGUAGUGUUCAUGUUUUAUUUGCCGCUAAUUCAAUUAAAUUUGCCUGAAUUGUCUUGGGUUCUUAUCAUAGAAAGAAAAGAAAAAAAAGACCAGCAAGUUAAACGAUGGCGAUGGUGCUGGAUGCUUUUGCAUCCUACAUCGGGGACUACCUCAAGCAGGUCGUACAAGAUGAGAUCGGAACGAUGCUGGGCGUCUCUGGCGAGAUCGACAAGUUGGGUGACAGGCUUUAGGACCUCAAGAACUUCCUCGCCGACGCCGAUAGGAGAAACAUCACCGACGACAAGUUGAUCUUUUCUGUCAAUUCGAUUCGGCAGAUGUUUCUUUUGAAAAAGAAAAUCCACGGGUACACACUACAGAAGCAUCACCGUGACCAAGCCUCUAUCACGGCUGUGACGAGGCGCUACCGACAGGAGAGCUCAAUGAUGCAGGAGUAUGGUUUGACUUAAAUGGACUUGGUGGGCUGCACCAUUGGUUACUAAACGUGAGGUGCCUAAAUAUUUAGAUCAACUUCAACCGGGCGACCCAAACGGACACGCAUUUUUUCUGUUUUCCGUCCGUUUGGGUUGGCCAUGUGGACGUGCGCGUCCGCUUUUCCAUUUGGAUCGGUUGGUGCAUCCAACAGGAGGCAUACCUAUUUUCCUCCUCCUCCUCCUCCUCCUCCUCAAGACGCGGCGCCUCCUCAUCGCGGCGCAGCUGCUGCUCCCGGCGCUCGCCGCCGGCCUAGCCAGCCAGCCCGAAACCCUAACAAGCAAGCCAUGGUCUCCUUCAGCGGUAAGGGGAGGGGGAAGGGGAGGUUGCGUUGGAGCACAGGUCGUUCUCCAAUACCUGGCAGGUUCUCCAGGGAUCUCACUGGAGCUAUGACCCUGUGAUGGUUCCUUCUCUGUGGGUGUCCACCGCCCGCGCCGAUACCCGUCGUGUGCUAGGUUUUUAGUUGUAUUAGUGAUGUUAUAUGUAUGACACUAUCCGUGAUGUAUUAAUGAUAAUAUUCGAUGAUGUACGGACGCAUGAGAUGAUUUACUUUUGCUUAUUGAAUGCAUGCUAAUUUGAGUCCUAUAAGAUAUUUUGAAAUGUAUAUCUUGUGUUGCUCAAUAUCCAAGUGGCCGGUCAUGUUUGCAGGUUACACCUCCGAGUGGCGUAUGUUUUGCCGGAGUGUUGAUUCAUUUCCGUUCUGGCAAAUUUCAGGCGCUCGAUAUGUCCUAUUUUAGCAAAGGUCAUGCCGGAUUUUUUCGUGAAUUUUGGCAUGACUUGUGCCAGAAUAUGUAGGAAAUAUCGAGUGCCCCGGUUUUGUGUGUUGAGUAUCCUGGUAGUUGUCUUCGAUCGAUUUUCAAUUAAUGUUUUAACUAUGAACAUAGGAAAUGUCUGACGACGAAAAGGAUUUCGGUAUUUGCAAAUACUGCGAAGACGAGCGCGACCUGUGCGACAGAAUCUUCCUAGAUGAUGAUAGGCGCUUCAGCAUCAAGCUGGACGAGAACUUCGAAGUGGAUACAGUAAAUCACAAGGACAAGUCUUUUUUCGUAAUUAAGCAUAACAUCUGCUUCAUUUGCUUCAACUUAUAUUUUUUUUUACUAUUCUAAUAGCGUAUCCCUGCCAUGCAAGAGUUUUUGUAUUGGAUAAAAUAUGUUUCAGUCAUACUACGGAGGAAAAGAAAGUUUACUUGAAGACCGAGAUUGGUUAUAUUUUCCAUGCAAAAUUAUACAAUUCAGACGACUACACCUAUUUUAGAUGCAAAACAUGGCGAACACUAUGCAAGACUUAUGCAUUUGAGCUUGAUAUGGUUAUCACCUUUGAUAUUCGUCCGGAAGAUGAUAUUGAAGGUAAUACCAACAUCUGGGUCGAUGUGUAGACGCCUCCAGUUAGACCAUUAUGUAAGUUUCUCAACCAUAUUUAUAUCUUCGAUAUUGUUUAUUCAAAAAUAGUUGAUAACUAAUUUGUAUUGUUAGCUUAUUUCGGUGCAAGCAAACAUGUCCAGCGCUUGGUAGACAGGACCGUAUACUGUCCUGGGGCUGAACUCAACUACGAGGAGCUCAGUCAUUAUGUUUCAUGGCUUGAGGAUCUUGAUACUGUCAAGACAAAUUUUCUGCUUGCAUUUAAAAAUGUUAGUACUAAAAAUGUGCGACCAAUAGUGUUCGUAAUGAACUACGGUCACAUCUAUUUAGAAAGGAUGGUAAGAUUUUUACUAUUUAUCCUCAGUGCAUCUUUUCCAUACAUUAUUUUUGAAGCUAAACUUCAUUGCUAAGUAUGUUACCAUACGAUGUUCUUCAACAAGGAUUCCCGAUGAUUGUUGUGCCUUAUGGGAUCGAGACUAAAGGUACCAUGAGUAUUAUCAGCUUACGGCCAAGAAAUCCUACUGAUUACUUUAGUGCAUGCAAAAUUAGCGACGGAUGCUUAAUAGUGCAAGACUGGACCAAAUAUGUGAUGGGGGAGCGCAGAGAAGUACUAGGGGCAGCAAACAGAUGCGCUACCCAUGAUUAGGAGACAGGUUCAUCUGCAUGCUCCAACUUGAUUAAGGAGGAGAGCUAUACAUGUUUUAUGUUAUUUUACCUAAGAGAGAGCAGCAGGAGUGAUUAGCUAGCUUGAAAUGAGUUUGAGGAUGAUGAUGUGCUACACUAUUACUAUGAUGAUAAAAUAGCUAGUGUUGGUGGUAAUGACUAUGAUGAUUAUUAUUAGCUAGUGUUAGUGGUGAUUAAAUAAAUAUUGUUGGUGGUAAUGACUAUGAUGAUGAUUAAAUAGCUUGUACUGGCGGAUUAGAUUCAAGUGGAGGCAACAUGUGGUGCACAUCGAAAAUACUACUAGUCCAAACUACAUCAAGUUUGGAUUAGUAGUAUAAUUUUGACAUGCACCACAUAUUGCCUCCGCUUGAAAAAGCUGCCACCAACACGCCCAUGAACAAACGUCUCCAGAAAUUGGUGAGUGCCCUUAUAUGGCGCUCGCGAUUAAUGGGCCGGUGGCCCAUUUCUGAGUAGCGUGUUGCUUUCUUUCCCGGGCGUUCCUAUGGUACAGUUUUAGCGACUGUUUCUAUGGUUUUCUCAGUUAGGCUCGGUUUUUAAGUCGGGUUUACAUUUUUUUUACGAAAGUGAUUUCUUAUACAUAAAAUGUGAAAUAAUAAUAAUAAUAAUAAUAGUUAUUUAAACAUUUUUGGAAAAUCACCUAAUCAUUUUUAAAAAGUACAUGAACAUUUAUGUAAAAAUGCAUGAACACUUUUGUAAAAAUAUUUUCAAUGUGUAUUUAAAAAUUAUCCAUCAUGUAGUAAAAAAACACACAGUGUUUAUAAAAAUAGUCACCAUGUAUUAGUGAAGCUUGCCAACCUUAAACAAAUGUUCACCAUGUAUUAAAAAAUGUUCUUCGUGUAUCAGUGAAGCUUGCCAGCCUUAACAAAUGUUCACCGUGUAUUAAACAAAUGUUCAGUCAACUGUGUUUUAGAAAAUGCUCAUUGUGUACUAAAAAUGUCCACCAGGCUUAAAAGAAUGUGCGUCAUGUCCUAAAACGUUUUUGGGCAUGUAUUUAAUUUUUUUUUCACCAUCUAAUAAUCAAGUCACCAUGUUUAGAAAAAUAUUAAUCAUGUAUCAAUAAAUGUUCACCGGUCUGUAAAAAAUAUAUACCAUGUGUUAACGUAAUAUUCAGCGUGUAUAAAAUAAAAGUUCAUCGGCUUAAAAGCAGUUUCAGUGUGUAUUUAAAAUUAUUCACUUGGAUUUGAAACAUGUUCGCUGUGUAUUUUUUUCACAUAUUUUCAUGUGAAAACAGAGACAAAUGUGUUUCAUUAAUGAAAAAGGGAAUAAAGGGGGAAAACGUAUGAAAUAAAAGAGGAAAAAAUAACAAUGGGGAAAUGGAAAAAGAAAACAGGUGAAAUGAAAUGGGAUAAAAUGAGUCACCAGAAAUGGUGCAAAUUAGGAGGAAGCUGACAGAGUUUAUUUACCAGCAACAUCAAGCGUGAUUCACUACGUUUUGACAGUACAUCUCCAAUAGAACAUGCUCUAAACCAGAAAUCAUUUUCUGCUUCAUAACCCAAUUGUACCAAAAUGAUUUCUGUACUUUUCUUGUAUCUGAAACACAUACCUUUUUGUAUUCUGGAGGAUCCCACUGUAUAUUUGUACCGCAAACAAAAAUGCAAACCCAUUUUGGCUUAUGUGUGUAUCUUUUUAUUCAACACAUAUAAAUACGUAUAUUGAUAAAAAAAAUCAUACACACAUACUAUACAUCUAUACUACAUGUAAAAAAAUAUCUGGACCAUUCUUCGGUAUAUGAAACAAUGUUUUUCCAUGAAUAAAUAAAUAAUACUCCCUCCGUCCGAAAAAUCUAGUCCCAAGUUUGUCCCUUAAAUGGAUGUACUCCGUCCGUAAAAGCUUGUCCCUCAAAUGGAUGUAUUUAGCACCAAGUUAGUGGUGCUACAUACAUUCAUUUGAUGGACAAGUUUGGGAUAAGCUUUUCGGUCGAAGGGAGUAAUGCUUCAAAAAAAAAGAAUUAGAACGGCUCCAUGGAGCCUGCUCUGAAUCGGUCUUUAGCACCCACGAAAUUUAGCACCCUAAUAAUUAUAAAUUCGAGGCACAACGUCACUAGAAGAAAAGUAUGCAUGCAUUGCAAGACCGGAACCAUAUUCAUUACAUUAACCAAAAAGCUCAGCAACAUCGCAAGAGCGUCUGCGACUUUAUUACAUACCCUCGGGCAAUAUGAAAUGCGAAAGAAUUAAAGUUUAAACGAGCAAAAUAUUUAAUCUCCUUGAAUAUGAUCCCUAUUAUAGCCAAAUCUUGGUUGUCUCCACGAGCUGCGUUGCAUCUGUCUACACAAACUUGAAACAGGGAGAGUCAAGUCUCUGGCCCUAAUUACUCAGCUAACCUUGAAUAGAAAUUCCAGCUACAACUUGGACUAUCUGAAUCACUAUAAAUUGAAGUAUAAUAAAAGUAUACAUGGAUCAGUACACAUAUUUUGGACUGUCUGAAUCAUAUUUUUUUUCAUCAAAUUUUUGUUUGAAUCUUAUUCUCGUGCUGCUUCGAACUGUAAAUGCCGGAUAAACCUUCCUCUUCCCGGAACAUUUUGGUUUAUCCUGCAACACCACAAGUCCUCAUGACCUUGGUCAGUUUGUAGUUCAUUCUCUGGUUGCAAAGGAGCCAUAUACCCCUCUGCAACCAUCUCACCAUCUUCAUCAUCUAUUACACUACUAGAUGACCAGUUGCGCCAAUGGCGCAAAGGCCAAGAGUAAGCCAUGUAUUGAAAGAGUGUACAUUAAUAUUAUUCGGGCACAUAUUGAAACAUAUGAGAAAAAUUUCCACUUACUAUAAGUACAAGCGAUGCAAUAUCCAUAUAAUGUACAAGGACAAUAAUUUGGUAUUCUAUACAUUGAUAUUUUUGUCUAAAUUUUGGUCGAAGUUAGAGAUGUUUGACUUUCUGGAAAAAUAAUAUACCUUAUAUUUAGGAAUGGAGGGAGUACAUGAUAUGAGGCAAAACAUUACCUCCGUUUUAAAAAAAAAUCAAUCGGGGAUUCCAUUCAAAAGGAACCGCUCGUAAAUAUUAAUUAAAUUGAUUAAGUUCAGCAACUGUUAGCAGUGAAAUACAUAGUGAUGUUUUUGCUCUUUAGAAAAUCAAACAGGUAUUCAGUUCAGAAAGAUUUUAUGUUAUUUUUUGCGGUAGAAGAGAAGUGUUGAUUAAUCUAACGAUUCGCCAAGUGCGUGGAGGUAAAAUCAAAUAUACAUAAUUCAAUUUGUUUAGUCAGGUUGCUCUGCUAUUUUGGUCUUGUUAGGGGUUGCUCUGCUGAAUUGGUCUAUUGCAGAUGAGCAACUGGAUUUCUACCGCACACAUGUUCAGUUUCUGGUUCACAAGUUGGCAGCUUCUUCUACUACAAUAUCAAAGUUUGUCCUGCCAUUCCCGAAGACAAAACUUUGUUCUAUUACCUGCAUCUCUCUCUCUCUCUCUCUCUCUCUCUCUCUCUCUCUCUCUCUCUCUCUCUCUCUCUCUCUCUCUCUUCCGUCACCAUCAGUGGCCCUUCAGGGUUUCCAAGAAAAGAUUGGAGUAGGUAGGCGUAGACUACAUCCCUGCAUGAACAUAGGUGAGAGGUUAACUAACUUCCUCAAGGCAAAAAUUUCAAACUGUGGUCAAACAAUGGUCAAACUAAUUAUUCUACAAUAUUAGUGUUACUAAAUAAUUAUUUCAGUUAUUUUGAAUUUUGGUCAAAUCUGGUCAAACUAUGGUCAAACAAUGGUCAAACUAAUUAUUCAAGAAAUAUUAGUGUUACUAAAUAAUUAUUGUUUUUUAAAACAAUAGUUUCAAACUCAAAUAGUGAAAUGUGUCACUUCAUGCUCAAGCAAAAUUCCUGAAGGUUAAUAGGAUUGACAUCUUACUAUUGUCAGGAAAACAACAAGUGCAGACAUGGAAACGAGGGAGAAUAGAACCUGAAAGUUAAGCGUGCUCAGGCUGGGGGAGUGGGAGGAUGGGUGACCGUUCGGUAAGUUAGAUGAUUUGGAAUGAUGAGGGGUGAUUAGAGAUUAGAAUUGAGCAGUGAUGAAUGAUGAAUGAUGAAUGAUGAAUGAUGAAUGAUGAGUGGUGAUUAGAGAUUAGAGGUUAAAAUAAUUCAGAAAUUUGAAAAUAAAAAAAAUCAAAAAAAAUCAAAAAAAAAUCAUAAAGGUGGAGCUCCACGUGGCCGUGGCCUUUAGUCCCGGUUCGUUUAAGAACCGGGACUAAAGGGGAGAGGCAUUAGUAACGACCCUUUAGUCCCGGUUCAAAAACCGGGACUAAAGGGCCUUACCAACCGGGACAAAAGCCCCUUUAUCUACUAGUGUAGGUUAGGUAACAUAUUUUAUCCCCCUCGAAAGAAAGUAACAACAAAUUGCUUCGGUUCGUAACUGCCAUGAAAACGUUGUCCAUGAGCGUGCUGAGCCCCAUGUCCACAAUCAAGUCGUUAAUCUCCCUUGAAUGCUCGGCUCAUGUAAUGUGAUGCGCGCCAUUUGGUGGCUUAGACUUUUUCUUCUUCUGCAAACUAUUUGGGUUUGGUUUGAGUUACCAGAUGCAACGUUUUACACAACCCCACUGAUGGAUAUUUUUCCAACAAACAUUGAUUUUCUUGUUCCAUGUGCCGCACUGCAUGCACUACAAUUCAAAGACACAAAAUAAAGAGAAAAAAGAGUUAAGAGUAAAGGAAGGUGGGAGAGUUAUUUGCUUGAUAUAGUGCCCGUGUAGAUGGUGACUGCUAACCACCAACUAAUUUUUUUUUGAACAGUCACCGGGGGAGAACUGCCAACCUAAAUUUGAUCUCAUUCCAAGAAAAUUAUGAGCUAGUUUAUAAGGAAAAUCGAAUAAAAAACCUAAACAAGUUGACUCGUUUGUGAGGGAAAUCGGGCCAAAACGUACAGGUAACAAGGGCAACAAAGGAUGAGAAAAAAAUACGCCGAGGAGAAGGCCGACCUAAUUAGUAGACAAAAGGACCAUCACCAUGAGAGACACAGGUACAUGUGAGGUGCCGUCAAAGGAUCACGAUACCAUAACAUUGCAAAUAGGGUAACUCACCGUACCGGCGUGCGUACCAAACCCUACGGCGCAACCAGGACAAUAUACCAACUAUAUCAGUAUGCUUCGUCAACUAUCAUUGAAAAACAAUUGCACAUGGGUCCUUUGGAAAAUCAACGACAUCUUCCUCCAACACUUGCUGAUGCUGCCUCCAGACCUCCAAAUCACCGUCAUAAAAACAUUGUUGAGGCCUCAACCGAUAAGCUCAGUCAAAGCCAAAGAGGACGCCGAAGGUAGUGAACCACAAAACAGAUUGCCGCCACAAAGAUGAAGAGUAAGCUGGAGACGAUGCCUUUGAAGACCGCCUGCAAAACACGCCAGAGGACUCGAACGUUUACUUUUAUAAUUUGCAUUCGUUUUUGGUACGAACGUGCCUUCUUCACCCACGUUUCUUUGCAUACCUCUAUAAUACUCUUCUAUCUUCAAUUAUGCUUGUACCCACACCCCAACGUGCUCCUUCACGCUAUAUAUAGUUGUAAUUAAAAAGAUGAAUUAUGCAAUAAGGAAUGGAUGAGUGCAGCUAUGUCACAUCAUGCAGCUAGCUAAUAAACACGAGUGGAUAACUGCAGCUAUCUCACAUCAUGUAGUAGCUAGCGAAUAGUCAGGGGUAGAUGACUGCAGCUAUCUCGCAUUAUUACGAGAUGUGAUGGGGUCGAUCAUUGUGCUUUCCUCUCCCUUCUCAUCCCCAUUAUUAAUGUAAGCGGCUCACAAAGGCCAAGCAAGAGCUGCAGAGACCACGUUCGUACGAUUUGAAGAGCGCUGCUGCCCGCCAGAGGAGGCGACCGCCGCGGGACAGAGCUUCUUCUCAGGCUCCGGCAGCUUAGUGCAGGCGAUUUGUUUCGUUUGAGAUCGACAAAUUGUUCGAGCUACAAAUUCCUCUCCAUCUGAGGACGUCGCAUCUUCACCAGGAUCGAAUUGCUCUCCCGAGCUAAGCUGAGGUAGUUCAAGCUUUUUUGUUUGCAUCUUUAAUUUACAACUAGCCAAUCUGUUUUCUAUUUUUGAUAAACUACACCAAGCUAAUUAAGCUUCUUUUAUUUCUACUUAAAUUUCAACUCCUAUUCGAUCAUUCUUUUUGAGAAAAACUUACAUUUCACACUACCUUAAUUGUUGCAGAAAAGCUAGCAAAAGACAAUGGCGAUGGUGCUGGAUGCAUUUGCAUCCUACGUGGGCAACAUGCUCGCGCAGCUAGCAGCAGAUGGUGUGGGGACGAUGCUGGGCGUCUCCUGCGAGAUCGACAAGAUGGGCGACAAGCUCCGGGAUCUCAAAAACUUCUUGGCUGAUGCUGAUAGGAGGAACAUCACCGAUGAGACUGUUCAAGAGUGGGUGGGGCAGCUCAAGCGUGCCAUGUAUGAAGCUACCGACAUCCUCGACCUCUGUCAGCUCAAGGCCAUGGAGCGUGGAUCAUCUACUACUCUAGACGCGGGGUGUUUCAACCCCUUGCUCUUCUGCAUACAGAAUCCAUCCCAUGCUCAUGAGAUCGGCACCCGCAUCAAAAAGCUCAACAUGAGGCUCGACUACAUCAAAGAACAGAGUGCUACUUUCAACUUCGUCAAUCUCGGGUCUUAUGAGGAUCAUAACAACAACGCCCAUGGCUUUCGCCAUGGUAAUCCAAGUCGGGAGACAGUAGGGGACUUUGACCGGUCGGCUAUUGUUGGAGACAAGAUUGAAGAAGACACAAGAGCAUUGGUGGCCCAAAUCAUGCAGGCGGGAAAGGAUGUCAACAAUGGCAUCAUGGUGGUCGCUAUCGUAGGUGUUGGUGGCAUCGGCAAAACCACCCUCGCCCAGAAGGUCUUCAAUGACGAGGCAAUCCAAGGUGAAUUCAGCAAAAAGAUAUGGUUGAGCGUCAACCAAAACUUCAGUGAUGUUGGUCUGCUGAGAAGGGCCAUCAUCGAAGCCGGGGGAGAUGCCCAGCCACCUGAAAGUGCAAAGACCAGCCUUCAUGAAGCCCUCAAGAACACAUUGAUUGACCACAAGACCUUUCUGGUAAUUGAUGAUGUGUGGAACCAUAGAUCAUGGAAUGACGUACUGAAAAUACCCUUAGUCAAUGAUGCUGCUUCAGGCAGCCGAGUCCUUGUCACUACCAGAGAUGAAGGUGUUGCCCAAGGGGUGAAAGCUAUCUGGCCGUACCACCAUGUCGACAUAUUAGUUCCUGAAGAUGCUUGGUCAUUGCUCAAGAAUCAGGUAUGUACUUAAUUAAAUACUAAUCUUUCAGUAGGUGAAUAAUCUAUCUCCAUCUACGUAUUAACAGUUCUAUGUGGUUUAUUAAGAGAAAUGUUAGGAUGCUCCCAAAUUAAUGAGCCAUUAAUUACGUGUAAUUUAGUGACUUCUAUGUACUAUUACCUCUUGGAGGUAAGAGGUUGUCGGUAAUUUUGUAAGGCUAAGAUUAAUUUGCAAGUGCCAACAAAGCAUGGCGCUAAACAAGGAAAUAUGCCACAACACUAAUUGAGACACACUCAAAGACACCUAGAUUUUGUUUAAUCAAGCUUGAGAAAUAAAUAGAAAUUUGGAUAAUGACAUAUGUAUCAUUUCUACCACUGAAGAGACAUGGGUCGUAUAUUCAUGUAGUGAGUAACCUUCUGUCAAUAUCCAGUCUCGGUUUCCAACAUAUGAGAUGAAGAUCUAAGUGCUCAGCUACUCAACAGUGUCAUAGGACAUAAUAUAAAUUAAAAGUUAUUUUAAGACAAAAAAAUAACAAUCUCGGUGAACCCCUGCCAAGACAAAAAAAAAGAAUAUAACACGAAAAUGACUAGACCAGAAGUUCGCAGUAAUUUUGCUAGAGAAUUUGCACACAAAUUUAGUACUUAAUGUUUGGCAUAGUAUUAUGCAUUAUAGACACUCGAGAGAUUAGAUAAUUUCAUAUUACCAUAAAAUAUGAAAAUGAAUAAAACAAUAUACGAUUUCUACUAAAUUUGGAGUUACUUCCUAUAACAGUGAUGGGAGAGUAGUGCUAAAGUAUAUUCUUCUUGCAGUAUGUUCCAUCUUGUAAAAAGAAAAGGAAGGAAAUUUUGUUUUCUUGGCAUAAAGUAUGCAUGUUAUACACACACAUAGUUAAUUAAAUAUAUGUUCGUAGGUAUGCUCAAGUGAGAUAGAUGAAGACCACAUCUAUACGCUAAAGGAUAUCGGACUGAAAAUUAUACAGAAAUGUGGUUGUUUACCAAUUGCUGUUAAAGUGAUGGGAGGAAUCUUGCGUGAAAAAGGGGGGCUACGUCGUGACUGGCAGCAGGUUUUGCAUGAUUCUAAAUGGUCAACAACUAAAAUGCCCGAUGAUCUCAACAAGAUAGUAUACUUAAGCUAUGAAUAUAUGCCUUCGUACCUGAAGCAGUGCUUUUUAUACUAUUCUUUUCUUCCUAAAAGUAGAAGUUUUCAUAUGGAGCAAGUCGUGGCAAUGUGGAUAAGCGAAGGAUUUAUUCAUGGAAGCUAUAGUGAUUUAGAAGAAUUGGGAAGAAAUUACUACAUGGAGUUGGUAUCUAGGAACCUUAUAGAGCCAGAUAAAUCGUAUGCUAAUAUAUGGUUUUGCAGCAUGCAUGAUGUUGUUCGCUCAUUUGCUCAGUAUAUGACUAAAGAUGAAGCCCUCGUAACUCAAGACAUAGACAAUGAUAUUCUUGGUAAACUCGGUUCACAAAAGUUUCUUCGAUUGUCUAUAGAAACUAACCUGUCAGUAUCAGGUGAACUUGAUUGGAAAUCUCUACAGGCGCAGCAAUCAAUGAGAACAUUGAUAUUAACAAUCGAGAUUAAGAUGAUGCCUGGUGAUUCAUUGGUUACUUUUUCUAGUUUGCGGACUCUACAUAUAGAAUCUGCAGAUGUGGCUCUAUUGCUUGCAUCAUUGCAUCAACUCAAGCACCUGAGGUAUGUAGCACUAGUAAAUGCUGAUAUAUCUGUACUUCCAUGGAACAUUGGCAAGAUGAAACUAUUGCAAUUCCUUGUCCUGGAUAAAUGUAAUAAAUUGGUGAAUCUUCCUGAUAACAUUGUGAAGCUUGGCCAACUGAGGUUACUUUCACUUCCCAAAGCAAGUAUGGUACCAAGACGGUUUAUAAUCUGACAAAUAUGAGGAGACUAACUAUGUUUCGAGCCCACAUGGAUGGUGAUUGGUGCAGUUUGGAUGAGUUGGGGCCUCUUUCCAAACUCAGAGUUCUUGAAGUAAGUGAAUUAGAGAAUGUACCCACUACCUCGUAUGCUGCUAAUGCUAUGCUCGACGAGAAGAUGCAUCUUAUCAGGCUAAUCUUGAACUGCACCAGUAAACUCGGAGAUGAUGGGUUGGUCAAAGAGAAGGAAGGUGUCUCUGAGAAAGAGCAACAACGAAUUGAGAAGGUUUUUGAUAAGCUCAGCCCUCCACCUGGUAUAGAAAUACUUGGAAUCAAGGGGUAUUUUGGCCGGCAACUCCCGAGCUGGAUGAUGUCCACAUCAAUGGUGCCCCUCGACAACUUGAAGACUAUAUUUUUUGAAGAUCUGGCUUGUUGCACAAAACUUCCCAAUGCGUUGUGCCAACUCCCUAGUCUGCAGGCUCUACAGGUCUCUCGUGCUCCAUGCAUCAAACAUGUGGGGACUGGAUUCUUGCAGGCGGCAUCAGCUUCAUUUCCGAGCUUAAAUGCAAUGAUCUUGGACGGAAUGGUGGAAUGGGAGGAGUGGGAGUGGGAGGAGCAAGUACAAGCCAUGCAUCGUUUGGAGAAACUCGUGCUCAUUAAAUGCAGACUGAGGCAUAUUCCUCAAGGCCUUGCCUCCAAUGCAAGGGCUUUGAAAAUAUUAUUUAUGUACGUGAAGCAAAAAAUACAUGUCCACUUUGGUUUAUGUAUUUAUCCUUUUUAUACAACACAUAUAAAUACAAAUAUUGAAGAAAAUUCGUGCACAUAUACUGUACACAUAAAAACAAUUCCAGAACAUUCUGCGGUAUGAAACUAUGCUUUCUCGUGAAUAAAUAAAUGAAUGGUAAUUAAGAUGCUUAAUUAAGAUGCUUGUGGAGGGAUAGACAUAAGCUGCUCGCUCCACUCCACUGUCUUCUCCGUCUGCCAUUUCCGACCAACCUGACCAAGCUCGCGCUCCUCCUUCGAGCAACUGCGCUACUCCUUUGCUUCCUCAUCUCCCAAGCAGGAUCCACUUCCCAUGCAUGGUCAAGCGACUGUAUCAGAGGCUUGCCUUAGCAGUGAGCGAGAUGCAUGCGCUCCUGUCCUUCAAGGCAAGCCUCCUCGACCCUGCUGGCCAUCUCUCGUCAUGGCGCCAUGGCGACGACUGUUGUCAAUGGAAGGGUGUUCGAUGCGGCAACCGUACUGGCCUUGUAAUCAAGCUCAACCUCCGCAACAUUGAUGUGGAUAUCUACGGCAAUCGUCUGAACAUGAGAGGAUCACUGAGCUUGUUGGCAGGAGAGAUGAGGUCCACUUGGUGGAUCUUGCAUGGUUGCCACGCCUCUCUGUGUUGACUCAUCUUGACCUGAGCUUUGUGGAUCUUAGUCCUACGAGGGAUUGGGUUCACAUGUUUAACAUGCUCCCUUCUCUUAAAGUGCCCCGCUUGGUUUUCUGUGGCCUUAGUAGUACCGUGUGUGCUAGUAAUUUACAUUCCAAGUCCAACCUCACACAUCUCGAGGUCCUUGAUAUGCCUCGUAACUACUUCUUUGGCACUUCAUUCAAGCACAACUGGAUUUGCAACCUUACAAGCCUCAAGGAGCUCUACCUCAUUGGUUGUGGCUGGAAUGGGUCCAUUCCCAAUGAACUGAGAAACAUGAAGUCCCUUCAGGUCUUAAACUUGGGUUGGAACAAUCUUGAGGGUUUGCUACCAACCAAUUUAGAAGAUCUGUGUGAUCUGAAAGUACUGAAAUUGGAUGCUAACAACAUUAAUGCAAACAUGGGUGAGUUCCUAGAUCGACUGCCAAGGUGCUCACAGAAUACAUUGCAAGAGUUGUCAUUAGCCGAAACAAAUAUGACCAGAAAUCUACCCGUUUGGAUUGGGAACAUGACAAAUCUCAGUGUUCUUCAAGCAUCUUCCAACAUGUUGACUGGCCCUCUACCCAUAGGAGUUCGAGCACUUGGUAAUUUGGAGUUUGUGGACCUCAUCUACAAUAACUUCAAUGGUAUGCUCUUGCAAAAACAUUUUGCAAGUUUGGGUAAUUUGAAGCAUUUAGACCUCAACUAUAAUAAAUUAAAUAGUGUGCUCAUAGAGGAGGAUUUGGCAGGACUAUUGAAUUUAGAGUAUCUAGACUUGUCAUACAACUCUUUGAAAUUAGCUAUCAACCAAAAAUGGGUUCCUCCAUUUAGAUUGAAGUUCGCUAGUUUUCGUUCAUGCGAUCUUGGACCUCAUUUUCCAGAGUGGCUCAAAUGGCAAUCUGGCAUAGAUGUUCUUGUUCUUGGAAAUUCAAACCUGGAUGAUGUUAUUCCUGAUUGGUUCUGGGUGACAUUUUCCCAAGCUUCAUUCUUACAUGCAGCAGGAAACAAGUUGCAUGGCUCAUUACCAGAAAAUUUACAACACAUUUUUUUCCGAAAAGGGGGUUACCCUAGCCUCUGCAUCAGAAAGAUGCAUACGGCUCAUAUUAUUAAAAAAACGAAACCAGUACCAGAAAAUUUACAGCACAUGGUAGCUGACCAUAUAUACCUUGGGUCCAACAAGCUUACAGGUCAAGUCCCAUUGCUCCCAAUAAACAUAUCCCGUUUGAACCUGUCCUCGAACUCUUUCUCAGGGUCAUUGCCAUCAAACCUCAAAGCUCCACUUUUGGAAGAGUUGUUGCUUGCAAAUAAUCAAAUUAGAGGCAUAUGCAUGUCGAGAAUUGUCUUAGCUUAGGUUCAGUUUUCUUUUUACAUUGUUAUGAUGGUCUUUUAUUCAUCGAGAAUUGUCAUGGCAUAUGCAUGUUUUAUCACUGUGCAUGAAUGUUCUUUGAUAUAUUUUUUGAAUUUUCACCGGGGAGGGAGAGAACUCCCCCACCUGAAUUGUGUUCAUUUGCCUAUAAGGCUUUGCAUCCUCACAAGAUGGGCUCAAGUGAACCAGAGGUACAGGGAGAUAAAAUAAAACAACACAACACACCGAUGACACACAAGACGACACACACAGCAAGGGGAGAACAAGAAGGGAAAACACAACACAACACAACACAACAAAGAGCACCGCCGGUGUAAUCGAACGGCAUCGGCCAGCCGAGACUAAACCAAGGCACUGCACCGUCGACGUAAUCGAAAGGCUCCACGCAACCGAGACUGCACAACGCCGCGACACCACAUGCAUCCCGGGGCACAUUCGAAGGGUCACGCGAGGCCGAGACAACGCCACGCCAUCUAUGUGUCACCGGCGUUGUUGAGGGGCAUCGCCAAGCAGACCAAACCACGGCACUGCACCGUAGACGCAAUCGAAAGGCACCGCGCAUCCGAGACUGCACAACGCCACAACACCACCCGUGUAGGGGGUACAUUCGAAAGGACACGCGAGGCCUAGACAACGCCACGGCACCUGUGUGCCACCGGCGAAAUCGCAGGGCACCGCCUAGCGGAGACUCGCCAAGAAGCACUCGAGCAUGAACAUCGCCGAAGAAGAGCACGGACCCACCGUCGACCCCAAAGCCGGCCGCAACACCAUUAACAUCAACCACACUCUACCAACAACCGCCCCCCAUGCAAGCCGUCGGUUACCACCAACAGCCAUGGUCCCCAAGACGACGCCUCCAAGAAAGUAGCGACGAACCUGACGCCGUCGUCGUCCGAUCUAGCAAAACAAGAUCUUGGGCUUACGCCCGAAGACACUAUCGAGGGAUUUGGGUGAACUGGACCCCUCAGCAACGCCCCCAAGGGGGUGAACUACACAAAAAUGGUGCCGCCGUCACCGGCAUCAACAACAGUUUUUGCAAGGAUUUCUCCAGGAGCCAAACACGACCAAAUCGCCUCAAGAUCCAAGCAUGGCACACCUCCGGCCGCCGUCGCAGGCCACGAGAGAGGAGAAGAGCACCCCCAACUUACCACGAAAAUGGGGCAGAGCACCGUCGCCGUGGAUCCUGGGACUCCCUCCACCUCCCCUCCCCCCGUACAAGCUGGACUAGCCAGAACAAGAUCUUGCCAUUAGGACCAGCACCGCACAGACGCGAACGAGGGGAGGGAUGCAGGAGAAACACCGACGCCCGCCAGAUCUGGGGCAACAGGGGGCAGCAGGGCCGGCACCGGCCGCGCACGGUGCGUCACCCGGCCAGCCGCGCGCGCCCAAGCCUCCACACCAGUGCCGCCAGCCACGGAAUGCCGUAGCCGAGCCAGCGAGCAUCGCCGGGCCCCACGCGCGCGAGGCCCCGCGCCCCGAGCCUCCACCCAAAGCCACCUACUCACAGCUCCGCGCCCGCACGCGAAGCCCCACGACGUCGCUGCUGAAGCCGGAAGCCCCCGGGACCAGGCCCCGCUCGCAGAUCGACGCGCCGGCCAACAAGUGACCCCCCGCCCGUGCCCGAGAGCCGCCCAAAGACGCGAGAAAGGAUCCCUGCCGCCGCCGUCAGCCGCGCGGCUUUGCCCCGCGACGUCCUCCGGCAGCGGCAGAGAGGGGUGGGUGGCCGGCGGCGGCCCUAGCCUAGGGUUGGGGGGCCGCCCGAGUCGCCCGCACGGGGAGCGACGCGGGGGGCAAAUACUAGUCGAUUGCGUGUGUGUAAUUGUCUGUUCUUUGAUUUUGGAUGAACUGGGUGAUGUGUGGAAGUUGGCAUCCUGCUUGUUUGCAUUGCAAGCCUUCGGGUUCUAGUGUACAUGAUGGUCUUGGAUCAUAUGGAUGUGGAGUGAAUGUAUGUUUAGUUUACACCGACGAAACUGGAUUCAGAAGAAAAGAACGCUCGUACCUAAGGCCCGAACUGUGUAAUGGUGCCACAGACGACGGCGUCGACCUUGUCCUCGUCGGUCUGACUCUGUCUGAAGCAAACUCGCUGGCAUACAUGAAGUGUCCCCCCUUCCUUUAACUGACAUUGCAUUGCCAUGAUCUCACAAGAAAGAAGAGAGCAGAGUUGAAGUUCCACCCAUGUUGUUGUUCUUCGUAAAAUCGAUCGGGGGUUCAGUUGAGAUGGGAGACAAGUGUUGAUUAAUCUAACGAUUCGCCGACUCUGCAACCACAACUGUUAAUUAAUUCAGCAAGGUGAGAUUAGCAAGUUCAUGUCUAAGUCGGCUCUGCUCUGUACCAUGUACAACGUUACUUGUGACUAACACGUCCACGGCAGUUGUUGUUGUCGCUCUCUUUCUCUCACUCGCACAAAUGAAGAUAUCCGGGCGCGGCAACAUACUGCAGCCUAUCCAGAGGAGCUCUCUCACAACCGACCGGGCGCAUAUCACGGUUCUGGCGGAGACUACCUCAUCUCUGGCUCCUAGGCUCGGCUCAUACUGGCACAAUCAACCAAUACACAGGGGAUGGGUUUUUAUACCCAACGCGCACACACACCUAGCUAGCUACCACGCCUAAGGUCACCACGGACGCACGCACGCAUGACCGAGACACCAUGCACCGGCCACUAACUCAACUAACCCACGCCUGCCUAACCAACUAUGCAUGCACACGCACAUGCAGUAACAAACUACUGCUAGCUACAUGCAUGGCUCCAGCACUUGAGCAGCUCCUCAACGGCCGCAAGACAGAGCUUCUCCACGCGCCAAAAACUGCUGCACGUCUGGCUGCCCAACUUCAUGCGCGGAGUUUCGGCGAGCACAACGACUUGCGCCAACGGAUCGUGCUAAAUCAAGAUUAUGGCUGACAAUUUCCCUCCUAAUCUUGACAUAGCUCGUCCUCGACAAUCGCCUUGAACUCGUUGCCGGCCGCCCUCGCACGCGAUGAAGUCAGCCACGCCGCCCAACCUCCGCACCGUGGCCACCGCGCUGCGUCCCUUGUUGUCGACGUUCCCGGCCACCGCGCCAUGGCCGCCGCGGCCUCCAUGCCGCCAUGCAGAGCCUCAACGCCGCCACGCCGUGCUGCGCCGCCGUGCCACCAGGCAGCGCCUCAGCGGCCUCCGCGGUCGCCGCACGUACGAAGAGCUAAGCCUCGACUGUAGGAAGAGCAGAGCAAACAUGGCUUGAACGCGGGCAGUCAUGUUGGGACGAUGGUUGGAAUGUUUUUGGCUAGAACAGUGAAUGCCGUUUAUAUACAUCCGGGGAACCCAACCGACAGUCAUCCACUUAACAUAUUAAUCAGUUGGUUUGACAAGCCGCUACAGGAUAAGUAACCUUCUGUCGCCCCUGAACGUUGAACGUUGAGUAAUGCCGCCAGCUCCGCAAGACUUUGGGGUUGAUGAUGAUUGCCUUGUGGUGGAAUAAAUGAAUAAAUUGAUAUGUGAGUGUUGGAAGUAAAAAGGCAAUGGAGAUGGCAAAUCAUACAUGAGAAUUCGGUUUGUUGUCACUCGGUUCAGUGAAAUUUACAGCGUUCUUGGUGAAAUAUUGUAGUGUGAGAGUGAGAACCAGCCAAGAAAAAAGAUGACCAGGUUCAGGUUGGGGAGGGGGGCAUCCAAAUAAUAAACUUGUCCUCGGCCUUGCCAGUCAAUCUGACCCUGAAACAAACUCGCUGGCCUUUGCCGACGGUCCUGCAAUCCAACUCACAAUAGAGAAGAUAGCAGAGUUGAAGUUGCCUGUUUGAUUGCGGCUACGCACAUGUUGUUCUUCUUCAGAAAAUGAAACAGGUACUCAGUUGAGAUGGAAGACAAGGGCUCAUUAACAUUAUAUAUUUUGUGAUAAAAGAGAAGUGUUGAUUAAUCUAACGAUUCACCAAGUGCCUGGAGGUUGGACCUCUUUAUAAGUGAGGUUCUUUCCCUACAUGUAUGAGCAUGAGAACAAGAGGGACAUCCACGCGUGCUCCUCCUCCUCCGCACGCCACGCCACGAUCGCGGGAAUGAGCCGAGUCGAUGUCUAAAUUUUUGCCACGCACCUCUUCGCGUGCUGCGUGUCUAGUUUUGUCUCCCUCCGUUGCUUCACCUCAGGUCGCUCCUCUCCAGAGAGACACACCAGAAUCUCUUCCUCCUCUCGCCACAAGUUCCUGAGCACUGCGCUGCUGCUACGUUCUUCCUCAUCCCAGCUUGCGGCGUGCACCGUAGGUCAGGACAGUAGGCCUCCGAAACCACACCUUUUGAGUCGUGUAUGGGAGAAGGGUGAUAAUUAAGGUUUUUGGGGAGCGCUCUGCGCGACUACUGACUUCUUCGUCACGGACGCCCCGGACUCCGACGACUACUUUCCGGACGUCGACAACCUCCUCGACGACAUGGAGGACACCGACCCCAAGUCCAGUGCCUCUGCUCCGACUGCUGUCCAGUACGUGUUCUUAUCUCUCCUGUUAGAAAUCAUGCAACAGUUCCUUCUUCUAGUGUUUGCCCUAGACAUGUUAGGCUCUACUUCAUAUAUGCAUCUUGAUCUACUGUCUGCUCAAAAGAUGAUCUGUUCUAGCUCAUAUAUGCAGUUAUUAUUUACCUUCUCUUUUUCAAAUCACAUGGCUUGUUUUAUCACUGCUAUACUAGUCAUGCUUUAUCUAGUAUUUCUGUUAAUAAAAUCAUUCGGUAAAUUGCUCAUAUUUCCAACAAUCCAAAAACCUUAUGAUAGGCAAUUUACCUCGAAUGGUUUUGCUGCUUCCAUGAGACCUCCUAUGUUUGAGGGUAUCCACUAUAAGAGGUGGCGCGUGAGAGCAGUCUUAUGGUUUCAAACCAUGAGUUGCUAUGACGCCACUCUUGGUAGACCUGAAGGAGAACUUGAUGCUCAACAGGCACAAGCUUUUCAGAAAAUGGAUACUUUGUUUAAGGCUGCUCUCUUGAGUGUUCUUGGUGAGAACAUAGUUGAUGCUUAUGCGUCAAUUGAUAAUGGAAAAGAUAUGUGGGAUGCACUCGAGGCCAAGUUUUGGGGUCUCGGAUGCUGGCACUGAGCUGUACAUCAUGGAGCAAUUCUAUGACUAUAGGAUGACUGAAGAGCGCUCCGUGGUUGAGCAAGCUCAUGAGAUACAGUCAUUUGCUAGAGAACUUGAGCACUUCAAUUGUAUCCUACCGGACAAGUUUUUUGCCGGGGGUAUCAUCACUAAGCUUCCUCCUUCGUGGAGGAACUUUGCUAACUUACUGAAACAUAAGAGACAGGAGUUUUCCGUCUCGGAUCUCAUUGGUACUCUUGAUGUGGAAGAAAAGGCGAGAGCAAAGGACACACGUGCUCGAGGUAUUGAGGGAGGAUCUAGUGCCAAUCUGGUACAUAAGAAAAACUUCCAGUCCCACAAGUUCAAGAACAAGGGCAAGCUUGAUGGUAAAGCAAAGUUUGAUGGGAAGAACAAGGCUGUAUAACACACGAACUUCAAGAAGAAGAGUGACAAGAAGAAAGGUGCUUGUCAUGUGUGUGGAGAUCCUGAUCAUUGGGCUUCUAGUUGUCCUAAUCGCUAUGACAAGCGUCAUCCUAGGAAAGGCGGCAAGACCGCUAAUGUUGUCAUCGGAGACAUUGACAUGAAGGAUGCUGGGUAUGGUAUACUUCCCACUAUUCUUUCAGUAUGUCAUUCUCCUGAUUAGUUGAUUGACACGGGUGCUAAUGUGCAUGUAUGCGGUGAUAUUUCCAUGUUUUUGUCUUAUCAGAUAGCAGGGACUUCAACCGUGCUAAUGGGAAACGGUUCAAGUGCUUCUGUUCGUGGUGUUGGCACGGUCGAUCUAAAGUUUACUUCGGGGAAGAUUGUGCGGCUAAAGAACGUGCAUUAUGUCCCCUCCGUCAAUAAAAAUCUUGUUAACGGAUCUCUUCUGUGUAGAGAUGGCUACAAGCUUGUCUUUGAGUCAAAUAAAUUUGUAAUAUCCAAGUAUGGAACCUUUGUUGGUAAAGGCUAUGAGUCAGGAGGCCUGUUUUGUUUAUCCUUAUCAGACGUUUGCAAUAAAGUUGUUAAUCAUAUUUGCAACAAUAGUGAAUCAAAUGUGUGGCAUUCACAUCUUUAUCAUGUUAACUUUGGUUGCAUGUCGCGACUAGCGAAGUUGAACUUAAUCCCUAGUUUCACCACUGUCAAGGGAUCUAAGUGUCAAGUGUGUGUGAAAGCUAAGCAACCUCGUAAGUCUCACAUGACUGCGGAGACGAGAAAUCUUGCACCACUAGAACUUAUACAUUCAAAUCUAUGUGAAAUGAAUGGUGUUUUGACAAAAGGUGGAAAGAAAUAUUUCAUGACGUUAAUUGAUGACUCCACUAGAUACUGCCAUGUGUAUCUUCUGAAAUCUAAGGAUGAGGCUUUGAACUUUUCAAGAUCUAUAAAGCUGAAGUGGAAAACCAACUUGAUCGAAAAAUCAAGGGGCUUAGGUCCGACCGUGGUGGAGAGUAUUUUUUCAAUGAAUUUGAUGCUUUUUGUGCGGAACAUGGUAUAAUCCAUGAGAGGACGCCUCCCUACUCACCUCAGUCAAAUGGGGUGGCCGAAAGAAAGAACCGUAGUCUAACUUAUUUGGUUAAUGCCAUGUUAGACACAUCGGGUCUCUCCAAGGCAUGUUGGGGGGAGGCGAUAUUGACUGCUUGUCAUGUCCUAAACUGAGUUCCCACAAAGAACAAAGAGAUAACUCCAUUCGAGGAAUGGGAGAAGAAAAGGUUAAAGCUCUCUUAUCUACGAACCUGGGGUUGUUUGGCGAAAGUCAAUGUGCCAAUUCCAAAGAAGCGGAAGCUGGGACCAAAACUGUGGAUUGUGUUUUCCUGGGAUAUGCUUUUUCUAGCAUUGGAUAUAGAUUCUUGGUUGUAAAAUCUGAGGUACCUGACAUGCAUGUCAGUACGAUCAUGGAGUCGAAUGAUGCGACUUUCUUUGAAGAUAUCUUUCCCAUGAAGGAUAUGGCACUAGUAGAAAAAGGGUCAAAUGUGAGACACAUUAGUCCUGGUUUGUAACAGAACCGGCACUAAUGUGUCCAUUAGUGCCGGUUCCAACAGCUAGGCAGGAGGAGCUCUUUAAUACCGGUUCGUGGCGAAUCUUUAGGACCGGUUCGUGCCACGAACCGGUACUAAAGAAAGUGGUGGCAGGAUGUUGGCAGAGUGGGGCCCUUCCAGCACCUUUAGUACCGGUUCGUGGCAUGAACUGGUACUAAAGGUCGUCCUAUAUAAACCCUUCGUCCACCCGCACUCUGUUCUUCCCCCUUUCCCCUCUCCCUCUCCUCUGUUCUUCCCUCCUUCCUCUCGAGUUCAUCACAAAAUUUGCCCCAAAUUUGUCAAGAUUUGCAGGCCCCCAUCCAUUCAAAUGAUCACCAUGGUUAGCAACUUUGUCCUUUCAUCUCUCAUUGCUAGCUUAGCUCUUGCAUUGGUUUAUAUAGUGAUUAAUUGUGGGUUUUAGUAAUUUGGGAGGAAUUAUAUGUGGUAGUAUUUGAUUUAUAUGCAAUUUGAGGUCAAAAUAACACUUAGUUUGCAUAUGUAGGUGUGGUUUACUUAGUGCCUUCUAAAUCUCCGUCGUAACCACCGUCGAUCGCCCGCACCGUCCCGUCGCCGGCACCACCUUGUGGUGAGCCUCUUGUUCAUGAAAUUUUAUAUAAAAAUUGAUGUUUGUGUGAUUUGGAUAUAUAGUAAUCCGGCAUUGAGUGGGACAAGUUCGGCCAAGUGGAGCAUGUCAAGGCAUAUGCACGUGAUGGAGACAACCAAAGAAAAUGGUACGUUUGUACUCAAGAGGAGACAACUACAAGUUGGAUUCAAAUGUUAGCAGCUCUACCAUAUUUGAAGGUACAGAAGAUCAAACAUACGUACAAGCUUUGUCUUAAUUUAUUUGAGCACUCUUUUUGGAAGUUUAUAAAUUCUUUUGAUUUUAUCUUCUGUCUUUUGUUCAUAUAUACUGCAUGAUGACCAGAUAUAUUCUGUACCUUCGUAGUGCAUGUUGCCAAGUAUUUAUCUUCUAACUUGUUCUUCCAGGUUUUCUCGAGUUUAACUUAUCUAGAGUAUCAUUGAACCAGUUUUGUGUUUUUCUUUCCAUGCAGAAACCUUAUCUUCCUCUAUGGUGGACGCACAAGGAUUUGAGUCUCUGUACGAAAUGAAAAAAGGUACCUUUAGUUACAUCUGCCACUUGGUGACGAUCCCAUUUUUCGAAGAUAUGAUGGCAAGAGAUCACACCUUUGUUGAUGGGAGAUUGCCGUCUUUGCAAGACAGAGUAGUUGUCGCUCUGAGAAUGUUGAACUCUAGUAACUGCUGUUACCGUAGGAUCCUCUGUUGGUGUGUACGAAUCAACUGUCUUGCUGGUAACUCAGGUGUUUUUUGAGGCUAUGUGGUAGCGAGGAUUUCACCACAUAUAUUGGCCUGACUCCGCUAAAAUGAAGAAGAUCAAGCGUAUGUUUGACAAGAUACAUGGCCUGCCAAACUGUUGCGGUGUUGUACAUACAACUCACAUCUCAUUUGGAUCACAUAACCGUGGCCAUCAGGAAAAUGCCGGCAGGCUAAUGCAAGUCGUCGUUGAUGCAGAUCUGGGGUUCGCAAAGAUUUGGUUGGGGCUAUUAGGUAGCAUGAACCAAUUGAGCAUUCUGCACGACUCUUUGCUCUUGAAGUCCUGUCAGGAGGGUACUGUGCUGAAUGGCACUAAGCUGAAUUUAUCAGAUGACUUGGAUGUUGGGGAAUACAUAAUUGGUGAUGCAGGAUACCCUCUUCUCCCCUGGCUUCUCACAUCUUACCCGUCUGCAUAAGAUUUCCCUCAUCAAGCCGAGUUCAACAGGAGACAUUGUUCAGCAUCAACUAUCAAGAUGGCUGCAUUCACGAGGUUGAAAGACACUUGGAAGAUCCUGGACAGAGCGGUUGGUUCAUGUCCAGCUGUUGCAACAAUCCAUGCGUGCUGCAUAUUGCAUAAUAUAGUGAUAGACAUGGAGGAGGUGGAGGAAAUUGCAGGGAUGGAGGAGGAGGAGGAGGUGGUGGGGCAAGCAGCAGGCGAGGACGCCGUCAGGCUAAGGGACGUACUGGCCAAGCACUUGAUUGAAUCUAGAGGUAAAUUAGCACAACUGUUAAUGUGUUUGUUCACUCUCUUUCUCCUUUUGCAAUUCCCUGCUAUUUGAUAUCAACAUGCUAAUUUCAUUUCACCCGCUUGGCUGCAGAGGAGGGAAAAGAAGCAUCAGAGGUAGUAGUUGCAUCCAGUUCAGGAGAUGAAAACAAGGAACAUGAUGCACGCCGACCACAGACAGCAGCAGACCGGGGAAAGGAGAAAGUGCCAGGAGGGUAGCCAGCUUGUGCAACAACACGUGAGAAUGAAAAUAGUACUAUACGAAUUAAACAAUAACAUGUGAGAACGAAGUAGUGUCAAAAUUGUGUAUUCCGAAUCUAUGAGAAUGAUAUUUUCUUGUGCAUAUUACCUAAAAAUAACAAAAUAUGCAUUACUGCCAAGUCCAAAUUGAAAGAGAAUCAUCUGCAGUUCAAACCAAGACAUCACUAAACGGGUGACUUCAAAGGGUAGUCAAGAGCAUAAGACUGAAAACAUAAAAAAUGAUACAUCCAACACUAGAUCGUUCAAAAUCAGACCGUUCAACAAAGAUUAAGAUCGAAGAUGAAGAUGAUUCAAAAAGCCCACAAGGGCACUUGCUGCUACAAAUUAGCCAUCCACCAUGCUGACACUAGCACUGCCAGUCAAGCGUUGCUCUCGCCCACUUGAAGAUGAUGUGACAGCCUGACGAUCACCUCCAACCUAGCAGCCAUCUGCAUUGCCCCACGGCGGUGAGCGACGACUGUCGCUGCCUUGAGGAAAAUGAAGCCGGCGAGGGAGGUGACAAAAGUCCCCAUAGUAACGUACCCGAAGAUCUCCAAAGCCUUCUCAAUCUUCUCCUCGACGUAAUUCUUGAGGGCUUUCUUUGGUUGUGGAGGAGGAGAGGUCGAGGAAGAAGGAGGCUCCUAGUAUAGUGAAGAGGUCGAGGAAGAAGGAGUCUUUGGGGCGGCUGCAGGUAUGUUCCAUUGUUGUGGAGGCGAGCCGGACGGCGCCUGAGGCACUACAGCCUACAGGUGUGUCCCAUUGCUCGAUGGAGGAGGCUCCUGAUGCACAAAAUAGUAUUGCACGAAUUAGACAAUAACCUAUGAGAACGUAGUAGUGUCAUAACUAUGUAUUCCAAAUUUGUGAGAAUGAUAUUAUGCGGUNNNNNNNNNNNNNNNNNNNNNNNNNNNNNNNNNNNNNNNNNNNNNNNNNNNNNNNNNNNNNNNNNNNNNNNNNNNNNNNNNNNNNNNNNNNNNNNNNNNNNNNNNNNNNNNNNNNNNNNNNNNNNNNNNNNNNNNNNNNNNNNNNNNNNNNNNNNNNCCCGCACUUCACCACGUUAUAUUUAUCAAGUACGUCCUCCGUUCCACAAUGUAGUGCGUAUAGAAUUUUGGGAGAGUCAAAUUUUAUUAACUUAAGAUUAUGGUCUUUAAAUGAAAACUGUUUGAAGACGCUGCUCUUCCCUGAAAUUAUAUGGGAAGAGGAAAUUAAUGGUUAUAAACCGUAAGAAUCCAAUAUCUGUCCGACGUGUGUCGAGCACUGGCUUACUUACAGCACACGUUAGCGAAUUUUGUGAUAAAGGCAAGGGUUAACAGUGACCGGGAUGGGGGUUGGGUUAUUCUGUUCAGUUACGUCUGUCUAAGUGGAAUAACUUUUCUAUCUUUUUAAAUGUGAAAAUUGCAUUUUAUUAUAGAUGGCUUUGCAGCAAAUUGUAUGUGUGAGCUGUUCAUUUUUUUAUCAAGUCCUAAUUUUUUUGGUUUUUAAGUUAACAACGGACACGGUGGCCUAUUAGUUGCAGCUGCAACAAUGAACAUCGUAUUUUUGUUUCGUGGUAAUGCACUACAUUCAAAUGUUUGUUACAACAUGACAAUGGNNNNNNNNNNNNNNNNNNNNNNNNNNNNNNNNNNNNNNNNNNNNNNNNNNNNNNNNNNNNNNNNNNNNNNNNNNNNNNNNNNNNNNNNNNNNNNNNNNNNNNNNNNNNNNNNNNNNNNNNNNNNNNNNNNNNNNNNNNNNNNNNNNNNNNNNNNNNNNNNNNNNNNNNNNNNNNNNNNNNNNNNNNNNNNNNNNNNNNNNNNNNNNNNNNNNNNNNNNNNNNNNNNNNNNNNNNNNNNNNNNNNNNNNNNNNNNNNNNNNNNNNNNNNNNNAUCCCCCUUGAUGGCGUUGGUGGAUCGACACGGGCACAGGGGUUGGGAUCAGGACGGAGAGCGGGGGCCUUCUUCUAGGCGGUAUGUGUGAAAGUACGGUUUGAGAGAAAGAGAACACCAUGGUGAAGGUGAGGUGGGCGACAUCCGGUUUUAAAGGAGUGUACUACCAGCGAGAAAUGUCUCGCUACGACGGGAAACCAAACGGGAAUGGGAGGGUUUGACAGGAAAAUGAAAUGGUUCGUCAUGGAUGGGUUUUUUUGUGUUGGUACCACGCGUUAAAGAUAACAUGACAGAUAGUCUAGACAACUAGCGAGAAAUGUCUCCGUAUGGUGGGAAACCAAACGGAAAGGCGAGGGUCCGACAGAAAAAUGAAAUGGUACGUCGUGUGUGGAUAUUUUGUGUUGGGACUAUGCAUUAGAGAUAACAUGACAGAUAGUCUGAACAACCAUAUUUCUUCUUCACAUAUGGGCUGGAUCUUUGGAGGCUAGAUUGUCCACGCGGUUGGACCAUGAGAAGCCUGUCGAACGCCCAUUUGAUGUCCAAACACGCCUGAACGUAUAUGGAAAAGGUAAAUUUUAACCUUAAAAGACGAUCUUAACCAUUUGUUUGACUCAUUUAUAUGUAUUAUAUCCCGUACCAAUGCUGGGUGCAUUCUAUUACGGCUAUAAACCGUGAGAAUCCUAGUAUUUAGUCCCUGUUCGUCCGGUCAAUCGAAGUCACGUUGGCUACCCAUUUACUACUCCCGAGUCAGUAGGAGGCACGUUCGCUACUCAUUGCUGUUCGGCCCUUUUUAGACAUUAUUCUCAUGUACGUACUAUUAAAAAUACUUAAAUACUAUUAGUCUCUGCAGUCAAGCGGAGACUCGAUCUGUACACGAAAGUUUAGGCGGUGUGAGACCAGUCAAAGAUUAAGAGGGUAGCUACAGCUUAUAUAUCCACAUGCUCUUAGCAUAUGAUGCUAACCUUGGAGUUGAUGGCAGCAAUGCUGCUGCUGCUGCUGCCGGCGCUGGCCGCCGCCGCUUCACCUGAUCCGGAGGCGGCGCCCAAGAUUGGGAUGCCGGACUGCGACACAAGCUGCGGCAACGUAAGUGUGCCGUACCCCUUCGGCCUUGGGCCGGACCGCUGCUACCGGCCAGGCUUCAACCUCACCUGCGAUCGACUACGGCACGGCACGGCUGCUGCUUGACAGCCACGGGGCCUUCCAAGUCCUCGACAUCUCCCUCCAGGACACCACACUGCGCGUCACCAGCUCCGUUUCUGUCGUCCAACUCCAAGCCACCUCCAGAGAUCUUCUCUCCUUCCGUUUUAGUGAUUAUUUCACCAACCGCGGGGAGGUGCUCUACUCAUUGUCAGCCCGCAACGAGCUCAUCCUCAUAGGGUGUAACGUCCAGGCGACGCUGCUACAAGGCUCGCGAAUGGUCACCGGCUGCGCCACCUUCUGCUCCGGUGGUGACGCCGGGAGCCUGCCAAAGAUCGCAAUUAAUGGCAGCCACAACAAGAACUGCUACGGCGUGGGCUGCUGUCAGGCGCCCAUCCCCACGUCCAUAGACAGCAUGCCCAACGAGCUGAUGCUGAGCUUCGAGUUCGCCGACCUCGUGCAAAACGUGUCAUGGCACCCAUUCGGGCUGAUCGCGGAGGAAGGCUGGUUCCACAACCACCUCAUCUCCGAUCUGCGGCUACAGUCGCUUCAACGAAACUCAAGGUUUGCUCCCAUGGUUCCUGUCGUUUUACACUGGGCGUUGUUGCCGCUGGCAGGCUUACCCGAGGCCGACGCCAAUGCCAAGCCUGUGGAGGUAGCUACCGGCAUCUGCUCGAGCAAGCACAGCCAUUGUAUAUCUUGGAACAGAGGCUACUAUUGCCAGUGUGAUGGUGGCUACAUCGGCAACCCAUACCUUGUUGACGGUGGGUGCACAAAAGAAGGUAUGUGAUAAUCUGAUCAGUGUGAUGUUAAUUAUGCAUGCGUAUUUCUCUAGCAUUUAUCUACUGAAAUUUAUGUCUACAGCUCAAAAGGAAUUCAUAACCGCGAAAACUUCACUUGUACUUGAAAUACUCGCCUGUGUAGCGAUAGGCAUUUUGGUAGUCCUAGUGCUGGUGCUCGCAAAAUGGGGAGAUAUAAAAGAUAUCAGGGCAAACAAGUUAAAACGGAAAUUCUUCGAGAAAAAUCAUGGUCAGUUGUUGCAGCAGUUGAUUUCUCAGAGUGCCAGUAUUGCAGAAAGUAUGAUCAUGACCUUCAAAGAGCUAGAGAAGGCAACACACAAUUUUGACAAAGAUCUUCAGGUUGGUGGUGGAGGGCAUGGUACAGUUUACAAAGGGAUUUUACUGAACCAACAUGUUGUAGCCGUCAAGAAGCCAAACAGAAUGGUACAGAAGGAGAUCGACGAGUUUAUCAAUGAGGUGGUUAUUCUAUCACAAAUCAACCAUAGAAAUAUAGUAAAACUCUAUGGUUGUUGUCUUGAAACUGAAGUCCCAAUGUUGGUCUAUGAGUUCAUAUCUAAUGGGACCCUUUAUGAGCAUCUUCAUCUUGAAGGACCAAAACAUUGUCUUGGGAUCACAGGUUGAGGAUAGCCAUGGAGGCAGCAAAAUCCCUCGCAUAUCUUCAUACAGCCGCUUCAAGACCUAUCAUCCAUAGAGAUGUUAAGUCUGCUAACAUACUUCUAGAUGAUACUCUCACAACAAAAGUAGCAGAUUUUGGAGCAUCAAAGAAUAUUCCACUCGAUAUAUCUGGUGUUGCAACAAGGGCUCAAGGCACGAGAGGGUACUGGGAUCCUAUGUACUUUUACACAGGACGGCUCACGGAGAAGAGUGAUGUUUAUAGCUUUGGGGUUGUCCUAGUAGAAUUGUUAACAAGGAAGAAACCAUUUUCAUAUUCGUGGUCUUCGGACGAAGAUGAAGUUGGUCUUGUUGAACAUUUUGUUAACUUGUUUGAAGAAGACAAUCUGCUCCAUAUAUUAGAUCCACAAGUUAUCGAGGAAGGUGGCAAAGAAGUCAAAGAAGUGGCCGCUGUUGCAGUUGCAUGCGUAAAGUUAAGAAGAGAGGAUCGGCCGACGAUGAGACAAGUGGAGAUGACACUUGAAGGCACACGCACAUCCAAGGAUCAGGCUUUAGAUAAUGCAUUUCCAUCUACAGAAGUUGAAAGCAACACAAACAUGUCGAUCAGAUGGUAUAGUAUGGAACAAGAGUUCAUAUUGUCUGCAGAGUAUCCUCGGUAGUUUUACUUACACGCAUAUGAGAUGGACACAUUUUAGAGGUUCUUACUCACAUGGUUGGUUUAGCCAAAAUGUGCUUCGUGAUUUGUUGUGAAUCUGUAGCAGCUUUAUUUUUGUGUUGUCAAGCCACUUAUACUAGGUGGUGUUCUUAUAAACUCGUUGAAGAAGAUCCCUCUGCUUUUCAUGAUAACUAACGAUCAUGGUUAUCAUCUUCUCUUAUCUGCUUAGAAAUAUGCAUGCUGCCUCAGUUGUUUUAAAUAUGUAAAUUUCUCCUUCUGUUAAUCCGUGUUCUUUCUGAGUUUACUCUCAUUAUACUUGUGUUUUAAAUAUGCAUGCUAUCUUGUCGUUCUUGGGGUUUAUUUUUGGUAAAUGCGCUGAAUUUUUAAAAUUUUACGGAACAUUCUGCUUACUACUGCAUAGAAGCUAGUGACAUGGAUGAUUGGUGCCACUAACAACAUCUACAGUCGGACUUGGCAAAUCUGACCCCUCAAACACCCAAGGAUGUGUCCGGGCAUGUCCGCUGACACUGACCGAUCAUCCCUUAACUAAUGCAUUCCACAUUCGGAUACCUCAAAUUAGAAACCUCAAAUCCAUAUUCUUACAUACAACGAAAAGCGAUCUUUAAGCGGAGCUCGUCCGGCGGCAGGCUGCGCUCCCCAGAUUGUUGGUCCGGUCACCAGCAAGGUAGGGUAGGGCAUGGGACAUGAGCCGGCUUAAGGCGCCGCCGACUCUCAUGCCCUACUCUUCCUCGUCGGAUUCCGGAACCCAUUGGGUGGCGGCGGAUGUCAGAUCGAUGAUGGAUCAACCAUGGGACGACUCGGCGACAUCCAUCAUGACGCGGAUGCGGCGCCUGGACUGGUGCACCAUACGGGGCGCCGGAGAAUGCCACUCCGCCUCGCCGACGUCCACGGCCGCGAGGGCUGCCACCGCCUCCCACCCACGCUGCCUCGCACGGCGGGGCACAACGCGCCAUAUUUGCGUCCCUGGUCACAGAGCGCCAUCGCAGGGGUUGCACGUCUGCCACCGCGUUCGGACUCCAGAACGACCGUACUUGAUCUGGCUAACCACGACUGAUCCACUUCAAUGGAUGCAAGACAAAAGAAGUAGGCCACCACUGCGGCGUGUUGAGGCUAGAGCUCUUGCAGAGAUGUAGGCUUGUAGACAAGUGCAUAGACAUACAGGUUGGCAUACCGGUCCCCGUUUUCAGGAGCUGCAAAACCCAUUAAUAUCUGAAGUCCAAAAUACUUGAGAGCUUGUAGUAGUUUAUAGGUGUGACAUAACAUGAUUAGUUUUAGUGCAAACCAUAUAAGCUCCUGCUAUUAAUGCAGCACUAAGGUUAUUAACUGGUGAUAUUUUACUAAAUUAAACAUAAAAAUUAGUAGUAAACCACAGGGACUUGUAAAGCGAAGUUACAAAACCAAAACCUUUUCCUCAAGUAAAUCUUGGAGACGCUUUGAAUAAGCAACUGCUCAUGUCAGCCUGUCAUUGAUCUGCAUCUUAACCUGAAUGAACAAUCAGCUCCCAGACGAAGAAUCAACUCACCCUGAUACCACAUACUAAUCUUAUCUAGAGAACCAUCCUCGCAGUUAACGCCUGGUUAACACUUGGUGCCAAGAAAUCAAAAUAAAUUGAUACCUCCAUAGCUCUACGUCCAAGGUCCAGAGGAAGAAAAGGGGGUUUGGAGCACGCGGGCAGCGGGCUUCACUAACUCUCAAGAGAUGAGGUCGUAUAGUGUGCAUACAAAGAAACAUAUUAUAUCACCAGUUGAACUUUCAAGAAAUUAACUCACCAGCUUUCGGUACGCGUAAUCUAUGUAGGAGGAAGGGGGCAGGACUGAAGCAAAAGCCAGCAUUUUCAAGUGGAGCGCAUGCUGCAUACUUUACUUGCUUCAAGAACUUUAUACAGAAUAAUAUGUUCUGUUAGUUCGUCUGAAGCGGUGGAACUUGCCUGUGCCUACUAACUUAGCAUGUACUACAAAAUAAUAUUGUGUACUUACAGUAGUAUUUUGUACUUACAGUAAGUUGGUAUAAACUCCUACUGCCGACAACAACUAAAUCUCACAAGUAAGACACCUUAGUAAGACUGUGAACUGAAUGAAGCUUGCAAAGUCUAGAACCACUUUUUCAAGCCUGACCAAAAAUUAUAAUGCUCACAGAAAGAAUAAACUCACACUGACAACAUUUGACAGCAUACAAGUAUCAACGGUUAGUUAACACCACACAGAUGGAUAGGGUGCCAAGAAAUAGAAGUGAUUCGGAAGAAAUUAACAGCUGCAGGGAGAAAAAGGGGGACUUGGAGGGACAAGAGGUUACGGAAUACCGACUGGGGGCUAGACGACAAGAGCUAUGCAGUGGGAGUCAGUCGUACCCGCCCUUGCACGACGGUGGCCAGCGUUAACAAAAAUCAAUACAGUAGAACAGUAGAAGAUAGAGGGGUUUGGAGGAAGCAUCCAUGUUACUGCUGUGAUAUCUCCGCAGCUGCUGCAAAAGCCUCAAGACAUAGAGGGAAUCUUGUUCAGAUGAGAGAAAACCUACGGAGCUACAAGUGUAAAGAAUGAUGAUUCAAAUGAAUCGAGAAAUAUAUUGUCAACUGAAACAUAUUAUGUUGUCAACUCAACUCGCAAGAGAUUAAAACCCGGCUGCAUGGUCGUAUAUCUAAGCUGAUGAUACUUGAAAACUGUACCAGUAAAUAAUAAGGUUAAUAGAGAUGAACCGUGCUGUUUCAUAUACACGACUUCAUAACCCUGAUUCCAUGACCAUUCAUGGUCUCUAUUGUUGUGCCUUGCUGUGUAUGUUUACAUGCCUGUACAUGGUUGUUUUUUUAUGGGUAUAGUCCUUCACUGUUAUAGUGUAAAACCAUUUCAUAAGUCCAUGAUGAGAUUGUUGGCCCAGACCCGACGCCGAGUACUUUCCGACGACGGUGAUGAUCGACGACAGACAAGGACCAAGCAACGCUGGCUUGUGAUAGACCACCCUCAGUGUAAAGCUAGCCCCAAGCUAGCAAUCUAUCCUUCCUUGGACGUGUGGUACUAAUACUAGUACUUCUGGCCAGAACAAUCACACAACAUGUGCGUAGGCAAACUAGCAAUCGAUCUAUGCUUUGAUCAAUUGGACACAAGCAACGCACGCGAGAUUGUAUGGCCACAGGCUCGUGUCGAGCCUGUUGUAAUUCUGUAUUACUUUUCCAUGAUACAAAGUACAGGGGUUAGGCUACAUAUAUAUAGGAGCAAAUAGCCCAAAAGCUAACCUAGUCGGCAAGGUAUACGUGCACUACUCAGACACAUAUACCAGAGACGUGAUUAACUGCAACAGAGAUCAAAUUUGUUUUGAGUUCUGACAAGUUCUUUUUUUUCAGGCUGAUCUUUGUCUAGAAGCUGCAAGUUUAGCUCUGAAAGAAAUGUCAGUCUCGGAAUAAGGUUCCUCAGCAGGCAAGUUUGGGACAACUUCUAUUGCAUGGGUUAACAAGGCAUUUGACAAGAUUUUGUUGAAAGACAUGCUGUUUUGCAGUAUUUGCCUGUGAUUGACAUGUUUAACCAAGAAGCAUCAGUACUGCUUCAUGGUGGUAUCAUUAUCUCACCAAGUUUGGCAAGGUAGAAAUUAUAUCAUCUCUAGUAUUGGCAUCCUUACACGUUAUGUCCGAGCUCCAUCUGCCACGGCCGGACUUGGUUGGACCCUCAAUCAUGCAUGCUGAUCCUUCACUCAUUUUGCUUCGUAUUUAGUCUGUAUUGGAAUCUCUAAAAAGACAUAUUUAGGAACGGAGGCACCAAAAAUUAAUGCUAUGAAGUGUAUAGGUACUACAGGAGCUCAAUUAAUUGUCUUAUGAGUUAAGUGCUCCACCUCUCAAACCUCCGUUCAUUCAUCUCCAUUGGAUCAUCAUACCGACUCGUAGUAUUUGCAUACCUAGCUAGUUUUUCUUACUUGCUUUGUACAGCCAGAUCCAGCUCACUGGUAGCGCACCUUACUAUGCCUUGCUUUAUUUCUGACAAGUGCAUAUAUUUAGCUCUCGCGCGUUGUCUGUGCGAAACUGCAUGUGGAUGGAUCAACUACCGACGUGCAUACAAGCUAAGGUAAAUAACCCAACCUGACAGCCCAUUUUAUGUACUCUAGUUAAUUAGCUCCGUCCAACAUUGUUGUCUGCUAACGUUCGAGUGUACUAGAUUAUGUAUGACGAGAUGUGAGUUUUUUUUUCGGCACACUGUCUCGAGCUGGUCCUUUGCAGCUAUGAGGACUAAGAGAAAGAUGCUCCUUGAGAAAGAUACUUGAAAUACGAGCACGCAGAGUAAACUAUUUGGCCAGCUAGCAUACAACUUUUGGGCACAUCUAGAGAAAGUUUGCAUGUGCUAUCUGAAAAUAGGUCCGUAAACAUGACCUAUGGGUUAUAGCGGAUGAAAACGUGAGGAAGCUUUUAUGAUGUGCCAUAACAUGUUUGUAACCAUGACCAGAGAUAAAUUAUUGCGGAGAGAUCAGCCCAAAUGCCAAAAAAGAAACGGCAAACUGAAUUUUUGACAUGCAUAUUGUUGUUCACAAAUUGCAGUAUCUCGUUCAGUUUAUUGCUCCGUAGAAUCAGUCUUCUUUAUGAAAGGAAGAAAGGAAAGGCUAGGGUCUCCCUAAAUUUGCUCUGGCUUGAAACAUAAAGCACGUGCACACUGUUCUCUUACAUAGUUACUCCCUCCGUUUCAAAAUAGAUGACCCAACUUUAUACUAACUUUAGUACAAAGUUGGUAUAAAAUUGGGUCAUCUAUUUUAGAACGGAGGGAGUACAUGCUAGCUAGGUACCUUAAAGCUAUGUGGCUUUUCUGUAGCUAAUAAUGUUGCUUUUCCGUCUCCAGGAUGCUGCCAAUAAUCUAUGUGGAAUACCCAAGUGUGGGAUAUAUAGAGUACAAUAUGUGAGAGAGACUUGGAGUAGGGGACAAGUCGUACAUGGUUUAAACCAAUCCUAUCUCUAACUCCUAAUCUCUAACUUAAACAUAAUUAUACUUCUAACAUUCCCCCUCAGUCGUAGCGGGAGUGAAGCGGACGAUGACGACUGAAUUUGAACUCUUGUGCUUUCGUCGUCUUCUCCGCUGCGCCAUCAUCAACUGCGUCUCUGAUGGGUCGGCAGUUAGGGCGGUGACUGCGUCCCCUUCUGGUGCCUUCCUGCCUUCUCGUCUAUUCCCUCCCGCAGUCACAGCGGGAGUGUCGUGGACGCAAGUGACGAGACGGACGCUGUUGACUGGAGUUGUUGCCGAUGAGUUGCUGCAGACGUAGCCACUAAUGUCGAGGUAGCCAUUAAUGUCGAGGUAGCCGAUCAUGGUGAUGUAGCCCUGGUCGAGGUAGUCGUGGUCGAUGGUAUGGUCGUCGUGGAUGAUGAAGCCGCACAAAGCCGGAGGCGCAAAAAAAAUGCGCUAUGACGGAGCUGCAGACGUGGACGAUGCACCUUGCGGAUGUCAGAGGGUGCCGUCGGCGAUGAGUCCACCAGUUUUGCCAAGACCGGAGAAAACCCAUCGAGCACACAUCGGUUUUGCCAAAACCGUGUGGCCGUGUAGGGGUCGUCACUAUAGUGACGCCAUGUCAGUGCAGUCGUGCCGUCGUGGAUGACGCGGUCGUUGCCGUCGUCGUGGUCGCGUCUUGCAGAAAAUUUUGUCAGAGGACGCUAGGUGUCCAUCUUGUGGACAAGGUGGCGGCGGUGUGUUGAUGAAGAUGUUGGUGAAGACGACGUUUAUGAAGACCUUGGUGAUGAAGUGUCGGCGAUGGCGUCACAGCAGCGUGUCGACGAUAAUGUGUCGCUUGAAGGCGUCCCUCGCGGCGACCAAGUGUCAACGCCGUGUCGCGCCGGAGAAGUCGAUCAAGAUUGCAUCUCGUUCCACACCCGCCUGGCGUGUGGAUGGUGCAUGUUGAGAUCGCUUCUUGUAGACGUGCUCGACGAAGUAUAUUGGCUUGUAGCCCGACGUAGUCGUAUAGCUUGAUGAUGCGGCGCAGGGUUGGUGCAGAUCGCUCGAUGCAGCGGUUCGUGGACGUACGCGGACAACUAGCUGGUUGGCGCUGCAGCGUGGAGUCCCUUGGCGAGGCCGCGGCUUCGGCGAUGGCCAUCAUGUGCACCGGCUGGAAUCCAUCUGGGAUCUGCGCAUGUGUCCGAAGUCGACGAAGGCAGCUGAUGCUGAUGAGGCCCAGCUGCAUGCCCUCCCGUGAUCGAGCGCCCACGGAGUCGCCGUGCGUCGGGAUGAUGUAGACACGUGCAACCGGGCCCUCGGAGUUGCAUCGUUGAAGGCUUCAAGCUAGCCGAAUCCAAACCAAGCCCGAGUCUAGAUAUAGCACGUACGUGCAGUUUUUGUGCAUGCCAUACAAGUGCAUGCAUGGCUGCAUGGGUCGAUGGAGGUGCUUGCCGAUGAAGUGCAAGUGCCGGCUCCAAGGGAACCGAUCUGCUCCCUGUCCGACUUGUCUGACGCGAUGGGUGUGUGUCGAAGCAGAUCAAAAACAGAUCGUAUGCCUGGGCUGCCUGUCGCCUGUACAUAUCCCCGGCGUGCCGUCCGGAGCCAGAGGUCGAUGAAGAUGCGCCGUCAGGCCGCCUGGACAGAAACCGGUGGCUGCUCUUCUAGACCGCGCGACCUGCCACGUGUGCUCCGCUGUUGCACGAGCGUUGUGCCGGAUUGAUCUCACCGGAUUUGAGGGUCGGGGAGAGGAAUCUAUUUGUGGCUAAAGCAAGAAAAAUCAAUCUAAGAAAAUUUUGAAUUGGAAUUGUUCUAAUCUAUGGAAUCGAUCUGAUCUUUGCUCGACCGAGUGCCGCGCCCCCGGGGAGAGGAGAUUAAUCUCCCCGGGGGCGGCGCGCUGCCGAAGUGUGGUGGAAGGUUCCUAGGAUCGGCGUCGUGAGACAAACCGCUCUAAUACCAUGUAAAAUUGUAGGAUUGAUGAAUAUUGUGUUGUUGUUGUUUUUUUUGAUCUGACCCAAGUGUGGGAUAUAUAAAGUACAAUAUGUGAGAGAGACUUGGAGUAGGGGACAAGUCGUACAUGGUUUAAACCAAUCCUAUCUCUAACUCCUAAUCUCUAACUUAAACAUAAUUAUACUUCUAACAAAGACCUCCCACGGUUCAAUAUUUGACUUGGAACUCCGUCAUGCAUUUGAUGCCUCAUGAAUUUGUAAUGUAAGUUGUUGAUUCUCAACUCUUGCUUAUGUGAAUUUUGGUUCUCAUGGAUGAGUCUGCAAAACAUGAGUUGGGCUACGUUUAUACUGCAUCGACGGUUUAUAUAAAGUUUGUGUUCAAAGUUUCAGUUCAGUCCGUUUGCUCGUUCAGUUACAUAAUCAAUAAAUAAAGAACAUCACCCUCCACUGUGCUAGCUCUCUUUUUGUCGCCAACUGCAUGUGGUGGGCACGUGGAUGGAUCAAUUAGCGAUGUGGAUGCAAAGUUAAACCAAUCGAUAAAACAGAUUCAACAAGAUGGUAGAGCAUGUUCGAUGAAGGCAGGCUUCCCAGCCACUAUAGCAUAAAUGGAGACAAUCAGACGUGCUGUUCUCAAAAGGAAGUGUUUCUUACUGGUACAUUAAUUAAACCCAUGUGAUUAAUUGAUUAAACUUUUGGUCACUGUGGCAAUCAGGACUUUGGAACGCAAGCCUUCAUCCUCCUGCUUGGUUGGCAAUAAUUUUGGUGCUAAUAAAUUUGGUUACCUGUUGGGUGAAAGAAGGAGAUUACCUUGUAAAACUGUUGCUAGCUUGUAUUGACAUGCACAGUUUUGGUGCUAAUAAAUUUGAUUACCUGUUUGGUGUAUUGACAUACUCAUAGUCCCUCCGUUCCAAAAUAGAUGACCCAACUUUGUACUAAAGUUAGUAUAAAGUUGAGCAUCUAUUUUGGAACGGAGGGAGUAGGAGAGAAGAGAAUAGAGUUGAAGUUGCCUGUGUUUUCAGUUCUUAGCUACACCCAUGUUCACAAAGGACGAAGUGCUCAUAAAUCCACUCGAAUGAUCAUCUGGGCCGUGGGCCGUGGGGUACACAUGAUCUCACACGAAUGAUCAUCUACACCCCAGAUUCCAGAUGCGCAGAGCCGUCACCUCCCUGACCCUAUUGGCUUCCUCAGCGCCGGCCAAAUCCAAAUGUGGAGCUGCACCACUCCGGCGACAGCCCCCAUUCUCCACAGCAGAGGAGCUCGUGUGGCAAUGCGCCGGCGGCGGCAAAGCACGCAUGGUCAGUCGCCAUUUCCCCUUUCCACCGUUGAUUAUAUAUUUUUUUACCUUUCUUGCCCUAAAUUACAUGCAAUUAUUCUUUUGUCUUGAUUUUGUUGACAUUCUAUCGAUUCGGUACAGAAUUCUUUUGACUUAAUUUUGAUGGUAUUGACGCAAAGAGUAGGGUAGUGCUCUAAAACUGCAGACGCUAGUGCCUUAGGCCAUUGAUCAGUUUCAUGCUGACAGAUGAUCUUGGAUGAAUAAUAUUAGUUGCUAUCUGCCCACAAGGUAAUAAAGUAGACCUAGGUGGCAGAUCUCAGGGAAGUUUCACCGCAUUUGCCCCCAACUAGCUGCCAACCUAAUUAUGAUGUCAAUUUUUAUGUAUUCAAACAAGGUGAUGUUACUUCCUGCCUGCCCCCAAGGUAGAGUAAUAAACUAACUAGACCUAUCUAAUCUCAAGGAAAGUACCCGGCAUCUCUCAUCUACUAGUUGCCUACCUAAUUACUCCCUCCGUCCCAUAAUAUAAGAGCGUUUCUGACACUAGUAUAGUGUCAAAAAUGCUCUUACAUUAUGGGACGAAGGGAGUAUGAUGUAAAUGCUUAUGUGUUCAAACAAGACUUGAAAGCUAGACGAGCAAGUCGUCCUUGUUAACAAGGCAGCCGUUGCACCAACUACCAAUCGAUUUGUCCUGUAGCCUAAUACCUAGCUAGAUAACACAUCACAUAUCGAUGGGGGACAAAUGGAGGACAAAUCUUCCUUGUUAGCAAGGCAGCCAUUGCACCAACUACAAAUCGAUGGAGGACAAAUCGAUAUGCACCGCGCAAAGAGCGCAGUGCAUGCGGUUAGAUGGAUAAGAACGCGCACAAUUAGUCAGUCACCGGCCGGCUUAAACAACACAAAACAUACUGGCCCACCAGUCAUAAGUAUACUUGAGGGUUGAGUUGCUAGUUGUUGUCCCAGCUCCAUCUGAAUCCUAAAAUUAAUCUAGCAUGCAUCACCCGGCUUUUGAAUGGCAGUGGAGCUCUUGCUGUAAAAAUAAGAAAAAGGCAGUCUUCUGCUUCAGAAAUCAAGAUUUAUUUCAUCAGUUCUGCCUGGAAUGGCAAAGAUUUAUUUCAUCAGCCUGAGCACCAGGGGGCAGGGUUGAUCUUCUUCAGAGGAAACCCCAUACUUUCAAUUCUCCGUGACUACUCUUGUAUCACGUUGAGUGAUGGAGUUCCGAAAAAACUAGAGAUCAUGGACACAUAGCUUCAGUUACAAAGUUUCUUCUACUCUUUUCUGGCAAAACAUAAAUUACAAAUGUAUGCAGGAGAAGCUCUACUGCACACAAAAAAGGACAAAAGCAGCCAGAUGUUCAUCAAUAAUUGUGGGGCAGGUUGGCAUGCCAUAAGCAGCACUUAACUAAUCCAGAGCCUAAUUAAGCUUAGAUAAGUGCUGAUGUGUGUACAAAACUAUACCAUACAUAUUUUCGGAGGGUACCUUGAGCUCGUCCAAAGCUAGAGAUAAAACGUACCUAAUGUACAUUACAACUGGUUUGUCCUGCCUAUCGUCACAUCUUCCAUGUCGGGUAUGAACCCCUUUCCCCCCACUAAAGCAGCAACUCGAACAAUACUUUUUUUACAAAGCAGUUGAACCAUACUUUAAGCAUUGUCUUCUGCUGCAGAGGAUUUUCUCAAUCAUUGAGGUUUCUGAACAUCUUUUUUCAGCAAACAACCAUAAACGUCAACAUCAGUAACAGUAAAAUACCCAAAACUGUUGAAUGUGUGAAUGCGAUCGAACACCAAAUUUCAUUGUUAUCAACAGUUGAAUGUAAAUUUGUAAUACAUACAUGGAUAGCUCAGUCUUCCUGAGAAAUUAUGAGAAACGUAACUGUUACAAUGUAGACAUCACAAACCUAAUCAUCAUCAAUUAAUACGUAGCUAUGACAUCGAUCAGGGUCCUACUAAUUCAGAAACUCAUUUAGCUUUUAUUAGCUGAUUGACGGAGCCUCUGUUCAAAAGAUUAAGCAAGAUCAGCCACCUGAUAGCCCACAUUGUGUAAUUAAUUAGCUCCAUGCGGGGGAGACGUGCCGGAGCAGAAGCAUAGCUGGUGCGCAAGGAGACGACGUGCCCAGUGGCCGCGUUCUGGUGGAGGAGCUGAGCUGCUGCUCCUGGAUGCGACGGGCCAGACGACGAUCUGAGCUGCCGCUCCCGGAGGUGACCUGCCGGAACAUCAACACAUCUUCUCCCCACCAUCUCCGCCAUCGGUGUUGUCCAUCCAUCUCAGAGGUUGUUGAGGAAGUUCAAGUGUAAUUUGUCUCUCUCUUUACAGCCAGCUAAAGCUAAGCUGCUUAAAUUUGACGCUACCUUUGUCAUUACAGCAAAAUUAGCCAACAACAAUGGCGAUUGUGCUGGAUGCGUUUGCUUCCUACCUCGUGGACAUGCUCGCGCAGGUAGCAGCUGAUGAAGUGGGGACUAUGCUGGGCGUCUCCGGUGAGAUUGACAAGAUGGGCGACAGGCUCCGAGACCUCAAGAACAUCCUCGCUCACGCCGAUAGGAGGAACAUCACUGACGAGACUGUCCGAGAGUGGGUGGGGCAUCUCAAGCGUGCCAUGUACGAAGCUACUGACAUCCUCGACCUGUGCCAGCUUAAGGCCAUGGAGCAUGGAUCAUCCAGUACCAUAGAUGCGGGAUGUCUUAAUCCCUUGCUCUUUUGCAUGCGGAACCCCUUCCAUGCUCAUGAGAUCGGCACCCGCAUCAAGAAGCUCAACCAGAGGCUUGACGACAUCAACACACGGAGUUUUGCUUUCAACUUCAUCAAUAUUUUGUCUUAUGAGGAUCAUAGCAGCAAUGCCCACGCCUCUCGCCAUGGUAAUCCAAGUCGGGAGACGGCAGGGGACUUUGACCGGUCGGCUGUAGUUGGGAACAAGAUCGAAGAAGACACAAGAUCAUUGGUGGCCCAGAUCAUGCAGAAUGGAAAGGAGGUCAAUGAUGACAUCAUGGUGAUUGCCAUCGUAGGUGUUGGUGGCAUUGGCAAGACCACCCUUGCCCAGAAGGUCUUCAAUGACGAGGCCAUCCAAGGUGGGUUCAGUAAAAAGAUAUGGUUGAGCGUCAAUCAAAAUUUCAGUGAGGUUGAGCUGCUGAGAAGAGCCAUCAUCGGUGCCGAUGGAAAUGCCCAGCUGGCUGGAAAUGCAAAGGACGCUCUUCACCGUGCCCUAAUGCAUGCCUUGAAGGACCACAAGACAUUGCUGGUAAUGGAUGAUGUGUGGAACAAUGGAGCCUGGGAGUGUGUGCUCAAAAUACCCUUAGUCAAUGUCGUCGCUUCAGGUAGCUGGGUCCUCAUCACCACUAGAGAUGAAUGCGUUGCCCGAGGGAUGACAGCAACAUGGCCCUACCACUACGUCGACACGUUAGCGCCUGAGGACGCCUGGUCAUUGCUCAAGAAGCAGGUCCGUAUGCAAUUAAAUAGUGAUGUCUUAAUAAAGUGGAUAACCUAUAUUCAUGUACUACCUUCGUCUAGAAUUACUUGUCGCUCAAACAAAUGUAUCUAACACUAAAAUAGUGCUUAGUGCUAGAUACUUCCGUUUGAGCGACAAGUAAUUUCGGACGGAGGGGGUACUUAUUAACAGUACAGUGUAGUUAAUUAGGAGAAUUUUUUUGAUGCUUCCAUACUAGUGUGCAAUUAAUUACGUAUAAGCCAAUCGCUUGUACUCCCUCCGUAAAGAAAUAUAAGAGCGUUUAGAUCACUAAACGCUCUUAUAUUUGUUUACAAAGGGAGUAAGUACUAUUACCUCUUGGAUGGUAAGUUGUUGUCAAUAAUAUUGUAUGGCUAAUAUUAACUUUGUUUUCUUUUUGAGGGCGCUAAUAUUAACUUUGUUGUUUUGCAAAUAAGGUAAUUGCACCGGCGGUCUUGAACUUGGCAUGAAUGUGUACUUUACUCACCAAACUUUGAAAGAAGUGGUGCGCUAGCUAUUUACUCCAUUCGUUCCAAAAUAAGUGUACUAGAGAGUACUUGGCAAAAUAUAGCACCAGGGGUUAAGUUAAACCGAGACCAAGUCAGCUUAGAUGGCUAGUUGGCUUGCUGCCGGCGUGCAUUUUUGGCGCAGAGUCCACACGUGUAGCGUGAGGCCUCGGGGAUGCUUUUUAGUAAAGAAUCCCUAGAAUUGUGGCUAAUAUUAUUCACACAUAUUGUGGUACCAUAGAAAAUAAUAGAAAUGAAAAAUUAUUUUAAGAUCGAAAACAACAAUUUUGGUGAACCCCUACCAAUAGAAGCAAAUUAAUAUAAAACAAAAUCUAACUAGACUAACUGCUGUAGUAUAGUUUUGUAAAAAAAAAUUACACAAAAUAUUUACAAUGCAAUAUUUGUUGUAGUAUUAUGCAUUUUAGGUGACUAAGAGAUAGGAUAAUUUCAGGUGACUCUAAAAUAAUGAACUAUGUAAUAUAUGUUAAUCCUAAAUUAAGAAUAUAAUUUCCUGUUAAAGCAAUGAGUGAAUAGUGCAAAAGUAAUUUUUUGGAAAGAAUAGUCCAUGUUGAAAAAACAGAAGGGAAGAAAAAUUGCUUUCUAGGUAUAAGUUAUGUAAGUUAUACAUGAGAGUCAUUGCAUUAACCUUUGUUAUAUAGGUGGGUGAUAAGUAAAUACAUUUAUAACAUUUUCUUUUUGACUAGUACUUUCUGUACUUUGAGUAUUUUUACCUAGACAAACUUACCCUUGAUAAAGGGAUAGCUAUAUCAAAUACUCCUAUUCCUCCAAAAAUAUCAAAUAGUCCUCUUAUCUAUUGAGAGGCAAAUUAAUUUGAGAGUCUUCAAAGAGCUUGGUUCGUAGUUAAUUAACCCUUAUUGGUCCCUUGAACUGCAUGUUUGCAGGUAAUCUCAAGCGAGAUAAAUGAAGGCCACAUCAACAAGCUAAAAGAUAUUGGAUUGAAAAUUAUACAAAAAUGUGGUGGUUUACCACUUGCGGUCAAAGUAAUGGGAGGACUCUUGCGUAAAAGGGAGGUGCUACGUCGUGACUGGGAGCAGGUUUUUAAUGAUUCUAAAUGGUCAAGAACUAAAAUGCCCCAAGAGCUCAACCAUGCAGUAUACUUGAGCUAUGAAGAUAUGCCUACUUAUCUGAAGCAGUGCUUUCUAUACUACUCUAUUCUUCCUAAAAAUAAAAAGUUUAAUGUGCAUCAAGUUGUUGCCAUGUGGAUUAGCGAAGGAUUUGUUCAUGGAAACUCUAAUGAUUUAGAAGAAUUGGGAGGAAAUUACUACAAGGAGUUGAUAUCUAGGAACCUUACAAAGCCAGAUAAAUUUGAUGUUAAUCAAUCAUGUUGCAAUAUGCAUGAUAUUGUUCGCUCAUUUGCUCAAUAUAUGACUAAAGAUGAAGCACUCGUAGCUCAAGACGGAGACAAUGUUAAUCUUAUUAAACUUCAUUCAGAAAAGUUUCUUCGGUUGUCUAUAGCAACCGAUCAACUACAAUCAGGUGAACUUGACUGGACAUCUUUACAGAAGUACCAAUCAGUGAGAACACUAAUCUCAACUAUUCAGAUCAAGAUAAAGCCCGGUGAUUCAUUGCUUGCUUUUUCUGGUUUGCGGACUCUACAUAUAGAAUUUGCAGAUGUGGCUGCAUUGGUUGAAUCACUGCAUCAACUCAAGCACCUGAGAUAUUUGGCACUACUUGAUACUGAUAUAUCUGUACUUCCAGGGAACAUUGGCAAGAUGAAAUUAUUGCAAUUCCUUAACCUUGGUGGAUGUGAAAAUUUGAUCAAUCUUCCUCAUAGCAUUGUGAAGCUUGGCCUGAGGUUACUCAAUCUUCCGCACGUGAGUAUGAUACCUAGAGGGUUCUGUGAGCUCACAAGUAUGAGGAGAUUAGAUGGGUUUCGAGCCCACAUGGAUGGUGAUUGGUGCAGUUUGAAUGAGUUGGGGCCUCUUUCCCAACUGAGAUUUCUUGGAUUAAUUCAAUUGGAAAAUGUAUCCACUGCCUCGUUUGCUGCCAAUGCUAGGCUUAGUGAGAAGAUGCAUCUUAUUGACCUUGUUUUGGUCUGCACCAGUAGACUAGGAGAUGAUGGAUUGGUCAAAGGGAAAGAAGGUGUUUCUGAGGAAGAGAAGCGACGAAUCAAGAAUGUGUUUGAUGAGCUCCGCCCUCCACCAAGUGUAGAAAAUCUUGUUGUCGAUGGGUAUUUUGGCCUGCAACUCCUGAGUUGGAUGAUGUCCACAUCGAUGGUGCCCCUCACCAACUUGAAGAAUCUAAUGUUUGAUGGCCUGGCUUGUUGCACCCAACUUCCCAAUGGGUUGUGUCAGCUCCCCUAUCUGCAGUCUACCGUGCUCCAUGCAUCAAGAUUGUUGGAAAUGCAUUCCUGCUGGCGGUAAUUGAUCCAUUUCUGAGGUUAAACAGGAUGGUGUUACAAGGAAUGGUGGAAUGGGAGGAGUGGGAGUGGGAGGAGCAAGUGCAAGCCAUGCCGUGUUUGGUGGAGCUUUCCCUCAAUAAUUGCAAAUUGACCUGUGUUCCUCCCGGCCUUGCCUCCAAUGCGAGAGCUUUGAAAAAAUUAGUCAUAGACCACGUGCAGAAUCUCAGCUACCUUGAGAAUUUUCCUUUUGUUGUUGAACUUAGAGUGCAUGGAAUCCCUGACCUGGAGAGGAUCACCAAUUUCCCCAAUAUGCAGAAGCUUACUAUCACCAAGUGCCAAAAGCUGAAGGUUCUAGAGUGUAUCCCUGCACUUGUGAGGUUGGUCCUGGAGGAUUACGCCAUGGAAAAGCUUCCUGAAUACAUGCGGUACAUAAAGCCAAUGCAUUUGCAGUUAUUCUGCAGACCAUGGCUGCUCGCUUCAGUAGCUGCGGGACAAUCUGGUCUCGAGUGGGAUAAGUUUAGGCAUGUCGAGCAUGUUAAGGUAUAUGCACGUGCUAGAGGAAGGAAAUGGUACGUGAUAUACACAAGUGGAGACACUGGCAAGUUCGAUUCAAAUAUUAGCAGCUCUACGGUGUUUGAAGGUAAGUUUAAACAUACGAUUUUUAUCUUAAUUUGUUUGGGCACUCGGACUCUGCUAGUUUAUAAGUCCGUUUCACCUUAUCCCCUGCCUUUCAUCCAUAUAUGCCGCUGCAUGAUGACUGGAUAUAUGUCGUACCUUUUUUGUUCACAUGAUUACGUCGUUUCAGAUGACGUAUAAACAUGACUGUACUGGGCAUGCAGCUUAAUUCUUAGCCACACAGCAUCAGCAACAGCAGCUCAGCCUAGUGAUCAAAGUAACCCAACAUCAUAAUGGGGUAGAUACAAUAUCAUUGGCUUUGUGGACAGACACCCUUCUUCCCGGGCUUGUUGUAACAUUUGCUCUGAGGUCAGCUUGCCAAAGUGUUUUGGUCAUUCUCUCGUGUGGUUUGCAACAAGGAUUGGUUUAGUAUACAGUAUAGUGUGCAUUGCGUUUGCGUAUGCAUCUAACUAGUAGUUUUCCAUGUAAUUUUGCUUGCUGCAGAUAUAAAUUGUGAUUGGGCUGCCUAGAAGAGCUUGCGAUCCUCUUGCUGUAUGUGGUCAGCGUUGGCUUUGUAUGGUACUAACAGUACUGGCGCGUUCCCCUCGGCUGGCGUCUCCGCGGGCACCACGUGUCGUGGUGGGUCCGGCGCGGGCGCGUUGCCUAGCGCUGCCGCGUCUCCACGCAAUGAUGGCCCUGACGGCUGGGCCCACAGGCGUGUGUCUCCCGCCCGGUCGCCCGUGCGGUCACACGAUCCAACGCCCGACCGCGCCGUAGUCGAGGCGGAUUCGCCCGUUUUGUCGCCUGGGCAGGCACGUGAUCCCACGCCCGACCGCACAUCAGUCGAGGAGGAUCUUCCUGGUCAUUUGGACGCCGCCAGUACUGCUGGAUCCGCUGUGGCUCCCGGAUCUUCUGCGGAUCCUGCUCAUGUACGCCCUCGUACACGAGCUCAGAAAGGUAUUUUUAAGCCUUUGGUUCCUAAAGAUGGGACGGUCAGGUAUGAUAAAAAUUUUAAAUUUGCAAAUCUUGCUGUCACUCAAGAACCUAGAAAUGUGGCAGAAGCUCUAGGAGAUAAGAAUUGGCAACGUGCUAUGGAAACGGAGUACAAUGCUCUUAUGAAAAAUCAAACUUGGCACUUGGUUUCUCCCAAGUCAGGGAGGAAUAUUAUUGACUGUAAGUGGGUGUACAAAAUUAAACGACACUCUGAUGGCACUUUAGAUAGAUAUAAAGCUAGGCUAGUUGCUAAAGGUUUCAAGCAACGCUAUGGCAUUGAUUAUGAGGACACGUUUAGUCCAGUUGUUAAAGCUGCCACCAUUAUACUUGUUUUGUCUAUUGCUGUCACCAGGGGAAACGCGCUACUGCUACAAAAUAGCUGUAGCGCCGUAGCAGUAGAGCUGGUGCCCGCGCUACUGGUAGCAAAAAAACCAGCGCACCUUGUUCUCUCCAUGAGCUGAUCCCCACCAGAAGUUAGAGGAGAUAGAGGUCAGGUUCCGACACAUUUUCUUGAAUAGUUGAAAACAACUCAUGGUGAACGUCGGUGUCGCUUGCAGCCCUGAUUUCGCUAGUACUUCCUUCGCCGCCUUUGACAGACCUUGCCCUUUCCAUCCCAACACUUUACCCUUAGAACUCUCUCUGACAUACUUAAAAGUGCCAUGCUUAGAUCUACCCACCGCCGUCGGUAGGCCAAGAUAUUUCUCGCUAAGCGCCUCAGAGUUGAUGCCAAUGACACCUUUUAAAAUGUUCUUAUUAUCCUUCGAGCAGCCCUUACCAAAGAAAAUGGAUGACUUCUGGAGGUUUACCCUCUCACUAGAUGCAUGCUCAUACACUUGUAACAUAUUCCUCAGCUCCUCCAGGUUUCCUUGGGACCCCUCCAGAAAGACGAUGCUGUCAUCGGCGAAUAAGAGGUGAGUCACAUGGGGGCCAGUGCCGCCAAAUGAAACCCCGCUGAUCCACUUUUCCUGCUGAGCUCUCUUAAGAAGGGCAGAAAAUCCUUCAACACAAAGCAAAAACAAGUAUGGAGAUAACGGAUCCCCCUGCCUGAGGCCCCGGGAGGGUAGGAAUCUCAGAAAGCCCACCAUUAAGCUUAACGGAGAAUCUGGCUGUUCGGACAAAACGCAUAACCAUGUCCACCCAAAGUUGAGCAAAGCCAAGGCGAUGCAUGACUUGCUCCAAGAAGGUCCAUUCAACACGGUCAUACGCCUUCAUCAUGUCAAGUUUAACAGCACAAAGAGGCUUCUUCCUUUUGCGUUUACGGAUAGCAUGCACACACUCGUAAGCCACCAAGAUGUUAUCAGUAAUGAGCCUCCCCGGUAGAAAAGCACUUUGUUCCUCGGAGAUCAUCACCGGGAGAAAGCACUUGAGUCUAUUAGCAAGUACCUUGGCUGCCACCUUAUAUAGAACGUUGCAAAGGUUGAUAGGACGAAACUGAGUUAGCAGCUCCGGGGAGUUUACCUUAGGUAUCAUGACCAAGACAGUGUCAUUGAAGGAAUCCAGGGUCGCCCCACCAGCAAGAAAAUCAUGAACAGCCGCACACACAUCAAUCUUCAAGAGAAACCAGUGUCUCUGGUAGAAUAGCGCGGGCAGGCCGUCCGGCCCUGGGGCUUUCGUCGCCCCCAUUUGAAACAAAGCCUGUUCAAUCUCCUCAUCAGAGAUGGCUGCAGUUAGGUUCCCAUUCAUGUCACUGGUAACCACCUCGUCCAUGAGCUCAAGCACUCUGUCAGCCCCAGCCGAGCCCUCCGAAGUGAAGAGAGUGGCAUAAAAUGACGCCGCCAUGGACCGCAUCUCCUCAUCGGUGGUGCAUUUGCUUCCUUCUGCUCGCCGAAGGGCAUGGAGCGUGUUUUUCCUUCUCCGAUGACUGGCCCUAUUCUGAAAGUAUCUUGUGUUCUGAUCCCCCUCUCUCAACCAUCCAAUUCUUGAUCUUUGCUUGUACAUAAUCUCCUCCCUCUUGUACAACUCGCCCAGCUGACCCUCUAGGUCUCGGGCCUCCAGUGAGACGCCAGACACUAGCGCACGUUGCCGCGCAUGUUCAAGCUCCAGCUUGAGCUUCUUGAUCUGACUCCAGGGACUCCAAAUGCUUUAAAUUACCGAUCUGAUUUGGGAUUUUUCCUGUCAACUGAAUGCUUGAUAUAUUCAAAUUGGUGAGGGCAAUCAGUGAACUUAUCUCCUCUGGGAUUUGUCCUGUUAAAUUGUUACUGGACAAAUCAAGAUUGACCAAUAGCUUGUAGAUUUGGAAGCUAUAGUCACGCUUUUGGUCUUUCGUGAUUACUUGAAUGCUCUCUUCAAAGUGUAAUCCUAUGUAGUGUCCUUGGAUAUUAUGGUCAUCAUUCCCUUCAAGUUUGAGAGUGACCAUGGUAUGCUUCAUGUUAUUAUUUUUGCCUAAUAUGUCCAACUAAUGAAGACGGGCAAGGGAAGUGAGAUUGUCCAGAAUAUGGCCACUGAACAUAUUUGAUCUCAACCUCAAGAUUUGCAGUAGGGGCAUUUUCUCGGGUAAGCACAUUGGUAAUCCUCCAGAGAAACUAUUGUAUGAAAGAUUCAGGAAUUUUAAUUGUGAUGCACUUUGAAGAAUUUUGGGGAAUUUACGGAGAGAUCAUUGUUGUUCCAGGCUAGACUGAGCAUUUGGGAGCCAAACUGAUUUGCAGAGUUUGCACCAAACUCCUUGAAGCAUUGCAUAACAUCUCCUGUGAACUUGUUUCCUGAUAGGUCCAACCGUCUCAGACUAGCCAAUCGGCAUAAAGAUGAUGGUAUCAUGCCUCCAAUCUGAUUAUUUGCAAGCAACAACUCUUCUAGAAAUGGAGCUUUCAGGUGUGAAGACAAUGCCCCUAAGAAAGAGUUUGAUGAUAGGUUCAAGCGGACUAUACUUAUUGGGAGCAAUGGGACUUGACCUGUAAGGUUGUUCGACCCGAGAUAUAUAUGGUCAGCUGCCAUGUGUUGUAAAUUUUCUGGUAAUGAGCCAUGCAACUUGUUUCCCGAUGCAUGCAAGAAUGAAGCUCGGGAAAAUGUCACCUAGAACCAAUCAGGCAUAACAUCAUCCAGAUUUGCAUUUCCGAGGACAAGAACAUCAAUGCCAGUUUUCCAUUUGAGCCACUCUGGAAAAUGAGGUCCAAGAUGGCAUGCCGGGAAACCUGCGACCUUCAAUCUGAAUGGAGGAACCCACUUUUGGUUCAUAGUUAAUUUCAAAGAGUUGUAUGACAAGUCUAGAUACUCUAAAUUCAAUAGUCCUGCAAAAUCUUCCUCUGUGAGCACAUUGUUUAAUUUAUUAUAGCUGAGGUCCAAAUACUUUAAAUUGUCCAAACUUGUAGAAUGCCUUUUCAAGAGCACGUCGUUGAAGUUGUUGUGCCCGAGGUCCAAAAACCUCAAAUUACCUAAACUUGCAAAAUGUCCCUUGAAGAGCACACAGCUGAAGUUAUUGUAGCUGAGGCGCAAACUCUCUAAAUUACCUAAACUUGUGAAAUGAUCCUUCAAGAGCACACCAUUGAAGUUAUUGUAUCCUAGGUCCAGUUCAUUCAAACUACCAAGUGCUCCAACUCGGGUAGAGGGCUAGUCAUCAUGUUUCCAAAUGCGCGGAGAACACUCAGAUUGGUCAUGUUCCCAAUCCAAGCGGGCAAAUUUCCGGUCAUAUUUGUUUCCACUACCGACAACUCUUGCAAUGUAUUCCUUGAGCACCUUGGCAAUCGAUCCAUGAACUCAUUGAUGUUUCAAUACUUUCAAGUUGCACAGGUCUUCUAUGUUUCUUGGUAGCAAACCCUCAAUAUUGUUCCACCUCAAGUAUAUGACCUGGAGGGACUUCAUGUUUCUCAAUUCACUGGGAAUGGACCCAUUCCAGCCACAGUCUGAGUGGUAGAGCUUCUUGAGACUUGUAAGGUUCCAGAACCAGUUCUCAUUGAGUGAUGUAUAGAGGUUGUUACUAGACAUAUCAAGGACCUCGAGAUGUGUGAGGUCGGACUUGGAAUGUAAAUUACUAGCAGUCACAGUACUAUUAAGGCCACAUUCGUGCAAGCAAAUCACUUUAAGAGAAGGGAGCAUGUUAACCGUGUGAACCCAAUCCCUCACAAAACUAAGAUCCACAAAGCUCAUGUCAAGAUGACUCAACAAAGAGAGGCGUGGCAACCAUGCAAGAUCCACUGCUCGAAGACCAUCAUAAUUACCACUAACAUCGAGAUAUUGCAACUUGGAGAGAUUCCCAAGUUGGGAAGGUAUCGUCCCAGUGAAAUAUGCCAAUGAAAAGUUGAGAUACCUUAAUUUGCCGAGGGAACCCAUGAAAACAGGUAUGCUUGUGCCGGUGAAGUCAUUAUGGCUCAGAUCAAGAUACCUUAGGUGUUGCAAAGUAGCCAAAGAGGAGCUCAUCUCUCCUGCCGACAAGCUCAAUGAUCUGCUCAUGUUCGGAUAGCCACCAGUAUCCAUGUCGAUGUUGCGGAGGUUGAGUUUGAUUAUAUGGCCAGUUCGAUUGCUGCAUCGAACACCCUUCCAUUGACAACAGUUGUUGCCACGGCGCCAUGACGAGAGAUGGCCAGCAGGGUCGAAGAGGCUCGCCUUGAAGGACAGGAGCGCAUCUCGCUCACUGCUAAGGCAAGCCUCUGAUUCACUCGCUUGACCAUGGGAAGUGGAUGCUGUUUGGGAGAUGAGUAGGCAAAGGAGUAGUGCUUUUGCUCGAAGGAGGUGCAUAAGCUUAGUCAUAUUGGCCGGAAAUGGCAGACGGGGAAGACAGUGGAGCGAGCGUCUUAUCUCCGUUCCACAACAAGCUACUUUAAGCUAGUCUUUCCAUGUGUACUUUUCGUAUGCUCAAGUUAAGUUAUGGCAAGAAUUCUACCCUGCAGAGGACGGCAGACCAGGUUGUGGCUGGAAUUUCUAUUCAUGUUUCGCUCAGUAUUUGUGGCCGGAGACUUGACGCCUCAGUCCACGUCAUGGUCUUGCAACGUAUACAUACUUUUCUUCUAUGGGUGCUAAAAACCCAUUCAGAGGAGACUCCAUGGAGCCCUUUAAAAAAAAUCAAAAGCAAAAAAAUUCAAAGAUAGGAGUAACAUUUUAUCAGACUCCAUCAACUCAAACCAAACCCAUACAGUUGGCAGAAGAAGAUAAAUCUAACCCUCCUUCUUUUUAGUGGGAAAAAAAAUCUAACCCCCAUUUUUUUUUUGAGAAAUAAAAAUCUAAGCCUCCUGAUCCGAACGACUGAGCGCAAGCAUUCAAGCAUUCAAGGGAGUAGGCCCCUGCCAAAGGGCACAGGCGAGCUCAUCCAUAGGAGUGCAAGCAUUCAAGGGAGUUGGCCCCAGACACACAGGGAAUUCAUUUUGGCACAUGGGAGUAUAUACUCCUGCCAUCGGUAUUUUUUUUUCCAAAUCAGCCACUCUGUUGUAUACUACUUCCUCCGUCACGUAAUAUAAGAGCAUUUUCAGACAAGGGAAGACAAGAGAAGAUUUAGGACUACAUUAUAUAAGAGAUUCAGAGGUAUGUUUCGAACGAUACAUGUUAGGAAUAUAUAGGAUCAAUAUGCAUAUUUGAUCGUUGAAGCUCGCUUUCGGACUAGGAGUUGCCUUGCCGCUAGCACAUGUGCCCAGUUGUUUGGAAUUGACUGGUAGUGUUCUUGUGUGCUUGUUGUGGAGAGGGCUGAGCCAUAGGCUGGGCACUCUGAAUUCGAAGUCGCUUUGAUCGCGAGGUGAUAAUGACAGCCGUUGUUCGGUGUCUUGUGUGAGUGUUCUGGGUAGCCAGGCGGGGCCAUGUGUCGGCUUGUUAUGGCGACUUUGUCCUGUUUUCUUAAUUAGCUGGGCAAUUCUUUUUUUAAUUAUUAUGAUAUGAGGCAAAACAUUACCUCCGUUAAAAAAAAUCAAUCGGGGAUUCCAUUCAAAGGGAACCGCUCGUAAAUAUUAAUUAAAUUGAUUAAGAGUAAUGCUAGACUCACGGGCAGUCUACGGAGGAUUUACAGGGUGGUUAAAGCUAAUUAGCUGGAUAUAGAUAAGUUAGGCGGGCCCACCUCUGAAAAUCAAGGAGGUCGUACAGAUCUCUCGCUGAAGCAUUGGAGUAAUUGGGCCAGCGCACUAGUGAUAUUUUUAAAAAAUUGAGUAAAAAGGAAGCGCCUCGGCGAUCGAACCUGGGAACUCAUGGUUGCUUUGCUUCGUUACCCUGAUAGCUAUUUUACACUGGUUUUGCAUGUUUUUUUCAUCGGGUUUUCUUCAUUUCUUUUUCCCUCCUUUUACAGUUCUUUCUCUCUUCUUCAUUUUUAUUCGAUCUUCUCUGGUUUUUUGCUUUUUCCUUUCCUUUUUUUGUUUGGUUUUGUUAUAUCUUCUUCGUUUCUUUGUUUUUUCUUUUCGCUUUUCAAUGUUCCUUUCAUUGUUUUUAUCAGUCUUUCCACUUUUUUGCAUUUGUUUGUUUGUUUGUAUUUAUUUUUCAUUUUCCUUUUUCUUUGGUUUAUUUUGUUUCUCUUUCGAGUGUUGGAUGCUCGGUUUGGGAGAAGCCCAGUUGAGCAGCUAACGAACCCGUCUAUUCUCUUGCGACCCCUUUGUCCUUCAUAUAAUAAACGGUCUAUUUUAUUACAUGCUUAUGUGAAAACUAAAUUUGGUUGGGGAGGGGGGGGCAUUGGACCCCUUUGUCCUUCAAAUAAUAAACCUGAGCCUGGAUGCCUUGCUCUCUGCUGCCACCAGCAUGCCUUGGCACGAUCGAGGCACGCUUCCGCGGAUUCACCUGGGGCAAAAUAAAGCACCGCUACUCCAUCUUUGGCACUGGUAGUAACAUCCCCUAGGUAGUGGAACGAGAAACACUUCGACGGUUAAGAGCGGAUCUAGGGAGACGGAGUUGUUUUCAAGGUGGAUUUCGAGAAAGCAUACGACAAAGUCAAAUGGCCUUUCCUUCAGCAGGCCUUACGCAUGAAGGGUUUUGAUGAAGCUUGGCGACGCCAGGUUCAAUCCUUCACGCAAAAAGGGAGUGUUGGAAUUAAAGUGAAUGAUGACAUUGGUCAUUAUUUCCAGAAACACAAGGGUCUGAGACAAGGUGAUCCAAUGUCUCCUAUUUUGUUCAACAUUGUGGUUGACAUGUUGGCAAUUCUGAUAGGAAGGGCCAAGGAGGCUGGUCAGGUGGGUGAUUGGUGCCUCAUCUGGUUGAUGGAGGUGUGUCAAUCCUGCAGUACGCUGAUGAUACAAUCAUCUUUAUGGAGCACGACUUGGCGAAAGCGAGAAAUAUGAAGCUGGUGUUAUGCUUAUUUGAACAAUUGACCGGACUGAAAAUCAAUUUUCAUAAAAGCGACUUGUUCUGCUUUGGUAGAGCCAAUGCGGAACAAGAGGCUUAUAGGCAAUUGUUUGGAUGCGAAUUGGGGGCGUUACCUUUCACUUACUUAGGUAUACCCAUUCACCAUCGUAAGCUGACGAGCAGAGAAUGGAAGAGCAUUGAAGACCGGUUUGAGAAGAAACUAAGUUGCUGGAAGGGCAAACUCAUGUCGUAUGGAGGCCGACUAAUACUUAUUAAUUCGGUGCUCACGAGUAUGCCCAUGUUUCUCUUAUCUUUUUUUGAAGUCCCAGUUGGUGUUAGGAAAAGACUGGACUUCUAUCGAUCCCGGUUCUUCUGGCAAAGUGAUGAAACAAAGAGAAAAUACCGAUUAGCCAAAUGGGAUAUCAUCUGUCGACCAAAGGACCAGGGGGGCCUUGGUAUUGAGAAUCUUGAAGUAAAGAACAGAUGUCUUCUCAGCAAGUGGCUGUAUAAACUUUCAGUUCAAACCGAGGCCACAUGGGCGCAGAUUCUUCGAAGUAAGUAUCUGCAGUCCAAGACGUUGUCCCAGGUGACAGUGAGACCCACAGACUCACCGUUUUGGAAGGGGCUUAUGAGAGUUAAAGCUGCCUUCUUUAAUAGAACUAAGUUUAUAGUUGGUAAUGGCAACACCGAAAGGAUACUUGGCUUGGUGAAACGUUGUUGGCGCUUCAGUAUCCGUCCCUGUAUCGUAUUACUCAACGACGUGAUGCUCUAGUUGCCACGAUUUUGCAGUCCAUUCCCCUUUAUAUUUAGUUCAGGGGGGCGCUUGUGGGCGACCGGUGGGAAGCAUGGCUUCACUUGAUGAGUAGACUGAUGGAGGUUCAGCUAUCUCACCAACCCGAUAAGUUGUGUUGGAAGCUUACUAGGUCUGGUGAGUUCUCUGUCCAGUCGAUGUCAUUAACUCAAGUGUUAUACCUAGUUCCAAAGAGGUUUGGAAAGUCAAAGUUCCUUUAAAAAUUAAAGUGUUUAUGUGGUUCGUGCAUAAACAAGUCAUUCUAAUAAAUAAUAAUUUGAUUAAACGCAACUGGACAAGAUCUACUAGGUGUAGUUUUUGUGAUCGGGACGAAAACAUCAAGCACCUCUUCUUUGACUGCCAUUUGGCAAAGGUUUUGUGGCACACGGUGCAUAUUGCCUUUAACAUUACUCCUCUGAAUUCGGUCAGUGCAUUAUUUGGAAUGUGGCUUCUUGGGAUAGAGUCCAAAACAGCCAGACACAUUCGUGUAGGAGUAUGUGCUUUGUUGUGGGCAAUUUGGAAUUGCAGAAAUGAUUUGACCUUCAACAGAAAAACAAAUAUUCAUUUUUCUGCAGGUUUUAUUCCGAGCUACUGCGCUGAUCCUUAUGUGGUCCUUACUCACUCCGAUGGAGGCCAGGAAGCGUUUGGUUACUGGAUCUGUCCGGUGGGAGAUGGUAGCACGGGAUAUCUUCAACCGGUUUGGAUGACGGUCAUGUAAUAGGAUAGGCAAUUAGUUUACCAAUCUUUGUUUUGCCGGCCGAUUGUGGCUUUUGGGCCUUGUGUUUCUGGCCCUUGUGGCUCUUUGUGAGCUCGCCGUUAUUUUGCUUUCAGACGUGACGACCUUGUUGAACAACUUUUAUUUAUAUAUUUAUGUGGCCGUAUGCAUUGUUCUGAUGCAGAGGCCGGGGAGACCCCCUUUUCGAAAAAAAAAAGCUAGCUAGGGAGAUCAUAUACUAGAUCAUUUUGGUAAUUAUUUUUCCUCUGCUACUAGUUGUGCUUCAAGUCGUAGUUCUCUUGUUAUGUCGCUGGAUACCAUUAUAUCCUUGGGUGAUACAUUAAACUAGCUAGAAAUAAACUAAGCUGGCCGAUGCUUGCACCUGUUAGCAGCACGCUAAGGAAACGAUUCAUUCAUUCGGAUUCGGUCGUAGCAGCUGUUAGGAGUGAAAUUCAGAGAAGAGCAGAGCAGAAGUGGGGAGUAUCAUUUACUAGUCAAGGGUCAACAUAUACACCUGGAUUGAAGAGAAGGCACAAACUGCAGAGUGAUUUCAGAGGCAGCUGGUGAACUGGUGCCUCUCAGGAACUGAAACUCUGAAGACUGAAAUAUCUGAAGAAAUCGGGACACACUUUUGAUCACUUUUAUAAUCUCGGCCCUUCUCCUCCUGCUAGCUGGAGGGGAUCUGCUCUGCUCUGAACGACGACGACCAAAGAGGUUAUCAGGAGAAGAAGAGCAUGGCAGUCAGCACUCUUGCUAGUUUGCUUGGAUUCAGUUUUCUUCACCUUGUUUCGAUGGCCUUGUUCUCUGUGGAGAAUGGUCAAGGCAUAUAUAUAUAUAUAUAUAUAUAUAUAUAUAUAUAUAUAUAUAUAUAUGCCUGUUCCAUCACUAUGCAUGGAUAAUCUCUGGUAUUAGUGCGAGCUUCUUUUUUUUCCGGUAAGGGGGUUUGCCCUGUUGUGAUGGUUGGAUCAUGUGGAUGUGGACUGAAUCUAUGUUCAGUUUACACCAAAUGGAACUGGAUUCAGAAUGGGGGAAAAAGAAAAACGCCGCCUCUGAGGUCUGAACCGUGCAAUUUUAUUAUUGUGGUGCCACAACAGCGGCGUCGACCUUGUCCUCGUCGAUCUGACGACCCCCCUCAUCACGUCCUUCCGUUGCCGAUGGUCCUGCGACUGAAUUCACUAUUAAAAAAGAGAGAGAGAGAGAGAGCAGAGUUGAAGUUGCAGUGGCAAAAUCAAUCAGCUGGGAUUCAGUUGAUUAAUCUAACGAUCCUACAAGCACAACUACAAGUAGUGGGUCCAAAUUGGGACAAGCGCUCUGUCAUCCCACUAAAACAUGUCUAAAUACAUCCGCAAAGAUGUCUGUACACUCUAAAACAUGUCUACAUACAUCCGGAUGUUGUAGCUUAUUUAAAAUGUCUGAAAAGACUUAUAUUUAGGAACGGAGGGAGUACAUGGGAAGUACAAAAAAAAAAAUCUUAAUAAGGUAAGCCCAGGUGCAAGAUAAGCUUUUUCUUUACAGGCAUGAUUAAGCUUUUUUUGGUUAUGACUCCUGCAUGGAUGACAAUGCUUUCUGAGCUAAUAAAUCUGGUUUAUGUGCAGGCACGUUGAUAGAACUUUGGCUGACAACGUGACUUUAUUGGUAUGCCCAGGUUACAUCCAUGGAACUGGAAUCAGAAAAAAAAAAGACAACAUCAUUUUUUUAGGCUAAAAAAAGAGAGAGAAAAGAGAACAGCUUUUUUUUAAGCUCCGAGGCGACCACACCAGCGACGGCGACCGAGGCCCCCAUUCCCCACAGCAAAGGAGCUCGCGGAGCAUUGCAACAACGGCGGCGAAGCACGCAUGGCAAUUAAUCUUUUGUCUUGAUUUUGGUUGCAUUCUAUCGAUUCGAUACAUAAUUCUUUUGUUAUCUUAUUUAUGAUGGUAUCAACGCAAAGGGUAGGAUUUUUUUUCUUUUUUUUUCUUUUUCGAAAAGGGGGACUCCCCGGCCUCUGCAUCAGAACGAUGCAUAUGGCCACAUUUAUUAAUAAAUAAAGAGGUUCAACAACUGCAGACGCUAGUCCCCACCUUGCACCCGCCAUUUGAUCAGUUCAUGCCGACAGAUGGUUUUGAAUGAAUUAAUAACUAACACUAGUUCCUGCCUGCCCCUAGGUAAUAAACUAGACCUAUGUGGAAGAUCUGAGGGAAAUUUCACUGCAUCUCUCACCAGCUAUGUGCGUUACCUAAUUAGUCCCUGAUCCGUCACAUAAUGUAAGACAUUUUUUGAUACUACAACAGGUGCCAACCUAACUAUGAUGUAAAUUGUUAUAUAUUCAAACAAGGUAAUGUUAUUUCCUGCCUGCCCCAAAGGUAGAGUAAUAAACUAGACUUAUCUAAUCUCAAGGAAAGUACCCAGCAUAUCUCAUCAGCUAGUUUGCCUACCUAAUUAUGAUGUAAAUGUUUAUGUAUUCAAACAAGACUUGCAAGCUAGACGAGCGCAAGUCAUUCUAGUUAACAAGGCAGUAGUUGCAUCAAAUAUUAAUUGAUUUGUCAUGUAGCCUAAGAGCUAGCUAGACAACAUGCCACAUAUCGAUGGAGGACUUAAUCAAUCCUUGCCAGUUUUCACUGAAUCUGCAUCACGGUUCAUUGAAUCUGCACAACUAGUCGCGGGCAGGCUGGCCGGCAUAAACAACUCAAAACGCACUGGCCCAAUACUCAUAUGAGUUGUUUCGAGUUGAGUUGCUCCUAUUAUCCAGCUCGAUCCGACUGUGACUGCGAAUACCAAAAUUUAGCCAACAUCCACCAUCAAAUAAAGUAGACCUUGUUGAUUUAAGACACUUGGGGGUUGAGUUGCUAGCUAUCAUCCAGCUCGGUCUGACUGUGAUGGCGAAUACUAAAAUUAAGCCAUCAUGCAUCAUCAAAGUAGACUUUGUUUUGCGGGCAUACCUCUCCAAACAGUCUCCAUUAUUGGGAAUGAUAAUAAUGAAUCGGUCGCCUUCAGACAACAGCUACCUAUUGACAGAUGUGUCUGACAAUUACAUUGUGCCUACAACGAGCCUAAGCAACUAGUGCCAGUUGACCUGAACGAGUCAUGCCAACCAGGGCAACAACUAAUAGUUCAAAAGAUUAAGCAAGAUCAGCAAGCUGAUAACCCAUGUUGUGUAGUAAUUAAUUAAUUAGCUCUGUCAAACGCAGCUGUCUGCUAGUGUUAUUAUCUUCAAGUUGUUGACAGUGACGAGAUGUGAUGGCAAUAUGUUUGAUCAUAUCUUCCGCUGAUCCUCAUCUCAGUUUCAUUGUGCUGACAUAUAGCCAUCACAUAGAUGUUGAGAUAAUAACAAUAUGUUUGAUCAUAGUAUUUACAGUAUGAUCUCUAGACAUAUUUUUACACGUGAAAUGCCCAUGGAUAGUCGAAGGCAUCAUGAACAAUCUCCUGCUCGAGGAGGUUCCGCGGCAUCCAACGUUACUUGAGAUCCUCAUCAGGGUUUGAAGAAUGCUUGACGCCUAGGGUGCUGUUUCUUAACACAGAUAUAUGGUGCCAUCACCGUUCCUUUUUUGUUUCUCAUUGCGUCCCUGCUGAAAUUUCUGAGGUAUGAUCAUUUCUUCAUCAAUGAUUAGUUAAACUUAGUAGCAAAUUUAUAGCGUGCACGGCACGCGAGAUGCCUGAUCCGGUGACGCGCUGGGCGGAGGCAGCUGGGUGCUCUGUGUGAUGGAUCAGCGGAAAAUUGAUUACAAUCUCCGAAAUAUAGAGUGUGUCGGUGCAUCUUCAUCCAUCUCGAUUAACUUCUAGAAACUGCCAGACCCAAUUGGAUCCUUAUAACCACAUUUAUUCUGCCAUAGUUCUACCGCCAUCCCUGCAUCCCGGUUAUUAACAUCAGUUUAAGUAAAUUUAUUUGAUUAGUUUGUUGUGAUGCCCGAUAACAUCCAGUGCAUGUCAGCUCAAGACCCUGGGUGUAGUCGCGCAUGCAAUCUGUUGAAUCUUUGCUUGACCUGAUAUUGCUCCUGCAAUGCCGAUUUCGAACUCUGUUUAUGUAAACAAGAGUAUGCGCUUGAUGGCUCAUGAAUUUGUAAUUUAAAAGUUGUUGAUUCUGAACAAUUAUUUAUGUGGAUUUUUGGUUCACAUGAGUUGGGUUACAUUUAUAGUACAUCAGUUGGGUUACAUUUAUAGUACAUCAGUUUAUAUGAAGUAUGUGCUCAAAGUUUCAGUUUAUUUUGCUUGUUGAGUUGUACAUGGUUCAUCUUGCCAGCCCUCCUUUUGUUCCAAGCUGCAUGUAGAUAUGGAAAGUUAAACUAAUGGCUAAAAAGAUUAAACAAGAUCAGCAACAUGACAUCAGGCCAUGUUUUUUUAUGGUAAUAUGUGUCUCAUUCAUAUCAUAAAGAUUAAAGUACAAGUCACGGGAGGACCGACAUGACAAAAUUGAAAAGAUAGCAGAUGUUAUUUCAUCAUAAUACGUGUCUCAUUCAAUGCAGCUGUCUGCUACUGUUAUUACUCCAUUCAAUGCCCCUCGUAAUCUCACGCCUUAAUCAUUCUUGUCCAUUUCCACCCAGCUGCGCCGUCGCCUUUGGCCUUUCCACACAGAGGCGGCAACACAGCGAAGGUGGAGCUAAACUGCUGCUCUCGGUGCCGUCACCCUGGAGGGGUUGCUAAGCUGCUGCUCCCGGAGGCGACGCGUCGGACGAGGAGCUGAGCUUCCACUCCUGGAGGCGGCACGUAGGAUCGAACACAUAGUCUCCGCUGAUCGUCGGAAAUCGUCCAUCCGUCUUGGAGGUUGGUUACGCAAUUCAAGUGUUAUUUGUCUCUCUUUACAGCUAUCUAGCUAAGUUUCCUGCUCACAUUUAACAUUACCUUCAUUAUUAUUAUACAAUAAAAAUAGCCAGCAACAAUGGCGAUGGUGCUGGAUGCAUUCGCGUCCUACCUGGUGGACAUGCUCACGCAGGUGGCAGCAGAUGAGGUAGGGGCGAUGCUCGGUGUCUCGGGUGAGAUCAACAAGAUGGGCGACAAGCUCCUAGACCUCAAAAACUUCCUGGCCGACGCCGACAGGAGGAAAAUCACCGACAAGACCGUCCAAGAGUGGGUGGGGCAGCUCAAGCAUGCCAUGUACGAAGCUACUGAUAUCCUCGACCUCUGCCAGCUCAAGGCCAUGGAGAGUGGAUCAUCCUCGAUAGAUGCAGGGUGUUGCAAUCCCUUGCUCUUCUGUAUGCGGAACCCCUUCCAUGCUCAUGAGAUCAGCAUCCGCGUCAAGGCACUCAACCAGAGGCUCGACGCCAUCAAGCAACGAAGCGCCACUUUUGGCUUCAUCAAUCUCAUGUCCUAUGAGGAUCGUAGUGGCAAUGCCCUUGCCACGCACUAUGGUAAUCCAAGUCGGGAGACGGUAGGGGACUUUGACCGGUCGGCUUUGGUUGGGGACAAAAUCGAAGAUGACACAAGAGCGUUGGUGACCCAUAUCAUGCAGACAGGAAAGGAGGUCAACGAUGGCAUCAUGGUGGUCGCCAUUGUAGGUGUCGGCGGGAUUGGCAAGACCACACUCGCUCAGAAGAUCUUCAAUGAUGAGGCAAUCGAAGGUGAGUUUAGCAAAAAGAUAUGGUUGAGCGUCAACCAAAACUUCAAUGAGGUUGAGCUGCUGAGAAGAGCCAUCAUCGAAGCCGGAGGAGACGCCCAACUAGCUGGAAAUGCAAAGGCCACACUUCACCGAAGCCUCAAGGAUGCCUUGAUUGGCCACAAGACCUUGUUGGUAAUGGAUGAUGUGUGGGACCAUGUAGCAUGGGAGGGUGUGCUCAAAGUUCCAUUCAAUGUUGCUGCUUCAGGCAGCCGAGUCAUUGUCACCACUAGGGAUGAAGGUGUUGCUCGAGGGAUGAUAGCUAGACGGCCCUACCACCAAGUCGACACAUUAUUGCCUGGAGAUGCUUGGUCAUUGCUCAAGAAGCAGGUGUGUACUUGAUUAAGCUACUAAUCUCUGCCUUGAGUCAAUAAUCAUUGAAGUUAAUUAAAUACAAUGUAGUUACUUAAGAGAAGACUUGUAUGUACUAUUAGCUCUUGGAAGGUAAGAGGUUGUCGGUAAUUUUGUAGGGCUAAUAUUACUUUGCUAGUGUCAGUAAGGCAUGCAUGGUGCUAAACAAGGAAAUGUACCAAAGCACCAAUUGGGCUUUCCGCAUUUGAUUUAUGCCAACUUGACACUUGUUCAGACACAUUAGGUUUUGUUUAGCCGAGCUUGAGUAAUAAUUAGACAUUCGGAUAAUUAUAUCUAUAUCGUUUUUACCAGUGAAGACAUGGGUCCUAUAUUUAGGUAGCAACUAAGUUUUUGCCAAUAUCUUGUCUCAUUUUCGAAUUUACUGAUGAAAGAUCUAAGUGCUUAGCUACUCAACAGUGUCAUAGAAUAUAAAAUAAAUGAAAAUUUAUUUUAAGAUGGUAAAAAUAACAAUUUCGGUGAACCUCUGCUAAUAUGACAAAAUUAUAUAUAAACAAAAAGUAACUAUACUAGAUGUUGGUUGUAGUUCUGCUAGAAAAUGUGCACACAAAUUUAUUCAUUAAUGUAUUAUGUAUUUCAGGCGAUUGAGGGAUAAGAUAAUUUCACAAGACCGUAAAAUACGAAAACCAAUAAAAUAAUAUAUAAUUCGGCUAAAUCUAGAGUACAACUUUGUAUAACAGCGAUGACAGAGUAGUGCAAAAGUAUUUUCUAGCAAUACGCUCGAGUUUGUAUGUUAAGUAUUUACCGUCAAUUCUACCUUGUACUGUACGUUCGCAGGUACUCUCAGGUGAGAUAGAUGAAGAGCACAUCAAUACACUAACGGAUAUUGGAUUGGAAAUUAUACAAAUAUGUGGUUGUUUACCACUUGCUGUUAAAGUAAUGGGAGGUCUCUUGCGUGAAAGAGGGGGGCUCCGUCGUGAAUGGGAGCAGGUUUUGGAUGAUUCCAAAUGGUCAGUAACUAAAAUGCCCCAAGAGCUCAACCACACAGUAUACUUAAGUUAUGAAUAUAUGCCGCCUUAUUUGAAGCAGUGCUUUCUAUACUACUCACUUCUUCCUAAAAGUAAAGUUUUUCAUAUGGAUGAAGUCAUUGCGAUGUGGAUGAGUGAAGGAUUUAUUCAUGGAAACUCUAGUGAUUUAGAAGAAUUGGGAAAAAACUACUACAAGGAGUUGAUAUCUAGGAACCUUAUAGAGCUAGAUAAAUCAUAUGCUCAUAUAUGGGUUUGUAGCAUGCAUGAUGUUGUUCGCUCAUUUGCUCAGUAUAUGACUAAAGAUGAAGCGCUCGUAGCUCAAGACGGAGACAAUGAUAUUCUUACAAAACUUGGUUCACAAAAGUUUCUUCGGUUGUCAAUAGAAACUAACCGAUCACAAUCAGGUGAUCUAGAUUGGACAUCUCUGCAGGCGCAACAAUCAGUGAGAACAUUAAUCUCAACUAUUCAGAUCAAGAUGAAGCCUGGUGAUUCAUUGGUUACCUUCUCAAGUCUACGAGUCCUAUAUAUAGAAGCUGCAGAUGUGGCUGCACUGGUUAAAUCAUUGCAUCAACUCAAGCACUUGAGGUAUCUGGCACUAUUAGAGACUCAUAUUUCUGUACUCCCUGGGAACAUUGGCAAGAUGAAACUAUUACAAUUCCUUGACCUUCGUGGAUGCACAAAAUUGGUGAAUCUUCCUGAUAGCAUCGUGAUGCUUAGCCAACUACAAUUUCUUUACAUUCCCAACAUACAUAUGAUACCUAGAGGGUUCCGUGGUCUGACAGACAUAAGGAAACUAAUUGGGUUUCCAGCCCACAUGGAUGGUGAUUGGUGCAGUUUGGACGAGUUGGGGCCUCUUUCCCAACUCAAAAAUCUUUUCUUAAAUAAAUUGGAAAAUGUAUCUGCUGCCUCAUUUGCUGCUAAUGCUAGGCUUGGUAAGAAGAUGCAUCUUAUCGAACUAGACAUUGGUAAAGAUUGUGUUAAAAUUAAGAUGUGAUGUUUUUGCCCCGGCCGUGACACCAGAAACCUCUGACCGACAUGUUUAACCCUUUGCACCGAUGCAAACCAACAUGUGGUUCUGUGGUUGGAUGGUUAGAGGGGCAGUGGUAUCCCUAGCCCAUCAGGGUUCAAGUCCUGGUGCUCGCAUUAUUCAUGGAUUUAUUUCAGGAUUUCUGGCGAGACUUUGUAAAUCUCAAGAUGAUAUGCUGGCUCAGUCUUUUGGAGGUGCUCAUAGGAGUAGGAUGUGCAUGUGUGCACUCAUAGAGGUGAGUGUAUGUGCGUAUGUAUGAACGCUUGCGUCUAUACUGUGUUUAAAAAAUAACCUUUUGCACUGCUGGUUGCUUUUGUUUAGAGACAAACACCGGCGGAUUUCUUUGCAUAUGCUACCACGGGGGGCUAAUUUUCGUGUUUUGACCUUUUUCGAAAAGUUUAGACGGAUCUAACCUCGGUAUGAAUGAAUUUCGAGAUUUGAUCCUUAUUCCCAUCGCCAGGGUCCUCGGCAGUAGGCUAUAAUAGGCUACCGCCAUAGGCCUUGGCGGUAGCUCACUCAUGCACGUCGGCCCGAGUAAACGGCAACCGUCUCCUGCCGUCCACCCUACCGCCAGAGUCCUCGACUGUAGCCUAUGCAACCCUACCGCCAAGGACAAUGGCGGUAGGAGCCGAACAGUUAUAAAUCCGCGGGGGCCGUGGCGCACGGCCCACCCACAGUUAUGAAUCCCCUGCGCCCCCGCCGCGCCGCCCAGCACAGAGAGCAACUCCUCUCUCCCCCUCCACUCCCACCCCUCCCUCCGAUUUUCUUCGUUUCUCCACCGUUCUUGCGGCUCGAAAUGGCUCCGAAACGAGAAAAGUGCGGCCGAUAGCAAAAGAGGACGCCGUCAGUAUCUGCCUGGUUAGUCGAUUUAAUGGCUGCAGAGGAGGAACAAGAACCAGUAGUAGUUGCACCCGGUUUAGGAGAUGGAAACAAGGAACGAGAAGCUCACCAACGACAGACAACCAAUCGAGGGAGCUGAGACGAGAUGGUCCUAUCCAUUGAAUCAACUUGGUAUUAAUCAUGCUUCAAGUCGCAGUUCUUAAUUAGUUCAUUCUUUUGCAAUGGCUCUAAUUAAUGUUACUGUAGGCAUUUUGAUGUCGCUGAGGUGAUGAUGCAGCCUUCUGCUGCUCCUCUUCCUCAGGCCAAGAGCAUCGUAUUCUCAGAAUUCUGCUGCUUGUUUCCCUUCUUCUGACUGGAGCUUCCCAGGGAUCAGUGGAGCGCCCAGUGCAGCAACCCCGGGAUCAGCUGAGGCACGUACGGGUAGUGUUGUGAACCAAACUUUUACCCGGUGGAGAAACUGACUAAUAAUGUUGCUACAUGCUUAUAUCCUUAGUUGCUGUAUUAAAACUGCAGAUUAUUAGUAUCCUUGGUAUGUUGCUGUAAAUUGUAAACUGAACGUUCAACAAAAUACUCCCUCCGUCCGAAAAUACUUGUCUUCAAACUGAAUAAAAGAGGAUGUAUCUAGAUGUAUUUUAGUUCUAGAUACAUCUCUUUUUAUCAAUUUUGAUGACAAGUAUUUCCGGACGGAGGGAGUAUACAAUAGCAGCGAGUCAUGUUUGCUUAUGGUAGGUGUUUUGGAACUAUUGGAUAGUAGCAGCUGUCAGCGCUUAGCGCACUAUGGAUAAGUCAUCGUAAUGCGCCCGCUGUCACUAGCUGGUUCUAGAAGAACAUAGGUGACAGUACAUUUAGAGUCGUUGUGAAAGUUUGAAUGAUUAAGGCAUGCAUAACAGAGUGAUUGACAGUACAUCUAGAGUUUUGUGUAGCAGGAUAUGUUUAUUUUUUGACUCUGAAUAAGUAAUAGAACUACUCAACAUGCUUCAUAUAUUAGCCGGAACAUUUAUGGUCUCUGUUGUUAUGUCUUCCCAUGUAUUUUUAAUGUGUCUACAUGCAUGGUUAUGUUUUGUGGGUCUAGUGCUUCACUGCUGUAGUUUCAAAUCACUUUAUAAGUCCAUUACGAGGUCAAGUUUGUUCUGAUUCUUGAUAAGUAAUUUUUCUUUUUCCAGGCUGAGAUUUUUCCUCAAGUUGCUUGCCUUUAUGGCAUUGCAUCUAUCGCAUGCCUUUAUUUUCGCUUCCAUGUAUGUGACGAAGACAAUUUUUAGUAAGCUUUUGUGAUUGAGAAAACGAUUAAUAAUGUAGCUUCAUCGAGGCGGAGUGUUUGUGAUUUGUAUUCUUUCAGUUGCUUUUCUGUAACCUGAAGCUUUCAUGGGUUGAUGAGUACACAAUACCAUAGAUGUAUGAUGACUAUCCUUGAGUUGGCUGUUGUACAAGUUGUAUGGUUUUGAUAGGUGUCGUGUUUGGGCAGCAUUCAAUUAAAUUGUCAAGUGCGUUUCAGGAUAUGUCAUGGCAAUGUUAAGGCUCAAGAAGAGAAAUAGCAGAUGAGAAGGGCGUCAGGGCUUGUUGGCAUGCAAAUUGCUCAAACCUGGAGCGGGAGGUAAGUUGGCUCAAGCCUGGAGCCCGAUUGUCCGAGCCAGAUUAUAUAUAUAUACCUCCUUGUACGCCUGUUCAAAAUGAAAAAAAAAAUAGAUAAAGUUCAUACUUUGUUCUCAUAGAAUAUCUCUCUAAAGCAUCUAACUAAAACAUACAUUGAAACUAACAUACAACUGGGUAAAACAUUUAAAUGCAAUAACAAAUGCGAUCAUAAUCGCAACUAAGGUAACAAUUGAACCAACAAUAUAGUGAUAUCAAGCCUUUUUUUUCAAUGGCAUAUUUUCUAAUCUUUCUAGUCUUCAAGCGUGUUGCAUCCAUCUGGAUCUUGUGAUCAUCGACGACGUCGGCAACAUGCAACUCAAAUUCCGUCUUCUCCUCCUCAAUUCUUUUCAAUUUUUUCUAAUCUUCAAUUUUUCUAUAUAUACACGAUGCCGCAAAAGGCCCCGGCGCAAACAUCGUCUCCACCUCGGGGCCAACAUAGCCAAAGAAAGCUUCAACAUGGUCUUCAUCGACCAGAGGUUUGAAUUUUCACCCUGUUCAUUAAAUUCACCAUAAAGAUACUAGUCCCUUCAUGCAAAUGUAAUGAUUUGGCAAUCUCUUUCCUGCAUGCAUGCAGAUCGAGCUUGCCCCUUCAGAGAUCUUUUUCAAUUGGUGUGUUUGCUGAAGCGGGUGUCCAAUAUAAUGGCAUGGCAUCCCUCACCAUUACCACAACCGUACGCACACUUUGGAAAACCGCAGAGCACUCCUUUAAGUGUUCUCCGUUAGAAGGAACCGUUACACGACAUGGUCAUGAAUAUAGAGGAAGUGACCUUUGUUUCUCCGUUCUUGGUUAAACAACAAGUUUUCGUAUAUCUAGUCGAUGCUACUACAUAUAGUACGUGUUCAUACAUAUAUACAAUAUAUAACAUCUCUGGCGAUCCCUAACUAGCUAAUAUCUAUCCACCAAGAUCGAGAAGGACACCCAGAUGCUAUUCUCCGUCUGUAGGUAUGACAUGCUCAACAAAGAAUCCCGCGAAAUCCUCUUGAAUUGCUCGUAUGCGAUCAGUUGGUAGGAGUUCGUUCCGCAUCCGCAUGAUCUAAUUGAAAGAAAUAUAUAUAACUCAACACAAUUGAUGGUAAUAAAAAUAAAAUGUGAAUAUUGUUUAUGUACUUCAUAUUUUCGUUCAGAUCUGCCCCUCUCAAAGGUCGUCUGGUGAAUUCACUCGCAAACGUAGUAUCCACAUAAAUUGUUCCUAUCUUCCUGCAUCAAGCAGUACUUUGCGAGAAUAGAGUUCAAUCAAAAUAAUAAUCAAGCAUGAUAAGGGUAUCGAAACUGGAAUGAAUGAGAGGUGCACGGAAAUAUUAUGUAUUUUUGUAAAAAUANNNNNNNNNNNNNNNNNNNNNNNNNNNNNNNNNNNNNNNNNNNNNNNNNNNNNNNNNNNNNNNNNNNNNNNNNNNNNNNNNNNNNNNNNNNNNNNNNNNNNNNNNNNNNNNNNNNNNNNNNNNNNNNNAAUACUAAAUUUGGUUGGGGAAGGGGGGGGGGGGCAAUUGACACCUUUGGCCUUCACUCCAUCAACCGGUCUCCUCCCCAUACCCUUCGUCCAAGCAUUUUGGCUACUGACAACGGCUUCAUUGGCUCCUCCUCUGUAGGACAGAGGUUGCGUGCCGCUGUUGGAGAUGCUCUUACUCCACGAGCUUGAGAAUGAAUGACCCAACUCCACCUAGAGUGAUCAGACCUGUCAAAACAAGCCCAAUAACCCUCAUCCAAAAACGCCGGUCACUAGGUGCCACCUGAGCUGGUCCGCAUCCGGCUAGCGGCUGCACAACGAUGUCCACGUCACCUUCAUCGCCUGACGGAUUGAUGUCCGCACCUGGCUGCACAACGAUGUUCGCAUCCCCUGCUUCGGCUGCUGCUUUCUUGGCCUUCGAGUGGACGCAGAAGCACCACAGGCAGGCCGCAAUGACGGCGAGCAACAAGAGCCCCCCGCCAAUGCCCAUUCCAAUGGCAAAAGUUGUGCAAAGAAGUAAAGCCUGCAAGCAGAGGAAAAUCAAACCAGAGGAGGUGUUGUGAGGAGGAUGCGGCUGAUAAGCUGCAUGUAGCUGUGAACUACACUUUGGAUUGAGGAACCUUGUUCAAGUUAGGGNNNNNNNNNNNNNNNNNNNNNNNNNNNNNNNNNNNNNNNNNNNNNNNNNNNNNNNNNNNNNNNNNNNNNNNNNNNNNNNNNNNNNNNNNNNNNNNNNNNNNNNNNNNNNNNNNNNNNNNNNNNNNNNNNNNNNNNNNNNNNNNNNNNNNNNNNNNNNNNNNNNNNNNNNNNNNNNNNNNNNNNNNNNNNNNNNNNNNNNNNNNNNNNNNNNNNNNNNNNNNNNNNNNNNNCUUUCGUCCGGAAAUACUUGUCGCACAAAUAGAUAAAAUUGGAUGUAUCUAGAACUAAAAUAUGUCUAGAUACAUCCAUUUCCCCGGCGAGUAUUUCCGGACGGAGGGAGUAUAAUAAUAAAUAAAAGAAACGAAAGGGGAAGUGGGGGCAACACACAUUUUCUUAUUCUAACCAAAAAAAAUUUGUACAUAAACAAGUAAUAUUGAUCUCCGCAGGUCACAUGCGCGCUACUUAAUUAGGUUCCGUGAAAGAAAAGAAAAGAAAAUGUGCAUGCAUGCAUGCAUCCAUUCGCGUCCAACAGAAAAGAAAAGUCCAUCCAUUGCCCAGAAUUCUUUUGUAUUCUAUCUAUUUCACCGCAUCAAACAAAAAUUGACAUUGCCAUGAUCAGACUAGAAAGAGGAGCCAAGAGUUCACGUUGCAUGUUUAUAUCAGGUGAAGUUGUUAUAUUGUGUACUCCCUCCGUCCGAAAAUACUUGUCAUCAAAAUGGACAAAAAUGGAUGUAUCUAAAACUAAAAUACAUCUAGAUACAUCCCCUUUUAUUUAUUUUGAUGACAGGUAUUUUCGGACGGAGGGAGUAGUAUCUUAUACUCUUGGCAAUACUAAGCUUGGUUUUGUGAUUGGGAGAACAAUUAUUUAUUAGUGCGGCUGCAGGGAGAGCACGGACUAUUUAAUGAUUUAUACUUGCAGGUUGCAAUCUGAAUGAAGAAUUUUGUAAACAUAACGUGGCAGUUAUGCACAUUCUACCGGGUAACACUCUGCUUGGAGAAUAGAAGAUCUACUAACUAAUUCGGCAUUCACCUCACCUGCAAGGAAGAAAAGGAAAUCCAGAUUCCAGCUGUUGGAUAACCUGUACUCCCUCUAUAAACUAAUAUAAGAAUGUUUAGAUCACUAAAGGGGUUAUCGGGGGUACUUCUUUACUAACAAGGUACUGUACAUUACAAGUACAUCUCUCUACUUCUUUACUAACAGCUGCAUGGGUUCUACGUAAAAAAUAUUUGUGAUUUAUAUCUUUGAGUUGACUUGUACAAUGGAAGAUGCUUAAUAACUGUAUAGUCCCCCCCCGCAGCCCCCCGCGGGCGACCCGGGCGCCCAACCCUAGCCGCCGCCGACCCAACCCCACCUCCUUCCUCUCCUCCCGCCGCCGCCGGCGGGCGCCGCCGGGCAAAGCCCGCGCGGUGCCGGCGGCGGCGGGAUCUCGCCUGCCUUCACCUGGAGUAGGGGCCGCGGGGGGUUCCUUCCUCGGGCGCGGCUGCGGAACUCGGCGGCCGGCGCGUCGGGUGGCGCGUGCUGGUGGGCUCUGAGGCGGCGGCCUCGCUGGUGCGGACGACACUACUCCGACGGCAGGGAGUGCUCGUCGGUGAGGUAGGCCGGAUCCCCUCGGCUGCGCGGGCAGCGAGGUCCCGGUGGGCGCUGGUCAUGGCACGGGGAGGCCCCGGGCUCCCCUCGUCAGAUCGGAGGCGAUCUGGGCCGCUCGUGAUGCAUGACCUCCGGCCGGCCUGGCUCAUGUUGUGGCUGGUUCGGAGGUGGCGGCAAGGUGCUUGGCCGGGGGAAACCUUUGGCCGCCGGUGGCGGUCACGGCGUCGAUGGCGACCCGGACGCCAUUCCCUCCUUGGUGGCGGCGCCGAGGCUAUACCUCCCCUGCCUCCCCCCUUCCCCUACGCCCGGGUGAAAACCCUAGCCCCGGUGGCUAAGCGGCGGCGGCGCCACAGCGUCGUCACCUUCUUGAAGGCGCCGAUUUGGGCCUGGGGAUGCUGGGUGUGCAUGGCGAGUUUGUCUGGUUCCUGGUGGCGGCCCGUCUGAUCUACCGCGUUGCAGCUCCGUGGCUGCGGUGCUUAUCUUCCGGCCGUGUCUCCGAUGGCGACCUCGCCCUUCCUCACCUUGUACUUGCCGUGGUGGAGCGGUACUUCAUCUCACUCAUUGAUGGCGGCGGAGAUCGGCGGCAUGGUGCCGUGGAGGCUCGGCGUCCGAUGCGCGAAGAUGGACUCGCGCAGGAGGAGGUAGCUGUCUGGCGUCAUGGUGACGUCGAUGGCUGAUGUGGCCUUCACAAGGUAGAAGACUCAAUAUCAUCUGAAGACGGACCUGUGGAAGAUGGCGGCGACGAUGCAAGAGUGUGUCUGACCGGAUUGUGCCCCAGACCCGGUAUGUGGCUCGGCUGGGGCUUCCGGCUUUUGAUGUUAGGUUUAGGUGAGUAGUUUGGGUAGGGGCCCAGCUAGCAUCCCUUCAUCAUAUGGAUAAGAGUAGCGGCAUAUGUUGCCAAGAUGGUGGAUUCAGGUAUAUUGUUUGUAAUACUUUGUAAGGUCCUCGAGAAUAAUUAAUAAAGUGGCCGUAUGCAUCUCCCAGAUGCAGAGGCCGGGGGUCAUCCUCCUUUUCUAAAAAAAAAAGUUGCUAAAGAACUGAUGAUUAUUAGUAACCUUGCUAUGUUGCUGUAACUGAAGAUUCAUCAAACAUAAUGGCAGAGUGCUGUAUGUUUAUAUAGGUGCUUUGGCACUAUUGGACAGUAGCAGCUGCCAGUGUUUUGAAAUAAUGAAUUCGUAUUUUAGCCCAUGCUACUGAAUUUUUUUCCGCUGCAACUCACGGACAAGUAGUUGUCGCUUAAAUUGAAGUAUGUAGAUGCAUUUCAGUACUAGAUACAACCGUUUGAGCGAUGAGUAUUAUAGCCCAUGCUACUGAAUUAAACAAGUGUAUAUGCAAGACAAGUGUUGCUGCAUGGAGACAGGCCAUUUGUGGUUUAUAUCCUUCAUUUGCAGUGUUUAUGACUGGUGUUUUUGGCCAAAUUCGAUUGUAGCAGCUGUUAGUGCUAAGCGUGCUCUUGAUAUGUCAUCAUAAUGUGUCUGCUGUCGCUAUUUGGAGAAGAACAGAGUGAUUGACAGUAUCUCUAGAGUGUUUGUGACAGUUCAAAUCAUCAAGGUGUACUGCAUGUUGCAUACAAAGUGAUUGACAGGGAGGAGCAGGGUGCGCCAGUUAGAAGAUGAGGACGCCGAAGCACCCGUUAGCCUGCAGAUUGUUGGGACCUGAAGCUGGAGGUAAAUUCCGCCAAGUGUUUAAUUUGUUAUAGUCAGGUUGCUCUGCUCUCAGUCACUUAGUAGUUUUAUGAAUGUUCUCAUGUUGAUUCCAUCUUCCGUCUGGCUCAGAGGAUGAAGAUAAGGAACACAAAGCAGAGCUAGUUGAUCAGACCAUCCUCACUGCACAAUCUGGUAUCAUUUUUCCUAUUACACAUUAAGUCUCACUGCGGUAAUUAUUACUAUUAGCACGAAUUGUUGUUUCGUGAUCUACUAGCAGCUGAUAUCAAAGUUCAUUCUUUCAUCGUCGAAAUAAAAACCUAGUGUUUUUGAUAUGCCACUGAUAUCAAUGGCAAUCAAUAUUGUUCACUUAUUCAGAAGGCAAUUAAUCUGAUAGACCUAGCCGAUAGCUCAUGGUCUGUUCCUGCACCCUUCUAGCUAAAUGGUAGCUCAUGGUUCUGUGUAGUAGAAUAUGUUUAAAUUUUCUGGGUGGGGGUACAAUUUUUUACUCUGAAUAAGAAACAAAAGUGCUCCACAUCCUGCAUACAUAACCCUGAACAUUUAUGCUCUCUGUUGUUAUGUCUUGCUGUGUACGUUUAAUGCCUGUAUGUACAUGGUUGUGUUUUGGUGGGUCUGGUCCUUCUUGAGACUGGAAUAAGCGACUCUUCGGAAGGCAAGUGUAAGGAUAACUUUUAUUGCACAAGUUAACUUGAGACUGGUACACAAAAAUACUGAAAGAUGUGCUAUCUUGCAGUAUCUGCAACAAGAGUGGAGGACUCCUUUGCGGCUUGAAUGGUCGGUAUUCACUGGACUGGAUUAUAGAUUUGUGGCGGUAAAUUUAUGACUGCCUCUGUUUCUACUUGACAGGGUUUCGGUGUUGGGCUCGGUUUUCAUCAUUCAACUCGUAAACCGAAUUGCUCCGGUCCAGCCCUCCCAUAUGCUAGGCAAAGAGUCCCACAUAACGUUCCAUGGGCCAUAAGAUUCUCAUCCCAGAACAUGGUGCUUUCCUUUGCUUGUCUUCGCAGGUGGAAAUAUGAAUGGGAUGCUUUGCUUCUCUCCACUGUUGGGAGUGAGAUAUGCUUUUGCUAUGCUUUGCUUUGCUUCGCUGGUGGGACUGGGAAUGGGAUGCUUUGCUCCAGCUGCCAACUUUUGCCCCCAUAUCAUCUUAACUGCUGCUGUGUAACUGCUACGGUGGCUUGGCAUCUGUGUAAUUAAUUAACUGUAUGCGGGCAGCGUUGGAUGGCCGCCUCCUGCAUCCGUGUCCGCGGACGGAUGCGGGUCGACAUUGGAGUUGCCCUUAUAUGAUUAACUAAUUAGCUCGGGCCAGCGCAGCUGUUUGUCACUGUCACUAUGAAGUCAUCAAGUGUAGAUAAUGACGAGAUGUGAUGGUGGCAAUGAGCUGCAUCCAUUCACACUAGAAAUGUGUGAUCUGUUUACCGGAUCUAGACAAUAUUGUGAUAAGAAGACAGAGUUAAAAACAUGUUAAGCAGAUUUGCUCUCCAACACCAGAUCUGCUUUUUUAUUUUCACUUUCCUGGCACACAACAUGAUUGAGUUGAAUGUCCUCCUGAUCUGAAGGAGGAGGAGGAGGACAUCCCGUCCAUCUCAAAGGUUGGUGAGGUAAUUCGAUCGAGUUUAAUAUUCGUCUUCUCUAAUUACACUUAGCGCUAAUUAAGUCAUGCAUCUUGCUUGUGUCUUCCUUGUCCCACUUGCUUAAGUUUCAUCUUUGCUUUAUUAUCACAACAAGUUAUACAAUACAAUGGCGAUGGUUCUGGACGUGUUUGGAUCCUACUGAGGUGACUUGUUUUGUAACCAUUUUAAUUUUCAAAUACAUUAAACUGCUACGUUUCAAGAAUGUAAAAAAUUUAAUAUGGGAAAUAUACAAGUCUUAAAAUGUCAGAGGAGCAGCCGAGUGCCGGCGACCGGGCGGGGAGUAAAGUAUGAUGGAGGCGCCGCCGCUGGCCACCGGCCAGUCUGGUAAGCAGAGAGGGCGGCGUGGCGUGCACACGAGGAAAAAGCAUAUAUUGCCAUCAAGGAAAAGUUAUGUCCAAUCCAAUUCGAUACCCUCUUCAGAUCAGCUGAUUUGCUUUGUCAAAUAAUCUACUCCUCCAUGGAAAAGGAAAAGAAGCUGCUUUGCUUUGCUUGCUCCAUCGACGGGAAUGUGAUGCUUUGCUUUGCUUCUCUCCACCUGAUGGUUUACCCAGCUCCGGCUGCCAACGAGUACCCUGUGGCUGUGGCAUUACUUCCCAAAUCCCAAUCCCUCCAGGCUCCAGGUCUUCCCCAGCACAGCCAUCGCCCCCGCCGCCACCGUCCGCUGGUAUUUGUCGCCGCCGACUGCUGUGCCGUGCAGUGCAUCCCAUCAAUCUCAAAGGUGGGUGACGUAGUGCCGUGCUUGCGGUAGUUAGUUAGUGUUCAAGUUUUAUUUCCUUGUCUCUGUCUGCUACUUAAAAUUCACCUUAAUUGUCUCUAAUUGUAAUCACAGCAGAAGGUCAGCAAGUUGACCAAUGGCGAUGGUGUUGGAUGCUUUUGCAUCCUACAUGGGGGACUACCUCAAGCAGGUGGUACAAGAUGAGAUCGGAACGAUGCUGGGCGUCUCCGGAGAGAUCGACAAGUUGGGAGACAAGCUUCUGGACCUAAAGAACUUCCUUGCGGAUGCUGAUAGCAGGAACAUCACCGACAAGACCGUCCAGGUCUGGGUGGGGCAGCUCAAGCGCGCCAUGUAUGAAGCUGCUGACAUCCUUGACCUCUGCCAGCUCAAGGCGAUGGAGAAGCGUGGGCCAUCCUCUGCAGAAGCAGGGUGUUGCAACCCCUUGCUUUUCUGCAUGAGGAACCCCUUCCAUGCUCGUGAGAUCGGCACCCGCAUCAAGGCGCUCAACCAGAGGCUUGAUUCCAUCAAGCAGCGCAGCGCUACUUCCAACUUCAUCAAUCUUGGGUCAUACGAGGAUUGACAUAGCAGCAAUGCCCAUGCCUCUCGUCAGGGUAAUCCUAGCCGGGAGACGGUAGGGGACUUUGAUCGGUCCGCUAUUGUUGGAUACAAGAUUGAAGAAGACACAAGAGCACUGGUGGCCCAGAUCAUGCAGACGGGAAAGGAUGUCAACAAUGACAUCAUGGUGGUUGCUAUCGUAGGUGUUGGUGAGAUCGGCAAAACCACCCUCGCCCAGAAGGUCUUCAAUGACGAGGCAAUCCAUGGUGAAUUCAGUAAAAAGAUAUGGUUGAGCGUCAACCAAAACUUCAGUGAUGUUGAUCUACUGAGAAGGGCCAUCAUCGAAGCCGGAGGAGAUGCCCAACCACCUGAAAGUGCAAAGACCAGCCUUCACGAAACCCUCAAGAACACAUUGAUUGACCACAAGACCUUUCUGGUAAUGGAUGAUGUGUGGAACCAUAGAGCAUGGGAUGACGUGCUGAAAACACCCUUAGUCAAUGCUGCUGCUUCAGGCAGCCAGGUCCUCGUCACUACCAGAGAUGAAGGUGUUGCCCGAGGGGUGAAAGCUAUCUGGCUGUACCACCGUGUCGACACAUUAGCGCCGGAAGAUGCUUGGUCAUUGUUCAAGAAGCAGGUCUGUACUUAAUUAAAUACUAAUCUUUUAGUGAAGUGAAUAAUCUAUCUACAUCUACGUAUUGACAGUACUAUGUAGUUAAUUAAGAGAAAUGUUAGGAUGCUCCCAAAUUAAUGAGUCAUUAAUUACGUGUAAUUUAGUGACUUCUAUGUACUAUUACCUCUUGGAGGUAAGAGAUUGUCAGUAAUUUUGUAAGGCUAAGAUUACUUUGCAAGUGCCAACAACACUAUUUGAGACACAUUCAAGGACACCUAGAUUUUAUUUAAUCAAGUCUGAGAAAUAAUUGGAAAUUUGGAUAAUUAUAUAUGUAUCAUUUCUACCAGUGAAGAGACAUGGGUCGUAUAUUUGUAUAGUGUAACCUUUUGUGAAUACUCAGUCUCGUUUUCCAACAUAUGAGAUGAAGAUCUAAGUGCUCAGGUACUCAACAGUCUCAUAGGACAUAACAUAAAUUAAAAGUUAUUUUAAGACAGAAAAAUAACAAUUUCGGUGAACCCCUGCAAAUACAACAAAAGAAUAUAACAUGGAAAUAACUAGACUAGAAGUUGGCAGUAAUUUUGCUAGAGAAUUUGCGCACAAAUUUAGUACUUAAUGUUUGGCGUAGUAUUAUGCAUUAGAUAAUUUCAUGUUACCUUAAAUUUGAAAACGAAUAAAACAAUAUACGAUUCUGCUAAAUUUGGAGUUACUUGUAAAAAGAAAAAGAAAGUAAAUUUGUUUUCUUGGCAUAAAGUAUGUAUGUUAUACAUAGCUAACUGUAUCUGUCCCUUGUACCGUCUCUUCGCAGGUAUGCUCAAGUGAGAUAGAUGAAGACCACAUCAAUACGCUAAAGGAUAUCGGACUGAAAAUUAUACAUAAAUGUGGUUGUUUACCAAUUACUGUUAAAGUGAUGGGAGGACUCUUGCGUGAAAGAGGGGGACUACGCCGUGACUGGCAGCAGGUUUUUGAUGAUUCUAAAUGGUCAACAACUAAAAUGCCCCAUGAUCUCAACCACACAGUAUACUUAAGCUAUGAAUAUAUGCCUUCUUACCUGAAGCAGUGCUUUUUAUACUAUUCUUUUCUUCCUAAAAGUAGAAUUUUUCAUAUGGAUGAAGUCGUGGCAAUGUGGAUAAGUGAAGGAUUUAUUCUUGGAAACUCUAGCGAUUUAGAAGAAUUGGGAAGAAAUUACUACAUGGAGUUGGUAUCUAGGAACCUUAUAGAGCCAGAUAAAUCGUAUGCUGAUAUAUGGUAUUGCAGCAUGCAUGAUGUUGUUCGCUCAUUUGCUCAGUAUAUGACUAAAGAUGAAGCACUUGUAACUCAAGACGGGGACAGUGAUAUUCUUGCUAAAAUUUGUUCACAAAAGUUUCUUCGGUUGUCCAUAGAAACUAACCGAUCACAAUCAGGUGAACUUGAUUGGAAAUCUCUACAGGCGCAUCAAUCAGUGAGAACAUUGAUUUCAACUCUCCAGAUUAAGAUGAAGCCUGGUGAUUUGUUGGCUAGUUUUUCUAGUUUGCGGACUCUGUAUAUAGAAUCUGGAGAUAUGGUUGUAUUGCUUGAAUCAUUGCAUCAGCUCAAGCACCUACGGUAUCUAACACUAGUAAAUUAUGGUAUAUCUGUACUUCCGGGCAACAUUGGCAAGAUGAAACUGUUGCAAUUCCUUGACCUUCGUGGAUGUACAAGAUUGCUGAAUCUUCCUGAUAGCUUUGUGAAGCUUGGCCAGUUGAGGUUACUUUCACUUCCCAAAGGAUGUAUGGUACCUAGAGGGUUUAGUGGUCUGACAAAUAUGAGGAGACUAAGUAUGUUUCAAGCCCACAUGGAUACUUUUGGAAUUAGGGAGAGCACUCCGAAGUUUAACCUAGCAAUGUCCACAAAACCGCGCAUGAAGCCAUUGCACAACGCGAAGAUGUGUUCGCGUAACAGUGGCCAAAAGUGUUUAAACAUCGCCACCGGCCACCCAUCAGGCCCCGGUGCCGUGUCAGUUUUCAUGCUUUGGAGAGCCUCGUCAAUCUCCUUGGGGAGAAACGCGAGCCCCAGCUCUUCGUUCUCCGACUCCAGGACCUUUUGAGCUGGCAGCCAGGCGUCCUCGCUCAGCCUGGCACGCUGAGGCUCGUCGGUCCCCAUCAGGCUUAUGUAAAAGUCGUAGAUGUGUUUGCUAAUCGCUGGUUGCUGGAGCAGGAGCCCCUGCUCCGUCUGCAGCCUCAGGAUUAGGCAUUUCCUGCGACGUCCAUUCGCGUACGCGUGGAAGUAUCCAGUGUUCGCAUCUCCCUUGAGCGUCCACUUAAGUCCUCCUCGGUGCCUCCAGUAUUCCUCCUCGGAUCGGAGCAACUCCUCGACUUGCCCUUCCAAGGCGUAUCGAUGCGCCCAUUCAUGCUCCGAGAAUGGACGCGAGUCUGCUUGAGUGUCGAGGAUUGCGAUCUCAUCGAGAAGUCUCGCCCUCGAAACUUUCUCGUCUCGUCCCUGAUUCGUGCCCCAUCCCUUGAGGCUUGCACGCAAGCGUCCCCCCACCGCUGUCCAAAACUCCAUAGGGCCGCGCUGCUGGCCCGUGGCUUGAACACUUCUCAACCAUCUUUCCCGAAAGAUGUUGUCGAAAUCAGGGGCCUCGAACCAUGCUGUUUCGAAAAAGAAACGCGGGCUGCGACGUACCUUAUCUUCCCCUGAAGAUAAGAUGAGUGGAACAUGGUCCGAGCCGAUCCUUGUUUCAGCAAGGAGCGAGCAUAAUGGGAACACCACUUCCCAUUCCGGAGACAUGAAGGCGCGAUCCAAGACGGAUCUCACCGGGGCUAGUUGUUUGUUGGUCCAAGUGUAUCUUGCCCCCGUUCGUGCCACUUCCCUAAGUGACAUUGACGCAAUUGCGCUGUUGAACAUGGUCACCCUUGACCAGUUGAUGUUGUCAUUGUUUUUGUCCGCGUUCGAUCGGAUGAGAUUAAAAUCUCCACCCACUAGGAGCGGGACCUGGGAUGCGGCAACUGCCAGCACCUUGGCUUCGAGUUCUCCCAGAAACUCUGUCGAACGUGAGUGAUCUGCUGGUCCAUAGACUUGCAGGAUCGCGAGCUCGCGUAGCGAAGCUCUCACGCGAAUAUUGGCUGCAAUGAAGAAGGUGCCUACCUCCCAGGACAGCACCUCAUAUACGGCACUGCAAAAGCCAAGCAGCAUGCCACCCGAAUGCCCAUUAGCCGGGCUGUGUUGCCAAAUGAAACGCUCCAAAGGGUCUAUGGCUAUGAGGUCUUGGUGCCGAAAAUCUGAUUUAAUGGUUUCCUGGAGCCCUACUAUAUCGAUCCCUUCUUUCCUGAUGUAGUCGCGGAGUUGGGUGCGCCGCCCCGAGUGGCCGAAGCCACGGAUGUUCCAAAUGAGCAUCCGCAUCUAGAUGACGCGGUUUCGCAGGCGGAUCCCCCUAGAGGUGAUCGCCUUGGCCACGCGCCUUGCCUUGCCGCAGCGAGGCGAGGGAGGAGCAGCAACCCCUGUUGUUGUCUCCCCUUCGGGCCGGAGACUUAGCGACGUCGAGGGAUCCUCCUCGACAGCCAUACGCUCCGCGUGUUGAGCAGCCGCCGCUGCGAGUGCCGCCUGAGCCAGUUCCUUAGCGCGCACCAGCGAGAUUAGCUCGCUAACCCCACCCUCCCCGAUUGGUGCAACUCCACUCUCCUCCAACACGUCGCCUAGGUGCUCGUCCGAGAAAGAAUCCAAAAUCGAGAAGCGGGGCAAUGGAUAUACUCUUGUGGAGUAUAUGAACGCCUUUAAUCAAGUCGUGACGGAUCUAGCACGCUUGGGUGCAAUGGUUGAUGACGAGGAUAGGGCAAUUCUGCUUCUUUGUUCAUUGCCAUCAUCCUAUGAGCACUUGAUCACUACUUUGACGCACGGCAAGGAGACCGUCAAAAAUGAGGAUAUUACUGCGGCAUUGCUAUCUUAUGAUAUGAGAAAGAAGAACGCGGUGGAAGUCUCUCAUGGUGAAGGUUUGCUAGUCAAGGGUGAGCAGUGGCGGAAGGGAUAUGAGGCUGGGAAGAACAAGAAAAAGAAAAAGAAUAUACAGUGUCACAAGUGUAAGCAGUGGGGACAUAUGAGAAAGGACUGUCCAGAACUCAAUGGUGGGGCAAGUGCUAAUAAGGCAACUCAUGGUGAUGACUCAGACAGCAGCAGUAGUGAUGUUCUCAUAGUAUCAGACAGGCGGUCAACCAAAGGUGAAGCAUGGAUGUUGGAUUCAGCUUGCUCUUUUCAUGCGACACCCAACAGGGAGUGGUUCUCUUCGUACAAGUCUGGUGAGUUUGGUUUAGCCUAUGUGGGCGAUGACACAGGUUAUCGUGUUGCUGGAGUAGGUGACAUCAAAAUCAAGAUGUUUGACGGAGUUGAGCGGAUGCUUCGGGGAGUCAGGCAUGUGCCAGGGCUAAGGAGGAAUCUAAUUUCGCUUGGUGUUCUUCAUUAUGGUGGUAUGGUAUUCCGUUGUGAUCGGGAUAGGAAGACCAUGAGAAUCAUGGAAGAUGAGGUGACCGUGAUGAUUGGAGAGAGGACGGCUUCACAUCUUUACAAGUUGCAAGGGAGCACUAUUGCAGGUGGAGUCACGAAGACUGGAGUUGCGGGAGUAGCAGCGGGGUCUCACGGCGGCGGCGGGUCUGGGGCAAACUCGUCGAGUAGCUCUCAGUAAGCUACGAAGAAGACAACACAAGUCCGGAGUACAUGGAAGUUUGACGCAUGGACAAAUUCAAGGUGGUGGAGAAUAUUCGCCAAGGUGGAGUUUGUUGUGUUUGUGUCGAAUAUUUUGUACUAGUUGGGUUACGCUUGGACUUGGUGUUGUAGUGUGGGUAGGAUACUUGUAGUGUCGGAGUCGGACACGUUGUACCCUUGGCCUCUUAUAUAUGAGGAGGCACCUCACGUUGUAACCUAUGACGACUAGAUAGCGACAGGCUCGCAAGGGGGUGCCGGCGGCAUGUGCCGGCGCCCGGGUGGCCGGUGUUGCGGUAUCUCGGGGAGGAGCGCCUGUAGUCAUUGCCCCGGGGAGUAGGCGAGUUCGCUGAACCUCGUUAACAAAUCUCGGUGUCGUCAUUGUCUGUGAUUACUUGUUCCUCGGUGGAUCGACUACGCACCUCGGAUUUAUUCUAACAAUGUGGCAAUGGUUGAGUCAUCUGCGAAGUGAUAUUGCUUGUUGUAUAUAUGUGAGAUAUUAUCACAAUGUGAUUUGUUGCAGGCCAAACAUAAAAUAAAUGAAAGAAUUGCCACUACCAGAUGAUUUGCCAAGUUCGGUACUCGGUGAAAUAUCAUCGCCGAGUGUGGAACUCGGCUAUAGUGCCACGUGGCACCAUCUGGUUUCUUGGAUAUGUCAUUGUCGAGUGCCGGCCGGAAGCAACUCGGCAAAGAGUGUAACCUGGGCUAUCGCUGGACAUCUCUUUGCCGAGUAUGCAUCUCGGCAAACUGUCGUUGUCUUUGCCGAGUUUUUGCAGAUGUACUUGGCGAAUGGCCCGUGCCACGCGUCGACCGCCCAUACAACAAGCUUUACCGAGUGUAAAACUCGGCAAACACAUCCACGCUUGCCGAGUAUUUCCUCACGGGGUCUCGGUGAAGACGACAUCUCGGCACACUGUCACGGCCACGUGGCGGCCGCAGAGCAUAUGUGUUCGCCAAGUUCUUGCUUUAGGGAUUCGUCAAAGUUUUCUGCCACGUGACACCCACCGUUUCCGUCCGGCCCAUCGAGUCUUUUUUUUUGCCGAGUCCCCGUGUUCUGCGUCCCCACGUUAUGUUCUUUAGUUAAUUAGCUCCGUCCAAUGUUGCUGUCUGCUAACGUUCGAGUGUACUAGGGUAUGUAUGACGAGAUGUGAGUUUUUUUUCCGGCACACUGUCUCGAUCUGGUCCCUUGUAGCCAUGAGGACUAAUUAAGAGAAAGAUGCUCCUUGAGAAAGAUACUUGAAAUAUGAGCACGCAGAGUAAACUAUUUGGCUAGCUAGCAUACAAUUUUGGGCAGAUCUAGAGAAAGUUUGCAUGUGCUAUCUGAAAAUAGGUCCGUAAACAUGACCUAGGGGUCAUGAUACAGCUACCAGCCUUCAAGAUUCCCAAAGACCAUAGGUUAUAGCAGAUGGAAACGUAAGCAAGCUUUUAUGAUGUGCCAUAACAUGUUCGUAACCAUGACCAGAGGAGGGUCAUGAGUCGGAUAAAUUGUCUAUAUAUGUAGUAUAAACCUGUACACUUUGGCUAUAUGACCCACAUAAUAAACAACCAAAAAUGAAAAACGUUUACCAAGUUUGCCAUGAGCUAGUACAUGCUUUUGCCUUGAAAUUGUUCUAUUGUUUGCUUGGACCCUGAACCAGAGAUAAAUUAUCAUGGAGAGAUCAGCCCAAAUGCCAAAAAAGAAACCGCAAACUGCAUUUUUGACAUGCAUAUUGUUGUUCACAAAUUGCAGUAUCUUGUUCAGUUUAUUGCUCUGUAGAAUCUUUUCUCUUUAUGAAAGGAAGAACGGAAAGGCUAGGGUCUCCUUAAAUUUGCUCUGGCUUGAAAAAUAAACCACGUGCACACUGUUCUCUUAGAUGCUAGGUACCUUAAUGCUAUGUGACUUUUCUUUUCUUGGCUAAGUUUGAGAUCCAGUAGGUAAUGUCGCUUUUCCGUCUACAGGAUGCUGCCAAUAAUCUAUGCAGAAUAUUUUGUCAGGACUUCGAACUCCGUCAUGCAUUUGAUGCCUCAUGAAUUUGUAAUGUAAGUUGUUGAUUUUGAACACUUGUUUAUCUGAAUUUUGGUUCUCAUGGAUGAGUCUGUAGAACAUGAAUUGGGCUACGUUUAUACUGCAUCGGUUUAUAUAAAGUUUGUGUUCAAAGUUUCAGUUCAGUUAUAUAAUCCAUAAAUAAAGCACUCCACCCUCCACUAUGCUAGCUCUCCUUUUGUUGCAAACUGCAUGUGGUGGGCACGUGGAUGGAUCAAUUGGCAAUGUGGAUGCAAAGUUCAACCAAUGGCUAAACAGAUCAAACAAGAUGGAUCAGUAUAUCUGACAGUAGCCCACGUUAGCUAAUUAGUUAAUUAGCUCCGUUCAAUGCAGCUGUCUGCCACUGUUAUUACACCGUUCAAUGGCUCUCAUAGUCUCACUCCUCAGUCGCUCCCGUCCACUUCCACCCAGCUGUGCUGUGGCCUUUUGCCUUAGCCGCCGGAGAGCACCUGCCUGCUGCUACUCUGCGUCCGACUACUAGUUUAGCUGCUGCUGCUGCUAGUUUCAGGAGGAUCUGACCUGCUGCUCGCGGAGGCAACUCGCUGGAGGAGGAGCUGAACUGCUGCUCCCGGCGGCAUCGCGUCGGAGGAAGAUCUGAGCUUCCGCUCCUGGAGGAGACACGUCUUCUCUGGCGCUGCUAUCACGCUGACCCCCACGUCUUCUCCGCCGUCUGUGUUGUCCAUCCAUCUCAGAGGUUGGUUGGGCAGUUCAAGUGUGAUUUGUCUCUCUUUACACAUAGCUAACUAAGCUUCCUGCUUGAAUUUGAAGUUACCUUGUUAUUGCAGAAAAAUUAGCCGGCAACAAUGGCGAUGGUGCUGGAUGCAUUUGCGUCCUACCUGGUGGACAUGCUAACGCAGGCAGCAGCAGAUGAGGUGAAGACGAUGUUGGGUGUCUCCGGCGAGAUCGACAAGAUGGGAGACAAGCUUCGGGACCUCAAGAACUUCCUCGUCGAUGCCGAUAGGAGGAACAUCACAGAGGAGACUGUUCAAGAGUGGGUGGGGCAGCUCAAGCGUGCCAUGUAUGAAGCUGCUGACAUCCUUGACCUCUGCCAGCUCAAGGCCAUGAAGCGUGGAUCAUCCUCAGUAGAUGCAGGGUGUUUCAAUCCCUUGCUCUUCUGCAUGAGGAACCCCUUUCAUGCCCGUGAGAUCGGCACCCGCAUCAAGGCACUCAAUCAGAGGCUUGAUGACAUCAAGGAACGCAGCGCUGCUUUUAAAUUCAUUGAUCUUGGGUCCGAUGGGGAUCAUAGCAACAAUACCCAUGCCUCUCGCCAUGGUAAUCCAAGCCGGGAGACGGUAGGAGACUUUGACCGGUCUGCUAUUGUUGGAGACAAGAUUGAAGAAGACACGAGAGCAUUGGUGGCCCAGAUCAUGCAGACGAAAAAGGAUGUCAAUGAUGGCAUCAAGGUGGUCGCUAUCGUAGGUGUUGGUGGGAUCGGCAAGACCACCCUCGCCCAGAAGGUCUUCAAUGAUGAGGCAAUCCAAGGUGAAUUCAGCAAAAAGAUAUGGUUGAGCGUUAACCAAAACUUCGGUGAUGUUGAUUUGCUGAGAAGGGCCAUCAUCGAAGCCGGAGGAGAUGCCCAACCACAUGAAAGUUCAAAGACCAGCCUUCACGAAACCCUCAAGAACACAUUGAUUGACCAAAAGACCUUUCUGGUAAUGGAUGAUGUAUGGAACCAUAGAGCAUGGGAUGACGUGCUGAAAUUACCCUUACUCAAUGCUGCUGCAUCAGGCAGCCGAGUCCUCGUCACUACUAGAGAUGAAGUUGUUGCCAGAGGGGUGAAAGCUAUCUGGCCGUACCACCAUGUCGACACAUUAGCGCCUGAAGAUGCCUGGUCAUUGCUCAAGAAACAGGUCUGUACUUAAUUAAACGCUAAAUCUCUUUCAUUAUCUCCAUCUACUUAUCAGCAAUACUAUGUAGUUAGUUAAAAUAAAUGUUAGGAAGUUGCCAAAUUAAUAUGAGCCACUUAUUGCGUGUAAGUCAGUGAAUUGUAUUUACUAUUGCCUCUUGGACGUAAGAAGUUGUCAACAAUUUUGGUAAAUCCCUGCCAAUAAAACAAAAGAAUAAAACACGAAAAUAACUAGAUUAGAAGUUGGUAGUAAGUUUGCUAGAAAAUUGGCACUCAAAUUUUAGUAAAUAAUGUUUGGUGUAGUAUUAUGCAUUUUAGACGCUUGAGGGACACGAUCAUUUCACGUGACCAUAAAAUGUGAAAACAAAUAAAAAUAAUAUAUGAUUCCUGCAAAAUUUGGAGUUACUUUCUAUAACAGUGAUGAGAGAGUAGUGCUAAAGUAUAUUUUUCUAGCAGUAUGUUCCAUUUUGUAAUAAAGAGAAGGAAAGAAAAGUUGUUAUAUGUGGAAGCCAAUGCACAUAUCUUCGGUAUGUAGGAGAAAGAUAAGUAAAUACAUUAAUAACAUUUCUUUUUCACAUGUACUUUCUGCACUUUGAGUAUUUACAGUCAAUCGUAGCUUGAUAAAUGGACACAUACAUCAACUAGUCCUCUUAAGAGGUAAAAAGAGCGCCUUAGAGGAUCUUGGUACAUAGUUAACUAAAUGUAUCAGUCCUUCUAUUGUAUGUUCACAGGUGCGCUCAAGUGAGAUAGAUGAAGACCACAUCAAUAAGCUAAAGGAUAUCGGACUGAAAAUUAUACAGAAAUGUGGUUGUUUACCAAUUGCUGUUAAAGUAAUGGGAGGACUCUUGCGUGAAAGAGGGGGGCUACGUCGUGGCUGGCAGCAGGUUUUGGAUGACUCUAAAUGGUCAAGAACUAAAAUGCCCGAUGAGCUCAACCACACAGUAUACUUAAGCUAUGAAUAUAUGCCUUCUUACCUGAAGCAGUGCUUUCUGUACUACUCUCUUCUUCCUAAAAGUAGAAUUUUUACUAUGAAUGAAGUUGUUGCAAUGUGGAUUAGUGAAGGAUUUAUUCAUGGAAAUUCUAAUGAUUUAGAAGAAUCGGGAGAAAAUUACUACAAGGAGUUGGUAUCUAGGAACCUGAUAGAGCCAGAUAAAUCUUAUGUUGAUAUAUGGGUUUGCAGUAUGCAUGAUGUUGUCCGCUCGUUUGCUCAGUAUAUGACUAAAGAUGAAGCACUUGUAACUCAAGACGGAGACAAAAAUAUUCUUGCUAAACUUGGUUCACAAAAGUUUCUUCGGUUAUCCAUAGAAACUAACCGAUCACAAUCAGGUGAACUUGAUUGGAAAUCUCUACAAGCACAACAAUCAGUGAGAACAUUGAUCUCAACUAUCCAGAUUAAGAUGAAGCCUGGUGAUUCCUUGGUUAAUUUUUCUAGUUUGCGGACUCUGCAUAUUGAAUCUACAAAUAUGGUUGUAUUGGUUGAAUCAUUGCAUCAGCUCAAGCACCUGAGGUAUCUAACACUAGUAAAUGCUGGUAUGUCUGUACUUCCGGGAAACAUUGUCAAGAUGAAACUAUUGCAAUUCCUUGACAUUGCUAGAUGUACAAAAUUGGUGAAUCUUCCUGACAAUAUCGUGAAGCUUGGCCAGCUGUGGAUACUUGCACUUCCCAAAGCAAGUAUGGUUCCUAGAGGGUUCGGUGGUCUGACAAAUAUGAGGAGACUACGUAUGUUUCGAGCCCAUAUGGAUGUUGAUUGGUGCAGUUUGGAUGAGUUGGGGCCUCUUUCCCAGCUCAGAUUUCUUGCAUUAGUUGAAUUAGAGAAUGUAUCUGCUGCCUCGUUUGCUUCUAAUGCUAGGCUCGGCGAGAAGACACAUCUUAUCAAGCUAUUCCUGUGCUGCACAAGUAAACUGGGAGAUGAUGGGUUGGUCAAAGAGAAGGAAGAUGUCUCCGAGGAAGAGCAGCAACGAAUUGAGAAGGUUCACGAUAAGCUCUGCCCUCCACCUGGUGUAGAACUUCUUCAAAUCAAGGGGUAUUUUGGCCGGCAACUCCCGAGAUGGAUGAUGUCCACAUCAAUGGUGUCUCUCAACAACUUGAAGACUUUAUUUUUUGAUGACCUGGCUUGUUGCACACAACUUCCGAAUGGGUUGUGCCAGCUCCCUAAUCUGCAGUUCCUACAGGUCUCUCGUGCUCCAUGCAUCAAACAUGUCGGGACUGGAUUCUUGGAGGCGCCAGCAGCUUCAUUUGCAAGGUUAAAUGAAAUGAAAUUGUUCGCCAUGGUGGAAUGGGCGGAGUGGGACUGGGAGGAACAAGUACAAGCCAUGCGCCGUUUGGAGAAACUCGUGCUCAUGAAUUGCAAACUGAGGCACGUUCCUCCAGGCCUUGCCUCCAGUGCAAGAUCUUUGAAAAUAUUAGGUCUACAAUAUGUCAAGCACCUUAGCUACAUUGAGAGCUUUCCUUCUGUUGUUGAGCUUCUAGUGAAUCGAUGCCCUGACCUGGAGAGGAUCACCAAUCUCCCCAAUCUGCAGAAGCUUUCCAUCAUGUACUGCCCAAAGUUGAAGGUGCUGGAGCGUAUCGCUUCUCUUGAGAGGCUGGUCCUGGAGGAUUACAACAUGGAAAAACUCCCAGAAUACAUGCGAAACAUAAAGCCAAAGCAUUUGCAGUUAUUCUGCAGGCUAUGGUUGCUCUCUGUGGUUGCCACGGGACAAUCUGGCACUGAGUGGGACAAGUUCGGCCAAGUGGAGCAUGUCAAGGCAUAUGCAGGUGAUGGAGACAGCCAAAGAAAAUGGUAUGUUUUGUACACGAGAGGAGACAACUGCAAGUUGGAUUCAAAUAUUAGCAGCUCUACCGUAUUUGAAGGUACAGAAAAUCAAACAUUUGUACAGGCUUUGUCUUAAUUUGUUUGAGCACUCUAAUUCUGCCAGUUUACAAAUUCUUUUGAUUUUUCUCAUGCUUUUCGUCCAUAUAUACUGCACGAUGACUAGAUAAAUUAUGUACCUUCCUAGUGCAUUUUGCUAAGUAUUUGCCUUCUUGUUCUUCUAGGUUUUCUUGAGCUUAACAUACCUAGAGUAUCAUGUAACCAGUUUUGUAUUUUUAUUUCCAUGCAGAAACCUUAUCAUCUUCUAUGGUGGAUGCGCAAGGAUUUGACGCUCUGUAUAAAAUGAGAAGAAGUACCUUUAGUUACAUCUGCAGCUUGGUGAGGAUCCCAUUUUUCGAAGGUAUGAUGGCACGGGAUCACACCUUUGUUGAUGGAAGAUUGUUGUCUUUACAAGAUGGAGUAGCUGUCGCUCUGAGGGUACUGAACUCUGGUGACUCUCCGCUUACCGUAGGAUCCUCUCUUGGUGUGAAUGAGUCAACUGUCUCGUUGGUAACUCAGCUGUUUGUUCAGGCUAUGUGCCAGCGAGCAAUGCACCACUUGGGCUGGCCAGGCUCUGCCAAAAUGGAGAAGAUCAAGAACAAGUUUCACAAGAUCCAUGGCCUGCCAAACUGUUGCGGUGUUGUACAUACAACUCACAUCCCGUUUGGAUCAGAAAACCAUGACCAUGGUGUGCUAUUGCAAGCCAUGUUUUAUCCAGAUCUGAGGUUCGCAAACACUUGGCGGGGGGCGUCAGGUAGCAUGAACCAGUUGAGCCUUUUGCAUGAUUCUUCGCUCUUCAAGUCCUGCCAGGAGGGUACUGUGCUGAAUGGCAGGAAGCUGAAUUUAUCAGAUGGCUUGGAUGUUGGGGAAUAUAUAAUUGGUGAUGCAGGAUACCCUCUUCUCCCCUGGCUUCUCACACCUUACCGCCUGGAAGACAAGGACCUCCUUUUUGCAGAUUUCCCUCCUUAUCAAGCCGAGUUCAACAGAAGACACUCUGCAGCAUUAGACAUCACCCUCUCUGCGCUGAGGAGGUGGAAAGACACUUGGAAGAUCCUGCACAGAGGGGUUGGUUCAUGUCCACCUUCUCAAACAAUCUGUGCGUGCUGCAUAUUGCAUAAUAUAGUGAUAGACAUGCAGGAGGAGGAGGAGGAGGAGGAGGAGGAGGAGGUGCGCCGGUUAGCAGACGAGGAUGCGGUCAGGAUGAGGGAUAUACUGUCCCGGCACUUGAUGGAAUCUGGAGGUAAAUUAACACAACUGCACGCUGAUUGCUCCUUCUUAUGUGUUUGUUCGAACACUUUGUCUGUUUACUUUUCUCUCGUUUCUAAUUCCCUCCUAUUGAUUCCAUCUUUUAUCUGUUGUUGGUUAGGCCACACAAUGGCUGUUGCAGAGGCGGACCAACAAGCAGCAGCAGUUGCAUCUGGUUCGGGAGAUGGAAACAAUGAGCAAGGAGCAUGCCGACGACAAAGAGCAGAUCGAGGGAAGGAGAAAGUGCAUGCAUGAUAGCUAGAUAAAGAGAUGAGAUCAAACCGCCUUCUCCAGAGAAUUAAUCUGGCAUUCUUUUUUUCUCUGCUACCAUUUUCAAACUGGAAGUUGUGUUUAAUCUCUUUGGUGAUAUAUAUGUUGCUUAAAUUACUUGGACAGAAAUUAAGUUGAUCGAUACUAUUUGUGAUUUUCUAUAUAUGUAUUCUUUCAUGUCCUUGCAGCUGUAACCCUCAGGAAGGAAGGAACCAAAUGGAGCAGAGUCAUUCAGUUAUACGUAUGUUGUUUAUAGGCAACAUAUAUGCGUCUGGGCCGUUGGGCAUGAUUCAUUCCCAACGUUGUAGCGUUAUGCGCAUUGUGGAUAGAUAGAUAUGUCCCUGCCUGCAACUACAAUGUUGUUGGCUGUCCCUAGUCUACAGAGCAGAGUGGGGAGAUGAUUUUGCACUCAACAGGAGCAGUGUCUUUACAGAGGGAGAAUAUAAGAGAGACGAGUGGUUGUACAGUUUGAGUAUCAUGGGCUUUGGCGACAUACAGAUGUUCAAAACAGAGCAGAGUGUUGGGUUUUGAUCAGUAGAUCAAUUCACCAGUAACCGGAGCAACACGCGUGUGCAAAGCUAGCAAGCACACAGCCUAGUAGCUUGAUUGAUGAACCAACCUCCCGUACGUGAAGCUGGCUUGCUAGUGCUCUAAUCGCUCCGAUGGAUUUACGUCGACGGAACUCUGAAGUAACUUGACGACAGGACCUUGUCGGUCCUGUUAAAUACUUCUCUAUAUUGCUUUUCUUUUCUUUUUUCGUUGGUUGUACAAAGCUACCCUGCUGGUGCUUAUAUACACGUUCAUACAAGACUAGGAAGUCGACUCGGACUAGCAAACAUAAUACUACUAGGACUCAGCCUAACUCCUAAUCCUAUACGUACACAACUAGGUUAACUUUCACACAGAGUGGGGAGGAGACACAUCGACUGAUUUUGCACUCACCAGGAAGGAAGUCCAUAUAUAGCCAAGUGCUUUGUACAUGAAGGAGAAGAUAAGACAGCAAAUUCAGGCAGAUGGUGGGGCGGAUGAUACAGUUUGAGUAUCAUUGGCUUUGGCGGAUGAUACGUACGUGAUCCUUCUUCACGUAUGUUGGUCUGGUUGUUGCAUUUGAAUUCAGGUUAGUUUGCCAAAGGAAAGUUUGGGUCAUUCUUCCCUGUGAACAAGAGCAUGAUCGAUGCGAGUGUGAUUCACAGUUUAUUCACGACACUCGUUUUACAAUAGUUUGUGCAUCAUGCAUGCUCUUGCUCACGUGGUCAGGUUUUCUUGUAAUUUUGCUUGCUCCAUAUAUAUAUAUAUAUAUAUAUAUAUAUAUACACACAUAUAUAUGUGCAUGCUGUCCUAAGCAAAAGAAACUGAACCUAAGCUUGCUAUGCUUUUGGUGUAUUCUCUGACAACAAGUUUCAUGGCAUAUGCCUGUGCAUGGAUGACAUUUGACUAUGAAUGAACUUGGGUAUCUUGCUUAUUUCCAAGUCUUGCGGUUGUACAUGAUGGUUUCAACAGAUGGAUGUGAACUGAAUCUAUGUCCAGGUUACACCGAUGUAACCUGAUUCUGAAGAAGAAAAUGCCACAUACAGAUGGCGUCGAACUUGGCCUCGUCGAUCUGACUCUGCAUUAAGCAAACUUGCUGGCAUCAAGAUUUUGGACCCCCUUCCUUCACUGGAAGUCUUCCUUCGAAUUCACACUCAUUCAUUCAUCCAGAAAAAAGAACUGAUCGACAUUGCCAACAUCUCACAAGAAAGAAGAGAGCAGAGUUGAAGUUGCCAGCCUGUUUACUUGCAGCUACACCCGUGUUGUUCUUCGCAAAAUCCAUCAGGUUUUCAGUUGAGACCAAUCUAACGAUUUACCCAUCUCCUGAAACCACAACUGAGCGGGGUGAGAUUAGCAGGUUGACAACUAAAUAGGCUCUGCUCUACAGUCUGUCCAACACUGUUAUUUUGAGACGGUCCACGUUGAUUGUGACUAACAAAAAGUCUAUGUUAGUAAGAUUUAUGUUUGGCAAAUACUAGUGUUUUGUAUUGGAGUAUACUAUUGGCAGUAAGCUUUUAUGCUUCGUGAGAACAAUUACUGAUGUCAAAAUUCUUGUCUUAGAUUUAUCUAGAUACGGAUGUAUCUAACACUAAAAUGGGAAUAGAUACAUCCAUAUGUAGACAAAUCUAAGACAAGAAUUUUGGGACGGAGGGAGUAAUUGUUAGAGAAGGAUUGAAUAGAUGACAGCACAUGGUGAGCGACGCGCCCGGGCAUUGUCCAUUCUGAUAUUGCUGCCCGAGUGUCAACAGUGACAUCAGUUGGCAAGUGGACAAUGAUGUAUCAUUCUAGACAGUGCCACCAGACGCUCGGAUUGCCAACUGCGAUCUCGCCUUGGCUCAGAAAUUUGGAUUACAACCUGAAGACGACACUAUAUAUAGAGCCUCAAAAGGAGCACGCAGUUGAGAGGAGCUCUCAUGAAAAUUGUAACUAAAUCAGUUGCACCGUCUGUUGAACAGUUCUUCAUCUUUUUGCCUUCUAAUAAACAGAAAACAAACAAGAAAAAUACUGCUCCCUCCGAUCCACAAUAAGUGUCACAGUUUCGAACUAAGGUUAACGCUUAUUUUGGAUCGGAGGGAGUAAGAGACAUAAAUAGUGUAUAGCCUAUUGGAUUAUAGCAAUAUCAUUUCAACUUGUUCAGAAAGCAGCUACGUACUAUACUUAUUUGCAGCAAUUAAGAUACCAGCUGCUCUGAUGUAGACAUGGAAAGUGAAAAAUCCUGAUACUUUGAACCUGAACUGUUCUGUGAUACACUUAAGAACCCAGGUGCAUCGGCAGCAGCUGAGAAUGAACAAUCUCCACCAACAGCUGACAAGAAUAUAUAUAUAUAUAGCAGCUGAGAAGCAGGCGUCUAAAGUAAGCAUCAAUUCUACAGCGUAUAAACAGAUUGAGGGAAUAAUGUAUAGAUAAAUAACCUUAUUCUAUCCAAAGGAUAAAUAAAGCAACCUCCACGUUGAUCCAAAAGAAACUACCCAAGUUCAGGUACGACCACAGCAUACAAAAGAUAGCAGCUACAACCAGUACCAACCAAAUGUGUCACUCCAAGGAUAACAAAACAACCGUAAUAAUAUAACAACAUACUCCCUCCGUCCGGAAAUAAUUGUCAUCAAAAUGGAUAAAAGGGAAUGUAUCUAGAUGUAUUUUAGUUCUAUAUGCAUCCAUUUUUAUACAUUUAUGCGACAAGUAAUUCCGGACGGAGGGAGUACAUAUUUAUGUACACGUCUUGGCAACAAUUGCAGAAAUCGGCGAUGGAGUAAACUGAGGGGUCGACCUACUACACAUGAUGAGAGCCUGAGAAACUCACUCCACCUCAUUGAGAGACAGUGGACAAGAGGUGUGGUCCCUGGAGCCAUGCUGUUACGAAUAAAUGAAUACAUAAGAUACUUGAAAGAUCAAAAGGUGUUGUGAAAUAAAAAUUACAAAACGUUAUCUCUUUGAGUGAGGGCAGGUGAGGUCUUUACCUUUCUGUUUCUAUACAGUUGCAAAUCUGGAUGAAGACUAGAGAAAAUCUUUUAUGCAGAUAUGCUCAAUCUUUGGCCAGCUUUCCCCAUGAGGUGAUUGGCAGCUCUUCUUCAAGAGUUCAGAAUCCCGCACGUAUAUUCCGUGGACGGAAGAUGGCAAAUCAGGUAAAGAUGAUAUAUUGGGGCAUCUAUGAAUUCGCAGCUCCGACAGGCAUGAAAAGGACUUCAGAUUUCCUGGCAAUGAACUGAUUUCACAAUCCAUAAAUGACAGGUUGAUGACAGAUGAGAAAUCUACUGACUCCUCAAAUGAAAAGGACUCCUUGCAUCCUAUAAGACGCAAAUAUCUUGGAGCUUUAAUACCUUCAACAGAGAGCAUGUGGUUGAGCAUUACGGGGCUGCUAACAAAUAGGUACUCCUGGACUCGCAGCUGUGAGAUGCACUUCAUACUGAGGUUCGGGACAUGCACAAAUUCUGCACCGAAAAGUUGCAGCGAAGACAACCCUUCAAGAAAGCACAAGUCCUGUAGAUUUUCUAGUGACAAUGUUCUGAGGGAGGUUAAAUGACCAAUCGACAAUGAUGAAGAGCUUCUGCAGUGACUCAUGUCAAGAUAUUUCAGGUGUGGCAAGUCAAUACUGAGGAAAUCAGCUGCGACCACACAGUGUCGUAUGUUGAGCAUCCCAAGGGAAAAUGGCAAAAAAUCUGAUUCAUGUGUCAACUCUACAGAAGGGCAGCUACAUAAAGAAAAUAUUGAAAGAGCGGAAACAGCUCGCAGCCCCCCUAAUGAUCUAAGGCACCAGCACGAGUUGAUGAACAAUUCAUCAAGCUUUGUCAACUGUUGGAGAACAUCCUGUGACGGAAGUGUAGUCAAAGUCAUAAUCUCUUUUAGUGACAAUAUUCUCAAUGCAGUGAGACCAACAAGGCAAACCGCUAAUGCUUCAUCUGCAACGACACAUGAAUAAAGGUGAAGCCGACAAAGCCCUGAUGGUGGAACCAGUUGUAGGCUGAUGUUCCUUUUACAUAUGAGUCUUAUCCUCUCCACAUGGCAACAUAUCCAUGCAUUGAUGAUAUCCUCUUUCACCAAUGCUUCACUCCCCUCUCUUUUUAGAGUACUUUCAAUGGUUUGAAGAUGAGAAAUAUCAACAUCCAUCAAUUUCAUCAAGCGCUUCAGAGAUGAAUGUUCUGACAACAGUAUGUCCUUGAUGUUUGAUCCCGAAUCCACCUCCCAUGUGGAAGAAAGACGUGACUUCAGGCUGUCUGUCAUCAUGGUGUUCUCCCUUUCGUCAUAUUGUUUUAGCUCAUCGCUGGAAAUAAACAUAAGCAAUAUGCACUUCUUAAUCACUAACUCUUCAAGGCUAGCUGGAAGAGAAGGUAAUGUCUUCAAGUAUGGGACAUUCUUGAGGUGAAGUGAGGAGCAAUUCCCAAAGAGAGCGGCAUUUGAUGGUAGGAUUUCUAAGGCACUGCAAUUAACAAGUGCAAAUGAUUCCAAAUUCUGGAAAUAAGAAUCCCUGAGUAACCAGCCUGGGUAUUUUGCAUAUCGGUAACCUUUGAUAGUAAGGCCCCUUAUUUGCGGUGGUGGCACCAGACCUUCCAGGGUUUCCAAAUGUAAACUAUCAGGUGCAGUCAUGUCAUUUUCUUCACUCCAUUCAAGGUGCAAUCUCUCGAGAUGAUUUUUCUGAUGUAGCUUUGCUUCUAAAGCUUGAUCCUUCCCAGCAACAUUCUCAAGAUUUGAGACACUUAAACUGCCACCAAGGUUGUUCAUGUCUUUCAGUUGUCGCAGCUCGUAGCCCCUCUGUUUUUUCACGCAAAAUUGAUCGAGAUUGUGGAGUGAAAUUAACUUGCCUAUGUAAGGGAUUUGGCCACGCCCUUCAAGAUUUCUCAACUUACUUAAACUGAAUAUUUUUUCAGGAAAAGUUUCAACCUGGGGACUGAACUGAAGGUAUUGCAAGUGGUAAAGAGCACACAAUGAUCCUGGCAAUUUGGAGAUUGAAGUUCUUGUGAGGUUCAAGUACCGAAGGUGCUUCAAUUCACCAACAGAUUCAGGCAGGUUGCUGCUGUUAUAGAACUCCAGAAUAAGUACACGCAACUUCUUCAAAUUCUGCACCACCUGCUGGAAAAUGUCUCUUGCAUCAUCUGUAACUGGCUCAAGGCAGACAAAGGUACGUAAAUGAUGUAGCCUGCAGAUCAAACGCUGAUGUUGCUUCAAACUCUUAACACGAACAGACAGAUGUCGAACAGUUUGUGGUAUUGUUGCCAUCUUAUCAUCUUCUAAUCUGAAGCAGACUUCUUUAGACAAUGACUCUGCCAAAUCAUGAACGAGAUCAUGCAUAACAUACCAGUCCAUAAUUAUACCAUCAUUGUAAACUGGUUGAAAGAAUGAAACUGAGAGCAUCUCAUCAAAGCAGUCCCUCCCAAUAUCUUCAAUUCUUUUGUUCACAUUGCACGAAUCAAAAAGUCCCUCUCCUACCCACAUGCGAACCAACUCCUCCAUGAUAAAGCUGUUGCCUUUUGGAUAUAAACUGCAAUAUAGGAAACACCUCUGCAGACUUGGAUCUAAAUUCUCGUAACUCCACAAAAGUGCUCUACUGGGAUCACUUAAGUUGUCAAUCCUUAGAGCAUCUUCCCAUGCUGCCUUAUCCUUUUUCCUGCUUAGUUGUGAACCCACAGUUUUUGCUGCCAGAGGAGAUCUUCCAAGUCUUUUAGCAAGCUUCUCUGCAAUCGUUUCUAGCUGCUCAUGCAACCUCUGGUCUCCAAUUGCUGCACCAGAAAAGGCAUGUUCCUUCAAGAGUGCUAAGAUAUCAGUGUUUUUCAUUUCUUUCAAAAUAAUAAUUUCCUUACAGUAAAGAGCAGCUGGAAGUGUCUCGGAUCGAGAAGUUACCAAAACUUUGCUUCCUGUGUGUCGAGAAACUAGAGGAGCCAGUAGUUGCUCCCAGUCCUCAUUGCUGUUUUUUUCAAACCAGACAUCAUCCAACACAAGCAGGAAUCUCUCUGAUUUUUUCAGGGUGUCCCUUAAUAUGCAUUGGAGAGUAUCAAGAUUAUCAACAGGUGGGCACUGCCCUCCUUUUGCUGAUUCAAUAAUCAACCGUGUAUGGCCAAUAACAUCAAGUUUGCGCGAGAUGCAAACCCACAUCCUGACCUGAAAAUGUUCUUUUACCCUCUCGUCAUUGUAAACAUAUUGCGCCAAGGUGGAUUUUCCCAUGCCUCCAAGUCCAACAAUGGCUAGACCAGAAAACCUACUUGUAUCAGACUCAGCAGCAAUCAGCUUGGUAAGAAGACCUAUAAUAUCAUCGCGGUCCUUGUCACGACCAAUCACUUUCGGAGGUGCUAUUGAUGUGGCCACUCGAAUAACAGCUGCUGGCAUUGUGGAGGCCCCAGCAGGUAAGCAAAGUAGUUCACGGAGGCCCUUGGCUUUCGCAAGGAUGAGCUUCAGUUCCUUCAACUGGUCGAGUAGCUUUUUGUUCUUUGGGCGCAGAUUGGACAGCCUGCUCGACACAGUAUGCACAUGCUUCAUAAUAGUACCACUAGAAGAUGCAUGUUCUAUCAAAGAAUCCUUCCCCUUCUCUGCUUCGCGCUUGAGGAUGUUGUACUCAUGCUCAUCUAGCAGGUCCUCAGCUUUACAGAAUGCGUCUUUGAGCUGCUGGAUCCAGUUGUUCAACAUUGCCCUGUGAGGGCUCUUGUUAGCUGCUUCAACCAGUAGAGUGAACUGUGGCAUGAUGUUGGUCUCCAGUUCAUGGAGCUCACUCACCAUGUCCACACCAAGACACCUUGCGGGGUCAGCUAGCAGCUUCUUCAAGAUCGGUGAUACCACCAACUGUAAGCCAGCCCGUACACCAGCCACAGCCAAUGCCACUUCCGCCAUUGAAAGCACACCGUGGUAUUGAGGGGGGUGUAUCUUUUUUUUUUGUGUGUUUCUUGGAAGUAGAAAGGCACGGUGGGAAAAUUGGGAUUUUUUGAGGAAUGAAAAUCGGGAAUAUAACAGAGCAAAUAUGGGAAAUAGGUAAAAUUACUCUGAAGGCAGAUUGUGUUUGUGUGUGUAUUCACAGAAUCUUCAAUUUGGUUGGUGGUUGGUGGAGAAGAUGAAAAAAUGAUGCAAAGAAGUGUAUCUGGAGGGGACACUGAGACAGAAUGAAUGGGUGAAGACACUAAACCGUAGGGUCAAUACGGAGAAGUAAACAAUAGCUAACUCUAAAGAUUCCUCAAAAAAGAAAAAGAUGGCUUCUGGAGUGUAAAUCAAAGGUUCAAGACAGCAAUAGAUGGGAAACCUGCAUGAGCGAAAACAGGGAGAUAAAUCAGUGAACAUACAGCAAACAGAGCCGCUGCAAGCUGAUUCUUCUUCCUGCUUUUGUGCAAGUUAAUAGUAUAUUUGAAGAAGAAAACGGCAAGAGCAAGACUAACAGUGACAAGAAAGAAAACGAAGGGCAUAGAGCUUACGUUGAUGAAGGGUGAAGGCUGAUGAAGGUAGCUAGCGAUUGCAGGAGCAGGUGCGGUGAUGAAGGGGAAUGAGAAAUUGCGGGAGAGGCGAAUUGGAGGCAACACAAGACCGAUGGGGUGAAAUCAAAGGUUUUUGAUAGCAAUAGUUGAAAAACCUGCAGGAGUAAAAAACAGGGAAAUAAAUCAGAGAGCUGCAUCAUAGAACACACUGUAAACAGUGCCGCUGCACACUGAUUCUUCUUCUUGCCUUUGGCAAGUAGAUGUAUUUGAAGAAGAAUACUAACAGGGACAAGGAAGAAAACAAAGGGCAGCGAGCUUCCACAGAUGAUGAGCUGCAGGAUGACCAAGGCAGCGAGCGAUCGCUAGAGCCGGUGUGAUGAUGAAGGGGAAUGGGAGGUUGCGGGCGAGGCGAAUUGGAGGCAGCACUAGACCAUAAGAGAAAUAGGACGCAAGACACUCCAAAUGGGGGUCAAGAAGACAUGAAUGGAUCUGAUCCACCUAGUCGAAUUUUUUAACUUGAGCUGAGCCCAACUUGCUGAAAAGCUAAUAGGUACACACUGUCUUUAGCGCACUCACUAAUCAAAUGAUGAUUAAAAUACAUGAAGUGGCCGCCUUAGGUAUAAUUAAUAAAAAGAAAGUGCCCAUCCACUCAUGUUUUUUAACAAUGAAACGGUAGGUCAUCUUACCUGCUUCUCUUUAUUUGUUUCUUUCUUUCUUUUCCAUUAUCAUGACUGGCCCUUUUGUGAUUUCCAAGAACCAUCGCUCCAGUUCUCAAAGGUAUGACACAGAAUAAAAUUAUGAUCUCAUAUGCCUUCAAUUUACAGGAUAUCCAUGGCAAUUGACAAUUGCAAAUGGGUAAUAUGAUGUGCAUUGAAGGAACAACAAUGAAGACAGAACAUGACAACGUGAAACACAGAGGAAGUGGGGGAUAAGACAGAUUAUGACAACUGUAGCAGUUUGGGCCUGAAGAUAGGUCACCUUACCUGCUUCUCCUUCUUCUUUUUUCCAUCGCCAUCACUGGCCUUUCAUAGUUUCCAAGAACAAGCUGGAGCAGGUAGGCCACAUCCCUGCAUGAACAUAGGUGAGAGGUUAACUAACUGCCUCGAAGCAUGAUCAACAGUAAACAUAGGUACCCAACAUGUUUCAUCCUCCUCGGAAAAGAAAGAACAACGAUUGCAUGUAAAUCGGAUGGGUUUUUCCCCACUGUUGGUGACCCAAAUUGAGUUGUCAAGGCAAGAAUCAGUGGUUACAUGGAACAAAUUGCCUCAACAUAGGUUAACUGACUGCCCCGGGCAUGCUGAAGCAAGCAAACUCUGCUAAGGUAAUUGUUUCUCCCCUGCCACCAACACCAACCUCCGAUACAUGGAGCCAAGUGUGGAAUAAUACUAAUCUGAACUGACCAUAGCGAUCUGAUCCAGCUAGUUACGUGUUUUAACUUGAGCUGAGCUCAACUUGCGGAAAAAAGUAGCAGGUACCCAGUGUUCCGUAGCGCACUCACUAAUCAAAUGACGUUUAAAACACAACAAGUGGCCCAAGCUGCCGGCCUAAGCUAUACUUUAAUAAGAAGUAAGUACUCAUUCGUUCCUCUUUUUGUGGUGUUAUACGAUCAAAGAGUGUUUGUUGGUGCCAUGUUUUGAUAUUACUCGAACAAAGAGUGUUGUUGGCGUGAUGGAGUAAACCGAGGUAACCACUGUUUCAACAGGGAUGAAUAUCAGUCGGCAAUUAAUUAGAAGCAGCGGUUGUGCUGAAAACAGGAGGCAAGUCACAAAACAGGAAGGUCUGGGAUUGAGGUGAGUUGUUAACCUGAAGACUCACCAGCUUGAAUCUUGUCAGUUUGCAUACCGCGUAGUGUAGGACGGACCUGGUGGUAGCACAUCAAAAGCAAGAAAGUCAGUGAAGUUUGUUUUAAAGAGUACGUACGAACAAAAAUGGUAGGUAGGUCGCCUUACUUGCUUCUUCUCUCUUUGUUUUCCAUCACCAUCACUGGGCCCUUUGUGAUUUCGAAGCGCCUUCCUACGCUCGAGUUGUGAAAGUUACGACAAACAAUAAAAUACCAUCUCUUAUGCCUUUGAUUUACAUACAGGGAAUCAACGGCGACAUACAAUAGCAAAUGGGAAACAAUGAUAAUGAUAUGCAUCAAAGGAACAACACUAGAGGCAUAUUAUGACAAAUUGCGCUAGCAGUAUUAUUGUUACCUGCUUCUGUCUCUUUGGUCUCAACAGCGAUGAUGCGAUACGCCGUCACACUCUUCAUGGCGUUGUCAGGGAGCCCGGGUUCAUCUCCUUCGUACCACGUCAUCAUUGGUGUGGCUAGGUUGGAUCCCUACUCGAGGCCUCUUCGACUCUAGAGUGAGGCCAUCUUGCCUUCCUCCUACCUUAUACAUGUCCUUGUUGGCACCUCGCUCGUUCCGCAUUGUUCGCAGGAGAUCCUUGACGAUGCCAAUCUUGCAUAUUUCUCCGUUGAAGCUCUCUUUCCGACUGGGAGUCGCCUUGCAACUAGCACAUGUGACCGGUUGUUUGGAAUUGGCUGGCAGUGUUCUUUUGUGCUUGUUGUGGUGAGGGCCCAGCCAAUGGCUGGGCACUCUGAAUUCGAAGUCGCUUUGAUCGCGGAGUGAUAAUGACAGCCGUUGUUCGGUGUCGUGUGUGAGUAGCCAGGCGGGGCCAUGUGUUGGCUUGUUAUGGCGACUUUGUCUUAUUUAUUUAAUUAGCUGGACAAUUCUCUUUUUAAUUAUUAUAUGAUACGAGGCAAAACAUUACCUCCGUUUUAAAAAAAAAUCAAUUAGGGAUUCCAUUCAAAAGGAACCGCUCGUAAAUAUUAAUUAAAUUGAUUAAGAGUAAUGCUAGACUCACGGGCAGUCUACGAAGAAUUUACGGGGUGGUUAAGGCUAAUUGGCUGGAAUUUAGACAGGGCCGUCUCCAGGAAUUUGGGGCCCCAAUACGAAAUGCAAAACGAGGCCCUACUUUUUAUUUUACAAAUCAUAUAACUAAAACUAACAUAAUUAGCAAAACAUACUAUCACUUAAUUAUAUAACUAAAAAGAGUAAAGGUAGUACUAAAAAUAAAAUAAAAUAAAAUAAAAAAGAGACCUCAUGUUUUACUGAAAAGCAUCAUCAAACUGGUCUAUGUAUCCGUUCUCCACUGCUGUGAAUUGUAGUGCGAUAGACUAGAUCCAGUGAGAAAUUCUUCUACUGCACAUCACCAACAACAGGUCAAGUAGCUACCUGGAAAGUUAUAGAAACAAUCAAACCACUGAUCGAGCCAAUAAACAAUGGAUUGCCUUUACUUUUGAAUCACAAAAUUUUAGUGAUCCCUUUUGUGUUUGCUUCCGUAAUACCGUUAGAACAUGUGUGGAUCUUCCCUCAAAAAAAAAAAAGAACAUGCGUGGAUCAGUUGACAGACGUGGAGGCGGAGAGCUUCUCGUCCUUGACUUUUUCUAACAGCCCUGUCCAAGCAAUCUGCAGCUCGGAUGAACGGGUCACAAAUUCAUGUCGUGGGGACUCAAAACGGACCAACGGAGGAAACGGGUAGAUCUGCAGAUGAAGACCUAAGACAUAGAACAUGGCCGCUGGGCAGACAGCGCGCAGAUGAAACGUCGACGCGACGGCUGGACCGGCGUUUGGGCGACUCGUGAAUAAGGGUGGAAGAGUGGGCAGGCCUUUUUCUCUCGUGCUAUCCCUUGAUGGCCUGGCCUGGCCUCCCUCUGUCCUAAAAUUCUUGUCUUAGAUUUGUCUAGAAAUGAAUGUAUCUAAUACUAAAACGUGACUUGAUACAUUUAUUUUAUUUUUGGAGGGGGGAAGGGGGAGGUAUAAUGAAUAACGACACAGCGAUUUGAGGGCCCCAGUUUUUCAGGAGCCCUGUGCGCAUGCACAGCUGGCACAUGCCUCUCGACGGGCCUGAAUUUAGAUAAGUGAGGUGGGCCCACUCCUGAAAAUCAAGAGGACGUACGGAUCUCUUGCUGAAGCGUUGGAGUAAUUGGGCCAACGCACUAGUGAUAUUUUUCAAAAAUUUGAGUAAAAGGGAAGCGCCUCAGCGAUCGAACCUGGGAUCACAUGGUUGCUUCCAUUGGUGGACCUAGCCCACUGGGCCAGGGUGGGCCAGCAGUGUACUAUACAUAUACACUUACUUUUUAAUUUUUUUUAGCUUUCUCCUAUGAUACAAAUGCUGUUUUCAAAUCUCAGGGUGGGCCCACCCUGGCCACCCUCUACCACCGCCACUGACUUGCUUCGUUACCCUGAUAGCCAUUUUAUACUGGUUCUGUGUGUUUUUUUCAUCAGGUUUUCUUCAUUUAUUUUUCCCUCCUUUUACAGUUCUUUCUCUCUUCCUCAUUUUUAUUCGAUUUUCUAUGGUUUUUUGCUUUUUCCUUUCCUUUUUUUGUUUGGUUUUGUUAUAUCUUCUUCGUUUCUUUGUUUUUUCUUUUCGCUUUUUAAUGUUUCUUUCAUUGUUUUUAUCAGUUUUUCCACUUUUUUGCAUUUGUUUGUUUGUUUGUAUUUAUUUUUCAUUUUCCUUUUUCUUUGGUUUAUUUUGUUUCUCUUUCGAGUGUCGGAUGCUCGGUUUGGGAGAAGCCCAGUUGAGCAGCUGACGAACCCGUCUAUUCUCUUGCAACCCCUUUGUCCUUCAAAUAAUAAACCAUCUAUUUUAUUACAUGCUUAUGUGAAAACUAAAUUUGGUUGGGGAGGGGGGGGGGGGCAUUGGACCCCUUUGUCCUUCAAAUAAUAAACCUGAACCUGGAUGCCUUGCUCUCUGCUGCCACCAGCAUGCCUUGGCACGAUCGAGGCACGCUUCCGCGGAUUCACCUGGGGCAAAAUAAAGCAUCGCUACUCCUUGUUUGGCACUGGUAGUAACAUCCCUUAAGUAGUGGAACAAGAAACACUUCGACGGUUAAGAGCGGAUCUAGGAGACGGAGUUGUUUUCAAGGUGGAUUUCAAGAAAGCAUACGACAAAGUCAAAUGGCCUUUCCUUCAGCAGGCCUUACGCAUGAAGGGUUUUGAUGAAGCUUGGCGACGCCAGGUUGAAUCCUUCACGCAAAAAAGGAGUGUUGGAAUUAAAGUGAAUGAUGGCAUUGGUCAUUAUUUCCAGACACACAAGGGCCUGAGACAAGGUGAUCCAAUGUCUCCUAUUUUGUUCAACAUUGUGGUUGACAUGUGUUGGCAAUUCCGAUAGGAAGGGCCAAGGAGGCUGGUCAGGUGGGCGGAUUGGUGCCUCAUCUGGUUGAUGGAGGUGUGUCAAUCCUGCAGUACGCUGAUGAUACAAUCAUCUUUAUGGAGCACGACUUGGCGAAAGCGAGAAAUAUGAAGCUGGUGUUAUGCUUAUUUGAACAAUUGACCGGACUAAAGAUCAAUUUUCAUAAAAGCGACUUGUUCUGCUUUGGUAGAGCCAAUGCGGAAUAAGAGGCUUAUAGGCAAUUGUUUGGAUUCGAAUUGGGGGCAUUACCUUUCACUUACUUAGGUAUACCCAUUCACCAUCGUAAGCUGACGAGCAGAGAAUGGAAGAGCAUUGAAGACCGGUUUGAGAAGAAACUAAGUUGCUGGAAGGGCAAACUCCUGUCUUAGGAGGCCGACUAAUACUUAUUAAUCCGGUGCUCACGAGUAUGCCCAUGUUUCUCUUAUCUGUUCACUUAUUCCGAAAGCAAUUAAGCUGAUAGACCUAGCUGGUAGCAGUGUGGAAAGUAAAACAUUAACUUUGCGAUGCUUCCAGUAGAUCAGUAGCAUGCAUGUUUUGGGCAAUCCAUUUAGCUGCUGUGCUGUGUAAAUUGAAAGUGAAGAACCUUUAUAAGUUAAACCCAGGUGCAUGCUUGUAUACCUGAUUUGAUAUGCUUUUAAACUGUACCUGGGUACUAAACCCAAGUUAAGUAUACCACCCGAGUAUCUUGACGCGCGCGCAUAAUAUGCUGGAUGGAUAGCUCAUGGUCUGUUCCUGCACCCUUCUAGCUAAAUGUGUAGCUCAUGGUUCUGUGUAGCAGAAUAUGUUUAAAUUUUCUGGGUGGGGGUACCCUUUUUUACUCUGAAUAAGCGACACAAGUGCUCAAAAACCUGCAUACAUAGCCCUGAACAUUUAUGGUCUCUGUUGUUAUAUGCUGCUGUGUACGUUAAUGCCUGUACUUACAUGGUUGUGUUUUGGUGGGUCUAGUCCUUGUUGAGACUGGAAUAAGCGACUCUUCAGAAGGAAAGUGUAGGGUAACUUUUAUUGCACAAGUUAACUUGAGACUGGUUAAAAAAAAGAUUGAACGAUGUGCUGCCUUGCAGUGUCUGCAACAAGAGUGGAGGACUCCUUUGCGGCUUGAAUGGUCGGUAUUCACUGGACUGGAUUAUAGAUCUGUGGCGGUUAAAUUUAUGACUGCCUCUGUUUCUAUUUGACAGCAUUUCGGUGUUGGGUGGUACGCUCGGAUUUCAUCAUUCAACUUGUAAGCCGAAUUGCUCCGGUCCAGCCCUCCCAUAUGCUAGGCAAAGAGUGGCACAAACCCCACAUAGCGUUCCAUGGUGCUUUCCUUUGCUUGUCUUCGCGGGUGAAAAUAUGAAUGGGAUGCUUUGCUUCUCUCCACUGUUGGGACUGGGAAUGGGAUGCUUUGCUCCAGCUGCCAACUUUUGCCCCCAUAUCAUCUUAACUGCUGCUGUGUAACUGCUACGGUGGCUUGGCAUCUGCGUAAUUAACUGUAUGCGGGCAGCGUUGGAUGCCCGCCUCCCGCAUCCGUGUCCGNNNNNNNNNNNNNNNNNNNNNNNNNNNNNNNNNNNNNNNNNNNNNNNNNNNNNNNNNNNNNNNNNNNNNNNNNNNNNNNNNNNNNNNNNNNNNNNNNNNNNNNNNNNNNNNNNNNNNNNNNNNNNNNNNNNNNNNNNNNNNNNNNNNNNNNNNNNNNNNNNNNNNNNNNNNNNNNNNNNNNNNNNNNNNNNNNNNNNNNNNNNNNNNNNNNNNNNNNNNNNNNNNNNNNNNNNNNNNNNNNNNNNNNNCGGAUGCGGGAGGAAAUAAGCUGCAUCCACUCACACUACAAAUGUGUGAUCUGUUUACCUGAUCUAGAGAAUAUUGUGAUAAGACAGAGUUAAAACUUGUUAAGCAGAUUUGCUCUCCAACACCAGAUCGUUCACUUUUGACAAUGUGCACUGCUGUCCCACUUUUUUAUUUUCACUUUCCAACACCAAAUCACUUGUGACAUGAUUGAGUUGAAUGUCCUCCUGAUCUGAAGGAGCAGGAGGACAUCUCGUCCAUCUCAAAGGUUGGUGAGGUAAUUCGAUCGAGUUUAAUAUUCGUCUUCUCUAAUUACACUUAGCGCUAAUUAAGUCCCACCUGCUUAAGUUUCACCUUUGCUUUAUUAUCACAGCAAGUUAUACAAUACAAUAGCGAUGGUAGUUGUUGCUUAAGUUUCACCGUUUCUUUAUUAUCUCAAUAGGGACUUGUUUUGUAACCAUUUGAAUUGCAAAUACAACAAAUUGUUACGUUUAUUUAAUAUGCGAAAUAUAUGAGUCUUGAAGUGUCAACCGGCCCAGCGCGCGCCGCUGUCAUUUGGCGUGCGCAUGAGGCAAUAGCAUAUCUUGGCAUCAAGGAAAAGCUCAGCUGCCCUGUGGCCAUAAAAAAAAUAUCAAUGCCCUCUUCUGUUCAGCUCAGCUGCUUUGCUUGCUCCAUCGAUGGGAAUGGGAUGCUUUGCUUCUCUCCGCCUGAUGCUUUACCCACCUCCGGCUGCCAACGAGUACCCUGUGGCUGUGGCAUUGCUUCCCAGAUACCAAUCCCUCCAGGCUCCAGGUCUUCCCCAGCACUGCCAUCGCUCCCGCCGCCACCGCCGUCCGCUGGUAUUUGUCGCCGCCGACUGCUGUGCCGCGCAGUGCACCCCAUCAAUCUCAAAGGUUGGUGACGUAGUUUCUGUGCUUGAGGUAGUUAGUUAGUGUUCAAGUUUUAUUUCCUUGUCUCUGUCUGCUGCUUAAAACUCACUUUAAUUGCCUCCAAUUGUAAUCACAGCACAAGGCCAACAAGUUGACCAAUGGCGAUGGUGUUGGAUGCUUUUGCAUCCUACAUCGGGGACUACCUCAAGCAGGUGGUACAAGAUGAGCUCGGAACGAUGCUGGGCGUCUCCAGCGAGAUCGACAAGUUGGGCGACAAGCUUCUCGACCUUAAGAACUUCCUCACUGAUGCUGAUAGGAGGAACAUCACCGACGACACUGUCAAAGUCUGGGUGGGGCAGCUCAAGCGUGCCAUGUAUGAAGCUGCUGAUAUCCUUGACCUCUGCCAGCUCAAGGCCAUGGAGAAGCGUGGGUCAUCCUCCUCAGAUGCAGGGUGUUACAAUCCCUUUCUUUUCUGCAUGAGGAAUCCCUUCCAUGCUCGUGAGAUCGGCACUCGCAUCAAGGCGCUCAGCCAGAGGCUUGAUUCCAUCAAGCAGCGGAGUGCUGCUUUUAACUUCAUCAAUCUUGGGUCCUACGAGGAACAUAGCAGCUCUCGUCAUGGUAAUCCCAGCCGUGAGACGUCAGGGGAGCUCGACAGGUCAGGCGUGGUUGGGGACAAGAUCGAAGAAGACACAAGAGCACUGGUGGCCCGGAUCACACGCACUGGAAAUGAGGCCAGCAACAACAUUAUGGUGGUCGCUAUUGUAGGUGUUGGUGGGAUUGGCAAGACCACCCUCGCCCAAAAGGUCUUCAACGACGAGGCCCUCCAAGGUGACUUCAGCAAAAAGAUAUGGUUGAGCGUCAACCAAAACUUUAGUGAGGUUGAGCUGCUGAGAAGAGCCAUCAUCGAAGUCAGAGGAGACACUCAGCCAGUUGGAAAUGCAAAGGCCACGCUUCAAUGAACCCUCAAGGAAGCCUUGAUUGGUCACAAGACCUUCUUGAUAAUGGAUGAUGUUUGGAACUAUAGAGCAUGGGAGGAUGUGCUCAAAACACCAUUAGUCAAUGCUGCUGCUCCAGGCAGCCGUGUCCUCGUCACCACUAGAGAUGAAGGUGUAGCCCGAGGGGUGUCAGCUAUAUGGCCGUACCAUCAUGUCGACACAUUAGCACCCGACGAUGCUUGGUUAUUGCUCAAGACGCAGGUCAGUAUGCUAUUAAACAACAUUACCUUUAUCAAGCAAAUAAUCUAUCUACAUCUACUUAUUAAUAGGUGUAUAAAGUAGUUCUUUCAUAGAAAUGUUAGGAUGCUUCCAAAAUUAAUCAGGUGUGGUUUCAAUCGCUUAUAUGUGCUACUACUACCUUAAGAGGCUGUCAAUAAUUUCACAGGGCUAAUAUUACUUUGCUAGUGCCAACAAAGCAUUGUGCUAAACAAGGAAAUAUAUCACUAUAUAGUUUGGCCAACAUUGUUUGAUCUAGUAAGUACUAUGCAUUUUAGGUGAUGGGAAGAUGGAUAUAUAGCUUCACGUGCCUGUAAAAUAAGGAAGAUAAUAAAUAUUAUAUGAUUUUACUAAAUCUGAGUGCAAGUUUCUAUCUCAAUGACGGGAGUACUGCAAAAAUAUAUUGCUAGUAAUACAUUCAGUUUUUGAAAAAAAAAGAGGAAAGGAAGAAUUGUUUUCUAGGUACGAAGUAAAGUUUUAAAAGCGCUAGGCAUUGCAUCUGGCCACCGCCUUACUCUUUUAUGACCAAAGCACACACUUAAGUGCAAUUAUGCGCACAUUAUGUGCUGGUCAUUUUGCUACCGCUCAGAGACUGGCAUGCCUUUUUCUAAUAAUGGUAUAAAAUAUGUAUUUUAUUUGUCGAAUUCAUAUCGCAAAUAUUUGUAUGUAGGAGCAAGAUAGGUAAAUGCAUUCAUGACAUUUUUUGACAUGUACAUUCUGUGAUAUGAAUAUUUACAUUGUCAAACCUAGCUUAAUAAAUGGACAGAUAAAUCAAUUAGUAUUCUUGUCUCUUAGAAGGUAAAUUUGAGUGCCUUAAAGGAGCUUGGUUCAUGGUUAAUUAACUGUAGCUGCCCCUUGUAUUGCAUGGUUGCAGGUACUCUCAAGUGAGAUAAAUGAAGACCACAUAAAUACGCUAAAGGAUAUUGGACUCAAAAUUAUUCAAAAAUGUGGUUAUUUACCACUCGCCAUCAAAGUAAUGGGAGGACUUUUGCGUGAAAGAGGAGGGCUACGUCGUGACUGGCAGCAUGUUUUGGAUGAUUCAAAAUGGUCAAGAACUAAAAUGCCUGAUGAGCUUAACUAUGCAGUAUACUUAAGCUAUGAAUAUAUGCCUUCUUACCUGAAGCAGUGCUUUCUGUACUAGUCUCUUCUUCCUAAAAGUAGAAAUUUUACUAUGGCUGAAGUUGUUGCAAUGUGGAUUAGUGAAGGAUUUAUUCAUGGAAAUUCCAAUGAUUUAGAAGAAUUAGGAGAAAAUUACUACAAGGAGUUGGUAUCUAGGAACCUGAUAGAGCCAGAUAAAUUGUAUUCUGAUAUAUGGUUUUGCAACAUGCAUGAUGUUGUUCGCUCAUUUGCUCAGUAUAUGACUAAAGAUGAAGCACUUGUAACUACUCAAGACGGAGACAAUGAUAUUAUUGCUAAACUUGAUUCACAAAAGUUCCUUCGGUUGUCAAUAGAAACUAACCGAUCACAAUCAGGUGAACUUGAUUGGAAAUCUCUUCAGACACAGCAAUCGGUGAGAACAUUGAUCUCAACUAUCCACAUUAAGAUCAAGCCUGGUGAUUCAUUGGCUACUUUUCCUAGUUUGCGGACUCUGCAUAUAGAAUCUGCAGAUGUGGUAGCAUUGAUUGAAUCGUUGCAUCAACUCAAGCACCUGAGGUAUCUAGCACUUGUCAAUGCUGAUACAUCUGUACUUCCAGGGAACAUUGGCAAGAUGAAACUGUUGCAAUUCCUUGACCUUUGUGGAUGUUCAAAAUUGGUGAAUCUUCCUAAUAGCAUUGUGAAGCUUGGCCAGUUGAGGUCUCUUUCACUCCCCGCAACAAGUACGGUACCUAGAGGGUUUAGUGGUUUGACAAAUAUGAGGAGACUAUGUAGGUUCCCAUCCCACGUGGAUGGUGAUUGGUGUAGUUUGGAUGAGUUGGGGCCUCUUUCACAGCUCAGAUAUCUUGGAUUAAUUACAUUAGAAAAUGUAUCUGAUGCCUUGUUUGCUGCUAAUGCUAGGCUCGGCGAGAAGAUGCAUCUUAUCAGUCUAUACAUGCACUACACCAGUAAACUGGGAGGUGAUGGAUUGGCCAAAGAUAUGGAAGGUGUCUCUGAGCAAGAGCAUCAACGAAUUGAGAAGGUUCUCGAUAAGCUCUACCCUCCACCUGGUUUAGAAUAUCUUCAAAUCAUGGGGUAUUUUAGCUCGCAACUCCGGAGUUGGAUGAUGUCCACAUCAAUGGCGCCUCUCAAAAACUUGAAGACUAUAUUUUUUGAUGAUCUGCCUUGUUGCACUCAACUUCCCAAUGGGUUGUGCCAACUCCCCAAUCUGCAGUUUCUACAGGUCUCUCGUGCUCCAUGCAUCAAACAUGUGGGGACUGGAUUCUUGCAGGCGGCAACAGCUUCAUUUCCGAGGUUAAAUAAACUGAUCUUCAUGGGAAUGGUGGAAUGGGAGGAGUGGGAGUGGGAGGAGCAAGUAUAGGCCAUGCGUCGUUUGGAGAAGCUUGUGCUCGGUAAAUGCAGACUUAGGCAUUUUCCUCCAGGCCUUGCCUCCCAUGCAAGCUCUUUGAAAAUAUUAUAUCUACAAGAUGUCAAGCACCUUAGCUACAUUGAGGGCAUUCCUUCUGUUGUUGAGCUUACAGUGCAUGGAUGCCCUGACCUGGACAUGAUCACCAAUCUCCCCAAUCUUCAGAAGCUUAUCAUCAUGAACUGCGCAAAGUUGAAGGUGCUGGAGUGUAUCGCUUCACUCGAGAGGCUGGUCCUGGAGGAUUACUCCAUGGAAAAACUCCCGGAAUACAUGCGAGAUUUAAAGCCAAGGAAUUUGCAGUUAUUCUGCAGGCUAUGGCUGCUCUCUGCGGUAGCCGCAGGACAAUCUGCAGAAAAUAUGGCACUGAGUGGGACAAGUUCAGCCAAGUGGAGCAUGUCAAGGCAUAUGCACGUGACGGAGACAACCAAAGAAAAUGGUACGUUUUGUACACCAGAGGAGACAACUGCAAGUUGGAUUCAAAUAUCAGCAGCUCUAGCAUAUUUGAAGGUACAGAAAAUCAAACAUACAUACAAGCUUUCUCUUAAUUUGUUUGACCACUCUGAUUCUGCCAGUUUAUAUGGUCGUUUGAUUUUAUCUCUUGCUUUUCGUCCAUAUAUGCUGCAUGAUGACCGUAUUUGUUAUGUACCUUCCUAGUGUGCAUCUUGCUCAGUAUUUGUCUUCUUACUUGUUCUUCUAGGUUUUCUCGAGUUUAACAGAUCUAGAAUAUCAUGUAACCAGUUUUGUGUUUUUCUUGCCAUGCAGAAACCUUAUCAUCUUCUAUGGUGGAUGCACAAGGAUUUGAGUCUAUGUAUAAAAUGAGAAGAAGCACCUUUAGUUACGUCUGCAGCUUGGUGAGGAUCCCAUUUUAUGAAGAUAUGAUGGCAAGGGAGCCCAUCUUUGUCGAUGGGAGAGUGUUGUCUUUACAAGACAGAGUAGCUGUCGCUCUGAAAAUGCUGAAUUCUGGUGACUCUCCGGUUAGCAUAGGAUCCUCUCUUGGUGUGAAUGAGUCAACUAUCUUGCUGGUAACUAAGGUGUUUGUUGAGGCUUUAUGGAAGCGAGCAUUUCACCACAUCAGCUGGCCUGGCUCCGCUCAAAUGGAGAAGAUGAAGCGCAAGUUCGACAAGAUACAUGGUUUGCCAAACUGUUGUGGCAUUGUACAAACAGCUCACAUCACAUUUGGAUCACAAAGCGGUGACCAUGAGGAGAAUGACAGCACGUUAAUGCAAGCCAUGGUUGAUCCAGAUAUGAGGUUCACAAAUAUUUGGUUGGGGCCGUCGGGUAGCAUGAACCAAUUGAGCGUUUUACACGACUCUUGGCUCUUUGAGUCCUGCCAGGAGGGUACUGUGCUGAAUGGCAGUACGCUGAAUUUAUCAGAUGGCUUGGAAGUUGGGGAAUACAUAAUUGGUGAUGCAGGAUACCCUCUUCUCCCCUGGCUCCUCACACCUUAUAACCUGGAAGACAAGGACCACUCUCCAGAUGUUCUGCCUUAUCAAGCCGAGUUCAACAGGAGACACGCUGCAGCGUCAACCAUCAUGACUGCUGCGCUCACGAGGUUGAAAGCCGAUUGGAGGAUCCUAGACAGAGCGAUUGGUUCAUGUCCACUUGUUGAAACAAUCUAUGCGUGCUGCAUGUUGCAUAAUAUAGUGAUAGACAUGGAAGAGGGGGAGGAAGAGGGGGAGGAAGAGGGGGAGGAAGAGGAGGAGGAGGAGGAAGUUGCAGGCAUGGAGGAGGAGGAGGAGGUGCGGCAGUUAGCUGACGAGGACGCCGUGAGGGUGAGGGACGUACUGGCCAAGCACUUGAUUGAAUCUAGAGGUAAAUCAGCACGGCUGUUAUUGUGUCUGUUCUGACUCUAGCUUUGUCUCUCUUAAUUUCUCCUUUUGCAAUUCCCUGCUACUCUAUUUGAGAUGAACAUGCUAAUUUCACUUCACCCGCUUGGCUGCAGAGGAGGAAAACGAAGCAGCAGCAGCAGUUGUUGCAUCCAGUUCAGGAGAUGAAAACAAGGAACAGGGUGCACGCCGACCACAGACAGCAGCGGAUCGGGGAAAGGAGAAAGUGCAUGAUAGAUAGCUAGCUUUGGAGGUGAGAGCAGAUUGUACUCUACUGUUCUUUUUUCUCUGCUAUAUUAAUCGUGCUUCAAGUCGCAGUUCUGUUGUUAGUUCAUUCUUUUGCUAUUUCCCUUGGUGAUUUGUUAAGUUACUUGAUGGAAAGAGAGUAGUGAGCUGAUAAUACACCUGUUGGCAAAAGAAACUAGUCUUAUCAAUGCACCUGGUUAGCAAUAUGGUCAGUAGAACACACUGCAUAUUAAGGCCCUGUUCGGUAAUGGUCCGCGCUCCUGGAAUCUGCGGAGCGGGUAAAUGGCAACUCCACCAUUUUGACCUACAGCUCCGCCAACUCCGCUCCGGGAGCUGUGGAGCGGAGCGAUGUCGAACAGCCCCUAACUGACCGGCUGUAUAACUUUUGAGUGUCCAGUAUGCAUGCAGAGUCAUUUACUAGUAUCUCAUCCAGUUUAAAUGUUGAUGCAUGUGAGCAGGCCGAAGGGAGAGUAGCUUGUACUAGACGGAUCUUCAUCCUGCUGCUCGGCUACAUCAAAUCAAAUCGCCACCUGCGGAAGGGAUGCGGCUAUCUACACCACUAAACAUAAAGUUGCAUCGGUGAAUUUGUUUCUUUGGUUUUUCUUUUUUCUCCAAAUGUUUGGUUAAGACAAGUGAGGCGUGUUUUCAGGUGAGAACAGUUAAUAGUGUAGCUGCACAGAGACUGCAGAGCACUUGUGUUUGUGUUUACAUUCUUUGAGUUGGUUUCUGUAACCUGAUGACAGAAUUGACCAUCAGGGUGUAAGCCGAAGAAACUGAAACUGCUGUUUUUUUUUUCUUUUAUGCGGGCGGACUGAAACUGUUGCUGUGCCUACUAUUGUCAUGAAACCUGAUUCUGUAUAUGCUACAACAGGUACUAGCAACUGGCCUGCACAAACGAAACAGGGUUUUGAUGUUGUGGUUGCAAAAAUACUUAUUGAUCCACUGUCUGUGGCUGAUGUGUUCACCUCGUAUGCAUGGCGGGGCAUUUUUCUUUCCUGGAAUGAACAGUUUUUUCAGGUUUGAAGUUUUUGAGUGAGCCAUGUCACUUGUGUUUUGAAGUUUUUGACUGAUGUGUUCACUUGAAGUUUUUGACUGAGCCAUGUCACUUGUAGUACUACGUUGUGUAGUAGCGUAUCUGUAACAGUCGAAGGUCAACAGAUUUGGCAUUCACCUGGAAGGGUUCCGUUUUGUAUCUUGCCAACUGCACAGUGGUUGCAGAGGUGGACAGAGAUGACUACGUACUCUCUGUGAGAAGCUGAAACUCUGAAAAGUUUCCAAAGAAAUCGACACUAUAGAACAGGCCUCCCAUCUUAUGGCACAGAUUGCAACUUGUUGUUGGUUCAUGCUAUAGUGCUCAACUUAUUAUCUCUGAAUUCUUCUGAACUUUGUCAACUUCUUGAGAAGAAAGUUAACCUGACACACCUAGCUUUUAGCAAUAUAUAUGGUGGUUGGGUACUAGUACAAGAAACUGCCAACCACUAAACAUGAAACUGAACAUGUGUGCGGUAAAAUCCAGUUGCUCGUCUGCACUAAGCAAAUUGAGCAGAGCAACCCCUAACAAAAAUUGAGUAAGAGACAUAAAUAGUGUAUAGCCUAUUGGAUUAUAGCAAUAUCAUUUCAACUUGUUCAGAAAGAAGCUACGUACUAUACUUAUUUGCAGCAAUUAAGAUACCAGCUGCUCUGAUGUAGACAUGGAAAGUGAAAAAUCCUGAUACUUUGAACCUGAACUGUUCUGUGAUACACUUAAGAACCCAGGUGCAUCGGCAGCAGCUGAGAAUGAACAAUCUCCACCAACAGCUGACAAGAAUAUAUAUAUAUAUAGCAGCUGAGAAGCAGGCGUCUAAAGUAAGCAUCAAUUCUACAGCGUAUAAACAGAUUGAGGGAAUAAUGUAUAGUAGCAAGUUAAAGAUCAAGUUGGACAGAGUAAGGUCUAAAUGGCAUCUCCCUUUUUCUAAAAGGCAAAAGAUCUUAAUGGCCUCUUGACUGAAUAAGAUGUGUAGAUGGAGAAACCAUGCGUAUGAAGCUGCUCAGUAAAACUUAACUAAAUUCACUAACUUGAGGUAACAAUGAAGAAAGAAGAAAUCAUUCAUAAAUGCCGAUUCUCUCUUCUUUGAACAUAUUACACAAUUCGGCAUCUUCUUGUAGGAAAGAACAAAGCAAAGAAAGAAGGAUAAAAUAAGAACAAAGCCAUGAACAGAGCAUCAAGGAAUCAGUAGAACAAUUUCAACUCAUGCGUACGCUCGCUUCCUAUAAUCAAUGCAAAUCGGAAGAAUACCAAUGACAUAUGGACAUGCAUAAAUAGCAAGAUCAGGAGGAGAAUACUUGCGUAAAAAGAGAGCACCCAUUCAGUUACCAUUUCUACCCUCUACACUUUCACGCCUAUUCCAAAAAAAAAAGAGGCUAACUAAAUAAUAUAGUAACUCAGAGACAGCGUUUUUUCUUCUUCUGAAUCCUGUUCCAUUUGGUGUAUACAUUCAGUUCGCAUCCAUAUGAUCCAACCAUCAUGUAUGUACAACCACAAUUCAAUAGCAUUACCCAUUCAAUAGCAGUUCGUUUAAAAUCAAAUGCUAUCAAUGCACAGUGAUGAAACAUGCAUAUGCCAUGACGAUUCCCGACGGAUAAUCGACCAUCAUAAGAACGUAAAAAAGAAGUGAACCUAAGCUAGCUGGCUACGGUGGUGACUGCUAUGCUAUAUUUCUCCUCUCCUCUUUGGUUUCUGUUGAGUACAGCUCCAGUCAGCAGCAGGAGAAGGAGCUCUGUCAAUUAUAUAAUGUAAUACUCUCUGGGAUGAUGCUCUGUCAAUUACUCCCUCCGUAAAGAAAUUAAUACAAGAGCAUUUAGAUCACUGCUUUACUGAUCUUAACGCUAUUAUAUUUAUUUACCGAGGGUGCUCAAGCCCUCACAUCCGGCAACAAGUUGGCACACUGACAAGGAAAACAAGCUGCGGAAGGCACAAAACUCUGUUCUUCAACAGCUGUUAAGAAAACUCUGCACUGUCUUCUCUAAAUUGUGACAGAAGAAAAUAGACUACGAUGACAAUAUCAUCGACAAUGCGGUUAGCGCUAACUCCUGCUGCAGCUGAAUGAAUGAAUGAAUCAUGACCAAACACAUAUCGUGCAUAAACACACACACAUGACACCCUCACCGCAUUUUUUGCUUGCAGAUUUUUCCUUCGGAUUACAGGAGUGGUGACAACAACCAACCGAAAGAAUAUACAGAAAUCACAAAUAGCCUUUAUCCUCUAUGCAGCUACGUUAUUAAAGCAGAGCCUGCACACACGUGGUGUCAACGCAUCAAAGCUUACUGCCAAUAGUAUACAUACAAUAUACAAAUCACUUAUAUACGUUUUCCAAAGGUAUGACAAAACCAAACAACACUAUGCGACUAUGUUAUUAGUUGUUGUCUCAACGCAUCAAAGCAUACGGCUAAUACUAUAUACAAUACAAACCCCGUGUAUUUUCCAAAGGUAUGACAAAACCAAACAACACAAAUUCGCGGAUCCAGCUUUUAAUCCGUGCUGCAGCAUAAACUUGCCUCCAUUGACAGGCAGUGUUAGUAGUUAGCUAGUCAGCCCCCUCCUCUCUCUCUCCAGCGCUCAUACCGCAUGCACGAUCUCCACGAUCCCAUGCACGUAGCCACGACCGGCGCCCCGCGCCCUAUGUUGUAACUCUCCAUAUAUACACUGAUGAAUGCAUCGGCAGCACCCAAGGUGCAUUGCCUAUUCUUUUUUUUUUGAAGUUGUGCAUUGCCUAUUCUUUCUACUCCAGUCUACAUGGUAUCAGACGCUGGUCAUCUCCUGCGCCUGUAAACCGCUUCCGCUGCCCUCUCUGCACCGCAUCGCCAUGGCGAUCCCGCCGCCGCCGCCACCACGUCCCCCUGUCUCUGCUGGCGGCACUCCCACUACGCCUGCUUCCCAGACUCGCUCUCAGGUCCUGCUCACCCCCUCGGCCUUCUCCCGCGGCGGCACACUCUUCGUCACCGAUCCCACUGCCUCCUCCUCCACCACAAACCCACACCUCUCCCCUCUCGCCGGCGUGUUCAUCAACCACCACGUCCCGAUCGUCCUUCAGCUCAACCCGCCGAACUUCUCUUACUGGCGCACUCUCUUCGAGGUCAUGUUCCAGAAGCAUGCGGUGCUGGAUCACAUCGUCGGCCCUGCGCGCUCCCUCGACCCUGCCUGGAUGCAAGAUGAUGCUCACAUCGUCUCCUGGCUUUACAAUCGCGUCAGCCCCGAGGUCUUCGGUCUCAUCCAUCAGCGCGGCGCCACUGCUGCCGCCGUCUGGGAGGCCAUCCGCACCCUGUUCCUCGAGAACGCCGAGCACUAGGUGGUUUUCCUUUCCACCGAGUUCCGGCGCAUCGAGCAAGGCUCGUCCUCCAUCCUCGCGUUCUUCGCACAUCUCAAGGAGUGCACCGAUCGUCUCUCCGAGCUCGGCGCCGCCGUCACCGACCGCGAGCAGGUACUGAACAUGUUCCGCGGUCUUCAUCCUCGGUUCCGCUACGCCGUCCCCAUCCUGACUAUGCAGACACCAUUCCCCACGCUCCUGCGUUGCCGUGCCUUCCUGCUGCUUGAGGAGAGCCGCCUCUCCGCCGACUCCAACUCUGAGAUCGCCCUGCAUGCCGCUCGCGUCCCCUCCAACCAAGGGGGGCCUGGCGGCGCACCGGGCGGUGGCAACAACCGCGGCAGUGGCGGUCGCAACAGGGGCCGGGGGCGAGCGCCCAACUCCGGCGGGGGGCAGUCCUCGCAGUCCGGCGGGGGCGCGCUUGCACCGCGCCCUGCUGCUCCAACCGCCGCCCCAUGGACCGGUGUGGUGCAUGCCUGGCCUAUGCCGUGGCGCCCCCAUGCUCCUGGCGCCGGCAUCCUUGGGCCGCGACCAGCCGGCACGACUCCGUGUUUGCCGGCACGGCGUCCCACCACGCGGCUCCUCCAGGCGUCCCGAGCAACGCUCCUCCUGUGGUCUGGCAGCCCGGCCUAUUCCCGCCGUUCCCGCUGCCUGGCGCGCCCCCGAGUGGCGCGCCCACCACGCCGGCAUGGGAUCAGACCGCGCUUGUCGCCGCUCUGAACAACAUGUCACUCCAGCAGCAGCAGCCCGCGUCAUCCCCAGGCCCCUGGUACCUUGACACGAGUGCCACCUCCCACAUGGCGUCGUCCCCAGGUAUGCUCUCCUCUUCUUCCCCGUACGACUCCUCCCGCAUAGUUGUUGGCGACGGGACCUCUCUUGCAGUUACGCACAUUGGCCACACCACCAUCCCCACCUCCUCCUCACCCAUCCACCUCAACAACGUACUCGUUUCCCCGCACAUCAUACGCAAUCUUCUCUCUGUUAAGGCCCUUGCUCGCCAUAACCCUCUCAAUGUAGAAUUUGACGAUCGUGGUUUCUCUGUCAAGGACCGAAGCACGAGGAAGGUGAUCCUCCGAUGUAACUCUGCUGACGACGAGCUCUACCCCAUGACGCCGUCGCCCGCCCCACCACCCCGUGCUCACCACGCCUUCACUGCGGUCUCGCGCGCGCUGUGGCACCAGCGCCUCGGUCACCUGUCUGGCGACGCGCUCGACCGCACUCUCCGUUGCUCUGACAUCACCGACACCCCUGCGUCCGCCGGCGUCUGUCAUGCCUGUCAAUUAGGGAAAAGCACUAGGCUUUCGUUUCGAUCAUCAGAUCAUGUAUCUUACUUUCCGUUUCAACUUGUGCACUGUGAUGUAUGGACCUCGCCGUCCCCUAGCAACUCUGGAUGUCAGUACUAUUUGCUUUUGCUUGAUGAUUACAGUCAUUUUGCGUGGACCUUUCCGUUACGCCACAAAUCUGACGUUCUCCCCACACUACGCUCCUUCUUCGCCUUUGCCAUCACCCAGUUCAACCUACCCAUAGUUACCAUCCAAACCGACAUCGCGACAGUGCUGCCACACACGCUCUCUUCUCGGCCACUGGCACCAAACUCCGCAUGUCAUGCCCUCACACCUCUCCACAGAACGGGCGCGCCGAGCGCGCUCUGCGCACGCUCAACGACAUCACCCGCUCCCUGCUUUCGCACGCCCACACGCCCUACUCCUUCUGGGCUGAAGCUCUACAAACUGCUACAUUCUUACUCAAUCAGCGACCUUGCCGCCCACGCCAUGACCACACUCCCUUCUACCUACUCUAUGGCGUUCACCCUGACUACACGUCUCUACGCAUGUUCGGGUGUUUGUGCUAUCCCAACCUCACCGCUACCACACCGCACAAACUUGCCCCUCGGUCAGCCCCAUGCGUUUUCCUCGGCUACUCACCCGAUCACAAGGGCUAUCGCUGCCUUAACCCAACCACAGGACGUGUCGUCAUCUCUCGGCAUGUCGUGUUCGACGAGCACUCGUUUCCUUUCCAUGCCACCACUGCACUCAGCCCGCCUGUCGACUCUCUCCUCGACGAAGCCCUCGCCACCAUGCCGCCCGUUCCGCGCCAGCCUCGCACACAGCAUCCACGCAUCAACCCCGUAGCCGAGCCAACACCUUCACCACGCCCCGCCCUGGUGCCAACACCUACACCCACGCCCUCGCCAUCUAGCCACGCACCCGCAGCCGUGGCAGCCACCUCUCCCAACCUCACACCUGACGCCGACGACGCUGGCACUCCCACCGUCUCCCCCAUCACCUCGCCUUCUCCACCUGCUCGCGGCCGUUCCGUGCCAGUGACCACACACAACAUGAUCACACGAGCACAUGCCGGCAAGUUUUUCCCAAACCCUAAGUACCAACAGAACCUCACUGUCACCACCAAAGCCAUCUCACCCAUCCCCAAGACUGUGCGUGCUGCAUUACGGGAUCCUUGUUGGCUUCAUGCUAUGCAGGUGGAGUAUCGGGCGUUGAUGGAGAACAAGACUUGGCGCCUCGUCCCGCGACCGCGCCACGCCAACAUCGUCACCGGCAAGUGGCUGUUCCGGCACAAACUGAAAGCUGACGGUACGCUCGAGCGCUACAAAGCGCGUUGGGUUGUUCGUGGCUUCUCCCAGCGCCCCGGGGUCGACUUCGACGAAACCUUCUCCCCCGUCGUCAAGGCUGCCACCAUCCGGGUCGUCCUCACCAUCGUCGCGUCGCAGCAGUGGCCCGUGCAUCAAAUGGACGUCAACAACGCCUUCCUCCACGGCACUCUCUCUGAGCAGGUCUACUGCCAACAGCCGGUCGGCUUCGUUGACACGGACAAGUAGGAUCAUGUGUGCCUCCUGGACAAGUCCCUCUAUGGACUGAAACAGGCGCCGCGCGCAUGGUUCGCUCGGUUCGCCAACUUCGUCCGCGGCAUCGGCUUCAUCACCUCGCGCGCGGACCCGUCGUUGUUCGUUCUACGCAGCGGUGCCGGCUCGGCGUACCUCCUACUCUACAUCGAUGACAUAAUCCUCGCCGCCUCGACAACAGAGCUCCUACACCACAUCCAGCGCGUGCUCUCCGCCAAGUUCUCCAUGAAGGACCUCGGACCCCUCCACUACUUCCUCGGCAUCACCGUCACGCGCACUGCCGAGGGCUUCUUCCUCUCGCAGCGCAAGUACGCCGAGGAGCUACUGGAGCGCGCCAACAUGCAGUCCUGCAAACCUGCCCCGACGCCCGUGGACACGCGCUCCAAGCUCUCUGCAGGCGAUGGGGCGCCGGUCACCGACGCUUCUGAGUACCGCAGCCUCGUCGGCGCGCUGCAGUACAUGACCAUGACACGGCCCGACAUCGCCUAUGCCGUCCAACAGUGUUGCCUGGUCAUGCACGACCCGCGUGCCCCGCACCUUGCAUUGGCCAAACGCGUGCUUCGCUACCUCCGCGGCACCACCUCCCACGGGCUGCAUCUCCGGCGAAACGCCAAGCUCGACCUCAUCGCGUACUCCGACGCGGACUGGGCCGGCUGCCCCGACACGCGUCGCUCCACCAGCGGGUACGCGGUGUACCUUGGCGACUCCCUCGUCUCCUGGUCGUCUAAACGGCAAGCAACGGUGUCCCGCUCGAGCGCUGAAGCCGAGUACCGCGCCGUCGCCAAUGUCGUCGCCGAAUGCUGCUGGCUUCGCCAACUUCUCGUCGAGCUCGCGAUGCCGCUGUCCCAGGCGAGUGUGGUGUUUUGCGACAACAUCUCCUCGGUCUACAUGGCUGCGAACCCGGUUCAUCACAGGCGCACAAAACACAUAGAGCUCGACAUCUAUUUCGUUCGCGAGAAGGUUGCUCUGGGCGAGCUCCGUGUGCUCCAUGUACCCACUACACAGCAGUUCGCCGACGUGCUCACCAAGGGGCUCCCUACGACAGCGUUCGAGGAAUUCCGGUCCAGCUUGUGCAUCCGUCCACCGGACGCUCAACCUGCGGCGGGGUGUUAGUAGUUAGCUAGUCAGCCCCCUCCUCUCUCUCUCCAGCGCUCAUACCGCAUGCACGAUCUCCACGAUCCCAUGCACGUAGCCACGACCGGCGCCCCGCGCCCUAUGUUGUAACUCUCCAUAUAUACACUGAUGAAUGCAUCGGCAGCACCCAAGGUGCAUUGCCUAUUCUUUCUACUCCAGUCUACAGGCAGGGCCUGCACGUACACAACGGGAAAUACAUGAGGGCCAGUCUUGGUAACGCUCGUUUUGCUUCGCACAUUGCUAAUACAAUAGGUGCAUCAAACUGACCGGCUUAGUUUCUUUCCAAGUAAAUUUAACAACAUAUCACCACAGGAUGUAAUGAUUCCCACUGAGAAUAAUUAGUUAGCACCAUAUAUAGCAACCAGCUAGGAACAGAAAUGCGGCUUGAAGCACUGUUAAUAGCAGAGCAAAAUGAAUACCAGAUUAAUUCGAUGGAGAGGGCGACCUGAUCUGAUUUUCGAGCUAGCAAUCAUGAACCUUCUCCUUUCCAUGAUCUAUUGUUAAUCGUCGGCGUACUUCAUGUUCGUUGUUGCACAGUUUACUCUCUUACUGAACUCUACUUCCGAGUCUGAGUCUGAGGAGUAAAUUGCAAAAAACCACCACCUUGGGGUUUUUUUUUUCAAAAAACGGCCACCAUUGUGCUGACAGUUUUUUGCAAGUAUACCAGAUCCCAGGUCCAAAGCAUGACAGCUGAAGGAAGCAGUAGCUUAAUUAGGUGUAUCAGCUCGACUGCUUUCUGAAUAAGUUGACAGCAUGCAUGAUUGUUUCUCUCAGUGACAAGCAUCAGAAUAGACUGAACUUUCGUUUUCAAGAAUGACAUCAGAAUAAACUUUGAUAUUGCUUAGUAGUACAAGAAACUGCCAUCUAGUGAACCUGAAACUGAACAUUCAUGUGUGCGGUAGAAACCCAGUUGCUCGUCUGCACUAAGCAAAUUGGGCAGAGCAACCCCUAAAAGAAUUAGCAGAGUAACCUGACUAAAAAAAUUUAGCAGAGUAACCUGACUAAAAAAUAUUGAACUGUAUUUUUUUUGUCCCAAUUCUGCCUCCCGGCACUUGUCGAAUCGUUAGAUAUUUAGCUGAAGUUAUUGCUAGAAUUUUAAAAGGUGGAUGAUACGCGUCAUCCAAGAUCAGCCGGUCCGCACCGAGUAGUGGUGAGCAACGAGGAACAUCAUGUUAAACCAGGCGCAUUACUGUCACGUAGAGGAGAUAUGCCUUGCGCAUGGGAUAAAGUUCAGGAGGUAGUUUAGGCUAGAUAUUCUUGUUGUAACUAAACCUAUCUCCUCCUCUUUUCUUUCUCUCCAAGAUGUAUCUUAUCUCCUUGUAACCGAACGAUGUAUGCGCUGUCAGGGAUAUUGCGCCCCUGCUAUAUAACACGCAACACGUCGCCCAAGCUAGGGUAAGACGUUUCUGCCAGUCGCACAUGGUAAUCAGAGCCUAACCUCUUCCCAUCCAAGCUUUCCACGAUUCCAAUCUGUGCCUAGCCAUGUCUUCCUCAUCCGGCGCUAUCUCCCAGCCUACCCUCAGCGGUCAGGUCACCGAGAAGCUUUCCCGCACAAACUAUGUGCUAUAGCGCACACAGAUCAUCCCACAGCUGUGUGGCGCCGGGGUCUUCGGCUAUGUCGAUGGCACCCUGCCGGAACCGGCCAAGCUCCUCGCCGCCAAGGACAAGGAAGGCAAGGAGACAUUUGAGCCCAACCCUCUCCACCCACUAUGGGUCAGGGAGGACCAACAUGUGCUCGGCUACCUGCUGAGCAACCUCUCCAAGGAAGUCCUCAUCACGGUGACCACGGUCACCACGGCGGCUGCGCUCUGGACGACUCUGGCGACCAUGUACUCGUCGCAGUCGCUAAGCCGCGUCAACAACAUCCGCACCAGCCUCAUCAACGCCCAGAAGGGCACUCAGUCCGUCGCCUCCUACUUCGCCUCAAUGCGCGGCCUCGCGGACGAACUCGCCGCGGCCGGCAAGCCGAUCUAGGACGAUGAACUCAUCUCCUAUAUCCUUCAUGGACUGGACCAGGACUAUCAGCCCCUGGUCUCGGCCCUCGAUGCCCGUGUCACCCCUGCCUCCCUCGACGAGAUCUUCUCCAUGCUCAGCAACUUCGAUCAACGCAUGGCUCAGUUCCACGACUCCGGCGGCGGCGGCUUCAAGUCAUCUGCAAACGCUGCUUCUAGGGGCCGUGGUGGUGGCUCCCACUACCGUGGCUCCUCUCGUGGCAAAGGGCGGUCCUCAGGUGGCGGGCAAGGCGGUGGCGGAGGCGGGCGCUCGGGCACCAGGGGUCGCCGCGGUCGUGGCUCUGGUCGCGCUCGGGCGGACAGUCCUCGCUGCCAGAUCUAUGGCAAGCCGGGACAUACAGCAAAAGAUUGCUGGUACCGCUACGACGAAGACGAAGACGAUUCCCAGGACGAGGACAAGGUCGCCAACGCAGCUGAUGGCUCCUAUGGGAUCGACACCAACUGGUACGUCGAUAGCGGCGCUACAAACCACAUCACCAGCGAGCUCGAGAAGGUGACAAUGAAAGAAAAAUACCGCGGCAAGGACCAGAUCCACACUGCCAGCGGCGAAGGUAUGCGGAUAUGUCAUGUUGGUCAUUCAAUUUUUAGUACCCCUAAAUGCAAAAUUCAUCUUAGGAGAAUUCUACAUGUUCCUAGUGCCGAUAAAAAUCUUCUCUCCGUUCAUAGAAUUGCCAUUGAUAAUCAUGUCUUCCUCGAGUUUCAUCCUUAUUUCUUUUUGAUAAAGGAUCAGGCCACGAAGAAAAUCCUCUAUCGAGGUAGAUGUGUUCGAGGGCUUUACCCGUUGAUUCCGGAGUGUAGAAGAUUCAAUAAACAAGCCUAUGGUGUUGUCAAGCUUUCGUCAACACGGUGGCACGAUCGUCUAGGACAUGCUUCAUUUUCUCUAGUUGAAAAAUUGCUUAGGAAAAAUAAGCUCCCGUUUGUUGGUGAGCGGCAUAUUGAAACUAUUUGUGAUUCAUGUCAACGUGCUAAGAGUCAUCAGUUACCAUACGCUAUAUCUACUAGUGUCUCCACACAACCCUUGCAAUUAAUUUUUUCUGAUGUUUGGGGUCCCGCCCCUAGUUCUGUGAGUAGACACACCUAUUAUGUGAGUUUCAUCGAUGAUUACAGCAAAUUCUCUUGGAUCUAUCUCCUUAAGAAGAGAUCAGACGUUUUCCAAGUCUUUAAAAAAUUUCAAGCUCUUGUUGAACGCAAGUUUAAUAGUAAAAUUAUUGCUGUUCAAUCCGAUUGGGGGGGGGGGGAGUACAAAAAACUCAACUCCUUCUUCCAAACUCUUGGCAUAUCACACCAUGUUUCCUGCCCUCACGCUCACAAACAAAAUGGCUCGGCCGAGCGCAAGCAUCGCCACAUUGUCGAGGUUGGACUUGCCCUGUUAGCAUGAGCUUCCAUGCCACUCAAGUUUUGGGACGAAGCGUUCCUCACUGCUGUGCAUAUUAUCAAUAUGCUUCCUAGUCGUGUCAUUCAGAAUGAAACACCCCUCGAACGCCUUCUCCACAUCAAAGCUGACUACAAGUCUCUCCGUGUGUUCGGAUGUGCCUGCUGGCCUAAUCUCCGUCCAUACAAUAAUCGCAAACUUAUGUUUCGCUCCAAACAAUGCGUCUUUAUUGGAUAUAGUGCUCAACACAAAGGAGUGAAAUGCCUAGAUGUCUCCACGGGCCGUGUCUACAUAUCCCGUGACGUUGUCUUUGACGAAACUAAGUUUCCCUUUGCGGAUCUCCAUCCAAACGCCGGUGCGCUUCUUCGCCAAGAAAUUCUCCUUUUACCUUUCACACCUUACCGGUUCUGAUCAAGGGGGGAACAAUAUUGAUGAUUAACUAUUGACUAAUCCCACUGAUAGUGUGCAUGAGCAUUGUGAUGAUACAGGAGCGAACAGCGAAGAAACUGCAGAAAAUGCAGCUCAAAAUGAUGAAAAUAGUGCAAAGCUUCGGCCUCAUUUCAUGUGUCCUGAAUCAGGAAGCAGAUCCUCCUCGGGAUCAGUUCCAGGCCAGAGAAUCAGAUCCUCCUCGGGAUCUGUUGCCGCAGACGGACCAGGCGGACCAGGCGCAGGCGCAAGCGCCGCUACCUCCGAUUCCGUGGCGGACGCGCGGAGUUCUCCCACUCGUCGAGAUGCGGCCCCAGCCUCCCACCAACCAUCAUCUGCCGCGUGGCCGCGUGCCAUGGGUGCAGGCGAGUCCCGAUUCGGCGGUCGGCCUGUCUGCUACAGGAGGCGGGGCCUAGGUGGCUCCAACAAUGCGGGCCACGGCACAGGCGCGGAAUCCCGCGCGGGCGGAUCGGCGCGGGAUUCAACUCUGCUCCCUUCUUUCUUGUGAGAUCAUGUCAAUGUUUCAAUGUCGCACAUUAUUUUCUUCUGAAUCAACCAGUUCCAUGAGUGUAACUGUAAACUGAACAUGCAUCCAGUCGACAUCCAUAUGAUCGCACCAUCAUAUACAACCAUAACAACUGCAAACAAGCAAGAUGCCACCUUCAACACAUCUACAGUGACCAUUCUCCACCGAGAAAAGACCAUCAGAAAAAGGUAAAACAGAAAAACUUAGCCUAAGCUAGUUACCAACGGUGGUGCCUGCUAUGCCAUUGUUCUCCCAAGAAGAAGCCCGGGGCUUGGCUUGACGACGAUGACAAAGAACAUGUUCUCCUGACCUCUUUGGUCGUCGUUCAGGCCACAGCAGCUCCAGCUAGCAGGAGAAGGCCGUGCGGCGAUUAUAAAAGUGACCCCGCAACUAGCGAGAACAAGUUUGCACAAGGAGAAAGAAAACAAGCAGCAGAAUUCUGAGAACCAUUUGUUUUUAGAGCAAAGAGGCUACACAGCCCCCAUUUUCAUUAUGAAAGUGGAUUUUCAUUACGAAGUUUGCACAAGACUCAACUCACAGCCAUUACAGUUACAGUUUCUUCAGGUUGCAGCAAAGCAACUGAAAGAAUAUAAAUCACAGACACUCUGUCUCCAUGCAGUUACAUCAUUAAAUUGUUUUCUUGGUACAACUACAGUGGGUUUAUAAAGCCAAUUACAACUUGAAUUAAAAGGAAACAACUCUUAACUGAAUUUGAAAACAGCAGGAAAACCUUCUUCGGGACGAACCUUUCCAUGUCCAAAUUCUUACUUCUAAACUAAUACUCUGAACUAUUAGGGAUAACUAGGGAUACAGUACAUAAUAUCUCAUAUGGGCUGGUUGCCUGGUGCAAGCUGAACUCUCUGUGUGACUGGAUUGGACCUCCCCCAUGUGCUGUAACUAGACAUCCCCUUCCACCUGCUCACAUAAGAUUAAAAGUACAUGCAUGAGAGACGCGACCGACACUUCAUGCGCAGUUCUAAGUCAUAUAUAUCAAGGAUUCCCAUUGUCAAAGUAUAUACUGGUACUAUAAAGCUGCUAGCUUGAUUGUUCAGAUCAUGCAGUGUUAAUGAGCGAAUGGACACUAAGCAUUAUAUAGCCAAUACAGGAAGAAAAUAUAUAGUUGACAGUCAGUUUAUAGGUUUUGCUUCGGCAUAUUGCUAAUAAAUGCAAGUAUUCAUGGACUUAGUUUCUUUCCAGCUAGUUUAAUGUAUCACCAAAGGAUAUAAUAUGUUUCCUAGUGACAUAAAUUAAGCAGUGUCAUAGCAGAAGAAGGAACUAGGAACAGGAACUGCGACUUGAAGAACUGUUGAUAUCAGAGAAACAAUAUAUACCAAAAUCACUAGGUGAAGAGGGCCAUCUGCUGAUCUCCAUAUCUAGCUAUCAUCCACCUUCUCCUUUCCUCGAUCUGCCUUUCGUUGUCGGUGCACGUCCUGUUCCUUGCUUCCAUCUCCUGAACCAGAUGCAACUGCUGCUGAUUGUUGUUCCUCCUCUGCAGCCACUGUGAGGACUAACCAAGCAGAGCAAGUUAAGAUUGAACAAUAGGAUACGAUGAAACAAAUAAAGCGAAUAGAUAAAACACUAAUCUGAAAAAAUACAUUAAAGUUGCGUUAGUUUACCUCUAGAUUCAAUCAAGUACUGGGACAGUGCAUCCCUCACCCCAACAGCGUCCUCUUCUGCUACCUGUCGUACUUGCUUGAUGUAAUUAUACUCAUGAUCGCUCGGCAUGCCUGCACCCUCCUCCUCCUCUUCCUCCUCCUCCAUGUCUAUCACUAUGUUAUGCAAGAUGCAGCACGUUUUGAUUUUCCAGAACACUUCAUCUUUAUUACUUGGAUGCCAGCCUUCUCCCUGCAUGCACUUCCAUGUGUCUUUAAAACUUGCCAAUGCCCGCAGCGAGACGGCUGUAGCUGCAGAGUGUCUCCAGUUAAACUCGACUUUGGAGUCUGAGAGUGAGCGGUCAUUCUCUAGCGGGUAAGGUGUGAGGAGCCAGGGUCGAAGAGGAUAUCCAGCAUCACCAAUGAUGUACUCCCCGACUUCUAAUCCACCACGAGAUGAUACCUUCAGCUUGCUACCAUUCAGCCCAGCACCCCUCUCGCUGGACUUGAAGAGACUGGAGUCCUGCAAAAUGAUCGACUGGUUCAUGCUACCUGCUGAGAGAUUCCACCAAAUGUUUGCGAGCCUCAUAUCUGGAUGAACAACGGCUUGCAGUAGGACGUCGCCGUUCUCCUCAUGGUCAUGGUCUUGUGAUCCAAACGUGAUUUGAGCUGCAUGUACAACACCGCAGCAGUUUGGCAGGCCAUGAAUCUUGUCAAACUUGUGUUUGAUCUUCUCCAUUUUAGCAUAGCCUGGCCACUCCAAGUGGUUCGUUGCUCGCUGGCACAUAGCCUCAACAAACACCUGGGUUACCAGAGAGACAAUUGACUCAUUCAAACCAAGAGAGGAUCCUACAGCCUCAGAUGGCUCACCGGAGUUCAGCAUUCUCAGAGCGAUGGCCACAACAUCUUGUAAAGACAUCAUUUUCCCGUCAGCAAAGGUGUGACCUUUUGACAUCAUGUAUUCGAAAAAUGGGAUCUUCACCAAGCCGCAGACGUAACUGAAGGUACUUCUCAAAUCCUUGUGCGUCCACCAUACGAGAUGACAGGGUUUCUGCAUGGAAAAGACAAACACAGAACAUGUUAUACACAAUCUCUAAUUAGUAAGGAAAGAGCAAACAUAUAUCACUCUCAGUGGUGGACCCAGGAUUCGGGCAUGACCAGGGCUGAACCGUAGUAGUGAAAUAACACCACCACAAAAGCUGAUGAAAUUAAGAUGACAUGGGCCUGUAUGAAAAUGCACUCAGCCCCAUUAUCCAUUUCAUCCUCUAUUUCUAUGUACUCAAAUUGGAGAAAAACAAUUAAUCCCGUGAUCAGAGCAUCAAGUAUACUAAGUUUUCCGGUGCCAAUGCAAAGUUGCAAACUGAUGCACUUGCAUACUAGUGGUUGGCUGAUCAAUCAAAUUCUUGGUGAGGGAUACAUGCAUGUAAUACUACUCAUGUGCUUGCAUACUACUCCCUCCGUUCCAAAAUAGAUGACUCAACUUUAUACUAACUUUAGUACAAAGUUAGUACGAAGUUGGGUCAUCUAUUUUGGAACGGAGGGAGUAGUAGCUAGUAUCCGACUUGGUGUACUACAGGUAAUACUACUCAGUUAUUAGUUGGAGUGCUGCUCGGACUAGUACAGCUAGGCCCAGUCUGCCUCUCGUUACUGCUCUAGGUUUGUUAGACUCAAGGUAACCUAGGAGGCAACACAAGGGAGUGCAACCAACUCAGAAAAUGAUAGCCACAUAACAAAAUUAACAUAAAUUGAAGAAUCCACAUGUACAGCUGUGUGGCUAAAACUUAAUUAGUUGCAUGUCCUAUACAUGAUAUAUUCAGUCAUCAUGCCGCACAUAUAUAUGGAUAAAAUGAAAUGAACUUAUAAACAAGCACAGUCAAAGUGCCCAAACAAAUGAAGGCAGUACCUUCAAACACAUUAGAGUGGCUAAUAUUUGAAUCCAACUUGCAAUUGUCUCCUCUCGUGUACAAAACGUACCAUUUUCUUGGGUUGUCUCCAUCAUGUGCAUAUGCCUUGACAUGAUCCACUUGGCUGAACUUGUCCCACUCAGUGCCAGAUUGUCCUGCGGCAACCGCAUAGAGCAACCAUAGCCUGCAGAAUAACUGCAGAUGCCUUGCCUUUAUGUCUCGCAUGUAUUCUGGGAGUUUUUCCAUGUUGUAAUCCUCCAGGACCAUCCUCUCGAGUGAAGCGAUAUGCUCCAACACCAUCAACUUUGGGCAGUUCUUGAUGGUAAGCUUCUGCAGAUUGGGGAGAUUGGUGAUAAUCUCCAGGUCAGGGCAUUGAUUCACUAGAAGCUCAACAACAGAAGGAAAGCUCUCAAUGUAGCUGAGGUGCUUGACAGCUCGUAGACAUAAUAUUUUCAAAGAGCUUGCAUUGGAGGCAAGGCCCGGAGGAACAUGCCUCAGUCUGCAUAGUUUGAGCACAAGCCUCUCCAAACGGCGCAUGGCUUGUACUUGCUCCUCCCACUCCCACUCCUCCCAUUCCACCAUUCCGUCCAAGAUCAUUUCAUUUAACCUCGGAAAUGAAGCUGCUGCCCCAUGCAAGAAUCCAGUCCCUACAUGUUUGAUGCAUGGAGCACGACAGACCUGUAGAACCUGCAGACUGGGGAGCUGACACAACCCAUUGGGAAGUUGUGUGCAACAAGCCAGAUCAUGAAAAAAUAUAGUUUUCAAGUUGUCGAGGGGCACCAUUGAUGUGGAUAUCAUCCAGCUCGGCAGUUGCCGACCAAAAUACCCCUUGAUUUCAAGAUAUUCUACACCAGAUGGAGGGCAGAGCUUAUUGAAAACCUUCUCAAUUCGUUGCUGCUCUUCCUCAGAGACACAUUCCUUCUCUUUGACAAACCCAUCAUCUCCCAGUUUACUGGUGCAGUCCAGGAAUAGCCUGAUAAGAUGCAUCUUCUCAUCGAGCCUAGCAUUAGAAGCAAACGAGGCAGCAGAUACAUUCUCUAAUUCAGUUAAUGCAAGAAAACUAAGCUGUGAAAGAUGCCCCAACUCAUCCAAACUACACCAAUCACCAUCCAUGUGGGUUCCAAACAUACCAAGUCUCCUCAUAUUUGUCAGACCACCAAACCCUCUGGGUACCAUACAUCCUUCUGGAAGUGAAAGAAGCCUCAGCUGGCCAAGCUUCACAAUGUUAUCAGGAAGAUUCACCAAUUUUGUACAUCCACCAAGAUCAAGGAAUUGCAACAGUUUCAUCUUGCCAAUGUUCCAUGGAAGUACAGAUAAAUCAACAUUUACUAGUGUUAGAUACCUCAGGUGCUUGAGUUGAUACAAUGAUUCAACAAUUACAGCCAUAUCCGCAGAUUCUAUAUGUAGAGUCCGCAAACUAGAAAAGGUAACCAAUGAAUCACCGGGCAUCAUCUUAAUCUGGACAGUUGAGAUCAAUGUUCUCACUGAUUGUUGCGCGUGUAGAGAUUUCCAAUCAAGUUCACCUGAUUGUGAUUGAUUAGUUUCUAUGGACAACCGAAGAAACUUUUGUGAACCAAGUUUACCAAAAAUAUCAUUGUCUCCGUCUUGAGUUACGAGUGCUUCAUCUUUAGUCAUAUACUGAGCAAAUGAGCGAACAACAUCAUGCAUGCUGCAAAAGCAUAUAUCAGCAUACAAUUUAUUUGGCUCUAUAAGGUUCCUAGAUACCAACUCCAUGUAGUAAUUUCUUCCCAGUUCUUCUAAAUCACUAUAGUUUCCAUGAAUAAAUCCUUCGCUUAUCCACAUUGCCACGACUUUAUCCAUAUGAAAACGUCUACUCUUAGGAAGAAAAGAGUAGUAUAAAAAGCACUGCUUCAAGUAAGAUGGCAUAUAUUCAUAGCUUAAGUAUACUGUGUGGUUGAGAUCAUCGGGCAUUUUAGUUGUUGACCAUUUAGAAUCAUCGAAAAUCUGCUGCCAGUAACGACGUAGCCCUCCUCUUUCACGCAAGAGUCCUCCCAUCACUUUAACAGCAAUUGGUAAACAACCACAUUUCUGAAUAAUUUUCAGUCCGAUAUCCUUUAGCAUAUUGAUCUGGUCUUCAUCUAUCUCACUUGAGCAUACCUGUGAACAUACAGCUAAUUAACAAUGUAUAACAUACAUACUUUAAGCCAAGAAAACAAGUUUUCUUUCCAUUUGUUUUUACAAGAUGGAACAUACUGCAAGAAGAAUAUACUUUAGCACUACUCUCUCGUCACUGUUAUAGGAAGUAACUCCAAUUAGCAGAAAUCACAUAUUGUUUUAUUCGUUUUCAUAUUUUAUGGAAACAUGAAAUUAUCUAAUCUCUAGAGCGUCUAUAAUGCAUAAUACUACGCCAAACAUUAAGUAGUGUCAACUUCUAGUUAUUUUCGUGUUAUAUUCUUUUGUUGUAUAGGUAGGGGUACAACGAAAUUGUUGUUCUCUAUCCUAAAAUAACAUUUAAUUUAUAUUAUGUCCUAUGACACUGUUGAGUAGCUGAGCACUUAGAUCUUUAUCUCAUAUGUUGGAAAACGAGACUGGAUAUUCACAAAAGGUUACUCACUACAUAAAAUAUACGACCCAUAAAUCUUCACUGGAUACAUAAAUAAUUAUCCAAAUUUCUAAUUAUUUCUCAAGCUUGAUUAAGCAAAAUCUAGGUGUCUUUGAAUGUGUCUCAAUUAGUGUUGUGGCAUAUUUCCUUGUUUAGCACCAUGCUUUGUUGGCACUUGCAAAAUAGUACAUAGAAGUCACUAAAUUACACGUAAUUAAUGGCUCAUUAAUUUUGAAGCAUCCUAACAUUUCUCAUAAUUAACUAUGUAGUACUGUUAAUAAAUAGAUAGAGAUAACAAAAUAGAUUAGAGUGUAAUUUAGAGCGGACCUGCUUCUUGAGCAAUGACCAAGCAUCUUCAGGCACUAAUGUGUCGAUAUGAUGGUAUGGCCAUAUAGCUUUCACCCCUCGGGCAACACCUUCAUCUCUGGUAGUGACGAGGACUCGGCUGCCUGAAGCAGCAGCAUUGACUAAGGGUAUUUUCAGCACAUCAUCCCAUGCUCCAUGGUUCCACACAUCAUCCAUUACGAGAAAGGUCUUGUGGUCGAUCAAUGUAUUCUUGAGGGUUUCAUGAAGGCUGGUCUUUGCACUUUCAGGUGGUUGGGCAUCUCCUCCAGCUUCGAUGAUGGCCCUUCUCAGCAGCUCAACCUCACUGGAAUUUUGGUUGACGCUCAACCAUAUCUUUUUGCUGAACCCUCCUUGGAUGGCAUCAUCAUUGAAGACCUUCUGGGCGAGGGUGGUCUUGCCGAUCCCGCCAACACCUACGAUAGCUACCACCAUGAUGUCAUUGUUGACAUCCUUUCCCGUCUGCAUGAUCUGGGCCACCAGUGCUCUUGUGUCUUCUUCAAUCUUGUCCCCAACCACAGCAGACCGGUCAAAGUCCCCUACCGUCUCCCGGCUUGGAUUACCAUGGUGAGAGGCAUGGGUGUUGCUGCUAUGAUUCCCAUAUGACCAAAGAUUGAUGAAGUUGAAAGCAGCGCUGCGUUCCUUGAUGUCAUCAAGCCUCUGAUUGAGUGCCUUGAUGCGGGUGCCGAUCUCACGGGCAUGAAAGGGGUUCCUCAUGCAGAAGAGCAAGGGAUUGAAACAUCCCGCGUUUACCGAGGAUGGUCCAUGCUCCAUGGCCUUGAGCUGGCAGAGGUCAAGGAUGCCGGUAGCUUCGUACAUGGCACGCUUGAGCUGCCCCACCCACUCUUGAACAGUCUCCUCGGUGAUGUUCCUCCUAUCGGCAUCGACGAGGAAGUUCUUGAGGUCCCGAAGCUUGUCUCCCAUCUUGUCGAUCUCGCCGGAGACACCCAACAUCGUCUUCACCUCAUCUGCUGCUGCCUGCGUUAGCAUGUCCACCAGGUAGGACGCAAAUGCAUCCAGCACCAUCGCCAUUGUUGCCGGCUAAUUUUUCUGGAAUAACAAGGUAACUUCAAAUUCAAGCAGGAAGCUUAGUUAGCUAUGUGUAAAGAGAGACAAAUCACACUUGAACUGCCUGACCAACCUCUGAGAUGGAUGGACAACACAGACGGCGGAGAAGACUGAAGACCUGGUGGUCAGCGUGACAGUGGCAACCUACAGGAGCAGAAGCUUAAAUCCUCCUCCGGCGCGUCGCCUCUCGGAUCAGUAGCUCAGCUCCUUCUCUGACGCGCUGCCGCCGGGAGGAGCAGUUGAGCUCCUCCGGCGAGUUGCCUCCACGAGCAGCUGCUCAGAUCCUCCACCGGUGCGUUGCCUCCAUGACGCAGCAGCUACAAUAGCGGUCAGACGCAGAGUAGCUUGGCUUAGCGGCAGACAGAUGCUCUCCGGUGACUAAGGCAACAGGACUGGGAGCGAGUGAGGAGUGAGACUGGGAGCCACUGAACGGAGUAAUAACAGUGGCAGACAGCUGCAUUGAACGGAGGUAAUUAACAAUUUACACAGCGUGGGCUACUGCCAGGAUUACAGACAUACUCCAACAUGCAGACUUUCUCUAGAUGUGUGAAAAAUUGUACGCUAGCUAGCCAAGUUGUUUACUCUGUGUGCCAACUAUCUUUCGAGGAGAACACAUAGCAUUAAGGUACCUAGCAUCUAAGAGAACAGUGUGCACGUGGUUUAUGUUUCAAGCCAGAGCAAAUUUAAGGAGACCCUAGCCUUUCCUUUCUUCCUUUCAUAAAGAGAAAAUAUUCUACAGAGCAAUAAACUGAACGACAUACUGCAAUUUGUGAACAACAACAUGCAUGUCAAAAAUGCAGUUUGCGGUUUCCUUUUUCGGCAUUUGGGCUGAUCUCUCCACAAUAAUUUAUCUCUGGUUCAGGGUCCAAGGAAACAAUAGAACAAUUUCAAGGCGAACUUGGUAAACCUUUUUCAUUUUUGGUUCUUUAUUGUGUGAGUCAUAUAGCCAAAGUUUAUGGGCUUAUACUACAUAUAUAGACAAUUUAUCCGACUCAUGACCCUCCUCUGGUAAUGGUUACGAACAUGUUAUGGCACAUCAUAAAAGCUUGCUCACGUUUUCAUCUGCUAUAACCUAUGGUCUUUGGGAAUCUUGAUAGCUGGUAGCUGUAUCGUGACCCAUAGGUCAUGUUUACGGACCUAUUUUCAGAUAGCACAUGCAAACUUUCUCUAGAUCUGCCCAAAAUUGUAUGCUACCUAGCUAAAUAAUUUACUCUGUGUGCUCGUAUUUCAAGUAUCUUUCUCAAGGAGCAUCUUUCUCUUAGUCCUCGUAGCUGCAAAGGACCAGAUCGAGACAGUAUGUCAUACAUACCCUAGCUAGUACACUCGAACAUUAGCAGACAGCGACGUUGGACGGAGCUAAUUAAGUAAAGUACAUAACGUGGGCUGUCAGGUUGGAUUAUUUAGAUUAGCUUGUAUGCACGUUGGUAGUUGAUCCAUCCACAUGCAGUUUUGCACAAACGACGCGCGAGAGCUAAAUAUAUGCGCACUUGUCAGAAAUAAAGCAAGGCAUAGUAAGGCGUGGGAGCUGGAUCUGGCAGUACAACAAAGCAAGUGAGUAAAACUAGGUAGGUAUGCAACUACUACGAGAUGAAUGAAUAUGCAGGUUUGAUUGAUUUAACUUGUAAGAAAUUAAUUGAGCUCCUAUAUUACCAUAUGUACGUACCAGUAAUUAGGAAGCAUUUUUGUUACCAUAUUAGCUUCUACUCCCUCCGUUCCUAAAUAUUUGUCUUUCUAGAGAUUUCAACAAGUGACUACAUACGAAGCAAAAUGAGUGAACCUACACUUUAAUACAUACAUCCGUAUGUUGUAACCAUUUGAAAUGCCUAGAAAGACAAAUAUUUAGGAACGGAGGGAGUACUUGUGAGCCAUCAUGCACAAUUGAUGGUCAAACCAAUUCCGGGCAGCUGCGUCAGUUGGGUCUUGGGCGUACGUGUAUAGAUGACGUUACAGAAGAUAUAAUCUCUACCUUGCCAAACCCGGUGAGAUUAUAAUACCAACCACGAAGCGGUACUGAUGCUGCCUGCCUCUCACCAACGGAACAGGAGAGGAAAGUUGAGUAUUAGUCCCGCUGUACCUCCUUAUGCUACGGAUCCGGCUUGCCUGCUCCAUCCCCAUGCUUCCAUCCGUGCUCCCACUUCAUCCUACGGCUGUCUUUUUUUUUAAUUUAAUCAUCUCCUCCCUGAUUUUAAAGAGGUGGGGCCGGGCCUUACUUUGUUCCAAUCAAAUCAAGCCAGGUACCCGGGAGCACGGAUGGACACACGCGGGGGGAGCAGGCAAGUCUCGUCCUUAUGCUACAGCAGCUGAGAUACCUGCCUUUAUCGAAGGCUUGUAGCGUUUCCACCAGCAGCAGGACACGCAAAAUAAACCACUGGUGCAAAGAAUGGCUGCAAAACCCAAUGUAAAACAUGUCAAUCAAAGGUCUCUGUUACGAGAGCAACUUAUCUCUAUUGAAUGCCCAAGGGGCAUAUAUUACCAAGACUUGAGGUACGAGGAAAGGAGACAUGCAUGGUCUAAUAUGGACUCCUAGACCAAUACUAAUACUUCCUAAUAGUCUCUAGCUAGUAUCACAGGGUGAAACAACAUGUCUUUCAGCAAAAUAUUUACCAAUGUCUACUGAACCUGUGCAAUAAAAGUUGUCCCAAACUUGCCUGCUGAAGAAUCAUAUUUCGAGGGUGACAUUUCUUUGAGAACUAAACUUGCAUCAUCAUGGAAAUAUAGGAGCUCAUAAUUAGUAAUUAGGCGGGCAGCUACUACAGUACUAGCGACAAAUGCAAGAGUACUUUUCCUUGAGAUCUGGUAGCUAGGUCAGUUUAUUACACAACCUUGGGGCAGGCAGGAGCUUAGAUUAUACUGUGUCUGUACAGGAGCGUCUGUCGGACGAAUCUGGUCAAUGGUGGGUGCAGGAAGGCAGGGUAAGAAAGUUAGAGAAUUCAACAAUCACAGGUGGAAGGGGAAAUGACAACUGACCGUGCCUAGUUCGCCGCCAAGCCAUGCGCGUUUCUUUGCCGUGGAGGAUGUGGGAAACAACACAUCUUUUAGCUAAGUCUUUACCAAUGUCUAGUUCAUUUGUGCAAUAGAAGUUGUCCUAAACUUGGCUAGUGAAGAGUCACUUAUUCCAAGAGUGGCAUCUUUGCAUCUCAACCUGGAAAAAUAUUUAAUAGCAACAUCAGAACAAAAAAUCAUGAACUUCUAAAUAAAUUUACACUGGGACAGUGAAGAACUAAACCAACAAAAGAUGGGCAUACAUGAAGCAUGCUUGUCUUGCAUAACAAUCAGAAAAAUUAUUAACAGAGACCAAAAAAUUUUCAAGGUGAUGAAGCAUAUGGUGCCAUCCAUUUAGCAAGAGAGGUAGAGGAACAAACCAUGCAUGAGCUAUCCAUCCACUAUAUGCCCAAUACAGUUUAAUUUGGAUGAAACCUUAUUACUUACUGGUACAGUACAAAAGUAUUAUCAGAUCACAUAUACGACCAUGCACAACGUAUCAAGAUUUUACAGUUUUACAUCUAUAUAGCACUGCAGCAAAAUUAGCUGUUCAAAUCAUGCAUACUAGUGGAGGCAUUGCAAGUAGGUAAUGUUUCUACAAAUGACACGACAGAUAUUCAGUUUCCAACCAGAACUAAGAUAAUCAUUCCAGUGAUGCUGAAUCACAUUAUUUUCCAACUCCCACUGAUCGAAACCAAAAAUUAAACUACAAGGCCUAUACCCAAUUAUCCACCAAGACAAAUCAUGUAUCAACGUUUUGCAAUUAGGUGCUAGAAUCGCUGGAAAAUGAACUAACGAAUCGGUGCGAAAUCAACAUUAAGGAACAUGGUCAGGCCAGGUCAGGCAAAACUUAACAGAUUGCAUACGUGAUAACAUCCAACACUUGAGCUGAUGUUACACUUAAUACUAUCAGGCGUCACAGCAAACUAAUCUUAUAAAAACCGAUGCAUUAAAUUAACUUCAACUGAUAGUAACAACCAGGGUGCAGGGGUGGUGGUAGAACUCAACUAAGGCAGAAUAAAUGUGGUCAAGAGGAUUCAGUCACAAAAGUAGAUCUAGGUGGAAGAAGCUAAUCAAGAUGGAAGAUAUCAGUAGCAACGGGGUGGAUCUAGGUGCAUCGUCACACCCAAAAAUUCAGAGGACAUACCUCUUUAACUUUGUGAACAUUUUCUUUUGAAAUUUUUAGAAAACGAUAUAGAAUAAAAAACUGGACCGAAUCAUCCCGCGAGGUUUCUACGAGUGUCGCUUAAGCAAUUGUUGGGUGCAUUAUUGGCUAGUUAACCAGUGGCAAACCAUGUGAUUCAUCCGAGACGACAAAGACAGCCUGUGGCAUGGAUUAACUAAUGAUACAGUAAUUAGGCAAGGCAGAUAGUUUAGUACCUUGGGCAGGCAAGAAAAGUAGGAAAAGUGCGCCAUCGGAACAUGCCGGGAGAGAGCAGAAGCGUGUUUGGUUGGUGAGGUAAGUAUGUAUUAUAGAUCUGGUUGACAGCACCACGCUCUGUCCAUGAUGAAGACGAUGGACAUUAGUAAUCUGCUUCAGUAAUUAUUAUUAUUAUUUUUCUGCGAGGGCUGCUUGCUAACUGUUGUUGGGUGCAUUAGUAGCUUGGUUAACUAGUGCCAAAGCGCGCUAUUAAUCCGAGACAACAAAGACGAGGCUGUGCCAUGGGCUAACUAAACCAAUACAGUGAGUAAUUAGGCAGGGAUGUAUUAGUAUACUAGUGAGAAAUGCAAUGCAAUUUCCUUGAGAUCUGGUGGCUAGAACCCAACGAAACUAGUGUUCAAUGGUAUAGAGGUAUGGUGGGAGCAGGCAAUUUCGGAGCACUCAUGUGUGUGUCCAUGGAUCGAAAUGAGGACAAGAAAAUUCCAGACCCCAAAAUGAUGGUGUGUGUCCGACUGUCCGUCGAUACCAUCGAAAUUAACAUAGUAUGAGGCAAUAAAGAAAGGUGAAGAAUUUAACCCUAAACCACCUGUGAAUGUGGAAGGGGAAAUGGCGACUCACCGUGCGUGCUUCGCCGGCGCCGCCAUGCCAUGCCACGCGCGCUCAUUCGCCGUGAAGAAUUGGGUGCGUGGGAGGGGAGGCUAGGCUAGAACGGCCGGAGCCUCCCCUGGCUCCGCCGCACUUCCGCCGACAACUCCGAGGCCGAUGUGCGUGCCCCCUCUCCUCCUCCUCUGCCAGGUCGCUGGGGCUCCAUGAGAGUGCUCCCCCGGGCGGUCAGUGCGCGGUGACGGGCCGGGGACCAAUCUUGCGGCGGCGGCGGGGCACCGGACCUGCUCUCGGCCAAGGAAAUAUAUUGUUCGUGUAAUUUUUUCCUUUUUGUUUUUUGUUUUCCUUUGAGAGACAAGGAAAACUUAGCUACAGCUACGGCCCAUGUGCCUCACCAGUCCAGGCCCAUGAAAUAGAGGCCCUGAUGCAUCUAUGCCACGACUGCUACUGCAUUCAUGGCUGAACUUUUGAUAAAUGAUGAUCAAUUUUGUUGGUUUUACUUUCAACAUCUAUGCCGCGAAUAUGCUGGCUGGUAGGAAUCGGAAUCAUCCAUCCGAUGCUCGCUCACCAGGUUUAAGAUGUGACAUUGAUUGCGCAACGUGAAUGGGAAAUGCAUUUUCGCCAUAUUUGUCGCACCCUUGUAUUUCUGUAGUUAUUGUAAAAUAUGAUUUAUAUUUGCAACUAUGUAACACCUGUUUUUCAGCUUGAAAUUCAUAUAUCUACUCUGUUUAGAGUUUAUACAAGGCUUCCAUGAUUCUUUCCUGGGGCAGAGUUUUGACAACUCAGAUUGACGAAAUAAAGUAAGGCCGACCUGGAUGGUGUUGAGGUCAAACUGACAAUUUUCUAUGGCCGCGAUAUGCUACAUGGAUCACACACACAUCCAUCCUCGUCGGCUCACACAAAACUAAGCUGCAAGAAUGGAUGCUUUUUAUCACACAUGACUUUGAACAAAAGGAAAUAUGUUUGCAAGAACAGGCAAAAGAAUAUAUAUGUAUGUUGUAUGUCUGCAUUGUAUCCAACUCACAAAAUGUUUACAAGACGUAUGUUUAAAGUUGAAAAAGUUUGCCAGUUCCUCUGAUCUAAUGAGUAAGAAAAUGAAAGUGACUCAUCCAGUAUGAAAUUAUUUAUUUUCUUGUUCUUAUUACUAUUUUAAGUAAUCCAUCCCUCUCCACCACCUCUACCCACCCUGUCGCCGAGCAUUACCCUCCCGCUACUCCCGCCACGCAUGCUAGGUGGAGGUAUUGCGAAUAGGUUCUAAUGUUUGGGCAAUUCAGUCACUAUCUCUGCCAGCCUAAUUGCAACAAUAUGAUUCUCGCAGACGUCCGUGGCAUAUCGAAAGAACCAACUCAAGAGAGUGGAAAAACGAACAAUUACUUAACAUUAUGGCGUGCAGAGCAGGAUGCAGGGAAUCGGCAUGAGGAAAUUUACAAAACCUGUUGCUAGCUGGACCUGGCCUGAACAAAUUUAAACAUAGCCUUCAGAGGAAAUGAGCAGUUUACCUUCAGAGGAAUCAACAUGAGGAAAUUUAUAAAGCAAUACUACUUGCACAAAUUAAACUGUACUCUCUCCGAUCCAAAAUAAGUGCCGCAGUUUUGAACAGUGGUUAGUUCAAAACUACAAAGAUUAUUAUAGAGCGGAGGUGGUAGUAUGUAGGCAACCUAGUACUCGGGUCAGCAAGUGCUUGGGACAACACUCAAAAUGCAAAAUGCAGCACAAGACAGCUCCCCAAUCCCCACUCUGCUCUUCUCUUCUCCUAUAAAUAUCAACACAGUGAGAUAUCCUAACAAUCGACUGCAUGAAUCCACUCUGCCCAAACACCCGACCAUAUCACAUAUAUAUUCUUCCCAAAGGUUACAACAUGCAGAUAUAGUCACAAAUAGUCUCCUAGUCUCCAUGCAGCUACAAUACUAAUUGUUUCCUCGAUCACAAAAGCUUACUACUACCACAGUAUAAGAUACACUGAUUUUAGCCUUUGGUUGGCCCUUUCAUUGCCAUGAAGGACCUGCGUUGCAUCCACGUGCAGGCACGCAAUAUGGUGUUACCAAGCUGAUCAGCCCUAUGCCGACGGGGGCCGUCGGCAUAGCCCUAUGCCGACGGGAAUGGGGGCUAUGCCGACGGCCUGGGCCGUCGGCAUAGGGGCUCAGUGUGGUAGUCUGAGCAGCAGCGUGAAGACCUAUCAACAGGGCCGGGCCGGCCGGCUAGCUAGUCUUCCUCGCAUCUGCACACAUCAAGAUUUAAACUGGAUGAGAUACUAUAUGACCAUGCAUGCAUGCAUCCAGUUGAGUUGGGUUUAAGCCUCGUAUCAAGGUUUUCCACUAUCAUCAACCAUAUGUAUAUCACAGCUAAUGGAGUGAAUUGCAGAAAUCACCACAUUGACGAAUAGGUUUGCAGAAAGCACCGGUUUACGAAUUUAUGGCAGAAACAACUUAUUCUCAGCUUAAUCAACUUAUUCCCAGGGGGGUGGGCGCGCCCCCCACCCUCUUGGGCAGCCCGUAUCUCCCCUGACGUGCACUCCAAGUUCCCUGGGUUGCUUUCCUUCCAAAAAUAACUUCUCCAGUUGAUUUCGUUCCGUUUUGAUUCCGUCUGAUAUUCCUUUUCCUCGAAACACUGAAAUAGGCAUAAAACAGCAAAUCUGGGUUGGGCCCCCGGUUAAUAGGUCAGUCCCAAAAAUAAUAUAAAAGUGGAAAAUAAAUCCCAAUAUUGCCUAAAACAGUAGAUAAUAUAGCAUGGAGCAAUCAAAAAUUAUAGAUACGUUGAAAACGUAUCACUCCUUUAUAUACGGGGGCAGGGGGCACCCCAAAGCACAUCAAUUGUUCUCUUAGCCGUGUGCAGUGCCCCCCUCCACAGUUUACUCCUUCGGUCAUAUUGUCGUACUGCUUAGGCGAAGCCCUGCGCGGAUCACAUCACCAUCACCGUCACCACGCCAUCGUCCUGACGAAACUCUCCCUUGACACUUUGCUGGAUCAAGAGUUCGAGGGACGUUAUCGAGCUGAACAUGUGCAGAACUUGGAGGUGCGGUACGUUCAGUACUUGAUCAGUUGGAUCGCGAAGACGUUCGACACACUCUUCCCCUCUCGCUGCUAUGUAGCUCCAAGAUAGAUCUUGCGUGAUCAUAGGAAUUUUUUUGAAAUUGUAUGCUACGUUCCCCAUCACUAGUUGCACACCUAAUGGUAAAUUUGUUCAUAGCCUACAAAAACCGUUAGAACAAAAAAUAAUUCAAACCUCAAAACAAAGCACAAACGUGAUCACCCCUCCCCUACGACGGUGCCAGAAAGUUUGAUGGCCUGCAAGUGCAUAUGAUUUAAUUGUAGCAUUUUCGAAGUAAAAGUAUCGAUGCCACAGGGUGUUCAUGAAUCAGACUUUUGCCUCUUGUAACGAAUAAUGUAUAUUUUAUGCCUGCAGAUAAUUGUAGACUUCAAGCAAUGUGUGGGCGGAAAUAAAUUGUAAUUGAGUAGUGAAACACAUUUUAAAGUAAAUAACAUAAAAGUAAAUAGAGAAUAGUAGCUAAACUGACUGAUGCAACAGUAGAGGAGUAAGGCGUUCUUAGGGAGACCGGGAUCCCCAUUGGUACAUUUCUAGCGCAUCGAUGUGAUGGCAUAGUAUGGGAUGGAUACUUGAGCCACUCCUGACGAUUAUGCUGGCCGGAGCUAGGUACAGAACACAUUCUACUCGAGGUAGACUCUGUACCACGCACACCACCAUCAUAGUCUCCACCAUAGGGUUACAUCUCAUGAUAAUUAAGGGUUUACCCCCAUGGAGGCACCUUCUUUAAGGGUUCUCUGUAACUCCCCUAUCAAUUGCAAUGGUUUGUAGGCCGAAAGAUGAAGGUGGCCUUGGAAUUCAUGACCUGCAGGGUUAAAAUGAGGCUCUACUUAGUAAUCCCUCCAUCUCAAAAUAAGUGAAAGCUAGUACAAAGUUGAGUCACUUAUUUUGAGAUGGAGGGAGUAAUUGGUUGUUCAAAUUUCUUACCGAAGAUGGUGUUUAGCAAACCAUGUUACGCAACAAGUAUCUAGGCCAAAAGGCGGUGUCCCAAACAUAUUGAAAACCUGGCGGCUCACACUUUUCUGGCCUAAUGGCGGAAAAGAAACAACUCUUUCUAUUUGGGUCUUUCACAAUAAAGGAUGGGUCGAAGAUUUGUUCCUGGGGAGACAUCUGGCUAGGCAAUGCCAGUCUCUGAGAACAAUAUCCAGCCUUGUACAACAUUGCUUGCGAUAAAAACAAUACUAUUGCGCAAGUGCUCAGCUCAUCCCCGCCAAAUAUUUCGUUCAGGCGGGAUUUCAUUAGCACCUGACUUAUGUCAUGGCAUAAUCCCUCAUCCCGUUUCGAACUGAUUAACCUAACACAAGGCCGUGGUGUGUUUCACUGGAACCUUACUACAUCUGGGUCUUUCACUGUAGACUCUACAUAUCGUGCGGUCACGUAUUCUGAGGUACAGGUGAGCAAGAACAAGAAAAUCUGGAAGGCAAAGAUUUCACUAAAAGUUAAAAUCUUCAUGUGGUAUCUUCGUAAAUGAGUUCUACUAACUAAAGACAACCUCGCAUAACAUAACUGGCCAGGAAGUAAGAAGUAUUAUUUUUUUACGCAUGACGAGACAAUCAAAUAUCUCUUUUUUCAAUGCAAAUUUGGGCGUUUUACGUGGUCAGACAUUCAAAUAUAUAGCAUCGAAUUUGUAUCAGCCCACAAGUGUUGCCAAUAUUUUUUUAUCAUUGGUUGGACGAUAUUUAAAAUAGGUUCAAAAUGCUGAUAAGGGUGGGAAAGUACGCCUUACCAUGGUCACUUUGCUAUGUAGAAACGAUUUGGCUUUUAAUGAAAAAAUAGCUUCUCCUUUGCGGGGUGUUUUCCGUUGUACGCAGUCGCUUCGUACAUGGUCUAUGCUACAACCAACGGAGUACCAACCGCUAUUGAAGGCGGUGUGUACACGAUUGGAGCAGGUGGCUACGAAAGUUUUUACCCAACAUGGGUGGCAGCAUAUUCUCCGGAUCGGUCCACUAGACCUUUCGACAUAGGCAUAGUGUCGGUCUAAAGGACUAUACUGUUGCUUAAUUGUGAGUUUUUUCCUUCUUUUUUGUCAGAUUUCUUUGUGAUUAGUUGUGUGCAUCCUAGUUAUGCAGAGGCCGGGUGAAUGAUUUGUAUUGGCUUGAUGCUACAUUUUGAGAUAAUAAAAGCGCCCUUUAUCGGAAAAUUGAGGAUUGCGGAUGCAGCUUCAGCCAGCCUAACAAAUGAUGCUACUUAUAUCACAAUUACUUGAAGGGAGUUUCAACAAACAAGUGUUGUUUUUGUGUUUAUCAUGAUGCCUUAUAUACAUGCUGAUAAGGUUUAACAAGUGUUGGAAUGUAUAAUUCAAUAAUGGAAGGAAGGUCUGCCACCGUUUAUUUUCUAGUGAUCCUUGUAUUGUUCGGAAGCACAACAUAUGCAGGUGUGUUGGGAAUAUUCGUUUCUGAGCUCGGGCUCAGAUGCUCCUGAAAUCAACACCGCAAGCUCGAUCGCGUCGGGAUCUGUGCUAUUAGCUGUAUUUCUUUUUCGUAUAUCCAACAAAUUCGAGCUGCUCUGUGGCGCAAUGAAUGCGACGGCAGCGCUCACUGUGUUCGCUGAACAGGUUGUAUGUUGACGAACGGCUCGGCGGAUUUUCUGUGCCUGUGUGACAAAAACCGCCGUACCAGGCUACCCCAUCAUAAAUGGAUCUCCAAUGCUCGAUCUCCAACGAAGUGAAGUCCGUUUUAAACCUUGAACUGGUAGAGCUCGUCAGAAUUGAACCUCAACCUUCAAAUCGCUGAAAUUGGCACCCUGUACUCACUGAUCCUGGUGAUUUUGCAAUCACAAAAGCUACAACCGGCGAUCACAGAAGCUACAACCGACGAUCGAUUUGCAACAAUGGCGAUGGGGUGGUGACAACGACGAGGUAUUUUCUGCUGGAACCAGGAAACUUUUUUGCUACCACUGGCGGACAUUUUUAUUGCUACCAGCAACCCGAAGGAGAUUCUUUCUGGCGAGCACAUCGCAGGGGUGCUGUGACCGGUGACCGACGUUGCAGGAGCCGCGACCAUCACCAGGCGAGGGAGCUGCAACCAACAGGGUGAAAGCUUGCUGCAUGCGUGGAUCCAAAGAGAAACUCGGGAGACGGCGGCGAGGGCGGCGGCGGGGACGACGAGUGCUGUGACCAGUGGCGAGGGAGGCGACGGGUGAGCGCACGGGGUACUCUUAAGUCGUUCGUAAGAUGAUGCCUCAAGCAAAGGGAACGAGCCUCAGUUAGUGUAUCUAGGGAGGUCAGGAUCCUUUGUUCGGCUAACAUUCUUGCAAGAGCAAGAGGCUCGCCGCUGUUGGUUGUUAGUACUAUUGCUUAUAAUUCUUUACUUCAGUUUAUAAUGCAAUGGAGUAAUGCUUGAUGCACGACAUGGAUACCUUCAAGGAUAGGCUGUCUGAAAAGUUUCUACCUGAUCAGCGACGUAGUUGCCAUAAUACUACCUGAUCAUUAGACUCACUUUUACUUUUAUUCUCUUUCCUUUUACAUGAUUAUUUAACAUUGACACGGGGGAAUUGCAUAGUGUAUUCUCUCCAGUGGAGUCUACAUAGCCAUAUACCAUUCUUCAGAGAAUGGAACAGGUGGGUAGAACAAAACUAUAGGUGCAAAGCAUGCAUGAUAUAUUCCGAUGUAUUGAAUACAUUUCAUGAAGUGAAGUAAAAGAACAAAUGUAUCCGAGAAGUUCUUUACUAUCUUGCAUGUAGAGAACGAUUAUUGUGGUUAUACCUCGCUGACCAGUGAUAAAAGAUAUUGAACAUUGCAAUAUGGUAUUUUUAUCCUCCCUUUUAUUAGGUUAUAAUAUGUUCAUGGACAUAAUUUUGAAGAUUACAAGAUGGUAUUUUUUUCAUAAGCCCGUGACAACGCACGGGCAUUCUACUAGUGAUAGUUUACAGCUGAGUGAGUCUUGUUUCUGGUUUAUGCAUGAUAGGUGUUUGGGCAUGAUUCAUUCAUUCGGAUUUGGUUGCAGCAGCUGUUAGGAAUGAAAUUUGGAGAAGAGCAGAGCAGAGUGGGGGAGAUGACACUAGUAUCGUGUAGUAGUGUUUUGUGACAGUAGCACUGCAUGAUGCAAACUACUACAUUCCAAUUCUCCAAAGUUAUUUAUGGAAUAAAAAGGUGAAGAAAAUUUGAAGCUCCUAAGUUUCGAAAGCAUGAUAUUUUUAAGAAAUUGAACAUUUCUUUGUUAUUUAUGUACAAAAUUUUAAAAUAUGAAUAUAUUAUGGAAUAAAAAUGAACAAUUUUUAAAUUUCAAAUGUUUUUUACCAAACAGGACCACAAAAAAUUCCAAAAAAAUUGGAUAAAGAUACAAACUUUUAAUAUUUGAAAAUUGACAUGUUUUAAAAAUAAAAAGAAACAUAAAUGUAAAAAAAGAAAAACGUAAAAAGAGGAAACGAAAAAACAAAAUAAACCGAGAAAACCCGUAAAAGAAUCUAGAUUUUUCUUUUGAGGGGUAAAAGACUGACUUUAUUCAUCAAAAACUACAACACGUGGUAGAGAGUUCUCAUCAUGUGGUUGGCCAAACCAAACAUGACGCCCAAGAACUAUAUAAAUAGCAAAUCUAGCUAAACUAUGCGCUUCAUAGUUACUAGCACGACUCUCAAAAAUGAAAUUACAAUUGAAAGGUAAUGUUCGAAACAAAAUCUUGUUUAUAAUCGCUCCAUAUCUGCCUUGUGUCCCCUGUUUAUUGUCACGUAUCACCUGUCUUGAACCAGAGGCCCCAAUGAAUUCUAGCACCUGUAGGUCCUCAGCUAGGCAUGGUGCUUCCAGGCAUGGCAUCGCUCCACUAUAGCAGGAUCAUCGACGCCAUCAAUGAUAAGCGCCUUUCUUCCAAGAUAUAUGCCAUUAUGGUCAGGACACACUGCUACCGCCGUACCGCCUCUUCCUUCUAGAUGGUUCCCAAAACCGGACAGGAAUCUCUAAGGUUCUUAAAACCGGAAAGAAGGAAUAUGCGCUCUGGCUAUCCAGACUUGUGCCUUUGGUCGAUAGUUUGUCGAAAAUUCUCAAAAAAAAAAUUAAAGAUUUGCGACAGACAGGAAAUCCCUAUAUAGAUAUACUAGUCAGUUGACCCAUUUGGCAACUCUGAACUCUACUAAACAUGGAAAGUGAAUAAUCUGUUAUACAUGACAGGUGUUUGGGUAUGAUUCGUUCAUUCGUAUUUGGUUGCAGCAGCUGUUAGGAAUGAAAUUUGGAGAAGAGCAGAGCAGAGUGGGGGAGAUGACAGUAGUAACGUGUAGUAGGUGAAGACACAUAUGUGGGACCGAGGGAGUACUACAUUCCAAUUCUCCAAAGUUCGUCCUAAUUUUGUGCUUGAUCGAUGUUACUUUCACCAUUGAGCUAGCGUCCGGUCCAUAUUAUUUGACUCUUUCUAGCCACAAGAACUUGAGAGCAAAAGUAUGCACGGCGAGACACUAGGAUAUGUCAGCGAUGUGUUGGUUGUUCCUUGCCCCGGCAGUGGAGCAGCAGGAUGAAUAUCCAUCUACAAGCUAGUCUCCCUUCCGCCUGCUCACAUCAACAUUUAAACUGGAUGAGAUACUACUAGUAUAAAUAUAUGACUGCAGUGCAUGCAUACUCAACACUCAAAAUUCGUUAUACAGCCGGUCAGUUACUAUGCAAUGUGUUUUGCUUAGCAUAUUGCUAACCAGGUGUACUGAUAAGCGUAAUUUCUUUGCCAACAUGUGUGUUAUCAGCUCACUACUCUCUUUCCGAGCAAUUAAUUAACUAGCGCCAGAUUUCCGCUCAAGUUAACUAGCGCCAGGGCAGAAGAAUGAACUAAAAACAGAACUGCGACUUGAAGCACGAUUAAUUAAUAGCAGAGAAAAAAAAUACUCUCCUAGUACCUCACCACCUCUCUGGUUAUCCGCAUUGUUAUGAGGAUUACCUCACCACCUCUCUGGUUAUCCGCGUUGUUAUGAGGACUACCUCACCACCAUGUUUUGUUCGGCUGUGUACUUUGUUCGUUUGUUGCUUUUUAAGUAGUAGAAGAAACUGCCAGGUACUCAAGCUGAAAUUGAACAUGUGUGCAGUAGGAACCCAGUUGCUCGUCUAUACAAAAAAAAAUUUGAGCAGAGCAACCCCUAAAAUAUUUAGCAGAGCGUGCUGACUAACGAAAUUGAACUGUGUUUUUUGGGUCCAUUUCUGCCUCCAGGCAGUUGGGGAAAAAAUCAACACUUCCCUUUAUCGCGAAAAUAAAAUAAAAAAUCAACACUUCUCUUGCCUGUGAAUUGAAUCCCCGAUUGAUUUUGUAAAGAAUAACAAGAUUGGUGUAGCUGCAAACAAACAGGCAGCGUCAACUAUGCUCUCUUCUUUCUUGUGAGAUCAUGACAAUGUCAGUUCUUCUUCUUCUUCUUCUGAAGGAUGCGAAUUCUUUCGAUAGAAGACUGUUGGCAAAGGGAGGGUGACACUUCAUGCCAGCGAGUGUGCUUAAUGCAGAGUCAAAUCGAUGAGCAUCAGUUGAGCCUCAAGGACGAGCCUCAAGACAUCCUAACAACAGCUACAAACAAGAAUUGACUGCAAGAAUCCACUCUGCCCAAACACCUGACCGUACACGACUCACUCUGUCCCUCAUUGUGAUUAUGUUCACAUAUAUAUAUUCUUCCUUCAGGUUACAACACGCAGAUAUAAAUCACAAAUAGUCUCCUAGUCUCCAUGCAGCUACAAUAUUAAUUGUUUCCUCGAUCACAAAAGCUUACUACUGCCAACAAUAUAAGAUACACUGAUAUGUGACAACACAUAUUUUAGCCUUUGGUUGGCUCUUUCAUUGCCAUACAGGACCUGCAUUGCAUCCAAGUGCACGCACGCAAUUUGGUGUUACUAAGCUGAGCAGUAGGGUGAAGGUCAUCAACAGGGGGACGGCUAGCUAGUCUUCCUCGAACCUGCACACAUCAAGAUUUAAACUGGAUGAGAUACUGUAUAUGAAUAUGCAUGCAUGCAUCCAGUUGAGUUGGGUUUAAGCCACGUAUCAAGGUUCCACUACCAUCAAUCAUAUAUAUGUCACAGCCAGUGAGUCAAGUAGGCAAUACCAACACAUUCUUAAAUAGGUUUAUCAAUCAGCUUAGUUUCUUUCCAAAUAAUCUAACACAUUCACCGAGAGAUUAAAUGAUUUCCGAGUAGUAUCAUUAAAAGUAAGAAUGAGUUAACCAUUCAACAUUUGGUUUUAUAUCUCUCAAGGAUGGAGAUAACCACAUUACAUGUUAACACAUGCAAAGAAACGAUGAACUGGUGAUGACAUUCCUCGGAAAGAAAGUAGUGAUGACUUAUGCUUGUCUAUCUAGCUAUAUUAAAUGAGAACAUAUACUAAACAGCAUGCCUAUGAUUGUCUAUCUAGCAUUGAUAUUCGAGCAUCCACGGGCGAAACAUAAAAAUAUUAGGUAACUAUUGCACAGUAUACUACCUGGCGCACAGAAACUGUUGAAAGGAUGACAUGAACUAAAACUACGGACUUCACAAUGUUUCCUUGAUUGCAUCGAGUUAAGUUGAACCAUGUAAACAAUGUCCUUCAUGCUUAACAAUAUUUCAUCUGUAUCCUCGACAUAUCCGCGUAUAAAUUUCACCCAUACAGUCUCUCCUUCAACCAGAGGAGGUAACCCAAGAAUAUACUCCGUUUCAAUGGUCUUCCACAACUCCCAGGUGGCAACACCAUGACAAUUGAUCUUCCUCUGCCACAUUUCAAUGUUAUCGUGAUGAUGAGACAUCAUGGCGACACCAACUGUGCCAUCCUUUGUCUGGAUGAUCUGAUGACUGUAGGAAUGAUUCAUAUUGGGAGGCCCCUCAAGCACAUUAAGGCUCUGCGUCUCCAAAUCAAACGCAAGUAUACCCUCCUUCACAUACUUAAAUGACCAAUAAACAACAUUACCAAUUAGGGUACUAAUAUAACUGCCAAAACAAUCUCGAUAGUGAACCUCUGCUUCGAUGAGAUUGGUCCAUGUGUCAGUCUCGGAAGAAUAAACAAAGGCAAGGGCUCGACCAUCCUUAGUGGACACAAGCAGCAAGACCACCUUGAAGAGGGCGGAGUGGCAACCACUGUGCAUGUGGCCCCGGUCACGGGAAGCGCAGAGCACCGCUCCAUAGACGUAGACGCACUUGAACUCGGGUGGAAUUGGCACACGGUGCUGACUGCCGGCGAUGGGGUCGCACACGAAGACCUCCGUGUGCGACGGGUGUAAGAUGAGGACAAGGCCGUGGCGGCACCCGAGCAGCCGGCCCCAUGAGUCGCCGAGUGGCAGGUUGAACCGCUCAUGAGGGAUGUGGUCUGGAGCGGGUAGGACGGAAGUGAAUUUGAUCUUAUCGCCGUCUUGGAAGAAGACACCAAGGAGUGGCGGGUUCCGGUGAUGUGCGUAGAAGCAGCGGAGGAAUCUAGAGUCAGUGACGAGGCCUCGCCAGCGCUUGCAGACGGCGGAGAUGCGCAGGAGGGAGGACGGCUGGGGCGGAAGACGGAGGAGGAUCUCCCCGAGCAUGUCGUCGUCUUCCAGCGCCGCCGGCGGGGAAUUGCCGUGGCGGCAGAUCAUGGUGGCGCUCUCCUCACUGGCGCCGAUCUGGUCUUGGAGACGGAGGGAUCGAUAUGGGGUUGGAGGCGGUUCAUCGUCACGAUGUAUUGGGUAAGUUUUUUGUGCGUGCAAUCUCUGGACUCCACAAAUCAAUGUUUUUUUUAUCUGACAUAUCAAUCCCACAGCUAAUCUCAAAGCACACUUCCACAUUAAUCCCAUCAUUAGGCGGCAAAUCCUUAUUCCCAGUUUUGCACGUCUCAUGGUUCUUGAUUAAUAUUUUUCCAUUAGUACCUAGAAACAUGAUAUACGUACCUGGCCGGAUAUAUGCUAUUGUUCAUCGUCGAGAUUCGUUCAGUGGAUACAUGGCAUGCAGUGACUCAAAGGAGUAAAGUUUGCACACUGACAAGGGAAACAAGCGACGAUGGAAUUCUGACAGUAUAUCACAAUUAGCGACCCAGAUCCAGAUGAUGGCAUACAUGUUCCUAGCGGAAUGUCACCUAGUCUGAAUCGUUGCAUUCAUCUUUAAUUGCAGGGCGCUGUCUACAGCAAGAAGCUACCUGAAUCUGUUGGUGAUUUGAAGCACCUUCCAAGAACUUCAAUCUCUAAAUUGCCUGGAUCAUUGUUGCAAAUUUCCAAUUCCUUCGGUUCAGUUCCUAGGUUGAAACAUUUCCUGAAAGUGCUCUAGAAAGGGAGCUGGAUGAAGUAUUGGUAAAAGAGGAUAUCAUCAAAGCAUGGAUAUGUUGCCACGAGGAUAGGAUAAGAUUCAUUUGUACAAGGAACAUCUGCACGCAUGCCUCUGGUUCCACCAUCAGGGCUUUCUCGGCUUGAUCAUUCUUCAUGCAUCAUUACAAAUGGGGCAUCAGCGGUUUGUCUUGAUGGUCUCACUUCGCUAAGACAUUUGUCACUACAAGAGAUUAUGACUUUAACUACACUUCUGUCACAAGAUGUCCUCCAACUGGUGACAAAGCUUCAGUACUUGCGCAUUGACUACUCAUGUUAGAUCAUUAGGGGGGUUGCAAGCUGCCACCGGUCUUUCUAAAAUUUCAUUAUACGACUGCCCUUCCUUAAACUUGGCACGUGGAUCAGAUUUUAUGCCAUUGUCCCUUGAGACGCUGGACAUACAAUACUGUGUGGCUGCAGCUGAUUCCUUCAUGAGUGACUUGCCGCACCUGAAACAUCUUUUCAUGCUCCGCUGCAGAAGCUCUGCAUCAUUGUCGAUUGGUCAUUUAACCUCCCUUGAAACAUUAUCACUAUACAAUUUACACGACUUGUGCUUUCUUAAAGGCUUGUCUUUGCUGCAACUUGUCAGAGCAACUUUUGUAGAUGUCCCGAACCUCAAUAUAAAGUGCAUCUCACAAUUGCAGGUCGCGACUUCACUCAGUGCUAGCUGCCCCAUAAUGCUCAACCACAUGCUCUCAGACUCAGCUGAAGGUUUUACAGUUGCACGAAAUAUCUCUCUUGAGCUGUGCAAGGAGGGAUACUUCUCAUUUGAAGAGUCAGCGAAUUUCCCAUCUGUUGACAACCUGCUAUUUAAUUCUUGUGGAAUCAGUUCCUUGCCGGGAAAUCUGAACUCUGAAGUGCUUUUCAUGUCUGACCUUACUCCAAAUUUGUGGAUGCCCCAAUAUAUCAUCUUUACCAGAUUUGCCAUCCACUCUCCAAAACAUAGUGAUCGAGGAUUCUCACCUAUUCAGGGAGAGCUGCGGAUCACCUGCUGGAGAAAGGUGGCCAAAGAUUGAGCAUAUCAGCAGAAAAGAUUUUCGUUAAUUUCAUCCAAAUUUGCAACUCACCUGCUCACGCUCAAAGAGAUAACAUUUGAGCUACCAUAUCUUCCUAACAAGUGGAUCCCCUCCCCUCGCGUCGCUCCCGCGAGCGACCGAGGGGAUAACCCUAGCCGCCGGCGCGCGAACCUCCCCUCCCCCCUCCCUCCCCUCGCCGCCGCCGGGCAAAGCCCGGCGGGUGCUGACGGCGGCGGGGCCCCUUCUCUCCCCGCUCGUGGAGGCUGGCGCGGCGGGCUCUCCCGGGCGGCGGCGCGGGGCUGCGCUCGGCGGCAGUGGUCGGAGCGGCAGGCCUGGCGCGGAGGGCUGGAUGCGGGCGGGUGGCGCGAUUGUGCCCGCGACGGCGGCGUUUCCUGCGCGGCCAGAUCUGGCUCAAGACGGCGCGGGCGGUGUGGGCUGCUGGUGGCCACCUCUGUCGUGGACGCGGCAGGUGGUGGUGGCUUCGCGGCAGGUGGUGGUGGUGGUGCGGGCCGGAGGUUGGAGACGACGGCCGCGUCGGCUCGUUCGGAUCUGACCUCGCGGCGGCGCGGGACGUGAAGGCUGGGGCUGCGGUCGGCGGCCCUGACCGUGGCCCCCUCGGCUGGUCGGGGUGGCGGCGCAGUGGCGGUGGCUGCAGGGGUGCGUGCCCGACGGCUGCUGUGGUGGUGGCAGGUUGGUUGCGGCGGCGGCUAGUUUGUCCUGGCAUUGGCCCGUCUGUAGGCUGCCUGUAUCGGCCCUCGACCUCUCUCCUUGCCGUCCGUUCGCGUCUCUCGCCGGAGGGCUGGCCUUCUCCCGGCUGCGGUCCAUCAUCCGUCUCGCACCCGGUGCAGUAGGACCGAGCUAGUCUCGCGCCUGGCAGCAGGACCGGCCCGUCUCAUGCCCGGCAGCAGGAUUGCGCUUGUCUCGCGCCCGGCAGCAGGACCGGCCCGUCUCGCUCCUGGCGGCUGGACUGCGCUCGUCUCACGCCCGGUGUAGCAGGAUGGCUCGAUGGAGGCUUGUUGUGGCCGGCCUAUUGGGUCUCGGCGUUGGGACCGGCCAGGGGUGUGAAAGGCGGAUCCUUUCCGCCCGUCUCUGCGGUGGGGGUAGCGGUGGGGCUCGGGGGACUUGGUGUCAGGGUCUUGGAUUUCGGGGCGGCGGCCCUGGUGGUGGUGGCGCGGUGCUCAUGGGUAGAGCUCGUGCCUCGGUGCUACCCGGCUGCCACGGCCGUGUGGGGCGGCAUGAUAGCCGGGGUGUGGCGAUCGGUGGCGGUGAAUGUUGGCCGGGAUGAAAACCUACUCUAUCUUCGGACGGACUGGCAACGGCGAAGAUCGCUCCCUUCUUGAAGGCGUCGUCGCGGCUAUCAUUGCCCGUCGUGGUGCUCCAGGGGAAACUCUGAUCCUCGGAUCGGGCGGUGGCGACGCUCCGAUGCCGUAUCCUUCCUGAAGGCACCGUCUUGGAGCCCACGGGUCGUCAUAUGCAGCUUCACUUCUUCGACUGAAGCCCCCGGCGGCUUUUGUAGUGCUAGAGUCUGUGUUGCUGCGCUCAGCGCUCAGCUCCUCAACAGCUCCAGGGACCACACCUCGUCUCUCAAGCUCUUGCCAUGCUGUUCAACUUUCCCAAGUCUCAGUCGGUGUACCCCGUCAGUUCACUUUCAUCGCCAACUUCUCCAAUCCUCGCCCUCGACAGCUCCACCUACUUAGCCACCGACUUCUGCAAUAAAUCGUGUAUUCUUAGUGGUCUUUUGCCAUCCUCAUCUCUACCUUUUGUGUGCUUCGAUGCACCACUUCUGAAUUGGUGAUCUCCUCCAUUUACCAUCGUAUUCGUACCUGCACUUUUGCAAUUUCUUCUGGAUCGUUCCUUUGUCCUUGGAUGUCUAGUCUGCUCUGCAGUCUCUACAACACUAAUUGUUUUCAGAUCCACACGUUAAUUGUGACUAACAAAAAGUCCAGGACAGUAAGCUUUAUCUCUGGCAAAUAUGAGUGUUUUGUAUAGUACUCCCUCUGUAAACUAAUAUAAGAGCGUUUAGAUCAUUAUUUUAGUAUUCUAAACACUCUUAUAUUAGUUUACAGCGGGAGUAGUAGUAUAUUGGCAACAAGAUUUUAUGUGUCGAGAGAACAAUUAGUAAUAUAGCCGCAUGGAGAAUAAAGACUAUUUGUGUUGUAGAGAAUGAAUGAGUGAAGUGUUUCGAUGCGAAUUCUAUCGCAGGACCUUGGGACCUUGGGUGAAGUUAGAUUGCGAGGAAGAAGCACAAGCCCAGAAUCGAUUGGACCGAGCGAUGCCAACGGCUCCUGUACGGACAGGCGCCGAGAGCGACCACGCCGCUGCGGGCGGCGAUUCCUUGCCUGCCCCCGUCUACGGCGACCUUGCCGCGUGUUCCCUAGUCGCGGGGGGCAUGCGGGCCGCGUGUCGUGCGACGGCGGGCAGGAAGCAAGGCUCCCGGCCCAAUCUCCGGCGCGCGGGGUGGGUCGGGGAGCCGCUUUUGGGCGUUAGCCGAUGAGGAUUCUGAAGACGAAGAGGAGGAGUUGUCGUGCGGUGAUGUGGGGGCCGCGGCGUGCGGCCGGGUGACGUGCUCCGUCGGCGACUUUGUCAUGCGCGCGAAGGAGCUCGGAGGCUCCUUCAAGGACGGUCGCCGAUGUGCUUUCGCGCCGGGCGGCCGGGGUCCCGGGCGGAUGGCUGCGGCUACCUGCAAGGGGUCCGUGUGGUGCCGGCGAGGGAGGGCCGAGGGCGGCCAGAGUCCCCGGACGCUGGCCUGCUUCUCCUGCCUGGCCAGGAUCCGCCCUGGCCGGCGUUUGUCGCCCCGUGCCGGCGGUGGCGCAGGCGGAACCGCGGCUUCCUCGCCCUAGGGUUGGGGGCGCGUCGUCUGCUUCACCAGCGAGACAGGCCGCUGGGCCGGGCUGCGGCCCAUCUCAGGGGCCCGCGGGGUGUGCGGCCCAGUCGGGGGCACUGGACGAGGGACAGGUGGAUCCGCCUAGCUCGAAGGCUCAGCUCACUCUGCUGGACGAGGCCCAGCCCACCCCGGGCCUGGCACCCAAGCCAUAAGUGGCUCUGGCUACCCCGGGGAACCCUAGACGCCUCACUAGGGUUUCCUGCCUCCAGAUCGGAGGUGCGCCGCUUCGGUCACUCCGCCCGCUUUCUCACUUCCACUGCCCCUCCUCCUCCUGUGGUGCGCUCCUUUGCUGCGGUGGUGGCGAUGGGCUCCAAGCAAGACCGCAGGGCGGAGAAGCCGCCCAUGAAGCCGCCGCGGGACCACGACCUCGCGCGGCGCCAGGGCCCCUCGUCUCAGGAGGUGGGUCGCGCUGAGAUCGACGGCGGUUGGGGGCCGCCACCCGCAUGGUGGCUCAAGGAACGGGAAAUGAAAAAGAAGAAAAAGGAGGAGUACAAGGAGCGCGGCCUCGAGCUCAAGCGCAAGGGGCUGCAGGCAUCUCAGGGCGACGACCGCGUCGGCGGCCCCUUCGCCAAGAAGCAAAAGUCCAAGCCUGCAGGGGCGGCGGCCUCUAAGCCGCCCCUCCCGCCCGGAUCUGAGAUGUCAUCCUCAUCCAAGGGCACGGAGGCGGAGCCGAUCCCCAUCGAAGAAGCGGAUGGCCCGGAGUGCUUCAAGUGUGGGCGCUCCGGCCAUUACCAAAAUCUGUGCACCUUCAAGCCCCUCGGUGUCGUCUACUCCCAAGAAGGCCACACCUCAGCCCAAUGCCGGACCCGUGGCAAGCCCCUGCUCCUCCAAAGUAUGGGGCAUGCCAUCGCCGGCGAGGGUUUUUUCUGCCUGCAAUUCCAUGAAGUUGCACGGGACGCGCUGCAGAUCCUGAUGGGGGCCAACGUGGUCGUGCUAUCGGCGGCGCCGGGCGUGCUCUCGAAGGAGAUCCUGGAAGUCGAGCUAUCGCACCUGUUUGAGGGCUCCUGGGAUUGGCAGAUAACCCCCCUCAACGGCGGCGUGUUCUUGGUGGUGUUCCCUGACCCGACCAUGCUCCGGAUGGCCACGCGCAGCGGCAAGCUCUUUCUCUCCCUCAACAAUCUCAUGGCUGACAUUCGUGAUGUUGUCCUUGACGCGCCAAAGGGGUUGGAGAUGCCUGAGGCCUGGGUCAAGCUGGGUGGGGUGCCGCCCAAGCAGCGGCGUGCGGACAGGACCAUGGCGGCCACCAUGAUGCUUGGCAGGCCUCUUCGACGGGCUACUGGCGCUCUUUUCAAACUCUCGGAUUUCUUGUAGCUUUGGCGGCCGCUUAGCUGCCCCCCCGGAUCGCGACGCCAUCUCAGCCUUCAUCGCCGACCUCCGCUCGAUGGCCGUCCGCCUGUCGCCGCCGCCUCCGCCGGAACCAGACUAGAUGCUUUCUUCGUCCGGCGUGUUCUGUUUUUUAUUUUCUGGGCUUGUUGAGCUGUGCCCUCAGCAGAACCUAUGUACUUUGUCGUGAGACUUGGGUGUGUGUGUGGACUUGACUCUGUAUGUGUGCUCUGUGGCGGUUUGCUUUAUAUAUAAAGCGGGGCGAAAGCCUUUUUCGGUAACAUAAUCUACAAAUGCAACUUCUUCCUGCAGCAAUGGAGUUCGUUGACGAGGCGCAAGGAUUUUGAGAAGAUGAAGCAAGCUCAAGACCGUCUGCGCCAGGUGUUCGUUUUGGCUAGGGAGCCAACCGCCACUUUCUCGUCUUGAAGUGGCCCUUUUGGUGUGUAUGCGAGCCUGCGUGCUCAAUGAUCUGGCCUCGUGCCACGUAUUUUCCUGCGCUCGCGAUCUUUUGGCCGCAAAACUUUAACUCUCCGUGACUGCUAUGGCCUGAGCCUCUGUGCUCGUGUAAGUUCAGACCUCUGUGGUACACUGCCUAUGAUGUGGGCUUUAUUAAUUUAAAGCCGGACGUCUCUAGCGUCUUCGUUCUAAAAAAAAAGGAAUGACAGAACAAACUUUGAUAUUGCAUGCUAGUGGUACAACUGAAAUUACCCAGUCAGAAAAGCACAAAGUAAAGCAGAGCACAUAAGGUUCAGUGCGGCAUAUCUCAUAAGAACCCUGCUGGUGUCGGAGAAACUUCCAGCAAGUUAAACAGCAGAAAAAUAUAAAGCUCGCUAACUGUACAGUCCGCGAAUGUGGCAAGAAAAAAAAACAAUUACUACUCUGCUAAUCAGGUAGGAGUAGAAUAGAAGCAGAGGUGAGACUUACCAGUACCAUAAAAGGCCAACGCUGACCACACAAAGUAACCGGAUGUCGCACAAGUUCUCCAAACCAUAUCAUGCUCCCUCCGUUCCAAAAUAAAUGUCUUAACCUUAGUACAAUUUUAAUGUCCAUGCAGCUGCAUUAUUAAUUUCUUCUCAACCGCAUAAAAGCUUACUUACAACAAUAUAAAAUGCUACACAACAAUAUGACAAAACCUAAGUACUUUUUUGUUCCAAUCCAGAUUUUAGUUCGCGUUGCAGCAUCAUAUUAUCUCCAUUGCCAGGCCUGCACACAAAGGAAAAAUGCAUGAGAGCCUGUCUUGGUAACGUUCUGCAUAGCACAUUGCUAUAAUAUACUCCAUAAUUGAUGCAACUGUUGGAAAUUUACCCGCAGGAUCGAUCACAUAAAAUUACACGAACACACGCGCACAAAAAAACUGAUAGCCAAGGGCCCUUGUCGUGCCCUCUUUUCUCUUUAUUUCUUUUCUUGUUUUCUCCACGGUGCUUACAAAGCUGUAGUCUGCCUGUGUAUAUAUAAUAUACACGCCCGGCAAUACCCAACGCAAGUCACGACUCGACUCCUAAUCCUUGAUGACUUCCAUCACGUAUACGACUCGAACAUCACAAGCUAGCCUACGACCGGACACGUACUAUUACCUAGUCUAACCAAGCAGCCACCUUGAUUAAUCCUUACUUUCACAUAUACUAGUACUACUUGGUAUAGACUUUCACAUAUACUAGUACUACUUGGUAUAGACGACUACCAACAAAUAUUAGGACACAGACUCCACUUUAACUUGUACGUGUAACAACACAUAGACAACUAGCACGUACCUGACUUGCCAACUUGAAUAUAUUUGGAUUAUUUUCCAACAAUCUCCCCCUAAUCCAAACAUAUCAUCUUCACUCGACGAGACACGCAGAUGACUCUCUAUUCAUUUUGUCACGCUCGUUGUCUUGUCUCCGAUGACGCGACUUACCGGAUCACAACUUCUCUCUUCAUGCAACGAUGGCCACCACAUCAUCACCAUCAUAUUUUUGUGCCGACUUUUGUAGACUGAAACCAACGAUUACCCGGACUACCAGCCACGCUGUCAUAACUUAGCGUGCUACAUGCAGACUAAACGCAUAGCCUUAUGCAGGAACUCAACUUAACCGGCGCGCGUCCAUCUUCACGUUGAUCUUCAUCUUCAUGUCGGUUGCUUGCACACGGGGAGACACAUCUCUUCACCCGUCACAUCUUCACAUCUUCUCAGUGUCGCCGAUGCCACAUCUUAUCAAACGACACCUCCUGUCUAGCGGCAACACAACUUGCCAUAUACGUGCAACUCAUCUCCACCGUAUAUGAACUCGCCGAAACUCCGCGACCACAGCUUUGUAAGCAUCGUGGAGAAAACAAGAAAAGAAAUAAAGAGAAAAGAGGGCACAACAAGGGCCCUUGGCUAUCAGUUUUUGUGUGCGCGUGUGUUCGUGCAAUUUUAUGUGAUCGAUCCUGCGGGUAAAUUUCCAACAGCAACUAUCGACCAACUUAGUUUCUUUCUAGCUAAUUUUAGCAACGUAUCACCAAAGAGAUUAAAUGGUUCCAACUGACAUUAAUUUAGUAGUGCUAAACAGAGCAUCUAGGAAGAAAACUGUGACUUGAAGCACACUUUUAAUAUAUAGCAUACCAAAUUGAGUCAUUGGUCAGGACGUUCUGGUCUCAUCUUUCCAGCUAGCUAUCUAUCAUGCACUCUGUCCUUUCCUCGAUAUGCUUUUUGUUGUCGACGUGCCUCCUGUUCCUUGUUUACAUCUCUUGAAGUACACUGGAUUCGAUCUUCACAGGAUGUUGAGCGGAAGUUCAGUCCUGUUUCAUGUUCGUACCUACCUUGAAGGCCACCUCAACUCUGCCUUCUUCCUUCUUGUGAAUUCGGUCGCAGGACCAUCAGCGAAGCAAGGGGGAUGCUUCAUGCAUGCCACUGAGUUUGCUUCAUGCAUCCGACCGGCGAAGCCAAGGUUGGCGCCAUCAGUCUCAGGGAGCAUUACAUAGUUAAGGCCUCAUGGACGAGUGUUCUUUUUCUUGAGAAUCCAGUUCCCCGUGUGUGUAAACUGAACAUACAUUCAGUCUCCAUCAGUGUGAUCAAACAGCAUGUAUGUACAAACCUAAGACUUGCAGAGAAGCAAGAUGCCAACUUUCACAGCAUUACACAAGUUCAUUUAAAACCAAAUAUCAUCCGUGCAUAUAUAGUGGUGAAACAGGCAUAUGCCGUAACCUAACCAAGGCCAAGGCCGACCAGAGAAAGUAACACCCCAAUCAUAUACGUAUACAUCUGCUGCAAAAUUAUAUGGAAACCAGAUAAAUUAGUUUUGCACACUUUAUAUAGAUUAUAAAGAAACGUCCAACCGAUACAACCAGCUUGCUGGGGCCGCAGCACAAACAAGCCCAAAAGAAAAAAGGAGAGAAAGAAAAAAGAAACAAAUAAACAAAUGAAACAAAUGCCGACUCCGGCAGCUCAACUAAACAAAGAUGACCAACACCCGCUGCACCCACCGGAGAAGAACCACCGCCCGCCAAAGCAAUCUGAAGCCUCGCGUACCAAGCAACAUCUUCAGGAAGAAAUGCGACGACGACGCCGCUGCUGCCCGGACAAGUCCUAGGGUUUCCCCUGUUACGCGAAUGGCAGUGGGGAAGGGGGUAUCACCGACGCCCCUCAGGAGGGUCCGGCAACGCCCACGGGCGCAGCCGCGCCGGUGGCGAACGAGCCGCCAAAGAUUUCUCCCGCCCCGAAACCACCACCGCCACCUCAGACAAUCGGAAGCGCAUCGCCCAACAUGCCGCCCACCAGCCUGUGCCACCACGGAUACCGCACCAUCUUCACCGUUUCACUGAGGCCACCAACAGAGACCUGGAGGUAGAACGAGAAGACACCGGGCUAGGAGGCAACCGCACCACAGCCGAAAGGAAGGAACAACCUCCACCGCCGCGCGGAGCCGACCGGACAUGGCGACAGGGACUUGCCAGUCUACCACCGGCCCAAUCGGACCCCAACGGGUCUAGACAGUCCCUGCAACCAUGCUGCAGCAUGCCGGCCGCCAGAGCCACCACCACCGCAGCCACGCCCCCCUCGUCUCACCACCAGGGAGCCACGCCGUCGCGCACCGGACCGCAGGCCCGCCCCAGCCCAAAUGGGGCCCGAAAGGGCCUAGAUCUGGGCCGAGCGGGCGCCGCCGGCCAGCCGCCCACCGCGCCGCCCCGCAGCCAACGGGCACGCCACUAGAGGCCCGCAGAACGCCGCCGCCGAGCCUCACCGCAGCCGGGCAGGAGGGAGCCCCGACUCCCCCUCCCGGCGAGCGGGGAAGGGACGUCCGCCACCGCCGGCGCCACCCGGGCACGCCGGAGGUCGCUGCCGGUGCGGCGAAGCGAGAUGAAGGAGGAGGAGGACCAAGACGGGAAGGAGGGCAGGGGGCGCUCCGCCGCCUCGGGAGGCGGCAGGAGCGUCGGGGGAGGGGGAGGAGGAGGGGCAGAGGGGGGACCGGGGGGCAUGCGCGAGGCGGCCGGCGCCGGCGGGAGGGGGCGAGGGCUGCCGACGGGGAGGAACCCUAGCGCGGGUCGCGGGAGCCCCUAGCUCGUGGAUCCCGUUAACUUCGCGUGUGCCGUCCCCUUCUCUCUUCUUCCCUACAAAUAAUAUCCUUCAUUCCAACUGAAAGAAUGUACAGAAAUCACAGUCGAUAGGCCUUCGUUCGGAAUUAGUUGUCGCUCAGACGGAUGUAUCUAACACUAAAAUACGUCUAGGUACAUCGGUUUUAGCGGUAACUACUUCCGGACGAAGGAAGUAGAUGCAUUGCAAUCACCUCCAGCUGCAGGGAAACUUGUAGCAGCACAACUAUAGACGUAGUAUGUACUGUCAUCUCUCCAGUCCUUGCUUGCACAGAAAUGAUGUUGUGCUUACCACCUUGUUAAUAUAAGUAGUAGGUGUUUGAGCUUAACUACUGUGUGAACAAAUAACAGUAUGGUUCUUACCAUAGCCAUAUAUCAAAAGAAGAUGCCGAGCAGCCUGGUUGGAGCUAGCAAAUUUCAAAUCGAGUUGCCCUCCUCUCCCUCCCGUGUCGCCCCCGUGCGGCGGCCGGGAGGAAACCCUAUCCCGCCACCGCCGCCGCCCCCCGACCCUCCCUCCCCUCCCCGCCGCCGCCCCCCGACCCUCCCUCCCCUCCCCGCCGCCGCCACGGGGCUCGGCCGGGCAAAGCCCGCCUGGAGCCGGCGGCGGCAGGGAAAUCUCGAUCCCUCGCAGGUGGGAGCCAGCGCAUUGCUGCUUCCUCUGGCCUGGGUACGGCGCUGGCGAUGGGCGGCGCAGCGUGGCGGCCCUCUGCUGCGGUGGCGGGCACUGCAGGGCAUCGGGCGAUGCGAUGGGUGGUGGUGCGUGUGGAGGUGGCGAUGGCGGCGGCCGGGGGGGAGGGGGCAUCAGCAAGAUCCGUCAGGCGUUCUCCUGUCGCGGGCGCGGGCCAAGGGUGGCGUGGUUCCGUCCUCCCGGAUGGUGGUGGUGGUGCGCACGGGUCUAGGUGGUGCAGCCUGCUGCUUCGGGGCUGGCUCAGAUCCGCCCGGACCGGCAAUGGCGCGGGGCUGAUCUGGUGGUGCGUGCCCAGCGGCUCCGGCGCUUGGAGCUCACCAGGCGACGCGGGUAGGGCAGCGGCAGGGCGUGGCCACUGCACCGGCCGUGUGCGGCGGCAUGGGGAGGUCCGGCGGUGGUGGCCUCCCGGUGUCGUGGCGGCUUCACGGUGGCCCAACGGAUCUAUCGGCGGCGGCGGCCGGCUUCUCCAGCAUCGGCUCGUCUGCGUUCGGACCGUUUCAGCCUUCGCCCCAUAUCCUCACCACCUGGGCGCUACUCCCAUCAAAGGGCUGGUCCUCUCCCAGUUGCGGUCCAUCUCUCGUCUCGCGCCCGGUGUAGCAGGACUGUGCUCUUCUCGCGCACGGUGCAGCAGGACUAACCUCGUCCCCCUCUCGGUGCUGCAGGACCGAGCUCGUCUCGCACUCGGGGCAGCAGGACAGGUCGGUGGAUGCCAGUUCUGGCCGUCCUAUUGGGUCUCGAGGCUGGGUGCCGCCCAGGGGUGCGAAAGGUGGGACCUUUCAACUCAUCUCUUUCGUUCGGGUUGCGGCGGGUCUCGGGUGAGGUGGUGGCAAGGUCUUGGAUGUCGGGGCGGUGGCCCUGGUGGUGGUAGCGCGGUGCUCUUGGGCAGAGCCCGUGCCUUGGCGCUGCCCUGUCACCAUGGCCGUGUGGGUGGCGUGGUUGCCGGGGUGUGGCGUUGGGUGGCGUGAGUGUUGGCCGAGGUGAAAACAUGUUCUAUCCUCGGACGGACCGGCGGCGGCGAAGAUCGUUCCCUUCUUGAAGGCGUCGUCGCGGCUCACAUUGCCUGUCAUGCGGCUACAGGGGAAACUCUGAUCCUUGGCUCGGGCGGUGGCGGUGCUCCGGUGUCAUACCCUUCCUAAAGGCGCCGCCUUGGAGCACAUGGUUCGUCAUAUGUAGCUUCAUCUCUUCGUGGUGGUGUGCUAGGGGUGGUGUUGCUGCGCUCAGCACCUAUGUAUCCUGUCCUGGGUGUGUGCGUGUGUUGCGGUGGCGUGCGUUUAUACCGGGUGCUUGUUGAUAGGUGCUUUAUAUAUAAAGCGGGGCGAAAGCCUUUUUCGGCAUAUAUCAAAAGAAGAAACUUUUCCUUUUGAGAAUGGAGGAACCAAGUUUGAUAUGCAGGGAAAUUCAGGGAAUCAAAACUCUAUGAACAUCUUGCCAGUAGCAGUCAGUAGAAACUGCCGACAAUGAAACUGAACAAGUAUGUGGUAGAAAAAGGGGGGAUACCAGAUUCAGUUUCACUCAAGCAGUACGAAAAUGUGAGAUGGAAUCUACUACUACUUGAACAUACAGAUCAAGCUGAUCAGUAGAACUGAAGAUACGUUGGUUGAUGGAUCCAGAGUCUCCUGUGCUGAAUUUUGCAUUUUGCAUAUCAUUCCGCAUCUUGCAAAAUGCUCUUAAAGGUUGAUUCUGAAGCUCUUGCAUAUCCCACAUAUCAAAGUUUGUUCGGUCAUUCCUCAUGCCAGCGAAUUUGCUUAAGGCAGAGUCAGAUCGAGGAGCAUCAGUUGAGGUCUCAUGGAAUGCAGCUCCAUGGGCCAGGUGUAAACUGAAGAUACGUUCAGUCCACAUCCAUCAUAUGAUCAGAAGACUUUAUAAUUGAAAGUUACCAGGUGUAAACUAACCAUAGUGGAGGAGAAGCAAAGCAACGGCCAGCCGAGGAAGAUAUCCAUCCACAAUGCACAUGAAUCAUGCCCAAACGGUACAUAAACACGAAGACAAGACUAACCUGCGAAUUCUUCAGUUUAAAAGUUCUUCCUUGAGAUUACAGCAACCAACAAACAAAACAAACUACGUACUCUGUCUAAUUGCAGCUACAACAUUCACUGUUUUCUCAUGAAAACACACUAUAUAUAUGGACGACAAAGAAAUAAUUUGCUUGUAGCCUUUCAAUUGAUGCUGUAGCCGCGUCCCUUCUGCUGUCGGCGAUUUGAUUUACUUGUAACCAAGCAGCAAGAUGAUGAUCCAUCUAGUACAAGCUAGUCCCCCUUCCGCCUGCUCACAUCAACAUUUAAAGUGGAUGAGAUACUACUAGUAUAAAUAUAUGACUGUGCAGUGCAUGCAUACUCAACACUCAAAAGUUAUUACAGCCGGUCAGUUACAAUGCAAUGUGUUCUGCUUAGCACAUUGCUAACUACUAUCUUUCCGAGCAAGUAACUUAACAAAUCGCCAAGGGAAAUAGCAAAACAAUGAACUGAGAACACAACUGUGACUUGUACCAAAUCUCACCUAGCUAGCUAUCUAUUAUGCAGUUUCAC
RNAcentral lists this long non-coding RNA (305855 nucleotides) under Triticum aestivum (bread wheat). RNAcentral describes it as "long non-coding RNA (TAES_LNC017229)". The stretch from base 185831 to 185917 matches the Rfam family "MIR1120/MIR1122 microRNA precursor family". The record is from RNAcentral. Lineage: Eukaryota; Viridiplantae; Streptophyta; Magnoliopsida; Poales; Poaceae.